This 297782-nucleotide long non-coding RNA is filed under the name Gossypium barbadense (sea-island cotton). RNAcentral's name for it is "long non-coding RNA (GBAR_LNC018987)". The record is from RNAcentral. Lineage: Eukaryota; Viridiplantae; Streptophyta; Magnoliopsida; Malvales; Malvaceae.
CAUUUCCAAAUCUUGUCCUUCUUGAUCUUAGUGAUCGUCAACUUGGUGGAAAAAUCCCGCAUCAGAUAGGUAAUCUAUCAGCAUUGAAGCACCUUGACUUGUCCCAUUGUGGUUUAUCCGGUGAGUUACCUCCUUCUCUAGGAAACCUAACCCAAUUAGAGUACCUUGACCUUUCCUAUAAUUAUAAUAUUAACGGUUCCAUCCCUCCACAACUAGGGAAUCUAGUGAACCUUGUCAGUUUAAAUUUGAGUUGGACCAGUCUUAGUGGAAACAUUCCACCCUUUCUUGGGCUAUUGGCCAACCUUAGGCAUCUACUUUUGGAUAGGUUUCAAUUUGAUGAUGGUAAUAAUACAAUCCCUCAAAAUUUGUGGAAUUUGAGGGGUCUUGAGACUUUAAGCCUAAGUCGUUGUGGAAUUGUUGGUCCAAUCCCUUCUGCUUUGGGUCAGUUAUUAAAUCUCAAAUAUUUACGUCUAGGGGGAAACAAAAUUAAUGGAUCUAUCCCAUUUGAAGUCGGAUUUCUAUCAAACUUGACAUAUUUGUAUCUCUACAACAACAAACUGGUUGGUUCAAUCCCUUCUGCUUUGGGUCAGUUAUUAAAUCUCAAAUCUUUAUUUCUUUCGGGCAACAAAAUGAAUGGAUCUAUUCCAUCUGAAGUUGGAUUCUUAUCUAACUUAACUUAUUUUUAUGCCUCCAACAACAGACUGGUUGGUUUAAUACCUUUCUCCUUGUACCAAUUAACCAAUUUGGAAAAUUUGUCCCUUGAUAAUAACCAGCUUGAAGGUUCCAUCCCUCAGAAUAUUGAAAAGUUGAUGAACAUCAAGGUUUUAAGCAUCACUAAUAAUAGUUUUACUGGUCAUAUCCCCCUAGCUUUGUGUCGUUUGACAAAUUUGGAAUAUAUUGGCCUUGGCAACAAUCAAAUCAGUGGUUCAAUCCCAUCUUGUAUUGGCAAUUUAUCCAAUUUGUAUACCUUAGAACUUGAUUCAAAUCUAUUAAAAGGUCCUAUCCCUGAAGAAAUUGGUAGGCUUUUUCACCUAUCAAAUUUAAACCUCAGCUUCAACCAACUCUCAGGUAGUGUCCCUAUCUUGUCUGCCACUAAGCUUCGUAUUAUCGAUGCUGGAAAUAACUGUAACAAGAUUUCUCCCGAUCCAUUUGAAGGCAACAGUCAUCUAUCACCCUAUAUGUGUCCUUCUCCAGUAACCAACAAAGCCAACAGCAGUACAAUUCUUUACUAUAUCAACAUAUUCCUCCCUAUUGCCAUCUUCUUCACAUUCUCCAUUUUGGGAUAUUUUCUAUUUUCACGAUUUAAGCUCAAGAAUAACCGUGUCGGUGUACAACCGACGAAGAAUGGGGAUUUGUGUUCCAUAUGGAACUAUGAUGGAAAGAUAGCAUACGAGGAUAUUGUUGCAGCAACAGAGGAUUUCGACUUUCGAUACUGUAUAGGAGUUGGUGGUUAUGGAAGUGUUUACAGAGCACAACUACCUUGUGGUAAAGUAGUUGCCUUGAAGAAACUUCAUCGUUUAGAAGAUGAAAAUCCAGCCUUUGACAAGAGCUUCAGGAAUGAGAUCAAGUUUCUAACAGAAAUACGACAUCGAAGCAUCGUAAAGCUUCAUGGGUUUUGUCUACACCGACGGUCCAUGUUUUUGAUCUACGAGUACAUGGAAAAAGGGAGUUUGUUCUGCAACCUAAGAGAUGAAGUGGAAGCUGUGGAAAUGGAUUGGACAAAAAGAGUGGAGAUCAUCAAGGGCAUAGCGCAUGCUUUGUCUUACUUGCACUAUGAUUGCAGCCCUCCAAUAGUUCAUCGAGACAUAUCAAGUAACAAUGUUCUUUUAAACUCGAGCUUUGAGGCCUUUGUAGCUGACUUUGGGACUGCUAAAAUGUUGGAUCUUGAAUCAUCCAAUCAGACCAUUAUUGUGGGCACAUGUGGUUAUGUAGCUCCAGGUGGUUUUCUUUGCUUCGUUUGAUGACAUUUUCUUCGGAAUUUAUAAAAUUAAUUGAACAUAUAAAUGAUUUUCUUUUUUAUCUGGUUUUUGGUAUGCAGAACUUGCAUAUACGUUGGUUGUCACCGAAAAAUGUGAUGUCUAUAUUUUUGGAGUGGUAGCACUGGAAACGUUAAUGGGAAAGCAUCCCGAAGAAUUGUUAUCAUGGUUGUCAUCACCAACUUCUUUGGUAAAUAUGAGGCUGAUUGAUGUGCUAGACAACCGUUUACCACUUCCGACAAGUCAAUUAGUUGCACAAAAUCUUGUUCGCAUUGCUACUUUGGCAUUCGCCUGCCUAAAUCCGCAACCUAAGUCUCGACCAACGAUGAAAAAAGUGUGCGAAGAGUUUCUUUGUGGUCAAACAUCCUUGGGAGUUCCCCUUCGGAUGAUCUCUUUGUUACAACUUGUGAACUGUGAAAUGCAUAUUGGAGGCAAAACUGGAACUUGUAAUGUUUAAACUCCAUGUGGCUGUUCUUGAUUAGAUAUUGUUUAUCAUGCUUUGAUGAUUUGUUUGUAAACCAUAUCCUGUGUUAUAUAUGGUGGAAUGAAUUGCAAUGUUCAAUAAAUUUGUUUAUUUGAUUGUUUUACAUAACAUAAAUUCGACAAUUUGAUCCAAAUAUUCAAACACCAUCCUAAUAGCUUCCUUCAAUUUCGUGCUUCUUAGAUAAAUAAAAUAUAAGUAAAUUAAUGGUGAAUUAAAGCAACAAAAUGCAACCAAUACAUUAAGAAUUUACCUGAACUAACUAUAAUUCAUUAAACAAUCUCUCCACUUAUGUAAUGGAAGUGAGAUUUCACAGAUCUGGGCUAGGUAACAUCCAAACUUAAAAAGCAACCAAAGGGGUCAAAAUGGAGCCAGCACAAAUUCCAACAUUUGUUUUUUUCCAUAUCAAGCACAUUAAGAUUUAUUGCUUGGUAGAGUUAAAAAUUGAAAUGAAAGAAAAUAAACAUUUAAAAAUGCAUAAUUUUGAACUAAUAUACACCUCUCUCUCAUUUUCUUUCUUUUCAUCAUUCUAAUUUGGAAGUAUCGGUUUUUAUACAUUACGAUGGAAAAUGAUUCUUUCCUCUCACUUUUCUUCCAUAUCAAGCACAUUCAAAUUAAAAUAUUUAUUUAAUUUUUAUACAUCGUAAAAUGUACCAAUAGAAUUAGAACAUUAAUACACAUAUCAAUUUUAAAAAAAAGAUUAAUUUUUAAUAUUUUUAAGCUUCGUAUAAUUUAGAAAAAAAUUGUCUUGAAUGAAUCUAGACAUAGACUUAACUUGUAAAUGGUUUUUAUUAAUUUUUAAUUUUUUGAACUUUAUUUAAUAUUUUUAUAAUUUUGAAUAUUUUUUUACAAAUUUAUAAAAUUUUAAAAAAUAAAUUUUUUUAAAUAUUUUUUUAAUUUAAAAAAAUUUUAAGCUUCGAAACGAAUGAACUUGGUACUGCAACAUCAGCAACUAUUCCUUUUAAAAAUUAAAUAUUCCUUUUAAUUUUUAUUUUUUAAAAUAAAUUUUUUUAUUUUUGUUGACAUGGUAGUUGAAAUGGUAAUGGCACAUCAACAACUAUCACUGACAUGAAGCAUCAUGUUAGCGUCGUUAAUGAUUAUGUCAACAUUGCAAUGGUCAACAUUAUUCAAAGGGUCUAUUUGGUCAAUUUUGUUAGUUUAGUGGCUCAAUUGGGUGCAAAAAGUUCGUAGAGAUUUAAUUAAUUUUUUUGAAAAAGUUCGAGGACCAAAAAUAGCAUUAAACCCUUCUUUAACUAUUGAUAUAUCCUUUUUUAUGUAUAGGUCAACGGCCUAUUUGACCAAUUUCCUUUAUUUUAGGGAUACUGCAAACUACCAUCUUUCUAAUUUCCAUUGCCAGAACUAUGACAGUAGUAGAUCCAUCGCCUUUGGCGUCCGAAGCCAUAGCUAUGGUAGAAAGUGGGUGGUGGAGUAACUAUAGCAACAAUGCUUCAGAACGUUGCCAGUGGCCAGGUAUAUCAUGCAACACUGCUCGAAGCAUCAUCCAAAUUAACUUAUCUUAUGCAUUCCUUAUCGAGGUUGGAGAUAGAUUUGGGAAAUUGAAUUUCUCUUCGUUUCCAAAUCUUGUCCUUCUUGAUCUUAGUCAUCGUCAACUUAGUGGAAAAAUCCUGUAUCAGAGAGGUUAUCUAUCAGCAUUGAAGCACCUUGACCUUUCCUUUUGUGGUUUUUCCGGUGAGUUACCUCCUCCUCUAGGAAACCUAACCCAAUUAGAAUUCCUUGACAUUUCCUAUAAUUAUAACAUUAACGGCUCCAUCCCUCCACAACUAGUGAAUCUAGUGAACCUUGUCAGUUUAAAUUUGAGUAGAACCGGUCUUAGUGGAAACAUUCCACCGUUCCUUGGGCUUUUGACCGACCUUAGGCAUCUACUUUUGGAUAGGUAUCAGUUUGAUGAUGGUAAGAAUACAAUCCCCCAAAAUUUGUGGAAUUUGAGGGGUCUUGAGACUUUGAGCCUAAAUGGUUGUGGAAUUGUGGGUCCAAUCCCUUCUGCUUUGGGUCAGUUAAUAAAUCUCAAAUAUUUGGGUCUAUUGGAAAACAAAAUUAAUGGAUCUAUUCCAUCUGAAGUUGGAUUCUUAUCAAACUGAUUUUUGAUCUCUUCGACAACAGACUGGUUGGUUCAAUACCUUUUUCCUUGUACCCAUUAACUAAUAUGGAAAUUUUGUCCCUUGGUAAUAACCAGCUUGAAGGUUCCAUCCCUUGGAAUAUUGAAAAUUCGAAGAACAUCAAGAUUUUAAGCAUCAUUAAUAAUAGUUUUUCUGGUCGUAUCCCCCCAGCUUUGUGUCGUUUGACAAAUUUGGAAUAUAUUGACCUUGGCAAAAAUCAAAUCAGUGGUUUAAUCCCAUCUUGUUUUGGCAAUUUAUCCAAUUCGGAUACCUUAGAACUUGAUUCAAAUCUAUUAAAAGGUCCUAUCCCUGAAGAAAUUGGUAGGCUUUUUCACCUAUCAAGUUUAAACCUCAGCUUCAAGCAACUCUCAGGUAGUGUCCGUAUCUUGUUUGCCACUAAGCUUCGAAUUAUCAUGCUGGAAUUAACUGUAACAAGAUUUCUACCGAUCCAUUUGAAGGCAAUAGUCAUCUAUCACCCUAUAUGUGUCCUUCUCCAGUAACCAACAAAGCCAACAGCAGUACAAUUCUUUACUAUAUCAACAUAUUCCUCCCUAUUGCCAUCUUCUUCACAUUCUCCAUUUUGGGAUAUUUUCUAUUUUCACGAUUUAACCUCAAGAAUAACCGUGUCGGUGUACAACCGACGAAGAAUGGGGAUUUGUGUUCCAUAUGGAACUACGAUGGAAAGAUAGCAUACGAGGAUAUUGUUGCAGCAACAGAGGAUUUCGACUUUCGAUACUGUAUAGGAGUUGGUGGUGAUGGAAGUGUUUACAGAGCACAACUACCUUGUGGUAAAGUAGUUGCCUUGAAGAAACUUCAUCGUUUAGAAGCUGAAAAUCCAGCCUUUGACAAGAGCUUCAGGAAUGAGAUCAAGUUUCUAACAGAAAUACGACAUCGAAGCAUCGUAAAGCUUCAUGGGUUUUGUCUACACCGACGGUCCAUGUUUUUGAUCUAUGAGUACAUGGAAAGAGGGAGUUUGUUCUGCAACCUAAGAGAUGAAGUGGAAGCUAUGGAAAUGGAUUGGACAAAAAGAGUGGAGAUCAUCAAGGGCAUAGCGCAUGCUUUGUCUUACUUGCACUAUGAUUGCAGCCCUCCAAUAGUUCAUCGAGACAUAUCAAGUAACAAUGUUCUUUUAAACUCGAGCUUUGAGGCCUUUGUAGCUGACUUUGGGACUGCUAAAAUGUUGGAUCUUGAAUCAUCCAAUCAGACCAUUAUUGUGGGCACAUGUGGUUAUGUAGCUCCAGGUGAUUUUCUUUGCUUCGUUUGAAGACAUUUUCUUCCGAAUUUAUAAAAUUAUUUGAAAAUAUAAAUGAUUUUCUUUUUAUCUCGUUUUUGGUAUGCAGAACUUGCCUAUACGAUGGUUGUCAGCAAAAAAUGUGAUGUCUAUAGUUUUAAAGUGGUGGCACUGGAAACGUUAUGGGAGAGCAUCCUGAAGAAGAGUUAUCAUGGUUGUCAUCACCAACUUCUUUGGUAAAUACGAGGCUGAUUGAUGUGCUAGACGACUGUUUACCACUUCCGACAAGCCAAUUAGUUGCACAAAAUCUUGUUCGCAUUGCUACUUUGGUAUUCGCUUGCCUAAAUCCAUAACCCAAGUCUCAACCAACGAUGAAAGAAGUGUGCGAAGAGUUUCUUUGUGGCCAAACAUCCUUGAAAAUUCCCCUUCGAAUGAUCUCUUUGUUACAACUUGUGAACCGUGAAAUGCAUAUUAGAGGCAGAACUGAAACUUGUAAUGUUUAAACUCCAUGCACUUGUUCUUGAUUAGAUAUUGUUUAUAUAUUGUGUUCUAUAUGAUGGAAUGAAUGGCAAUGUUCAGUAAACUUGUUUAUUCGGUUGCUUUACAGAAGAAAAAUUCUACAAUUUGAUCUAAAUAUUCAGACACCAUCCUAAUAGCUUCCUUCCAUUUCGCCCUUCUUUCAAGCAUGAUAGACCAAGUCAAAGGAUGAAUCAAAUAUAAGUAAAUUAAUUGUGAAUUAAAGCAAAAAAUAAAAUAAAAUUUGAAUAAAUAAAAUGGAUUAAUUAAGUAUGCACAAAUUUAGAAAUGCACUGUUUCUUUCAUCAAUUUGCAUAAGGUUAAAUGGUUCAGAAGAAAGCUUUCUAAAAAAGAUUACACUAAAAAUGACCAAACCAUUUUGGAAAGAGGGAACGAUGCUUAGGGGUAAUCUUUUUUAAAGCAAAGGCCACUAUUGAAGAAACUUCAUUAAUGCUUAGGGGUAAGGUCUUUUAACUUUUUUACAUUAUGUAUAAUAAUUCAGUUUGAUUUAAUUUUUCAUUUUUCUACUAAUUUUAAAUUUAGGGUUUUAGAUUUAUUUUAAUAAAAUGAUCUUUAUUUUAUAGUUUUUGGAUAUUAUUCGAUAAAUUUUCAAAGUCUUAUAUAUAUAAGGUUUAGAAUUUCCAGUCCCCCGAUGAAAGGGUUAAAAAACUAAAGCACAAAGAAGUAUUUAUAAAGUGAAACUAUGAAGAAAACAGAGUAGUCACCAAGGAUAAUAAUAUAAUAUAAUAUAAUAAUCUCUUCCAACUUCAGCUUCGAUAUAAAUGAUCUUUCAUUCCACCAACAAGCCAGGUCUCUUGGGCUAUAUUACAUGAAAUGUCGUAGAAAUCAGGGUCAUAUUUCAUCACUACUAAGCUCUCUUUCACCUUCCUGUUUUCCUUUUCCAUUAAAGACCUAAUUUUUUUCUUUUUUCCUCGUCUUUCCUCUUGCACUCUUGUUUGUCUCCUUGAUCUUCCUCGUCCUCUCCGGCCCUAUUAGCUUCUUCUAACUAGCUCUUAGCAGGAGCGGAUCGACAACGCAGAAGUAAGAAAGCAUUUGCAGGUGGGAUUGCAGCAGCUUGAUCAUCAACAUGAUCGAGGGAGCAUUUACAGCAAUCACAAUUCCUAAUAUCAAUCUGCAACCUAACUGUCAGCUUAAAGGUCUAAAGUCAAAUGCCGAGUUGGUUAUAACAUGUAAUUAAGUAAUGAAACCUGCAUUUAUAAUUUAUUGAAGGAAUCAGGCUGCCACAAUAUCUAUAAAUGAUUAAGUUCAAGCUAUACAAAUUAUAUUAAAAAUAAGAUGAUCAUUACAAAAAAAUAAAAAGGAAGGCCCUUUUCACCAACAGUAAAAUGUAAUUAAGUAAACCAUGUAUUUUUCAGUUUCUUAAUCUUAGCCUGAACUAAAUAUUGCAUUGCAAAUGACAUAAUAUGACCCAUGUCAACAAUGUAAACAGACGCACAUUAAAAUUUAAAUUUAAAUCCAUAAAACUUUAUGUACUUAUAUUCAUGCAUUUAUACGAACACAAGAAAGAUAUACAAAUUUAUAAGAACAAGCACAGUGUCAAAUCAAUAUGGUUCCUUCCCUCAAUGCAAACAUCGUGUGACAUCAACCAAUAUAAAGAAGAUAACAAAAAGUAUGCCCUAGUUUCAGCACUCUUUUAAGGCAGUUACUAAAAGUUUCUUUCAACCAAGUUAAGAAGCAUAUCAAGAAAUCAAGUUAAGGACGACUUCUAAUGAAAGUUGACAAGAAAUUUUCCAGAGAUGAAUGCACUAUCCACAACCCGUUCUAACAAUUUGAUCUUCGAUCUUACCUUCUAUUAUAAGUGUGAGUAGCCUUUGUUUGUGGCAAUUUCUGAUUGGUUCCAGUAUUCAUUAAUAAGAAAGAUUUUCAUUUCUUAAAUAACGUAUACAUCCUGAACCCAUUCUAUAUCAACAACAACAAUAAUACACACGAUAGAGUGAUAGAGUACAAAUUUUCGUACAAGAUUUCACACAUACAAGAAAAACAAAAUAAGUGAAAUAAUUCCAUCUAAAAUGAAAUUAAUCAAAGAAAGCCAAAACUGAUGUAGUAGAACAGAUGACUGAGAAUGUAAAAUUUUCUUAUAUUAGUUCCAUUUUUUUUUUAAAAAAAAGAGAGAUUGCAAAGUAAAUUAAGAAAAUUCUGUAAUACCCGCAAAGGGUUUGUGAACAAACAAGUUAACUCAGAUAGAAAAAAAUUAGAUUGAGAAACCAAUUAUUCAACCAUGAAUGUAACACCCUAAACCCAGCAUGGACGAAAGUCUAAGUUUAGGAAGUUACCAUGUCUCACCUAUGCGCAGUCAUUCUUAAAGCAAAUCAUUCUUCAUAAUUAAGUUAUAAAAACAUCCAGUAUCCAUAACAUAAUCAAAUUUUAAAGGAUUGAAAUACGAAUUCUAGCUAUAGAUUCACACACAUAUAGAUAUAAUAUGUCCUACAAAUGACCAAGUCCCUCCGCGCGCCAGCCGCUUAAUCCUAUGGGUUCCCUGAAAUUCAUACGAAUAAUUAGAGUGUUGCAGUAAAGAGUAAAACAUAGUUGAGCUAUACUAUAUAAUGAUGUAUAUAUAUUUGAACGGCAUUGAGUGUUUAAGUACAGCUUGAUAUCAUCAUUUUAGUAACAUCCUAAUGCAAAUUCAAAUAUAUAUAAUAGACUGACAAGUCAACUUGAUACAGAUAUAGACAUAAAUCUCAUAGGCCAACCGAUACACACCAUCUCCAUGUUUACUUCCUCCCCCUUUACACACCAAUAGGUAUAUAGCACCUAUCCAUCCCUAUACACCUCAUAGUGUCGAUAUGACACGUUGCAAUGUUUAUAGUCUCAGUGCCAGAAUAACAAAAUAUACAGGUGGUUUGACCACCGAUUCAAAAUAGAACUCUUCCUCCACAUCACAAUCUCCUUACAUGUAGUUUCAAAACAAAUACUGAUCACAUACAUAACACAUUAGUUAAACAAUCAAUCUAUAAUAUACAAAUACUGAUCUUAGUAAUAACUAUUUCAUACCAAUAUGCAAAAUCACUUAACAACGAUGAUAAUUAGACUUAUUCAAUAAGUGAAGUUCAAAUGAUGGCUUAUCCCGCCUUACACGUCCACUACCGCACUAACAGAGGUUCAGAAUUCAAGAUCAUACACCCACAUGGCCUGGCACACUCCAGUGUGCCUUGCCUAUGUGUGUCACACGGCCUGAACACCGGCCCGUGUGUCUCACCCGAUUGCCUCUAAUAGAAACUUAGUGAAUUACACGGCUAGCACAUACGCCCGUGUGGCCACUUGUGUGACUCCAGCACGAACUCAGUGAGUUACACGGCCUAGAUACACACCCAUGUGUCUCACCCGUGUGACUCUUGUACUUUAUUACCCACACAUACGGCCAGGCACACGCCUGUGUAAGUUGCCCGUGUGUCUACAAUUCGAAAUCAGGGAGUUACAAGGCCAACCACACGGCUUCCCACAUGGUCGUAUGGCACACACGGCCAGGACACAUACCAAUGUGGCCACCCAUGUUCCGUUUACAAUCGUUGAUUCUGGCAAAGAAUAACGCAAAAAAGAGGGUUUUCGGUACCCACCUGUUACACGAUGUUGUAGAAGCACCACAAUACAAAAUCCAAGCCUAAAACAAGUUUCAAACUUCCCAUUUCAAUAAGAAAUUCAUAAAUGAAAUUAACAACAAUCAAUUUCCGUCGAAAUCUUCCACUCACUACACAAAAUGAAAGGAAGUUAUUACCGUGAAUUCCUCGUCCCCGUUUGGUUCCUAAAUAAGGUGAAAAGUGUUAGGCAUCUCUUGAGUCUCCCCUGUUAAACUCUCAACUACUGAAAGAAAUCAUUCUUUUCCAUAUGCUCAUAACAUUGAUUACAGGGGUAUUUAAUGCAUGCAGUACAUGCAACCUCAUCAGUAACUACUAACAGAAACCUUAACAACUUUCUAACUAAUAACAGAAACUGUUACUCCUAACAUGCCCCUUACUUAUCAACUCUUCUUCUCAUCAAAAACUUCUUGACUUGUAUCAGUAACACAAAGUAGAUCUCGAAACUUAGUGAAAAUUCCCACUGGCAAAGGUUUUGUCAAAACAUCGGCAAUUUGGUCUGAUCCCGAAACAUGGCCAACUUGAAGUACUCCAUUUGUAACUUUUUCCCUAACGAAGAACAAAUCCAUCUCUACGUGCUUGAAUUUUGAAUGUAAAACCGGGUUCCCUGCUACUGCAACAGCAGCUGAACUAUCACACCAUAUCAAUGCUUUCUUUGGAACUGGAACAUGCAACUUAGUUAGUAAUGAGCGAAUCCAAACCAAUUCUGCAGCGAGAUGAGCAACACUUCUAUAUUCUGCCUCUGCUGUUGACCUAGAGAUCACUUGCUGCUUCCUUGAGCUCCAGGAGAUCGGGUUCCCUCCAAGAAACACGCAAAAUCCUGAAGUGGACCGUCGAUCAUCUACAUCCGAACCCCAACUAGCAUCCGAGUAUCCUUCAAGCAAAAACUUCGACGAACGAACAAACUUCAACCCGUAAUUCAGUGUGCCUUGUAGAUAUCUUAAGAUUCUUUUCACAGCUUUGAAAUGCAAAUCCGAAGGUUUAUGCAUAAAUUGACAAACUUUGUUAACAGCAUAUGCUAUGUCGGGUCUAGUAAUUACCACAUAUUGUAAAGCACCAACGAUACUUCGAUAAUGACUUUCAUCUUCAACAGGACUCCCAGUAUUAGCAGAAAGAUGACCGGUGGUGACCAUUGGUGUAGGUAAACUAUUUGACUUCUCCAUAGAUGCACGUUGAAGAAGAUCCAGAAUGUAUUUUCUUUGUGUGAGAAGCAGCCCUUGUGUAGUGUACUUGACUUCAAUUCCAAGAAAGUAACUUAACUUCCCCAGAUCUUUUAACGAAAACCUGCCAUUUAACUGAGUAACGAAAUCGCCUAUGAACACAGCAUCAUUCCCAAUAAUGAUAAUGUCAUCAACAUAUAUCAACACAUAAAUCAACUGGGACUUGGUUUGAAAAAUGAACAGGGAAUUAUCGGCUUUUGAAACCUCAAACUUCAUGGACACCAAUAAUUCUCGCAACUUAUUGAACCACGCCCGUGGUGCUUGUUUGAGACCGUACAAGGCUUUUCGAAGCUUGCAAACUAGCUUCUCACCAUUUGCCCCUUGCUUUUCGAACCCUGGAGGCUGCACCAUGUAGAUAUCUUCACUCAACUCCCUAUUUAAAAAAGCAUUAUUUACGUCUACCUGUCGAAGUGGCCAGUUAGAUGACAUAGCUAAGGCAAGAACAACCCGAAUUGUAGUUGGCUUAACAACCAGGCUAAACGUUUCUUGAAAGUCAAUACCAGCUUCUUGCAAGUAACCCUUAACCACAAGCCUGCCCUUGUAUCGAGCAAUAGAUCCGUCUGCAUGCUUUUUCAGUUUAAAAAUCCAUUUACAACCAACAGCUCGUCGUCCUUCAGGUAGUGGCAUGAGAUCCCAGGUUUGGUUAGCUAGCAAAGCAUCAUAUUCCGCUCUAGCAGCGUCUGUCCACGCCGGGCUUUGAAACGCUUCACUUAUCGUCAAAGGCUCCUUUUUAGCCAAUACCGAAGCUAAAACUUUCGGUUUAAAAAUUCCAUUUUUUGAACGGGUCGGCAUGGGGUGCAUACUAACAUUAAAUGGAGCUUCAAUUUGACAUUCACUCUGUCCAUGCGUCAAAGAAGUUUCUGACCGACACUCAUUUGGACCACAUAAUGGAGAAACUUCUGUGGGAAGAGACGAGCUGGAACGAGAGGGAGUAUGAUGUGAUGGAACUGACGAACAUGCCAUUGGAGAUGUCCUAACCAAUCGUGUGUCUGCUUGUGUUAAACCUGUUUCAGAAAAAUUAUUACACACAAUAAUAGGGAGCAUGGUCUGCUGUUUACAAGAUUCCUUCAUGACAUUGUUGCGGAACUUUGAACAAAAACCGCCAUGAAACGGAAACCUUUCCUCAUCAAACCGAACGUGCCGAGAAAGAUAGACCCUACCAUCAUCAGCAAGACACCGAAACCCUUUUAUAUUCGGGGUACUCCCAAGAAAAACACAAACUUUUGACCUGUACUGUAGCUUGUAUUGCUGAAAAGGUCUCAAAUUAGGAUAGCAAGCACAGCCAAACACCCAAAGAGUAGUAUAGUCAGGUUUGUUACCAUGAAGUUUCUCAUACGGACUCAUUUGAUGUAAAAUUAGAGUAGGCAGUCUAUUUACUAAAUAAACAGCAUGUGCAAAAGCAUAAUACCAGAACUUCAAUGGUACACCAGAUUGAGCAAGAAGAGAUAAUCCCAUAUCAACAAUUUGUCUAUGCUUCCUCUCAGCAACUCCGUUUUGCUCGGAGGUGUAUGGACAAGUAACCCUAUGUUGAAUACCCAGACGAGAAAACUCUUUUGCCAAAACACAAUAUUCUCCCUCACCAUCUGUUUGUAACAUCUUGAUGGGACAACCAAAUUGAGUUUUUACCAUCUGAUGAAAAUUAGCAAAACAAGAAGCAACCUCAGAUUUAUUUUUAAGAAAGUAGAUCCAAGUAUAUCUACUGUACAUGUCAACAAAGGACACGUAAUAGCAAAACCCAUUGGAAGGCACAUGAGCUGGCCCCCAUAUAUCAGAAACUAAAGCUCAAAAGGAAUCUUGUACACUGUAGUGGAAGCAGGAAAAGGAAGCUUUUGAGCCUUGCCCAUCUGGCAGGCCGUACAUAUAGUAGGUAAACUAUUCUGUACAAACGAGACUUUACAAGAUUUUAAAACUUGAGACAAGACAUUAGAGCACGGAUGCCCAAGUCUGUUGUGCCAUAAAACUGCAGACGAAAGUUGGGCACUGUUUAUUGAGCACGGACUAGGCUUCGAAAGAAAACUAUGACUAUGGAGAGUAGACUUGGACAGCUGAAAAUGAUAGAGACCUUCAUGUAUGUGGCCCUCGAGAAGGAUCUUCCCUGUCUAAAUAUCCUUCACAAAACAGAGAAAAGGAUGAAACUAAAAAAAAAACACCGUUAUCUUUUGCAAAUUGUCCCACAGACAACAAAUUUUUGCACACUGUAGGAACAUGUAACACACGUUGAAGAUGAAGAAGUCUAGAGCCAGCCAGAAUAUUAGAAGACCCUAUAUUAGCUAUAGGUGCUGACUUACCAUUGCCCAUAACAACUUGACCUACACCUGUAUAAGGAGUUACUGACAUAAGAGCGGAUCUGUCAGGUGUAACAUGAUUUGUUGCACCGGAGUCUGGAUACCAGGUCUGAUCAGCUGAUGAUGAUGAUGGAGUUGACAGUCGAGAGCACGAACCAGAACAAUUAAGUACAGAAGAGCAUGCCGUGGAAGAAGGAGCAAACUCGUGCACUUGAUGAAAAUUGACUGAUGUGUUUUGUCCAAAAUAAUUCUCAUCAAAUCGAUGAUAACAAUUUUGUACAAUAUGACCAACCUUACCACAAAGUUGACACUGUGGUCUAGAACGAGACCAUCCUCGACCAGUGCCUCUAGUUCUGCCACGUAACCAACUGCGAUUCGAACCACGAAACCCUUGUUUUGAGUCCUGAGCAUAAGAAGGUUUCGAACUAUCUGCACCAUCUUGAUAUUUAGUUAAAUUUGCCUGCAAAGGAGUUUCUGACAAAACAGCCAACUGUCUAGCCUCAAAAUCAAGAAGCAUAUCAGUCAACAAAUCCAAUGAAACUGAAGCAGCAGACGCAAAAACACGAAUAGACUCAUAUUCAAUGGGAAGCCCAGAUAGAAUAACACUAACUUGCUCUUUUUCCGUAACAUCACUGCCAAUAGCUGUUAAGCUAUCAGUAAGAGUCUUGACCUUAUGCAAAUAUUCUUUAACGUUUAAACUACCUUUCUUGAUCGAGUAUAAUGCAUGACGCAUACUCGAGAUCUUAAUAUUCGACGUAGCGCCAAAUCUUCUUUCAAUGGUGUUCCAAAUAUCAAGACUCGUUUUAGCUGCAGUUAGAUGAACCAAAACUUCAUCCGUGACCGUCGAAACAAGCCAAGCAGCAAGAAACUUAUCCUGUUUCUUAUGCACAAGAAAGCAAGGAUUAUCAACAACACGACCAUCAGCCUUUACAAGAACAGCAGGAGGAACAGAAAUCGUGCCCAAAACAAAGCCUUCAAGCCCAUAUCCUUCAAGAAUCAGUAACAACUGAUGUUUCCACAGCAAGAAAUUAUGUUCUGCAAGUUUGACCGUAUCAUGCUUGGUAAAAUAUUGAACGGUUGAAGAACCACCACUACCAAGAUCCUGCGACUGGGCUGCUCCACCAAUAUUUGAAGAAUUAUGCGGAGUAUCUGCACUUGGUUCCAUGAAGAAAAAAAAAACAACAAAACUAUUUGAUUUAAAAAAUUUUGGCUCUUGAUACCAUGUUAAACUCUCAACUACUGAAAGAAAUCAUUCUUUUCCAUAUGCUCAUAACGUUGAUUACAGGGGUAUUUAAUGCAUGCAGUACAUGCAACCUCAUCAGUAACUACUAACAGAAACCUUAACAACUUUCUAACUAAUAACAAAAACUGUUACUCCUAACAUCCCCUAAUGUAUGAAAACACAAUGAACAAUAAAGUCAUCACACACUUCAGAAUUUUGAAGGUUUUUACCCAAUUCGCACAACAACACUUUAAAAUAGAAAUAAUUUACUCGAUCACCUUAAAACGUACCAGAGUAAGCAAUAUUACAACCCCAAUGAAGCAAUUAUGCAAGACGAACCAAACUAAAGAAGUUCUAGAGAAAUUGUAUACUAAACCGAAGCAAAAAUAAGAAAAAGAAAAAAAAUUGAAAAUGGAAGGAAAAAAAGAACGUCUAACUAUCACUAGAGGGAAGAAGUCUUUUAAAAUUUAGAUCAGUUUUAUGAGAAAGUGCAAAACAUAAAUCCUCGUUGCAUACAAUGAGACUCAAACACGGGACCAAACAUAAAGCAAAUGUUUAAUUAGUGAAUCAGCAGGCUCAUUCUUGACACAAAAUGAUAAUAGAAUUAAACUUAAAUCAGGAAUUCUAAAUCAAGGAUUUUAAUAAAGAAAUGAACAAGAUUUCAAAAUUCAUGUGACUCGGACCUCAUAUCUCAAGUAAACAAACAGAACAAACAACCACAGAAGCAGACACAUAUCCAUUAACACAUCCUAUAAAUAAAACUCAGAUUUUAGGGCGUUGCAUUGAAAGAACUGUAAAAUACAAUGAUUAGGAACAAAAACGAUUACCCUCUUUUUCUUUGUCGGCAACCACUUGAUUUUAAGUCUUUGAACAUAAAUUUGUCGGCAAAGAAGACAUACUUGGACCUAAAUCCAUCUUUUGUAUUUCUACGUUGAAUAAAAAAUCCAAUCAAUUGAUGAAACAAUCAUUUGAUUUCUAGUAUUUUGAUUCAAUAAAGAUAUAAUAGUUUUUUCAAUCAAAUGAAAAAGAAAACUAAAAAAAAAAAGAGGAGAUGAACGGUUUUUUCAGCUAAGGUUUAGGGUUUAAAAAUUUUAAUUAAUAAAUUUAUUUAAUUAAAAAUCUAUUCACAUCCCAUUUAGAAAUCCAAGUUGGAAAUUAAAAUCUAGUUGGACUGCCACGUAGGAUUACCGUGAGGGAGAUAACAGAACUUAAUGGAAGAGUGAUCACUUCAUAACAAUAUAAUAACAUAAGUGACUAAAAUGUAACCUGAGGCAAAUAAAAGUGAUUUUUUUUAUAGUUUACCCUUAUUUUUAUACUAAUUUUAAGUUUAGGGUUUUGGACUUAUUUUAAUAAAAUGAACUUUGUUUAAUGGUUUUUGGACAUUAUUCGGUAAGUUUUCAAAGUCUUUUAUAUAAGGCGUAAUAAUAAAUUUAACCCUUGAUGUUUAUAUCUUUUGUUAAUUUGGCUCUUAUUCUUUUUUUUUAAUUUGACUCUCAACCUUCUAAAAAGAGUCAAAUUUAACCAUUAACAUUUCAAAAAGAAUCGAAAUGAUUUUUUAAAUAAAAAUAUUAACUAAAAUGUUAUUUUUUUAAUAUGGAAGCCCACGUAGCAUUCCACAUGAACUUCAUAGUAUUUUUUGAACUUUUAUGAACUUUUUUGAAUUUUUUAAGUUUUUUUUCAACACUUUUAUAAUUUUUAAAUUAUCUAUAGAAGUGACAUAUAAGAUAAAUAAUGUCAUAUCAGUAUAAAGUACACAUGGAUUGACACGCAGAGUGUUACACCAACAUCACUAAAAAAUUAAUGUUUAUUUAGUAUUUUGUUAAAAAAAAGUUUUUUUGAUUCUUUUAGAAAGAUUAAUUUUAAGGGUCAAAUUGACUACAUAUAAUAUAAUUGUUGAGGAUUAAAUUUUUCAUUUUAUCUUUCUAUAAAUAUUUUCCCAAAAAAAUUAAAUUUUCAAGUACAUCACUUACAAAGUGUUUUUUUUAUAGAUUUUUUAAAUUUAUUUCACUAUUUAAAAAUAAAAUAUUUAUUUUACAUAAUAUAGAAUUAUAAUUAAUAAUAAAUUAAACAAGAAAUAAAAUUCGAUUCAAAUAAUCGUGAUUUUUUAACUUGUGCCAAAAAAUAAUCUAAACAUCAUGGUUGAAAUCAAAUUUUCAAUUUCUUAAUAUUUUUUCUUUCAAAACCAUAACAAUGAUAGCUAGUCAUGGUGGUCGUCCUUAGUUUUCUUUUUUUAAAAUAAUAAUAAUAAUAAUAAUAAUAAUAAUAAUAAUAAUAAUAAUAAUAAUAAUUGUAAUACUUAAAUUUUACCCGGCCCCAAAUAAAUAAAAUAAAUACAGAGCUUGAUUUGCAAACAGGCCAUAAGGGCCCAAAACCCAAAAUACAACAGGGGCCCAAAGCUCAAUGGCCCAAAUCAUAUGCAGAAACCCUAGGGUUUCUGAAGAAGACCUUUGCGCCGCAGCCGCAGCCAUCACCAAGCUGAAUCUUCACGAUCUUCACCUGCAAACACAAGAAAGGAAAGAAAAUCAAAUCAAAUCAAAUCGAAUCAAAUCAAGCAAAUUUCUUACUUCUAUUUGUUGUAUUUUCAUUCGGCUAUAUAAAGCCAUAGACAAUAUUGUAAAGGGGCCGGAUUUUUAAAAAUAAAAAAUACAAAUUACAACUUUCGCAAUAUCAAGGGCAAAAAAAUCGAAACAAAGGUUGAUACUUGCAAUUUUUAAUAAUUUUCUAUUGUUACAUAUAUAUUUUUUUAUUUACAUACGAAUAAAAUAGAGAAGAGAAGGAAAGAAACAACCUGCGUUUGGAGCCUAAACCGUCGUGUGCCUCCGAGGUAGCCGUCUCCGAGGAAAGACGGUCGGAAACCGAAAGGUUUCUCGGGUUUUUGAGGCAUCUCCGCUUUUAUUUUGAGGGUUUUGAGCCCGGAUCUAAGCUCAGGGGGUUAAGAAGGUUGAAAAGGAAAAUUUUUUACUUUUUCCGGCCACCGCGGACGGUGGUGCCGGCGCCGGAGAUCAGCGGCCGGCGUGGUGGCCGUUGACCGGCCGAUGACCAUCCGAUGAUCGGCCCAUGGCCGGAGGACAGAAAGGUUGAGAGAGUUUUUUUUAAAAAGUUUUUUUGUUUUUUUUAAAUGUUUUGAAAUGAAAUUUUUGUUUUAUUUUUGGCUUAAAUAGCCAAUUGAAAACGGCGCCGUUUUGAGGGGAGGAUCCGUGCGUCGACCCGACCCGGACCCAGGAUCACCGCGUUUUUAUGCGGAGGGGAAAAUUGCAUUUUUAGCCCCUCCGCCUUUUUAUGUUUUACAAUUAGGUUUAUUUAAUUUUUUUAAAUUAGCCCUUUAAUUCGUUUUCGAUUUCAAUCUAACCCUGCUUGAACGACACUGUUCUGAGGAGAAGGGUAAAUUGCCUUUCUAGCCCCUCUGAGUUAUCAGCGUGUUCAAUAGGAUCUUUCAAUUUCUAUUUAUUUACAGAUUUGUUUCAGAAUUUUUAUUUACAGUUCAAAUUAGCCUUUUUUUUUCUUUCAUUUUCUAUAUUUUCUAUUUUUUAUAUUCUUUUUUCAUAUUAAUUUGUUUUAAUAUAUAUAAUAUAUUUUUACAUACGCACAUUUAUUUUUGUAGAAUUGUAUAAUUAUUUGUUUAUUUAUUUAUUUAUAUGUAAUUAUUCUUUAUAACCUAUAUGUAUAUAUUUAUUUUAGUACAUAUAAAUAUGCAUAUAUAUUAAUAUUUUUAAUCAAUAUAUAUAUGAAUAUAUAUUUAUUUUUUUAAAAAAUGAAAAUAUAUAUUUUUUAUACACUUUAUAAUUUAUAUUUUUCCUUUUAUUUUCACAAAUGCAUCAUAUAUGUAUAAGUUUCGUAUCCCAAAAUUUAAGUUGUAUGUAUAUUUUUAAUCUUCAUAAUUUCUAUGUGUAUAUUAUAUGUUUUCUAAUUUUUAUUUAUUUUGAUUUCCUUGUUUGUGAUUUAAUUGUGUUUGUAUUUAAUAUUUUGCAUGACAUGGAUUAUUGCUUUAUAUUUAAUUUAUUAUUUGUUUAUAUUAUUUUUAUGCUAUUAAUGUAUUUAUUAUUGUUGAAUUUAUUAUUAUAGCAUUUGUAUGUAAUAGAACAUGACAUCAUCUUUUACUCGAUUUUAAAGUUACAAAAUUGAGAUAGUGCUUGGAUUGAGGAUUUUCAAGGAAAUUGAGCCCUAACGUAUUGAGUUCCGAUUUUCUUUGUUAAGUUUAAGAAUCGAGCAUUUCUCUUUAAUAAAAAUAAGAAUUCAUUAUUGGGAAUUCAACACGUUGUGUCCUAACGUAUUGGAUGUGAUGCAUUGAUUUCUCGAAAUGAAGAUUUUUCUAAAAAAUAAUAAAGGAAAUAUUUCGAGUUUGGGAUUUUAAAGAAAUCGUGCCCUAACGUAUUGGGUGUGAUUUCUUGAAUCUUGGAUAAGUGGAUGUUCUUUUGAAGUUUUAUCGCACUUGUAUUUUGGCCCAAUUCAUUUUGGAGGAAAUUAGAAUGUUGUGCCCUAACGCAUUGGGUGUGGCAUUUUUGCUUCUCUAAAUGGAGAAAGGUCUUAAUACGCAACAUUUUAAGUUUUUUUAAAGAUUAUAUUUUUUUAAAUUUUCGACCUUAAGACAUUAAUUGGUUAAUUAGGUACCAAUUUUGGGCGUUAUGAGGGUGCUAAUCCUUCCUCAUAUGUAACUGACUCCCGGACCUGUUUUUCUAAAAUUCGCAGACCAAAAUCAUUUUAGGUGACCCAAUCACACCUUAAUAAAAGAUUGGUGGCGACUCCCAAUUUUCAUUUUUUUAAAGUCGACAACCUAAAAUAAAAUUUUUUAUUUUUCAAAAAAAUGGUUUCGACAGCUUGGCGACUCCGCUGGGGACUUUUUUUUUAAAUAAGAGAGUCAAGCCACAAAGUUGAUUAAUUUUUGUCUUAUGGUCGAGAAAAUAUUUUUAAAAAACUCAUGACAUCCUUUUUGCAUUCAUUAUCUUCUUGUUUAAAUAUUGUUUGCAUUAUACAUUUCAUGAGUGGAACAAUUUUACCCUUUUCAGUGGGAGUGAGAAGCUAUGCCUUCGUGAGGUUUUCACCUCCGUAUAGGAUAGUGGAUCGCUUUCGGGAUACAUCGGUACUUAUGCCUUCGUGAGAUUUUCAUCUCCGUAUAGUCAUAGGGAAAAUGUGUCCCCCUGAACUGAACUCGGUCCAUAUGAGCCUAUAAUGGGUGAGGAUUGAGGAAUCUGCUGGUUCGGGUACCUUUACUUUAGAACCGAACCGCAUAUAAUGAGCCUUAGGAGCUUACCUUAGUUAGAACCGCACUAAACCCUGGUAGAUAUCCGAAUAGAUGUUUUAUUAUUUCUUGAUUGUUUUCUAUGUUUAUAUAUAUUACUGACCUUUUGUGUUUUAUUUUGAUUGCAUGACAUGGCAUUUCACUUCAUCAUAAAAGGCAUCAGUUUAGAUUUGGUUGCUAGAUAGAAAGCUUAACAUGGAAAAAGGGUUUCUUGAUAAAGUGGAGGACAAUGCGCCUGUUCGAACUUGGUCUGAAACAAUGCAACAGGAAAAGGGUGAUAGUCUGGCCGAUGGGUAUGUAUCAGAAUUAUGGGAUUUUACUCGCAUCAGUGUGGCUCAAAACAAUUUGCAGGAGUUGAAAGAAAUUUGGGAUCAGUGGAAUAAUGAGAUUAGGCAGUUAUUUUACGACAACUAUGGGGACUUGCCUUAUUUGCUUGAUGUGAAGGUAGACAAACACUUGUUUCGAGCCCUCGCCCAGUUUUGGAAUCCUGCUUACAGUUGCUUCACGUUUGGGAAUGUUGAUUUGGUACCUACGAUAGAGGAGUACGUGGCAUUAUUUUGAUGUUCAAAGUUCCAAGUAGAUAGGGUCUACUCGAGAGCGGUGAAUGUGCCAACCUUUUCAAAGAAGCUGAUAGGUAUAACAGGGAUGAGUGAGCAGUGGGUCGCUGCACGAGUUAAGCAAAAGGGGGAUAGCAAGUGCAUUCUUUGGAGGAGCUUGAAGGAUGCCAUUCUCACACACCCAGACAUAAGAAAGAGGUUAGAUAUUUUUGCCUUAAGUAUAUACGGCUUGGUUGUCUUCCCUAAGGCCUUGGGGCAUGUGGAUGAAGCAGUCACCGAUUUAUUUGAUCGACUUGAUAAAAGGGUUACAUCGAUUCCGACAAUUUUGGCAGAAACCUUCAGGUUAUUGAGUGCAUGCUGAAAGAUGGGUGAGGGUAGAUUUAUCGGAUGUGCGCAGCUUCUACUUGCAUAGUUUCACAGUCACUUUUGGAAGGUGGAUAAAGUUUCGUAUCGAGUUUUCUCUAAAAAUUAUUCACCACUAAAGGAGAUAAUUGCUACACCGAGGAGAGAUGACAUUUCUGAGGAAAAGUGGAUGGCUAUUCUUCAAAAUCUUCAAGAGGAAGAUGUUGAGUGGAGAGCUCCUUGGUUACUACCAGAUGAGAUCCUAUAUAGGUGUGGAGAUUUCAAUUGGGUACCUUUAUUGGGCAUUUGGGGUGCUGUCGGAUAUGCCCCAUUAUUGGUGCUAAGGCAAUAUAGGUUGAGACAGUUUAUACUUGCGACUCAAGGGAUAGCUGAUUGUGAAUUUUCAUAUAAAGAGGAUGGUUAUAGAAAGAAGAUUCAAGAAAUGUCUAAGGCGUGGAAAUAGACUCGCUAAAUGAAGAGGUUAGCUGUAGGGCAAAUGACGACUCCUGAGUAUUAUGGAUGGUGGGCUAGGAGGAUUAAUGAUAACACACCUAAGUUAAAUCAUGAGGAUGGCCAGUCAAUAGAAGAGCAUUUGCGAGUCAUCCCUUCGGAAUUGGAAAUUGUAAGAUAAGAUUUUGAGAGGAAGAAUGCGGAUUUGGAGAAAAGAAUAGAGCAAAUGGAGGUGGAAAAGACGAACUUGAGAUUGGACAUAGACGUUCAGAAGCUUGAGAAUGAGAGGUUGAAGAAAGAGAAAAACAAGGCUGAUGAGGAACUGGGCAGUCUAAAGACGGAUUAUAAAAAGUUGUGUUUGUCAAUAAGAACUGCUGGGCUGGGAAAGACAUCAGAACAGUGGUGAGCAGAAAUCCAAGAAGAAAAGGACAAGGCAGAUAGAUGGGAACAGAGAUUUCAAGAGAUGCAAAGGCGAAAUGAGGCCUUAGAAAAGAGUUUGUCAGAAAACCAGAAGGAAAAGGGCGAGUUAAAAGAAAAGGUGAUUGUGUUGGAAAGGUCUCUUCGUCAGUUUCGAAAUCGAAAUUCUACGAUAGAGUUGAAAGCAAGCUUGAGCAAGAUUGACGAAAUGAAGGGAAGAAUCGAAGAGCUAGAAACGGUGCUGCAAAAUUGUGAGAUUCAGAUCAAUCACUUGAAGGCAAAUGAAAGUCGAAAUAAUGAACAGCUUCACCACUUUCAGAGUCAAGUUAGAAGCAGAGAUCAUCUUAUCGAGGAAGCUGUGGUCCAGAUUCGAGAAGUAGCUGAUCAUAUGCAGACUUUAGCAGUACAGGCUGACAUGCUGAGUGUGAAGUAUGAAUUAGAAUCGGAUCGGGGGCAAGAAUUAGCUUUGUUACUUAGGAAGAUUAGAGUUCUGGGUACUAAGGCAAAGUCUUACUUGUAAUUCGCUUUAUGUAAAGAAAUUUGCUUUCUAGUAAGGUUUUCUUAUAUUGAAUUGAAUCAAAAUUGACGUCUUUUUGCAUUAAUGCAUUGCAUUACUUCAUAUGCAUUUAAAAAACAUUAAAAGAUUCUAAUUAAUUUAAGUCAUUCCUCAGUUAAUCUGGAAACCAAUCAACCUACCAAACAUCGCUACGGUACUCGAUCCAAAACUAGAGACAUGGACCAAAGGCUAGAACAGUUCCAGAAGGAAAUGCAAGAGCAAAUGAGUGAGUAACUAGAGAAAAUUCAACAAAAUAUGAUGGAAAAAAUAAUGGAAUCUCAGGGGAGUAUGAUGGCUAAGUUGACUUAGUUAUUGACUGGAGGAGUUGAUAAAGGGAAGGGCUUGGUGCUCAACAAUGAAGAAGGAGACAACGAGGAACCUGUUUAUUCCUCAGGACUUACUUCUCAACAAGCGGGGAUAUAUCCGCGCAAAUCCUCCGUUACUAUCAAGCCUCAUGACGGUUCUGAAACACCGAUAAACUUUCAAGUUAGAGACAAUCUGGCUAAUCCUGUUAUCCCUAACUUUGGCGAGACAAUCGAGAAAAUAAAUGGGGAAUUGCCGAAACAGCUCGAGGAAAAGUAUAAAUGGCUGGAGGAAAAACUUAGAGCAAUAGAAGGUACUGAGAGCUACCAUGGAAUUGAUGCUAGAGAAUUGAGCUUGGUUCCAGGAUUGAUACUUCAUCACAAAUUCAAAAUGUCAGAGUUCGAGAAGUACAACGGGACUAGUAGCCCCGAAGCCCAUAUUACUAUGUUCUGCAGAAGGAUGACUGGGCAUGUUAAUAAUGACCAGUUGCUGAUACAUUGCUUCCAGGACAGUCUCACAGGGGCUGCAUCCAAAUGAUACAAUCAACUGAGCCGUACUCAGAUUAAUUUAUGGAGAGAUCUAGCACAGGCAUUCUUAAAACAGUACAGCCAUGUGACUGACAUGGUACCUGAUAGAAUUACUCUGCAAAACAUGGAGAAGAAGCCUGGUGAAAGUUUCAGGCAGUACGCACAGAGAUGGAGGGAGGUUGCUGUCCAAGUUCAGCCAUCUCUUCUAGAAAGAGAGAUGACGAUGCUUUUCGUCAACACAUUGAAGGCACCAUUUAUUACACAUAUGUUAGGAAGCGCUACAAAAAGUUUUUCCGACAUAGUCAUGAAUGGAGAGAUGAUAGAAAACGCUAUCAGAAGUGGGAAAAUAGAUGCUGGAGAAAGUAGCAGAAGGGCAGCCUCAAGGAAGAAAGAGAACGAGGUUAAUAACACAAGUUCAUAUUUGAAGACAGUUACCGUGAAUCAGCUAGAAAAAGUGGCUGUUAAUCAGUAAGGAUCAUCAAAGCAGAGAUCUGACACAAGACAAAACACAAAGAAGCUUCAAUUUACGCCAAUCCCAAUGUCGUAUAGGGAGUUAUAUCAGAAUAUAUUCAAUGCACACGUGGUUGACCCUCAUCACUUAAAACCCCUGCAACCUCCAUAUCCCAAGUGGUACGAUGCGAAUGCACAGUGCGAUUAUCACGCAGGAAUUGUGGGGCAUUCUAUAGAACAUUGUACGACAUUCAAGAAGCUGGUAGAAAGGCUUAUAAGUAUGGGCGUAGUUAAAUUGGAUGAUUCGCCUAGUACAGAGAAUCCGUUACCUAAUCAUAAUGAUAAUGGAGUGAACAUGAUAGGUAGGAGCGUGGGUAGAAAGAUCAAGGAAGACAUAUUGGAGGUGAAUAUUCCUUUAAGGUGGGUCUAGAAAAAAAUGGUAGGAAGGGGAUUGAUCGUCUCAAGUUCAGAGAGAAGCUUUAAAAGGGUGGAAAAUUACUGUGAGUUCCAUCACGAGGAAGGACAUGAAAUCUAAGAAUGCGUAGAAUUCAGAGCUUUGGUUCAAGACCUGAUGGAUAACAAGGAGAUGGAAUUUUAUGAAGAAGUUAGGGAAGAGGGGAGCAUUUGCACAUCAGAGUCUUCGAAGGUUCCAAGAGUAGCGCAACCGGUUGUCAUCAUCUCGCGGCCCAAGAAGGAGAAGGUGAAAACACCAGUAAUACCAAGGAUUGUAAUAAAGAAGCCUGCAACCUUUCCUUACCAAGAUAGUAAGAAAGUUUCAUGGAGCUACGAGUGUAAUACAACUGUCCCAGGAAAAGAGACUACAAAGAGCCAGUAUGUGAGUACCAAUCCCGAACCUAUGAAAAGGGCCCUAAUAGGAGAGGAGAGAAGGAAGAUAGUUGAGCCAGUGAAGGAGGAAAAAGCUGUGGAAUUCCUCAAGCUCUUGAAGCACAGCGAGUAUAAUGUUGUUGAGCAGUUGCAUAAACAACCGACUCGCAUAUCUGCAUUGACCAUGCUCUUGAACUCUGAAGUACAUCGAAAUGUGUUGAUGAAGAUGCUAAAUGAGACCUAUGUGUCCAAGGAUAUUUCUGUCAGUAAGCUAGAUCGGCUGGUCAAUAAUAUUAGUGCUGAUAAUUUCAUAUUUUUCAAUGAUGAUGAGAUACCUCCUGGGGGCAUGGGAUCUACCAAAGCUUUGCAUAUUACUGUACGAUGCAAUGGGCAUAUUUUUCCAGGAGUAUUGAUUGACAAUUGAUCAGUUUUGAACGUACUGCCAUUAGUCACACUUAACAGGUUGCCCAUAGAUAGUUCACAUAUGAAAACGUGUCAAAAUAUAGUGAGGGCGUUUGACGGUAUAGAAAGGAAGGUUAUGGGAAGAAUUGAGAUACCCCUACUAAUUGGCCAAACCGUCUAUGAGGUAGAUUUUAUUGUGAUGGACAUCAAACCUUCCUAUAAUUGUUUAUUAGGAAGGCCAUGGAUCUAUUCGAUAGGGGCAGUACCGUCAUCAUUACAUCAGAUGUUGAAGAUAGUGUCAGAUGGUCGGCUAGUGACAAUAAAAGCUGAAGAGAAUAUAAUAUCGGCUGUAUCCAAUGAGACGCCAUACGUAGAAACCAAUGACGAGUCAGUAGAAUGCUCAUUUCGAUCCUUGGAGUUUGUAAAUGUGACAUUUAUUCCUGAAGGGAGUAAAAUUUUGGUGCCAAAAUUAUCCAAAACUACUGAGAUGGGUUUACAGUUGUUGGUGGGAAAAGGAGCUUUACCCGGAAGAGAGCUAGGGAGAUAUCUUCAAGGGAGGAUUGAGGUUCCAGUACUGAAAGAAAAGCAGGAUCACUUUGGCUUAGGAUACAAGCCAGAUAAGGGACAGAGAAAGAAAGAAAUAGAAAAAAGGCAGGAAAAGAGAAGAGCACGCUUAAAUGGGGAUGAAGCUAGGUGGGAGCCGAUGAUAAUUCCCCACAUAUCCAAAACUUUCAUAUCUGGAGGAGUUAUUCAUCAGGAGAGUAGGAAAUCAGUUGAGGAAAACAUUGAGGAGACGUUGGGAAAUAUGCACAUUAAUGCCAUCUAUGAGCAUGAGAAUGAAGAGAGAAGUUGGUUAGACAUUCGUCCUUAUGAGCCUGGGAGUGUUCUAGACAAUUGGACUGCGGAAGAAAUACCUAAAGUCUUUAGAACUGUCUCAGAGUAAUAUUCAGAACAAACUUGUUAUUUUAGCCUAGAAAUAACAAGAAUUCUUUUGUGAAAUAGGCUUAUGUUUAAAAAUCAUUAUUUUAAUAAAAUACAGCUUUGCAAUUGUUUCAAGUAAAUAUUCGUUAUUGUUUCGAGUAACUAUUCUUUCCUUCUUUCCAUACGCCUAAGUAUAUUCUUUCAUUACAUAAAUAAUUGUACAUAAAUUCAUAUAUUCUUUUGUAACCAUAAUAGGUCUCUGUGUAUCAAUGACGUGAAUGACGCUGCUACGAGCUCAGAGUGCCCUUUUGAACGAAAUGUGUGUUUAGAGGGAUCGCAGGAAUUUGAAGGUGAAGAAGAUAGUAGUUUAUCUUUGGACUUAUUAAGGAUGGUAGAACAAGAGGAAAAGCAAAUCCUACCUCACAAAGAAUCAGUAGAAAUUGUGAGCUUAGAGGAAGGAAAAGAGGUGAAAAUUGGAACUGAGAUUUCUGCAAAGACAAGACGAGACCUCAUUGAGCUACUCCAAAAAUUUAAAGAUGUCUUCGCAUGGUCCUAUCAAGAUAUGCCCGGAUUGAGUGCUAACAUUGUAGUGCAUCGCCUACCUAUAAAAGAGGGUUGCAAACCCGUUCAACAGAAGCUCAGAAGGAUGAGGCCUGAUAUUGUGCUCAAAAUAAAAGAGGAGGUUAAGAAACAGUUUGAUGCUGGUUUUUUACAGGAGGUCAAAUAUUCUGAGUGGUUAGCCAAUAUUGUCCCAGUCCCUAAAAAAGAUGGAAAAGUACGAAUGUGCGUCGAUUACAGGGAUUUAAACAAAGCUAGUCCAAAAGAUAAUUUUCCCUUGCCACAUAUUGAUACUUUGGUGGAUAAUACGGCAUGAUUUUCGCUAUUUUCUUUUAUGGAUGGGUUCUCAGGGUACAAUCAGAUAAAGAUGCAUCCGGAAGAUAUGGGAAAGACUACGUUCAUUACUUUAUGGGGAACGUUUUGCUAUAAGGUGAUGUCAUUCGGAUUGAAGAAUGCGGGAGCAACAUAUUAGAAAGCCAUGGUAGCCUUGUUCCAUGACAUGAUACACAAAGAAAUUGAGGUGUAUGUUGAUGAUAUGAUUGCCAAAUCCAGAACAGAGGAGGAACAUGUGCAGGUCCUGAAAAGAUUAUUAUUAAGAUUAAGGAAAUUUCAGCUCAAGCUUAAUCCGACAAAAUGCACUUUCGGAGCCAGGUCAGGGAAAUUGUUGGGCUUCAUAGUUAGUGAAAAAGGAAUUGAGAUUGAUCCGGAUAAAGUCAAGGCAAUACGAGAUUUAUUACCACCACGUACCCAGAAAGAAGUCUGGGGUUUCUUGGGAAGACUGAAUUACAUUGCUCGGUUCAUUUCACAAUUGACUGAGAAAUGUGAUCCCAUAUUUCGCCUUUUGAAGAAACAUAAUCCUGAUGUCUGGAAUGAAGAAUGUCAGAAGGCAUUCGAAAGGAUAAAGCAAUAUUUAUCCAAUACCCCAAUUCUAUCACCACCUAGCCCAAAUAGACCUUUGAUUUUGUAUUUGACGGUGUUCAACAACUCCAUGGGAUGUGUAAUGGGUCAACAUGAUGCUACAGGAAAGAAGGAAAAGGUGAUUUAUUAUCUCAGCAAGAAGUUCACUGAUUGUGAGAUGAGAUAUUCACCUAUCGAAAAAUCAUGUUGCGCCCUGAUUUGGACAACCAAGAGGUUGAGGCAAUACUAACUCUAUCAUACGACUUGGCUAAUCUCAAAAUUAGACCCUUUGAAGUAUAUGAUGGAAUCAACAGCAUUAAUGGAAGAAUGGCUAGAUGGCAAAUCCUGCUCUCUGAAUUUGAUAUCGUAUAUGUAAGUCAGAAGGCCGUCAAGGGGAAUGCGAUAGCAGAUUUCUUGGCUAGCAGAGCUCUGGAAGAUUAUGAGCCUCUGGAUUUUGAUUUCCCGAAUGAAGAUUUGAUGUAUGUGGCAAACGUUGAAAAGGAUCCCCAAGAAAAUCAUUCUUGGAAACUAAACUUUGACGGAGCGUCGAAUGCACUAGGCAAUGGGAUUGGGGCAGUCCUGGUGUCUCCGAAUGGAGAUUUUUAUCCUUUCACCAGUAAAUUAAACUUUGAUUGCACUAAUAACAUGGCUGAGUAUGAAGCUUGCAUCAUGGGUAUACGGGAAACAAUAGAACGGAAAAUCAAGACAUUAGAGGUGUACGGAGACUCAGCAUUGGUGAUAUACCAGCUAAGAGGGGAAUGGGAGACAAGAGAUCCUAAAUUGAUCCGUUACUGAAGUCUGGUUUUGGGAUUGAUUGAAGAGUUUGACAACAUUACCUUCUGUUAUUUCCCACGAGAAGAAAAUCAGAUGGCUGAUGCUCUUGCUACUUUAGUUUCCAUGAUUAAAGUGAAUUAGUUGGAGGACAUGAAGCCUAUUCAAAUUAGUAUUUAUGAGAUCCUAGCCCAUUGUUACAAUAUUGAGGAGGCAGAGAAUGAUAAUCAUCCCUGGUACCAAGAUAUAUUGCAAUAUGUGAAGAAUCGCGAAUAUCCUGAUCAGGCAACGGAGAAUGAUAAGAGGACAUUAAGGAGGCUAGCUAUUGACUAUGUCUUAGAUGGGGAGAUCCUAUACAAAAGGGGAAAGGAUCGAGUACUGUUGAGAUGCGUGGACGCUGUAGAGGCUAGGGAAAUUUUACAAGAAGUCCAUGAGGGUGUUUGUGGAACACACGCUAAUGGAUUCACCAUGGCUAGACAGGUUAUGAGAUUCGGAUAUUACUGGUCCACCAUGGAGAGAGAUUGCAUUAACCAUGCUAAGAAAUGCCAUAAAUGCCAAAUUUAUGGGGAUAAAAUGCACGCGCCUCCUUCUCCUCUUCAUGUUAUGACUUCUCCAUGGCCUUUCUCCAUGUGGGGUAUGGACGUCAUUGGACCGAUAUCACCAAAGGCUUCUAAUGGACAUCGUUUCGUUUUUGUGGUUAUUGACUACUUCACUAAGUGGGUAGAGACAGCCUCAUAUGCUAAUGUUAUGAAGUCAGCAGUCAGUAAGUUUUUGAAGAAGGAGAUCAUAUGUCGAUAUGGAAUGCCUGAAAGGAUAAUAUCUGACAAUGUGUUGAAUCUGAAUAAUAACACAAUAGCGGAAGUCUGCGAUCAGUUCAACAUUAGACACCAUAAUUCAUCACCAUAUCGCCCAAAAAUGAAUGGUGCAGUGGAAGCGGUAAAUAAAAAUAUUAAGAAAAUCAUGGCGAAAAUGGCUGAAACUUACAAGGAUUGGCAUGAGAAGUUACCUUUCGCUCUUCUUGCUUAUCAAACAUCUAUCAGGACUUCUACUGGGGCAACACCUUUUUCAUUGGUUUAUGGAAUGGAGGCAGUGUUACCCAUUGAGGUUGAAAUUCCUUCUCUUCGAGUUUUGGCCGAGUUAAAAUUGGAUGAGGCUGAAUGGAUCCAAUCUCGGUAUGAUCAACUGAACUUGAUUGAAGAGAAAAGAUUAAAAGCCAUUCGUCAUGGCCAAAUGUAUUAGAAGCGAAUGAUGUGGGCUUAUAAUAAGAAGGUUCGUCCCAGAAAAUUUCAUGAAGGGGAUUUAGUUCUGAAAAAGAUCAUCCCUUUACAAAAGGAUUUCAGAGGGAAAUGGAUGCCAAACUGGGAAGGACCUUAUGUUGUGAAAAAGGCUUUUUCUGGAGGUGCUUUGAUUUUGAGUGAAAUGGAUGGCAAGAAUUUUCCGAAUCCUGUAAAUUCAGAUUCAGUCAAGAAAUAUUUCACUUGAAAGGAGAGAGGAAUCAAAGUGAAAACCUGCAAAGGGCACUCUGAUUUCGCAAAAAAAAUAAAAAAAGAGGAGAGGCCAAGGUGAAAACCCGAAAAGGGCACCUUGAGACCAAAAGGGGUUUGAGUUGAAAACCUGAAAAGGGCGGCUCAAACAUUGUCAGAUUGGGACAUAUGGUGAUCUUACUUCACUUAAGACAACAAGAAUAUAGAUAUCUUGAGGCAUUGACAGAGUACUGUGGAUCCCCUAAACACAUGUAAAAUUCAGAAUGGUUCUUGGCUUGUACGGAAAAGUUCAAGCGGCGAUAUCCAGAGCACCUAGUCUUCAUAUUAUUUGUGCCAAGUUUGUUGGUUCUUGUAAAUACUUUAUUCUUUGCUGUUCUUGAAUAUUUUUUUCUUUUCAAGACAUUUACUAUCAAUAAAUUCCUGAAUUAAUUCAUCUCUUACUCAGUAUUUUUGAUCUUUGCGCAAGCAUGUCACAUUAAAAUAAUGAUUGAUGGACUAAUUAACUUUUACAAAAGAAGUUUGGUAUUACUCUGGGAAUUUCUAAAUAAUUUAGUAACCUAAAACAUGACUAUUUUGGAACAGUCCGAGGACAAAAGAUAAAGAGUAUAAGGAGGAAAAAGUUUAAUUAAGAAUGCUUUGGUGGUCUAAAAUAGCGAAUGAGACAGCAGGAGGUUUUGAUGGGGUAGGAAGAAGUUUCCUAUGGAUAGAAAGCUCCUCAUUUGGGCAUAAACAUUUGAUAGGACACCCUGAGAGUUGUGUAAACGAAUUUCGUAAUCUGUAUCCUUAAAAUAGGAGAAGAUUGAAGAAAAGCCAUAUACUCUUGGGUUACAGUGGGAGAACGAUGGUAUGAAUUUUUGCACCCUAAGGGAUUAAACUUUAAGGUUUAUAGUGGGGGCAACCUGGCUAAAUGUUUCUUCAGAAAGCCAGUCAAGUAAGAAGGCAUUGUAGCACAUCAGUCGCAAAGCUUUAAUAAACUUCGAGUAAUGACAACCUAAGCGGGAUCAUUCUCGGAAAAACAAAAUUUUGCAUUCAUGAAAACAUCAUUCAUACGUACCUAGUUAGGAGCAUUGGACUCAUUCUGAUCACGACAUCCUAAUCACUAGGCAUAUUUAGAUUCAUAAAAUGAAUUAUACAGGUCAUGUUCCCUAGAGAACAAACCGGUGAAACACCAAGCCUUGUCUCCCUGAGCAGCAGUGGAGAAGGUUGAAAGUUGUAGAUCUUAUCUCCCUAAACAGUAGUGGAGCAGAUCGAAGACGACGAAUCUUAUCUUUCCAAGAUAGUGGGAAGCAGAUUUAAGCUACCAAGCCUUGUCUCCCUGAGCAGCAGCGGAGAAGGUUGAAGAUUGUAGAUCUUAUCUCCCUAAGCAGUAGUGGAGCAGAUCAAAGAUGGCGAAUCUUAUCUUUCCAAGAUAGUGGGCAGCAGAUUUAAGCCACCAAGCCUUGUCUCCCUGAGCAGCAGCGGAGAAGGUUGAAGAUUGUAGAUCUUAUCUCCCUGAGCAAUAGUGGAGCAGAUCGAAGAUGGCGAAUCUUAUCUUUCCAAGAUAGUGGGAAGUAGAUUUAAGCCACCAUGCCUUGUCUCCCUGAGCAGCAGCGAAGAAGGUUGAAGAUUGUAGAUCUUAUCUCCCUAAGCAAUAGUGGAGCAGAUUAAAGAUGACGAAUCUUAUCUUUCCAAGAUAGUGGGAAGCAGAUUUAAGCCACCAAGCCUUGUCUCCCCCAGUAGCAGCGGAGAAGUUUGAAGAUUGUUGAUCUUAUCUCCCUAAGCAGUAGUGGAGCAGAUCGAAGAUAGCGAAUCUUAUCUUUCCAAGAUAGUGGGAAGUAGAUUUAAGCCACCAAGCCUUGUCUCCCUCAGUAGCAGCAGAGAAGUUCGAAGAUUGUUAAUCUUAUUUCCCUAAGCAGUAGUGGAGCAGAUCGAAGACGGUGUAUCUUAUCUUUCCAAGAUAGUGGGAAGCAGAUUUAAGCCACCAAGCCUUGUCUCCCUGAGCAGCAGCGGAGAAGGUUGAAGAUUGUAGAUCUUAUCUCCCUAAGCAGUAGUGGAGCAGAUCGAAGAUGGCGAAUCUUAUCUUUCCAAGAUAGUAGGAAGCAGAUUUAAGCCACCAAGCCUUGUCUCCCUCAGUAGCAGCGGAGAAGUUUGAAGAUUAUUGAUCUUAUAUCCCUGAGCAGUAGUGGAGCAGAUCGAAGACGGUGUAUCUUAUCUUUCCAAGAUAGUGGGAAGCAGAUUAAAGCCGAUAAGCCUAUCUCCCUAAAGUUGUAGUGGAGCGGAUUAAAACCUCAGAUUUUAUCUCUCUGAAGUUGCAGAGAGCAGAUCGCAUCUAGUCUUAUCUCCCUGAAGUUGCAGUGAGGUAGACUGAAGAGGGCACUAAUUCCUAUACUUUUGAAGAGUACCAAGUCUAGCACGACCGGGCAAAAUUUGGCACUUUUAGAGUCUUUGCUCCAUUCCCGUUACACGACUAUGAGCAAAGAGGGGCAGCUGUAAUACUUAAAUUUUACCCGGCCCCAAAUAAAUAAAAUAAAUACAAAGCUUGAUUUGCAAACAGGCCAUAAGGGCCCAAAACCCAAAAUACAACAGGGGCCCAAAGCUUAAUGGCCCAAAUCAUAUGCAGAAACCCUAGGGUUUCUGAAGAAGACCUGUGCGCCGCAGCCGCAGCCAUCACCAAGCCGAAUCUUCACGAUCUUCACCUACAAACACAAGAAAGGAAAGAAAAUCAAAUCAAAUCAAAUCGAAUCAAAUCAAGCAAAUUUCUUGCUUCUAUUUGUUGUAUUUUCAUUCGGCUAUAUAAAGCCAUAGACAAUAUUGUAAAGGGGCCGGAUUUUUAAAAAUCAAAAAUACAAAUUACAACUUUCGCAAUAUCAAGGGCAAAAAAAUCGAAACAAAGGUUGAUACUUGCAAUUUUUAAUCAUUUUCUAUUGUUACAUAUAUAUUUUUUUUAUUUACAUACGAAUAAAAUAGAGAAGAGAAGGAAAGAAACAACCUGCGUUUGGAGCCUAAACCGUCGUGUGCCUCCGAGGUAGCCGUCUCCGAGGAAAGACGGUCGGAAACCGAAAGGUUUCUCGGGUUUUUGAGGCAUCUCCGCUUUUAUUUUGAGGGUUUUGAGCCCGGAUCUAAGCUCAGGGGGUUAAGAAGGUUGAAAAGGAAAUUUUUUUUACUUUUUCCGGCCACCGCGGACGGUGGUGCCGGCGCUGGAGAUCGGCGGCCGACGUGGUGGCCGGUGACCGGCCGAUGACUGUCCGAUGAUCGGCCCAUGGCCGGAGGACAGAAAGGUGGAGAGAGUUUUUUUAAAAAGUAUUUUUGUUUUUUUUAAAAAAUGUUUUGAAAUGAAAUUUUUGUUUUAUUUUUGGCUUAAAUAGCCAAUUGAAAACGGCGCCGUUUUGAAGGGAGGAUCCGCGCGUCGACCCGACCCGGAUCCAGGAUCCGUGCGUUUUUAUGCGGAGGGGCAAAUUGCAUUUUUAGCCCCUCCGCCUUUUUAAUGUUUUACAAUUAGGUUUAUUUAAUUUUUUAAAUUAGCCCUUUAAUUCGUUUCCGAUUUCAAUCUAACCCUGCUUGAACGACGCCGUUCUGAGGAGAAGGGUAAAUUGCCUUUCCAGCCCCUCUGAGUUAUCAGCGUGUUCAAUAGGAUCUUUCAAUUUCUAUUUAUUUACAGAUUUGUUUCAGAAUUUUUAUUUACAGUUCAAAUUAGCCCUUUUUUUUCUUUCAUUUUCCUUUUUUUUUAUAUUCUUUUUUCAUAUUAAUUUGUUUUAAUAUAUAUAUAAUAUAUUUUUACAUACGCACAUUUAUUUUUGUAGAAUUGUAUAAUUAUUUGUUUAUUUAUUUAUUUAUAUGUAAUUAUUCUUUAUAACCUAUAUGUAUAUAUUUAUUUUAGUACAUAUAAAUAUGCAUAUAUAUUAAUAUUUUUAAUCAAUAUAUAUAUGAAUAUAUAUAUUUAUUUUUUUUAAAAAUGCAAAUAUAUAUUUUUUAUACACUUUAUAAUUUAUAUUUUUCCUUUUAUUUUCACAAAUGCAUCAUAAAUGUAUAAGUUUCGUAGCCCAAAAUUUAAGUUGUAUGUAUAUUUUUAAUCUUCAUAAUUUCUAUGUGUAUAUUAUAUGUUUUCUGAUUUUUAUUUAUUUUGAUUUCCUUUUUUGUGAUUUAAUUGUGUUUGUAUUUAAUAUUUUGCAUGACAUGGAUUAUUGCUUUAUAUUUAGUUUAUUAUUUGUUUAUAUUAUUUUUAUGCUAUUAAUGUAUUUAUUAUUGUUGAAUUUAUUAUUAUAGCAUUUGUAUGUAAUAGAACAUGACAUCAUCUUUUACUCGAUUUUAAAGUUACAAAAUUGAGAUAGUGCUUGAAUUGAGGAUUUUCAAGGAAAUUGAGCCCUAACGUAUUGGGUUCCGAUUUUCUUUGUUAAGUCUAAGAAUCGAGCAUUUCUCUUUAAUAAAAAUAAGAAUUCAUUAUUGGGAAUUCAACACGUUGUGUCCUAACGUAUUGGAUGUGAUGCAUUGAUUUCUCGAAAUGAAGUUUUUUCUAAAAAAUAAUAAAGGAAAUAUUUCGAGUUUGGGAUUUUAAAGAAAUCGUGCCCUAACGUAUUGGGUGUGAUUUCUUGAAUCUUGGAUAAGUGGAUGUUCUUUUGGAGUUUUAUCGCACUUGUAUUUUGGCCCAAUUCAUUUUGGAGGAAAUUAGAAUGUUGUGCCCUAACGCAUUGGGUGUGGCAUUUUUGCUUCUCUAAAUGGAGAAAGGUCUUAAUACGCAACAUUUUAAGUUUUUUUAAAGAUUAUAUUUUUUUAAAUUUUCGACCUUAAGACAUUAAUUGGUUAAUUAGGUACCAAUUUUGGGCGUUAUGAGGGUGCUAAUCCUUCCUCAUACGUAACUGACUCCCGGACCUGUUUUUCUAAAAUUCGCAGACCAAAAUCAUUUUAGGUGACCCAAUCACACCUUAAUAAAAGAUUGGUGGCGACUCCCAAUUUUCAUUUUUUUAAAGUCGACAACCUGAAAUAAAAAUUUUUAUUUUUCAAAAAAAUGGUUUCGACAACAACAACAACAACAACAACAACAAUAAUAAUAAUAAUAAUAAUAGGUUGAGCUCCUAAGCCUAAAAUGGGUCCAAACUCAAGUAACAUCAUAUUAUUCAAUAAAAAAAUUCAAAAUUUGAAUUAAAUAGUUUGAGUAAUUUGAGUUAAUCAAGUUAUUCGAGUCAACCUGAAUAAAAAAUCGGUUUAACUCGAAUAUAAAUUAUACAAUUCGAGUUAUCUGAAAAUCCAAAUAAUAAAAGGCAAAACUACGUCAUUUUGAUAAAUGUUUACCUUUUCUAAAGUUAAAAGUCAAAACCAUUAAGUUAAAAGGAAAAAUUACGUCGUUUCGAUAAAUUUUCACUCAUUAAGUUAAAAGACAAAACCAUUAAAUUGUUUAUGUAGUUAAAUAAUCUUAUCCUUCGUCUACUAGUUAAAUAAUCGGUCCAAAUAAACACAACAUUUAGUAUAAAUAAUAGGAUUCGUUAACUCAACUCGACUUGAUUUGAAAGUUUUUUACUCGAUUUGAUUCAAUUCAAAAAAAAAAUCAAAUUGAGUUCAGUUGCUAAAAUAGGAUUCGUCAACUCGACUAACUCAAUUUUUAACUCGAUUCGACUCGAUUCGAUCGAAUAUUCACCCUUAAUCACCAAUAAUAUUAACCUCAUUUAGCCAAAAAAGGCAACAUUCAUCCUACUAACCUAUUUUCCAUUGUAAUGAGGAAUUGGUUGUCAAAUAAUCAAAGGGAUGUUGUUAGAGAAAAAAAGUUGUCAUCCUAGUUAGGACGAUUGUUGAGAUGGUAGAGUUUAAAUUUGCCCAAUUGAUAUAUGAAUAAGUGGUCAAACAUGGAGAGAAGGUUCAUGCUAGAUACCCUCCACCUUUCCUUUUAUCUUCGUCUUACUAAACUAUAAUUAUAGUUUUUAUUGUUGUUAAUGCAUAUUCUAGACAAAGCAUUGGUGGUUAAUCUACUUAACUAUGUUCUAAGUUAAAUUUGUUGGAUUAAGGAUUGUGCUGAGGGGGGAGCUAUAGGUGUUUUAUUUAUUAGCUUCCUGAUUUGAUUGGUUUUGUUCAAAAAAUUGACAAAGGAGAAUAUUGUUGAGGCGAGUUUGUGACAUGGUUGGUUAAGUGCCAAUGGAAGUGGUCACUUCCACCAUCAUUGUGAUAGUUUCUUAUUUUCCAUUUUUAUAGUUGGCGAUACAAAUUCUUUGGGCUAUGAUUUAUGUCAAUGUUGUGGAAGUUUUUAAGCCCAUCAAUAAAGAUCGAUCCAUUUAGGGAAACAAAUUUAAGGAUUGGAUUGAAUUGCAUCUUGCAAAUCUAAUCCAGUGGAUUAAAGAUGUUGGAUUAGGACAAACUUUGAAGACUUAUCUCCAAUAGUCCAAUUUACAUUGGCCUUUAUUAUUAUAUUGUAUUUAUGCUAUUUUAGCUGCUAGGAAUAAGGGAUUGGAUUAUAGUUGAUCUUUAGUAUGUUAGCAAGUCUUGAACUUCUAUAUAUUUGAUAGACUUGAAUAGGUUUUGUAAUCAAGUAUUUGAGACCACUUAUUAGUUCAUAAAGGAAUAUUUUCUACUCUUUCAUAUUUCUAUCCUCCUAAAUUUCUUUCACUUUACCAAAAAUAAGGCCUUGAAAAAGGCCACGUUCAUCUACUUUGUGGUCGUUACAGUGCUGACACGGUCAUUAACAACAUUAACGUGGCGCUCUAUGUCAGCGAUAGUCAGCUACCAUGUUAGUAAAAAAAAAUUUUUAAAAAUUUAAAAGGAAUAUUUAAAUUUUUUUUACUAGAAUGAACCUAAACAGAUGGUUGUCCAAGUUCAUUCAUUUCAAAGCUUAAUUUUUUUUUAAAUUUAACAAAAAUUAAAGUUUUUUUUAUAAAUAUGCAAAACAUUAUUAAAAUUUAAUAAAAACAUUUAAAAAUUAAGUCCUUAAUGAAUAUGUCCAAAUUCAUUCAAGAUUAGUUUAAAAUAUAUUAAAAUUAGUUUUCUUUAAAAAUUGAUAUGUGUAUCAAUAUUUUUCUAUUGCUACCUUUUAGGAUGAAUAAAAAAUAAAAAAAUAUUUUAGAAAAUAUAUCAAUUUAAAUAAUUUAAAUUUUAUUAAUCAUUCGUCUAAGGAUUUUUUAAAUGUAUCAAUAUAUACAAUUAAAAUAGUGUAUCUAUUAUUUCAUUACAUGUGUAGCUUAAAAGGUUUAAAAAUUUGGAUAUAUUUGAACAUCUGAAAAAACUUUACACAAAUGAUUAAUAAAAUUUAUUUUUAUUUAUUUUCUAAAAUAUUUUUUUAAAUUUUUAUACAUUCUAAAAUGUACCAAUAGAAUUAGAACAUUGAUACACAUAUCAAUUUUUUAAAGAAUAUUAAUUUUUAAUAUUUUUUAAACUUUUUAAAAUUUAGAAAAAUUGUCUUGAAUGAAUUUGGACAUAUACUUAACUUGUAAAUGGUUUUUAUUAAUUUUUAAUUUUUUAAAUUUAUUUAAUAUUUUAUAAAUUUUAAUAAUAUUUUAAAAUUUUAUAAAAUAUAUUAUUUUUUAAAAAUAUUUUUUUAAUUUAAAAAAUUUUUAAGCUUCGAAACGAAUGAACUUGGUACUGCGACAUCAACGACUAUUCCUUUUUAAAAAAAGUAAAUAUUCCUUUUUAUUUUUUAUUUUUGUUGACAUGGCAGUUGACAUGGUAUUGCCACAUAAGCAACUAUAGCUAACAUGAAGCACCACUUAGCGUCGUUAAUGGCUACGUAAACAUUGUAACAGUCAAUAUUAGUCAAAGGGCCUAUUUAGCAAAUUUUGUUAGUUUAGGGGCUCAAUUGGGUGCAAAAAGUUUGCAGGGUCUUAAUUGAUUUUUUGAUAAAGUUCGAGGACCAAAAAUACCAUUAAACCCUUCUUUAACUAUUGAUAUAUAUUUUCAAAGUAUCGAUCAACAUUAGCCAAAGGGCUUAUUUGGUCAAUUUUGUUAGUUUAAGGGCUUAGUUGGGUGCAAAAAGUUCGCAGGGGCUUAAUUGAUUUUUUCGAAACAGUUCAACGAUCAGAAAUACCACUAAGCCCUACUUUAACUAUUGAUAUGUCUUUUUUAAUUAAUUUUACAUUAGCGCAUGGUACAGGCACACAAUGUACGAGGUGUUUCCACGUAUACAUGUAGAGUGUAUUUGAUACCACAGAGGAGUUAGAUGAAAAUGUGAUUAUUAAGGUAGUAAUGUCACCUUCUAGUAAUUGCAAAGAAGUAUAAUUUUCUAGAUGCAUUUGGCUAGUAGAGUGUAAUUAUAUUGUAGUUCUUUGUGCCUUGUUUAGUAAUAUAAAUUGUAAUUACACAUUUACAAAAUUUAUCAAUAAUACUUGAGAAAAAAAUUAAAACAAGUAAAAUAAAUUAAAAUCAAAUCAUUAGUCCAAAAAAGUAAUUGACAACACGAUUACUAAUGAAAAAAGAACAAGAAAAAUAAACAUCAUAUGCAAAUUUAUUAUUGCUCUAGCAUUCCAUGUUUGUUGGGUUAUUCUUUUUCUAACAUUUAACAUAUACUUCUUAUCAUCAUCUAUUAGUCCUUGACCAAUUUCUUCAUUGUUGAUACAAAGGUACAAAAAUAGAGGUGAGUACGGAGGAGGUAAGGCGGAGUGAGUGGUGGUUUUGUGGAGACUGAUUCACUUAAAAAGGCAGAGAGUCUGAAAGGAACAAGAGCACAAGAUGAUUGUUGAAAGAGGAGAUGGUUGCUUAGAGUAACUUUAAGGGUUGGAAAAUCGAUCCCUUCUUCAUCGUUGGAAAGAUAUUUAUAAGAAAGGUCCUCUUGUCCAUUAACAUGGUGUGGUAGGAUAAAUGCUUAGUCCCACCAAAUGUGUAAAUGAUAUUCAUGAACAUUAAGGAUAUUUAUGAUGGGGCCUAUUCUGUUAUUCAUUCGAUGUAACACCCUUUAACCUGAAUCUGUCGUCGGAUUAUGGUUACGAGGCAUUACCGAUCAAAACAAGGUUCAGAACUGUAAUUCAUUUUCAUUUAAUUCAUUUUUUUACCAAUUAUAACCGUACCUAAAUAAUUGACCAAUCAUUCAUAAAACAUAUUCAUUCUUUUCCAUCAUUUAAUCAUCAAAACGUUCCAUAUCAUAAUAAGCAUGCUAAACACAGUUCUAUCAUAUACACCAUUUCCAAGCCAAAUCACAUGGCUAGAAUUACAUUUCAAAAAUAUACUAAUAGUUCACUAGCCUAUACAUGACAUACACCAUAUAUAUAAAGCUUCAAAGGUACCAACAAAAUGAUCGAUAGUGCGAUGACGUUUCCUGACGAUCUCCAAUUCUGAGCUAACUUUGAUAAUCUAAAAAAAAAAAGUGGAAGAAUGCACAAAGUAAGCUGUGGUAGCUUAGUAAGCCGUAAGCAAAUAAAUCAUUGCAAUGAAAAUUAUAAUUCAAUUCUACUAAGUUGAAUUCAAACAUAUCCCAAACACAUAUCCAUAUUAUUACAUUAAAUGCUAAACUUACCUUUAUAUUUCAUAAACAUAAAAUUUCACACCUACCUGAAUCAUUUAGUUUAAAUUCACAUUCGGAUUUGUUAAGAACAUACAGAAAUCUUAUAAAAUUUGUACAAUGCCAUAUCCCGGAUAUGGUCUUACAUGUUAACGCAUAUAGAUGCCACUGUCCUAGACAGGGUCUUAUACGAAUCAUAUACGAUGCCAAUGUCCUAGACAUGGUCUUACACAAAAUCACACCUUUGAAGUACUAAUAUCAUGUCAUCUAUAUCAAAUACAUUUUCUAAGGUUCAUUCUAAGCUAUCGACUUCAUAAUUAAAUCAUUUCAUACACGAAACAUGUCAUCAAAUGCUCAAAUCAAUUCAGCAAUAUAUAUAUUCAUAUACGAAUAUAAUUCGACAAUGAAUAUUGAUAUACCAAGAAAUUUGGCAAUAUAUAACCAUAAACUAAUCAAAUUUGGUAAUGCAUAAUCAUAUACAAAUCAAAUUCGGUAUCCUAUAUUCAUAAACAAUUUAAUUUCAACAAUGUAUAACCAUAUACACAUUAUUUUCAGCAAUGUUCAACCAUAUACGAAUCAAUUCGGAAACUUAUAUCCAUUUACAAUUUAAUUUCAACAAUUUAUAAUCAUAUAAAAAUUAUUUUCAGCAAUUUUCAACCAUAUACAAAUCAUUUCAGCAACUUCUGUAGAUAUACAAUUCAAUUUCAACAAUAUAUAACUAUAAACAAUUCGAAUUCGACAAAAUAAAACAUUCAAAUUCGGCAAUGUAUAUCUAUAAUUAAUCAAAUUUGGCAAUGUAUAAAACAUUUAUAUUUAAUUUCAAAACAUUUAUUUACUUACGAACUUACCUCGUAUUCGGAAUUGACAAAUCCGAUCGAUUACUCGAUAACUUUUGACUUUCCUCGAUCUAACUCCGAUUUCUUUCUUUCUUGAUCUAAAUCAAUUCAAAUUUAACUUAUUUAAAAUACACAUUCAUUCAAUUUCAUCCAAAAACACAUAAAUGGGCAUUUUACACAUUAGCCCUUUAAGUUUCACAUUUAUUCAAUUUAGUCCCUUUUUCACAAAAUCACAAAUUACACAAAAUUUCAAUACACCUAUGCUUAGCCAAAUUCAUUAGCGGUCCCUAUAAGCCCACAACUUGCAUUUAUUUCACAUUUCAACCACUCUAUUUACACAUUUCACAAUUUAAUCCCUAAUUUACAUUUUCAUCAAAAAUCACUUUAUAAAACAUGAUAAUCUAACAUCAAAUAUUUAUUUUUCAUCAUCGAACAACAAAAAAAAUCAAGCUAUGAUCAAUGGCAACUCACAAAUUCAUCAACCAAUCCAAAAAUUAAAGCAUGGAGUAGCUAAAAUACAAAACAACGAUCUCAAAAACGUAAAAAUAAUCAAAAACCGAGUUCAAAACAUACCUAAAUCAAGAAUGCAAAGGGCCAAACCCUAAAAUGCUUCAAAUGGUCUUUCUUCUUUUGAUUUUCAGUGAGAAAAAUGAUAAAAUAAGCUUAAAUUUUGUUUUUUUUUAUUUAUUAUACAUUAAUAUAUAGUUUACCAUUUUACCCUUGGUUAUUAAACCAUUUUAAUCAUCAAGUAUAAGGCCAUUAAUGUCCAUUAACACUACCAAUGGUCUAAUAUCAUCAUAAGGACUUUUAAUUUAAUUAAUCAUAGCAAUUAAGCACUUUAAACAAAUAGAAUGCAACUUUUUGUAUUUUAUGCGAUUAAGUCCUUUCAUCAAAUUAACUAACCAAUCGGUAAAAUUAAAUCAUGAAAAUUUCACACAUACAUGCUAUCAUGCUAUAAACACAUAAAAUAAUAUUAAAAUAAUUUUACAACUUCAAAUUUAUGGUUCCAAAACUACUGUUCUGAUUUAGCUAAAAUCGGGCUGUUACAUUCGAUCAGUACAAGGUUGUUAUGCCCACGCAGAUCCUAAUGGCCUCAAGUAUGUGUUCACACCAAAAAAGUAGGUGCCUAACCUUUCUAAAGGGUUGGUGCUCCUUUGAUCUUGGUGGAUGGUCCAAUGAUAAUACUCUAAAAUGACAUACUUUUUAUGUGUUAAUUGCAUAUAUAUUUUGAGUAUGAUUAUACUAAAUUGUGGUUUUUAUGGUUUUUUAUCUUGUAGGGACCAAAUUGAAGGCAAAAGAAAAUUUGGGGGCAAAAGCAUGAAUUUAAAGAUAAAAUGGGCCAGCUUGCGAAAUAGGAACGAAGUGGUGCCAAAAAUACGAAAUGUGAAAUACUUGGGGGCAAAAAUUCAAAGAAGAGAUUUAUAAACAUAAGAGUCUAUUUAAAUAUGAAUUUUAUUAGGAUUAUUGUUAGAAUUAUCAUUUAGAUUUAAUUUCAGUUUUUUCUUUAUUUAUCUUUUAGAGUUUAAAUAGGAACAAACUAUGUUUUCUAUGUACUAUAAAUAGGGGAUGGAGUGACAUAACCGUCUCUCUAAAGCUCUUAGCUUUUGUUCCUUUUAUUAUUCAAUAAAAUUCCAUUUUAUUAAGCUUAUUUCUUUUUUCUCGAAAAGCAUGAGCCACUAAACUCAUCUAGUCAAAGCUUGUCGAGAUUCCCCAAAAAGGUUCAUGAGGCUUAUAACCCGCACUUAGCCUUCUCAACGAGUAUUCAUCGUUUCUCCGUAUUAUAAGACUGAUGCUUCCAUCCAUGUCCUUCCAAAAGUGAUCUUUCCAUCUUGUGUAAAGGCGACCACUUUGUAUGUUUUGGGAAGGUUGCACAGUCAGUUCGUUAGCUUACUGCGUCAGUGGUUUUCAAGCCCAAGAGACAAAAUGGCAUGGCAUUCACCAUUGAGAAAUGAUGAUCUAGUGUAAGACAGGCUCACAAAAGUGACGGUUUGCUAGAGUCAGGUUCCUCGAAAUCAGAAGUCUAAAAUGUAAAUGGAGCUGGUGGUCGUAGGCAUCCUCUUCCACUAUAACUGGCUUAUUCUGUCAUGAGAAGGAACACCUAAAAGCCUAGGAUUGAACCCAAGGAGGAUCGAGAUAACUGGAGGCUGGAGCUCCUCAAAUUGAAAAAUUCUUUCUCUCAAUUAUGUUUAUUUUUACAAUUUUAAUUUCAAUUUAUACAAUAUCAAUUCGUCCAUAAUUUUAAUUCUGUCUUAUUUUUUUUCAGGUACACCAUUUUUCUUGGGAACCAACUGUGCACGAGAUCUUAAGGAACAAGAAGUUGUACAAAUCUAGCCCCUGAGUAUUUGACCCUACUUCUUUUAUACUAUUCUUUUUGUUAUUUUAUAGGGAUAGGUUAUUUUUGGUGCUUCUAACGACACACAAAAUUUUGGCGCUGUUGCUGGGGACUGGUAAUGUACUAAUCUUGUUUCUUUUUCUUAUGACCAUAUUUGCUCCAAGAAUUCUUGUGUUUGAUUCAAAAAUAGAAAAGACUGGGAAAGCUAAUUGUAAGGAAAUAAAGCUACGUAAAAAGCAGUCAGAAGUGGUAGGGACUCAAAGUAACCCAUCGUCGGAAAUAGAAGUAGGCGCAUAUCAACCUAUGGCUCAAACGAUUCGACAAUUGGCCAAAGCUCUUGCAGGACAACCACCGUUACGCAUUGUGUAUCCUACUAUGAAUACUAAUUUUAAACUGAAGUCAAGAUUAAUCUAGUUACUGUUGACUUUUCACGGAUUACAAAAUGAAAAUCCACACAAACAUCUAAAAGAGUUUCAUAUGGUUUGUCUUAGUAUGAAACCUCAGGACGUAACUAAGGAUCAAAUAAAAUUGCGUGCUUUCCCUUUCUCCCUAGCAGAUUCUACUAGGGAAUGGUUGUUUUAUCUACCUCCUGGAUCUAUUACAACUUGGACUGAUCUUUCCUGUUUGUUUCUCAACAGGUUCUUCCCAGUAUUUUGUGUAGUUGAGUUAAGAAGGGAGACCGUUGGGAUAAGGCAAAAAGAUGUGAAGUCUCUUUAAGACUAUUGGGAGGUAUUCAAGAAAUUGUGUGCAAGUUGCCCACAACAUGGGAUAACAGAACAGUCUCUGCUCUGAUACUUCAAUAAGGGUUAAAGCCCAUAGAGAUGAAUAUGGUAGAUGUUGCCAGUGGAGGAGCAUUGGUCAACAUGACUCCCCAACAGAUAAGGGAAUUGAUAUCCACAAUGGCCGCAAAUACUCAGCAAUUCUGAGUCAAUCUUGAGCCUAUUAGAAGGGUUCACCAGCUAAGUAUUUCAGCUUUAGAAGAUAAAGUCAAUCGACUUACUAAUAUCAUGAAUUAUCUUUUUGCAGUAAAAAUAGGACCAACCUGACCAUGCAAAAUUUGUGCAACACCCGGACAUACAACAGACGCGUGUCCUAGCUUGUGUGAUGAUGCUAUGGCCCAUUUAGAUGCUGUGGGAAAUUUUUCUGGACCACCCCAAAGGCAAUAUGACCCUUAUUGUAAUACCUAUAACCCAGGGUAAAAAGAUCAUCCCAACUUGAGUUACAAAGCUAACCUACAGUACAACCAACCAUACCAAAACCUGAUUCCACAAUAGCUGUGAGAUUCAAGUACCUCUCUGGAAACCAUGGUCAAUAAAUUAGCAGCUAAUAUGCUUGAUUUUUAACAAAAAAUUGAGGCGUCUAUAAGAGAAUUGACCACAUCAAUUGAGAAAAUGAACUCACAAGGGAAGCUACCAUCACAAAUGGAACCUAAUCCAAGACAAUGCUCAAAUGCAAUGACGUUCUGAAGUGGAAAAGUACUGGAACCGAAUCCUGGCAAGAAUCUUAAUCAAUAUUCCACCUAGAAAAAGCAGGAGAACAAUGAACAGGUUCGAACGAAACCUCUAUUACCCAUAAUUCAACCUCCAUUUCCAGGAUGAUUGAACCAAUAUCGAAAAACUAAAGAGGACAAAGAUAUCCUCGAAACAUUCAGGAAUGUUGAGAUCAACAUACCAUUGUUAGAUGCCAUCAAACAAAUUCUGUGAUAUGCUAGGUUCCUUAAAGAGCUUUACACCAACAAGCAAAAAUUAAGUGGAAAUGAAAGAGUAAGCAUUGGUGAGAAUGUAUCUGCGGUGUUACAACGGAAUAUGCCAGCAAAAUACAAAGAUAAGGGCAUGUUUGCAAUACCAUGCAAAAUAGGCCACUUAGGAAUCAAAAAAGCCAUGUAGGAUUUAGGAACUUCAAUAAAUGUAAUGCCUUUUUCCAUUUAUGAAUCACUUAACGCGGGGGGUUUUUUGACAAAAAUAGGUGUUAUCAUUAAAUUAGUAGAUAGGUCUAUUUUGCAUCCCAAAGGAGUCCUUGAGGACGUAUUAGUGAAAGUCAACGGACUUAUCUUUCCUACAGACUUUUAUGUGAUAAAAAUGGAAGAGGAUAACGUUCUUGGGUCGUCAAACAUUUUGUUGGGGAGACCUUUCCUUAGUACUGCAAAUACUAAUAUUGACAUGUGUAGCGGAACCCUCACGAUGGAAUUUGACACGGAGAUCGUAAAGUUUAACAUUUUUGAGUCAUCUUGAACGUAAAUAGUGUUGACAUAAUUGACUCAUUAGUAGAAUAAACUUUUGAGUCACCUUAUAAAGAUAAACUUGAAACAUUGUUUGAUGAUAAUUUCUAUAACAGACCCGAUUUGCCCGGCCCGUUAUGCUAAACCAAACAAAGUAAAUAAUAACAAAAAAACCAAUGUCCAGACCAAUUACAAAAAAACAACCCAAUAGAAAAUAAAAACUCUGAUGGCCCAUUACAAACCCUAGCCCAAAGCUAACAGCAAAAAAAAAAAAAGAAAACCCUAGGUGUGCCGUACCUAGGUCCACCCCCAACAGCAGCCACGCGCGCCUCCGUACGGCCACCUCCGUACCUUCACAUUGGCUUCUGUACACAGUUGGCCCUUAUACCUGCAAAACAGACAUGUAAACACAGAGAAAAAAAGAAAUGGCAUUGUAUUUGGCUAUAAAAGCCACCAAAACCGAAUGUAAAUUUUUUACGAAGAAAAUCAAUAAAAAAUCAGUAUAUUUUCGAAGGUAGAUCUUGUUUGCUUUAUGAUUUCUUAUUUAUUUAUUUAUUUUUCUUAUUUUUUUAGAAGGAAACAGAAAAUAAAAAAGGGAAAGGGAUAAAAGAUGUACCUUUUGCACCAUCGUGGGGUCGAGGUCCAUCGAUUCUGAUGAAAAUCGGCAUUUUUUUGGUCUUGGAACCGAAAAGCCCAAAAAAAUGGGCCUUUUCAAUUUUUUGGCUACCGCGGACGGCGGCGCCGUCGCCAGCGACCGACGGCCACCGCGGUGGUCCGACGACCUAAGCUGGCCGAAUUUUGGAACCUGUGAGAGAGAGGAUGAGAGAAUUUCAAUUUUGGUCCGGCGACCAAUCAAUCCACGCGUCGACCUGACCUAAGGGAAGGAUCCGCGUGUUUUGCUUCGACGGGUUAUUUGCACAUUUAGCCCUUCCGUAGUUUUCAGUUGUUUUAAUCCAGUCCUUUUUAUAUUUUCUAAUUUAUAUUUCAAAUUUUAUUUCAUUUUCAAUGUAGUCCUUGCAAAACGGUGAGUUUUAAGAGUGCGGGAAAAUUUCCCAUAUGGCCUCUGUCCCUUACGCGCGUUUCAGUUUAGUCCUAUUUCGAUUUUACCUUUUAAAUUAUUACGAAUUUUGCCUCAAAUUUUAUUUGGAUUUCAAUAUAAUCCUUUAAUUAAUUUAUAUUUAUUGUUUGUCUAUUAAUCUAUUUAUUAUUCUUUAUUUUACUUUAAGUUAUUUUUAUUUUUAUAUCCACUAUUUUUCAUAUAUACCUAAGCUUUAAUAUUGCUUUUACAAAUUUACUUGUUUUAUUUCCUCAUUUUAAUAAUUCUUAAAUUUAUCCUCAACUACGUUUGUUUAUUUAUUAUCUUAUUUUUAUGAUAAUAAUAAUUAUAUUAUUAUUAUUACCAUAACCCUAAUUUCGCCCUGUUUUUAUAUCCUUCAAAUAUUUCAUAAAUUGUUUUCAUUAAGUAUUUAUUUGUAUAUUUAUUUAUUAAUUCCCUUUGUCCUUUUAAAUUUAGUAUUGCUUUGUUAUUUAUUGAUUGUUUUAUUGUUGUUAUUCAUUGAUAUUAUUUAUUUUAUUCUUUUUUGAUUGUUAAUAUUAGCAUUAAAAUGAUGUAUGUUAUGUUAUCAUUGUUGUUGUAUUUGCAACGAUUUGUUUAUUAGUACGAUCACAUUGAAGUCAUUCGUUAGCUUAAUAUUUUAUUCGUAUAUCAUUUUAAAUAUGACAUUAAUUUUCAUCCAAAUUCAAAAAAAGAGGAAGAAGAUUUUAAAAAAUAAGCAAUAUUUUGUAUUUUGGAAUACGAAAGAUCAUUCCCCAGCUUACGGGGUCUCGAUUUUUCGAUAAAUCUGAAUAUACAAACCAUUUUCAAAAAAUACAUUUUUAAAAUUAUCUCGGGAAUUAAAAAGGAUCGUGUUCCAACUUACGGAUAUGAUUUCUUUUCCAAAAUCGAUGUCGAAACCAUUUUUUAAAAAUAAAAAUAUAUGGUCGACUUUAAAAAAUGAAAAUGGGAGUCGUCAUCGAUCUUUUAUUGAAGUGUGAUCGGAUCACCUUAAAAAUGAUUUUGGUCUACGAGUUUCAGAAGAAAAAAGGGUUCGGCAGUUAGUUAUGUACGAGGAAGGAUUAGCACCCUCGUAACACCUAAAAUUGGUACCGAAUUGAUUACUUAAUGUCCUAGAGUCGGAUGUCAAAAAUUCGAAGAGAUUAAAAAAAUGAUUUCCCCUUUUUAUUAAUGCCAUAUUUUAAAUAAUACUUGGAUAAAUUUGAACGGGAGUAAAAAGGCUUCCUCACCUCGAGACAACAAAAUGUCUUAUCCUGUAAGUUAGAAUGCGACAUUUGAAUUCUCAAGAAUAAGCUAACCUCCAAAAAUUUUAUUGAAGUUUGGCGAUUUUGCAAAAUAAGAAGGGUUUAGCCAUUUUAGUUCGAUGAGAAAAUCGAAACCCCGUAAGUUAGAGUACAAUCCCUCGAACUUCCAAAGACGACAUGUUGCUUGCUUUUUAAUAAAUACAUGUUUUUGAAAAUAAAAGGUCAUUUCAAAUUAACAAGAAAACCGAGACCCCGUAAGUUAGGGUACGAUUUCUCGAAAUUUCAAAACGUAUUAUAAAACCGACUCGAAACGUACUUAGUUGAUUGGUUUGACAUAAAAUAAAACAAUUAAUAAUGAUCGUAUAUAUUGGAAUUUUGACUCAUGACACGAUGACGAGAAAUAAUAGCGUAAUUGUAUGCACGACAUGAUAGUACAUAGCAAAAAUAUAAAUAACAAUGUAAAUACAAAAGAGCAAAUUAAGAUAUAUACGUAUAUGGCAAUUGUCUCACAUCAUAUAUAUUGCUAACAUUCAAAGGUCGUUAAAAAGUCAAUUGAGGCACCAAACGAAUUAACACACAUGAAAUUGUCCAAGCAUGAAAUCAAAGAUGUAUUAUACAAAACAAUAUACAUGCUAACUUAUAUAAGUAUCACAUAUUAAAUGAAAAACAUAAUAAUAAUAUAAAUGAUAAUAUAUAUAAUAAUAUUAGCAAAAGGGUUGAAAUAAACCAAAUAUGUAAAGUAGGGUUUGAAAAUAAAUUAUAUAGAUUGAUUUUAAAAAAGCAUAUAAACAUAUUCAAAAGAAAACUAAAGGUUAACAGUUAUAAUAAUAUGAAAUCAAUAAUAUAUUCGUAGAAUAAAAAGUGAUUUAAUAAAAACCAUGUACAUAUAUAAUGAUAUAGUAUGAAAGUAUUAACAUAUAGAUUUAAAAAUAUAGGGAUAUAAAAGAGAAAUAAAAAAAAAUAUUAUAAAACCAUAAAAGGUGUACAAAUUAUAUCAAGUUAAUAAGCAAAUGACAAAAUAAUAAGUAUUAAAUGUAAGUACUAAAACUUGCAAAUUUAAAAUAAUAGUUUGUGAACACUUUUAAAUUAGGUUAAUAAUAAUUAAAAUAGUAACAAUGAUAAACUUAAAAUAAUAAUAAUGCAUGGUAAGCUUAAAAUAAUACAUGAAAAUAAACUAAAAAAAUAAAUUUAAAAUAAUAAUAUAUCAAAACCUAAAGAGUGUUAAUAAUAAACUUAAAAUAAUACUAACAUCAAAUAUUAAGAUGAUAUUAAACUUAAAAUUGAAUAUAUAUUAAAAACAGCAACAUAAUAAAUGGGUGAAUUAAAUCAAAAUGGUAAGGGUUAAAUUGAUUUUAAGACAAAAUUAGAGAGAAAAAACGGAAAUAAAAUAAAACGGAGGGCUAAAUUGUGACGCACGAAUAACAUGAGGACCGAAUGGGAAAUAUUCCCUUCCCCCAAAACGCGGCGUCUUUAUAAUGGACUAAAUUGAAAUGAAAAUGAAGCGUGUGGUUGGAUUUAAAGGAAACAAAAAGAUCGAUUUAAACUCAAUAUGAAAAACAGGGGACUAUUUGCGCAAAUUUCCCACGCGCUAUAAAACACGCGGAUUUGGGACCGGAUCGGGUCGGUGCACGGGUCGAUAACCAACACGGCGUCGUCUUGAGGCCACUGAGAAAGGCCUCAAACGGCGUCGUUUUGUGUGUUUAUUUAAACCAAACAAAUUAAAAAAAUAUUUACUUCAACCCUAAUUUCAAAACCAGAAGAGGCCCCCCCCCAUUUUCCUUUCCCAGGGUUUUGAACCCCACAGCCACCGCUCUCGUGCCUCCCUCACCUCCGAUCAAUGCUUGAAUAACACGGCUAUCGGAGGAACAAUGGCGCCGCCAACAAAAGGCAAAUCACUCUCACCUCUCUUUUUUAUUAUUAUUUAAAAAAAUAUGAAACAAAGAUAGAAAUCGAAAGAAGAAAACUCGAAAAAAAAUCACCUUCAAAUUGCUAUUUGAUUCUCUAUUUUUUUUAUUUUUCCAAUCCUUUUUACAGAUGUAAAAAUCGGCUUUUAUAGUCGAAUGAAAAUACAAAAAUUAUUCAUUUUUUCUUUUAUAUUUUCUCUACUAUUUGCUGUCACUAUUUUGUUUCUUUAUUGUUGUUGUUGUUUGUUUCUAUUGCAGGAGUGGCCGUACGAUGAUGUGGCACGACGCGUGGCUAACGCGCAGAGGGUGGUGCUGGAAGCGAUUAGGCACGUGGCGGCUUAGGCAGAUACAGCUUUAGGGUUUCUCUUUUUUUUGUAAUCGGGUUUUGGUUCGGCUAAUUGGGUUGAGUUUACGGGGCCCUGUUAAUUUUGCUGUAAUCUGGACAUGGACUUUAAUUAUGUAAAUGAAUUUUGAAUUUGGUUUUAUUUUUAUUGGGUUUUAAUCGGGCCUGGGCAAAACGGGCUAUUACAACCGAGAUAAUCAAAAUUUCUAAAAAUAAAAUUUGUGGUUUUUUAUUCUUGUUUCGGGAUUUAAGAUUAUAUCCCAACUCACGGGGUAUAAUUCUUUUUCUCAAUUGACAUCAAAUACGCCCUUUUUAAAUUCUUCUAGGUAAUUUUAACAAAAGGAUCGUAUUUUAAGUCUCUUCAAAAUAUUUUUAUAAAUUUGCAUAAAAACCAAUUUCUUAAAUCAUGUACUUGUGUUUGAAAAACUAUAAAGUUAUUAGUAAUUGUUUGUAAUUACUCUCGUAACCACCCCAACUCUCAACCCCUAACAAGAAUACUAUAUUUGAGGUGCCAUAAUUACAUUUAAUUAAUUUAGUGAACCCACCAAUUACAAUGGUUAUCCAAACAUAUCGCACCUUUGUAAUAGCAAGUAAUUAUACUCAAAUUUAAUAAUUACUAAAUGAUUUUUCAAACAUUACAAUAAUGAAUUUCUAACGUUUUGCGAAGAAAUUCUUUCCCUCCUUUUUAUUUAUUUACUACGAAGGAAGAUAUUUCAAAAUCACACUUUUGGGUCCGAAUUAAACUGAUUUUUUUUAUAAUUUCAAAACAAUUGCAAAGAAAAUUCAUGAAAUUAAGUUGUUUUCAAAUAAUUAAUUCACAUUGGAAUUUUCAAAUAAGAUGUCACAUUAAUAAUAUUUCAAUCAUUAAAAUAUUAUAUAACACAUUUUGCCAUACGAGAAAAUAUGAAAAUACUAGAAGUACUUAAUCCAGUUUAAUCUGCUCAAGGAAAUGACUCUAACACUGAGCUAAUUCAAUUAAGCCUCUGAAAUUAGCUUAACUUCAUAAAAUUUCUUUGCAAUUUUUUGGAUAUAUAUAUAUAUAUAUAAAAGUAAAAGAAAACAAGUUGAUUGGAUCAUAUUAUUUUCCGUGAGAAAUUAAAAUACCAGCCAAUAUGCAUGCAUUUAUUUUGUAGAAAAUUAAAACCAUAAAAAAACAAAAAGCAAAGAUUCAACUCUUUUAUUAUAGCAUUUGUUAGGGGUGAGCAAAAAUUGAUUCGAUUCAAAAAAAUUAAAAAAAUUUCAAAUUUCAAGUUAAUCGAAUAAAGUUAUUCAAGUUAUUAAAUACCCUUUUAGUCCUUUUCAAUUUUAAAAAUUGACAAACUGGUACAAAAAUUACAAAAUAAUCAAAAUAAUUUUUAAUUUUCAAAAUAUUUAUAAAAAUUCAAAAUUUUAUUUAUUUUUUAAAAAUUUAUACAAAUUUAAAAAUUAUAAAAAAAAAUUGUAAAGAAUAUAUAAUAAAAAAUUUAAAAAUUUUCUAAUAUAAUAAUUUUGGAACCUGAAUAAGUAAAUUAAUGAUUCAAGUUUAUAAUUCUAAAGUAUUUUUUUCUCUAAUUUUGCUUUGAAAGAGUUCUCAAAUAUAUAUGAUUUUAAAUUUGUAUACUCUAUCAUGAAAUUUGUUAUAUUGUAGCAAGAUUUUAACGUGAAAUGUUUAAUUUUUUAAUUUAACUCAAACAAUUUUACUUAAUUCGACUCGACUCGAAUUUCAUUUCACUCGACUCAAUUUGAAAAAAUUCCAAAUCAAGUUAGAUUGAUAAAAUGGGACUUGUUAACUCGAUUAGCUCGAAAUUAGUUUACUCGACCCAAAUAUUUUGCAUCAUUAAUACUAAUAACAACAUGAAAAUGAAUACUCAUCUUUUCUACUUACUAUGCAGGCACGAAAUGGAAAUUUCCAUGAGAAAAAAGUAUUGCGUAUGAAAAGGAAAGUUCCAUGACAUCGACUGAAGCAAUAACAACAAUUGGCCCUAAUAUUUACCACAUAAAUCUUUGACAUUUAUUAAAUUUUUUAAUUUAAUCCCUCUCAUUUUAAUUUCUAAAUUUUAUUAUCGUAUGUGACCCAUUAGGCUUCUUUGACAAUAAAUAUUCUUCAUUUCAAACUAGAAUCUAGCCAUUCAUCAUGACUCCAAAUUGGCGAAGUCAAAAUUAAUUUUUUUCGACAAAAACUUUCAUUUCUAGUUUUUAUGUGUAUUUAAAUCUUUCCAUCAUAUACCCCGAAUAAGCUAAAAGGCAUGACAUGGUGUCUGCUUUGCUCAUCAGGACUUAUAGUUAUACAAGUCAAGAGCAAAAUAGAUAUGUCAUACCAGACCUAAAACAUUCUACUUUAAGCACCUAUCAAUAUAAAUCCAUUUGGUGAUGAAUCAAAGUAUGACGGUCAACUUACAAGGAGAAUUUAUGUCUCAAGUCUAAGGAUUAUUUAUACUACCAAUACAGGGAGUAUUUCUAUAAAUACUAAGGUGUUUUUUACCCUUUAACCUUGUAUUAAUAUUUGUUUUGUUUCAAAAAAAAAUAUUUGUUACUUUUAUAAAAAAAUUGAAUUUUAAAUAAAUUUUCCGACCAAAUUAAUAUAAAUUAACUUGUAACAUUAAUUUAAUAAAAUAUAUUAAACAAGUGUAGAUAUAAUUUCAUUAAAAUAUGCGAAUAGAGAAAACAACAUUAAUUUGUCGGAAGUCCCCACUUUUUGGGUCUUAAUGGGUGAGAAUUUUCCUAGGUUAAAACCCAAGUCACGGAAUCGUCUUUGUCAAGUCUUGGGGCCAUAAUUAGGCACUUCGUACACUUGCACCAUGUACAAGGUGUUCCAAAUAUUUUACAAUAAAUGAAGUUCCAACGCUUUCUAAAUGAAAAUUUUGAUUCAACGACGACUGCAAUUUUGGAUUUAAAUCAUAUCAGACAUUUCACUUCUACAAUAAAUCACGAGAACGCCAAAAUUUAAUCUAGAGAAAUGGCUCUGUCGACACUAAAUUAAUUAAUUAAGCCUCUGAAAUUAACUUAAUUUCAUGAGUUUUCUUUAUAGGUAGAGAUGGACAUCCUAAUUUCAAUUAAAAAAUAACAAUUAAUCAUCUUGUUUUGGUAAGAAAGUAAAAUAGCAGCCAAGAUGCAUGCAUUUGUUUUGUGGAAAAUUAAAUUAAAACCAAGGAGUUAUCAUUAUCAACAAAUAUGGACCAUAAGAAGAUCCAUUCCUUUUAUUAUAUAUUAUUCAUACUAACAACAUAGAAUUUUCCAUGAAAAAGAAAGCACGACACAUGACGAAGUAAAUUCCAUUACAUCGACUGAAGCAAUGGUAACAACUGGCCCCUACAACAAUUGCAACAAGACCUUGACUCCUAUAAUCAGUUUCCAUAAAUUCUUCAGUUUGGAAACUAUAACAUAUAUGCUACAACUGAACCUUUAGCAAACAAUUAGCUGAGGUAGUUAAACAUGGCCUCAUCCUCAACCUUUUCCAUUAUUUUAGGGAUACUGCGGGCUACCAUCUUUCUAAUUUCCAUUGCUAGAACUGUGACAGUAGCAGAUCCAUCGCCUUUGGCGUCCGAAGCCAUAGCUAUGGUAGAAAGUGGGUGGUGGAGUAACUAUAGCAACAAUGCUUCAGAACGUUGCCAUUGGCCGGGUAUAUCAUGCAACACUGCUGGAAGCAUCAUCCAAAUUGACAUUUCUGAUGCGCCCAAUAUUGAGGUUGGAGAUAGAUUUGGGAAAUUGAAUUUCUCUUCAUUUCCAAAUCUUGUCCUUCUUGAUCUUAGUGAUCGCCAACUUGGUGGAAAAAUCCCGCAUCAGAUAGGUAAUCUAUCAGCAUUGAAGCACCUUGACUUGUCCAAUUGUGGUUUAUCCGGUGAGUUACUUCCUUCUCUAGGAAACCUAACCCAAUUAGAGUACCUUGACAUUUCCUAUAAUUAUAAUAUUAACGGUUCCAUCCCUCCACAACUAGGGAAUCUAGUGAACCUUGUCAGUUUAAAUUUGAGUUGGACCAGUCUUAGUGGAAACAUUCCACCGUUUCUUGGGCUAUUGACCAACCUUAGGCAUCUACUUUUGGAUGGGUAUCAAUUUGACGAUGGUAAUAAUACAAUUCCUCAAAAUUUGUGGAAUUUGAGGGGUCUUGAGACUUUAAGCCUAAGUCGUUGUGGAAUUGUUGGUCCAAUCCCUUCUGCUUUGGGUCAGUUAUUAAAUCUCAAAUAUUUACGUCUAGGGGGAAACAAAAUUAAUGGCUCUAUUCCAUCUGAAGUUGGAUUCUUAUCUAACUUGACUUAUUUUGAUGUCUACGACAACAGACUGGUUGGUUCAAUACCUUUUUCCUGGUACCAAUUAACCAAUUUGGAAACUUUGUUCCUUGAUGGUAAUCAACUUGAAGGUUCCAUCCCUCAUAAUAUUGAAAAUUUGAAGAACAUCAAGAUUUUAAGCAUCGCUAAUAAUAGUUUUACUGGUCAUAUCCCCCUAGCUUUGUGUCGUUUGACAAAUUUGAAAUAUAUUGACCUUGGCAAAAAUCAAUUCAGUGGUUCAAUCCCAUCUUGUAUUGGCAAUUUAUCCAAUUUGUAUACCUUAGAACUUGAUUCAAAUCUAUUAAAAGGUCCUAUCCCUGAAGAAAUUGGUAGGCUUUUCCACCUAUCAAAUUUAAACCUCAGCUUCAACCAAUUCUCAGGUAGUGUCCCUAUCUUGUCUGCCACUAAGCUUCGUAUUAUCGAUGCUGGAAAUAACUGUAACAAGAUUUCUCCCGAUCCAUUUGAAGGAAAUAGUCAUCUAUCACCCUAUAUGUGUCCUUCUCCAGUAACCAACAAAGCCAACAGCAGUACAAUUCUUUACUAUAUCAAAAUAUUCCUCCCUAUUGCCAUCUUCUUCACAUUCUCCAUUUUGGGAUAUUUUCUAUUUUCACGAUUUAAGCUCAAGAAUAACCGUGUCCGUGUACAACCGACGAAGAAUGGGGAUUUGUGUUCCAUAUGGAACUAUGAUGGAAAGAUAGCAUACGAGGAUAUUGUUGCAGCAACAGAGGAUUUCGACUUUCGAUACUGUAUAGGAGUUGGUGGUUAUGGAAGUGUUUACAGAGCACAACUACCUUGUGGUAAAGUAGUUGCCUUGAAGAAACUUCAUCGUUUAGAAGCUGAAAAUCCAGCCUUUGACAAGAGCUUCAGGAAUGAGAUCAAGUUUCUAACAGAAAUACGACAUCGAAGCAUCGUAAAGCUUCAUGGGUUUUGUCUACACCGACGGUCCAUGUUUUUGAUCUAUGAGUACAUGGAAAAAGGGAGUUUGUUCUGCAACCUAAGAGAUGAAGUGGAAGCUGUGGAAAUGGAUUGGACAAAAAGAGUGGAGAUCAUCAAGGGCAUAGCGCAUGCUUUGUCUUACUUGCACUAUGAUUGCAGCCCUCCAAUAGUUCAUCGAGACAUAUCAAGUAACAAUGUUCUUUUAAACUCGAGCUUUGAGGCCUUUGUAGCUGACUUUGGGACUGCUAAAAUGUUGGAUCUUGAAUCAUCCAAUCAGACCAUGAUUGUGGGCACAUGUGGUUAUGUAGCUCCAGGUGAUGACAUUUUCUUCGGAAAUUAUAAAAUUAAUUGAACAUAUAAAUGAUUUUCUUUUUUAUCUGGUUUUUCGUACGCAGAACUUGCAUAUACGUUGGUUGUCACCGAAAAAUGUGAUGUCUAUAGUUUUGGAGUGGUGGCACUGGAAACGUUAAUGGGAAAGAAUCCCGAAGAAUUGUUAUCAUGGUUGUCAUCACCAACUUCUUUGGUAAAUAUGAGGCUGAUUGAUGUGCUAGACAACCGUUUACCACUUCCGACAAGUCAAUUAGUUGCACAAAAUCUUGUUCGCAUUGCUAGUUUGGCAUUCGCCUGCCUAAAUCCACAACCUAAGUCUCGACCAACGAUAAAAGAAGUGUGCGAAGAGUUUCUUUGUGGCCAAACAUCCUUGGGAGUUCCCCUUCGGAUGAUCUCUUUGUUACAACUUGUGAAUUGUGAAAUGCAUAUUGGAGGCAAAACUGGAACUUGUAAUGUUUAAACUCCAUGUGGCUGUUCUUGAUUAGAUAUUGUUUAUCAUGCUUUGAUGAUUUGUUUGUAAACCAUAUCCUGUGUUAUAUAUGAUGGAAUGAAUUGCAAUGUUCAAUAAAUUUGUUUAUUUGAUUGUUUUACGUAACAUAAAUUCGACAAUUUGAUCCAAAUAUUCAAACAUCAUCCUAAUAGCUUCAUUCAAUUUCGUGCUUCUUUCAAGCAGGAAAGACAUCUUAGUGGAUGGUCCGGCGAGACAUGUUCUUAGGCAGACUCAAUGAGAGGCUCCUUUAAUUUUAUGGAUGCUCCUUUAAUCUAAGUUGUUUUCAAAUAAUUAAUUCACAUUGGAAUUUUCAAAUAAAAUGUCACAUUAAUAAUAUUUCAAUCAUUAAAAUAUUAUAUAACACAUUUUACCUUAAAAAAAAUAUGAAAAUACUAAAACUUAAUCCAGUUUAACCUGCUCAAGGAAAUGACUCAAACACUGAGCUAGUUCAAUUAAGCCUUUGAAAUUAGCUUAACUUCAUUCAAUUUCUUUGCAAUUUUUUGGAUAUAUAUAUAUAUAUAAAAGAAAAAGAAAACAAGUUGAUUGGAUCAUACUAUUUUCCGUGAGAAAUUAAAAUACCAGCUAACAUGCAUGCAUUUAUUUUGUAGAAAAUUAAAACCAUAAAAAAAAAAACAAAAAGCAAAGAUUCAACCCUUUUAUUAUAGCAUUUGUUAGGGGUGAGCAAAACUCGAUUCAAUUUGAAAAAAUUAAAAAAUAUUCAAAUUUCAAGUUAAUCGAAUAAAGUGUUAAUUAAGAUUGUUGACACCAUUUUUUUGAUGAAAACGGGUCGACUUGGAUUUUGAAAAUGAAAACGAAAAAAAUGGAGUCGCCACCAAUCCUUUUUGAUAAGGUGUGAUCGGGUCACCUUGAAAAGUGAUUGUUUUAAUAAACGAUUUGAUUUUAUUAAAACAACGGUUUUGGUCCACGAAAUUCAGAAAAAAAAAUGAGUUCGGGAGUCGGUUACGUACGAGGAAGGAUUAGCACACUCGUAACACCCAAAAAUUGGUACCUAGUUGAUUAGUUACUGUCUUAAUGUCGAAAAUUGAAAACUUUGAAGAAUUUAAAAAUACAAUCCUAAAAAAUUUUGAAUAACAUGAGUUGGGAUUUAAGAUUCUCUUGUUCCGAAAGAAUAUCACAUCCAGCACAUUAGGAUACGAUAUUUUAAACUCUCGAGACCAAGAUCACCUUAUGGUUUCCAAAAUCUAUACUUUGAAACUCUAAAAGGGUAUUUGGCUAUUUGGCUAAAAGAGAAAUCGAAACCCAGCACAUUAGGGCAUGUUUUCUCGAAUUUCCAAACGCAAAAUAUUGCCUUUAUUAUUUUUUAAAAAAAUCCUCAUCUCGAGAAAACAACGUGUCAUAUUCAAUGCGUUAGGACACAACGUAUCGAAUUCCCGAUAAGAGAAUACAUGCCGAAAAAUUUACUUAUUUAAAAAGACAUUUAAUUACUUCGGGUUUAGAAAAGGGAUCAUGCCCAGUAAGUUAGGACAUGAUAUUUUCUUAAUUCCCGAGAUCGUUUAAAAACUUGAGUUUGAAAAGAUUCGUGUCUUUAGAUUUAUUAUGAAAGUCGAAACCCAGUAAGUUAGGAUACGACUUUCUCAAAUCUAAACACGAAAUUUUGUUUAUUCAAAAGUCAUAAUCCAUACAUUGAAUGAAAUAAUCUAACACGAAAUAGUAGAAAUAAGAUUCGAUGUUAAUAUGCGUAACUAAAUAAAUAUGAAUACGAUGAUGUGAACGUAAAUAAUAUGAACAACCACAACAAAAUGGUAAAUAAAUAAAAGAUGACAAAAUGAUUAUACAUGAAAUAAUAAAUAACUAGGGCUAAAACAUUUCAUAGAAAUAAUGAUGGGAAUAAAUCAAAUAAGACAAUAAUAACUUCAAUGAAAAUAAAUAAAAUUGCAAAAUGAAAAUAAAAAUAAAGACAAAGACAAAACAAAUAAAAACAUCUAUGCACAUGUGUAUAACAAAGUUGGGAAAUACAAAAUGUAAAUAAGCAAGUAAUAAUAUAAAUAUAUAACAAAACAAGUGAGUAUAUAUAUAUCCUAAAAAGACAUGCAUGUAAACAUACAAAAAUCAAAUAUAUAACUAUGCAACUACGUAUAUAGAUUAAAGUAGAUAAAAAUAUAGGUAGAUGUGUGCAUAAGUAAAAGAAUAUAUGUAUGAGUUGUAAGAUAUAUAGAUUUAUAUACAUGAAUAAUGAAAUAAAAUACAUAUGUGGAAAAAAGUAUAUUUUAAAAUCUAAGAUACACAAAUGUAUAUAUGUAUAUAGAAUAUAUAUAUAUAUAGGAAUAAACAAAUUAUAAAAUAUAAGAAUAUGUAUAUAGACACAUAUAUAAUUGUAUAAAAAGAUUACCAACUAUAAAGAACCAUAUGCAUGUAUAUGUAUAUUAUAAGAGGUUUAAAAAUGUAGAUAAAAAUAUAUCUUAAAAUAUAACAACAUAUACAAGCAUGUACAUAUAUAUUUGUGAAAAUAAAAUGAGAUACAUGUAAGCACCUAUAUACAAUAAUUUAGAAUGCAAAUAUAAAUACAUACAUGUAUAUAAAUUAUAAAAUAAAAAAUAUAAGCGUAUAUAUAUAUAAAUAUUAUAUGUGUGUAUAUAUUAUAAAAGUAUGUGUAUAGCGUAUAUUUAAAUUAUAAAACACACAUAGUAUGGAAGUAUGUAUAUGAUUAAAUCUAAGAUUACAAAGGUAUAAACACUACACCAAAACAGGUUUUUAGCGGCGUUUUUUAGGCCUUUAGCGGCGCUUUUUAACGCCACUAAAGAUAUUUGCAAGCGCCGCAAAAAAGGCCGCUAACGAAAACGUCGCAAACGUUUGCAGCGUUUUCAAACAAAAACGCCGCUAAAGACCAUGUUCUUUAGCGGCGUUUUUUCCUAAGCGCCUCUAAAGAACGUGUUCUUUAGCGGCGUUUUUUUACAAGCGCCGCUAAAGAACAUGUUCUUUAGCGGCGUUUUUCUACAAGCGCUGCUAAAGAACAUGUUCUUUAGCGGCGUUUUUCUACAAGCGCCGCUAAAGAACAUGUUCUUUAGUGGCAUUUUUUUUACAAAUGCCGCGAAAGAACAUGUUCUUUAGUGGCACUUUUAUACAAAAACGCCACUAUUUUAGGGAUUUUUUUAUAUUAAAUUUUUCAUUUUUUCGGCCCUCCUGUAGCAAAAAUUCAAAAGCAACAAUUCAAAAGCAGCCAAUAGCAAUAAAUUUAUAUAAUAUUUCAACAUAAGGGAAUAAAAUAAUAUUAAUAUCAAUAAAUAAAAGUGAAUUCAUAUUGUUUUUGCAAAAAAUGUUAAAUGUUAAAUGUUAAAAUGAUAAAAAUAUUUAUGUCAUACACUAUGAAGGCGGAAGUUGCGACUUAAACAUCUUCAUCAUAAUCUGAAGCUGCUGCUGAAGUUCGUCGUACUUUUUGCUCUGCUCUGCUUCUCUCGCUGCAGCCUCUGCUUCCCUCGCUGCAGUCGCUGCUCUCUGCUUUAAGUUGUAGCUGGAGUUCUUCAUAUUUCCUUUGAACCUCAAUUGUAGUCGCUUGCAUCUGAGCCAUCUGGUCUUUUAACCUCUGAACUUCAGCUUGAGCCUGACUCCCCGAAGCCAUGUAUUGGUGGGAGCUGGAUCCAAAAUAUUGGGUUGGGCUAACAAAAGAUCCUUGAAAUCGAACCCGACCAUACCUUUCAGGACCCAAAACUUCAGUAAUAAUCCGGUUAUCAAUAUCUUCAAGAUGAACCGAACUAUGACUAGAAGCAAUUGCUUCGUACUCCGCCUUUUUAUCCUUUAGUUUUUCCUAAUAAAUAUAUCACAUAGUUAGGAACGCAAUAUUAUAUAUUGAAAAACAUAUGCAACAUAACAAUAGUCACAUUACAAGCAAUGAAUUAAACCAUUAGAAAAUAAACACUAUAAAUAACUAAAAUAAGUCAAAUCGUAUUAAGUAAACGUACCAUUAUUUCAGCAGCUUCAGGAGUCAUGGGAGAUCCAUCUUUCUUCCUAUGUGUAAUUUCAAAAAGUUGAAGGCGUCCAACUUUUUGACCGGACGACCGUUCCUACAAUAUAGUAGUAUAAAUAUUAUUUAAUAGAAAGUUAUACAUAUUCGACAAUAUUAAAAAAUUUAAAAAUACCUCUGCCUCAGCUACACAUGCGAAACUUCUCGACCCGGCUGUGUGGGUGAAUUUUUGUUUUUGCCUGCUGCUUAUUCCAACUUGUUCACGAUCCUACGUUAUGAAAUUUUUUAGUACGUAAAUAGAAAAUACUAUAAACCAAAAUAAUUACAAUAGUUUAGAAGUACGUCAGACCUCGCCUUUAUUCGAAUGUCAAAAUCUAACUGCAUCUUCCCAUUGGUACCUCAACAUACCCGGCGGGACAUUUUGCAAUUUCUCAUCAAGGGUUGUUUUUGUCUUAUAAUAAUUUUUCUUCAAAGUACUUUUGUUGUCUCUCCAUCUUUUUCCCAAUGCUUUCUUUACAUAAGCAUCCGAGACCUCUAAAGCAAACCUCGCCUACAAAAAACAAAAAACACAAGUUAAUAAAGUAAAUAUAAAUGAAACUAUUUCCCAAGCAUUAUAGAUGACAUUAACAUUUUGUUACCUUAAUAUUAUCGAGGGCUUGGUUUUUGUUGCUAUCGGGCAUUUGAUGCCAUGACUCGUAGUUUAUAGGCAACAUAUUUGGAUUUCGUGCUAAAAUGCCCAUGUAUCCAGCUAAAAGUCGAGCUUCUGAUCCAACAGGCUGACCAAAACUGUUUCGUCCAACUUUGACACGCUCGACUGGAUCUAACUCGUACAACUCUCUAAGUAGCGUACGUCCUCGACCUCUGCGCGUCCCACCAUUUUCAGCUACAAAUGGUAUAUUAUAAUAUAAGAAUUUGAAAAAUAAAUCAACUAUAACAGAAACACGCAUGUAAAUUAAAUGUAAAAUUACUUUGAACUUCUGUAGGAUCCUCAGCUGUAAUCGGAACAUUUGAAGAUCCAACUGCUGUCUGUUGUUCAGUACUAUUUGUUGCUGUCGAGUUUGGAUCAUUUUGAACAAUGCUUCCCCUUAGAAUUUUUCUUCUAGGCAUUUUAUGUACAAUACACAUAAAAUAGUUAAUAACUUAAUAACUAAUUACAACAAUAACAGCACAUAUAAAACAAUUGAAAUAUAUAAUAAGACGAAGAUUUAAAUUAUGAUAUUACAUAUAAUUAAACAAUCGUAAAAUCUUACUACAUCAUUAUUCGUAAAUAUCUUCAUCGGUAUCCUGACGAACCCAUCCAAAUUGUGCACUAGUACUAGGGAUAUUAUCGUUUAAGUUUUGUUUUGGAAAGGGCAAAGUUACUGAUCUAUCGUCGAUGUUAUCUCUACUUCCACUGCCCAUGUCAAACAAGUCUCUAGGGAUGUUACGGAGUACAACGUACCAACCCUCAUCAGUUGGAUCUUUUGAGUAAAAAACUUGUUUGACUUGAGAUGAUAAUACAUACGGCUCAUCUAUCAGUUGUUGUCCUGUGUGAAUCAAUCGGUCAAAGUUCACCAUUGUAAAACCAAAUUGAUCUUGCUUAAUUCCACGAGCUGUAUUAACAUCGGCCCAAUCACCACGAAAUAAUACAACUUUCCAUUUGCCGUAGUAAUCCAACUCAAUUAUGUCAGUAAGUUGUCCGAAAUAUUCCACAUUUCCCUCGACAGGAUUAUUGUCCCUAGCACUAGCAUAACUUGUAAUUGCAGAAUUGACAACUAUUCCACAAUUUUGCGUUCUCCUCAACCUCUCGCGAUAUUUUGUAUGAAAUCUGAAUCCGUUGAUGAGGAACGCACUAUAUCUUUUAACCACUCGAUUUGGACCUUAGGAGAGCCAUUUAACAUCGUCGUUUACAUUCUUCCCACUCCAAACCUAUUGAAUGGAAAGUAAACUGAGUAAUUCAUUUGUUAUGAGAAAACAUUAUUAUUUGUAAGCAGAAGCUCGAACUGCAUACCGUUUGGCUUAACCAUUCAUAAAAAGAUUCUGUAAACAACUUAUUGAUAUCUCGAUGUUGUGUUCUUCGGGAGCGCAAACGAGAUCUCAAUAUUUGUUUGUACUCACUGUGUUAAAAAAAUGUGAUCUUUGUUAGAAGAUAAACAGUUAUUAGUUUGAUAAAUAUUUAUCAAAUUUGUAGAACUUACUUCCGUAAAGGUUCCAAUAAUUCGUGGUGAAACAGAACAUAUCGAUGUGCUUGUACCCACGAUAAAUGAUCUAAUUCUGUAAUUUCAACUUUUCCGAUUGGUUCUCCAAAACUUUGGAACAAAUAAGUAUCGGCUAAGUUAUGGUCCGUGAGUCCAGCAUUCCUAUUUGGUCUGUUUAACCUUGUUUCAACAUCUUCCAAAUAUCUUGAGCAGAAGGUCAUACAUUCUUCUGCCAAGUAGCCUUCAGCAAUCGAUCCUUCUGGAUAUCGCUUGUUGCGGCAGUAAGACUUUAAUUUGGAUAGAAACCUAAACACAAUAUACAACAUUUCUUAAUUAUUGAAACUAAAGGCAUAGAGGUGAAUGAAGGAAAACUUUAAAAAUUUUAAUUAACACCUUUCUAUGGGAUACAUCCAUCGAUAGAAAACGGGUCCACCAAGAAUUGUUUCGUGCGGGAGAUGGAUUAUCAAGUGAACCAUAAUGGUGAAGAAGAAAGGUGGGAAGAUUUUCUCCAUGUUGCAUAAAGUCAAAGCGGCUCGAUCCUGUACCUUCUAAAGUUCUUGAACGUCCAAAACUUUGCCACAAAUGGCUUUCAUUAUGUUGGAUAGUUCAAUUAUACAAGACGUCACCUUCUUGGACAUACAACAUCGUAGAGCCAUUGGCAGUAAAUCUUGCAUCAAGAUGUGAUAGUUGUGUGAUUUUAGUGAAUAUAAUCUUCGAUCUUUAACACUAACACAUCGAGAUAUAUUUGAUACAUACGCAUCUGGAACCUUUAUAUCCUUCAACACCGUGCAGAACAAUUCUUUUUCCGUCUUCGACAUUGAAAAAAUAGAAGGCGGCAACCGAUAUUUCCCAUUCGGAAGUGGAUUGGGAUGAAGAUCAGGUCGGAUUCCCAUUUGGACUAAAUCAAGUCGACUCUGAAGACUGUCUUUUGAUUUUCCGUCGACAUUCAAAACUGUACCCACAAUGUUCUCACAGAUAUUUUUCUCAAUGUGCAUAACAUCAAGAUUGUGUCGUAGAAGGUGAUGCUCCCAAUAAGGUAACUCAAAAAAAAUACUUCUUUUUUUUCCACAACUCCGCCUCAUUAGGAUCGUCCUCUUCAUCAGAGUCAUCAUCAGCUUCAUCAUUGGAUCUUCUAUUUCUUUGCGUGUUUGGCGGUUGGUUCAUCUUCCCAUAAAUGAAAUUCAUAUCUUCCAACAUGAACAAGAUUUCAGAGCCACUGGUCUGCGAAGGAGCUUCUCUGAACUCUUUAGUACCGUCAAAUACAGAACUCUGAAAUCUAAAUCUAUGAUUUUCCGGUAACCACCGACGAUGCCCCAUGUAAGAGAACUUCUUCCCAUUGUACAACCAUUGCGAACAUGUUUGUGCAGCACAACAAAGACACGCAUAACGACCCUUGGUACUCCAACCGGAUAAAUUGGCAUAAGCAGGAAAGUCAUUAAUGGUCCACAUCAAAGCUGCACGUAAAUUAAAGUUCUCCUUUCUCAGCACAUCGUAUGUCUCGACACCAGCCCACAAUUGUUUUAACUCUUCAAUAAGUGGCUGUAAAUAAAUGUCGAUAUCAUUCCCGGGCCCUUUCUCUCCAGGGAUAAUCAUAGAUAAGAUAAGGGAAGAUUGCUUCAUGCAAAUCCACGGAGGUAGAUUGUAAGGAACAAGCACUACUGGCCAAGUACUGUAGGCAGUGCUCAUGAUCUUGAAAGGAUUAAAUCCAUCAGAUGCUAGCCCAAGCCUCACACUCCUAGGAUCACUUGUGAAGCUUGUAAAUUUAUUGUCAAAUGAUUUCCAAGUUAAAGAAUCUGCCGGAUGCCUUAGUAAUCCAUCAAUGGUUCGUCGAUCAUGGUGCCAUGUCAUUGACUCCGCUGUCUUCGACGACAUGAAAAGCCUUUGAAGCCUUGGUAUCAACGAAAAAUACCGUAAAAUCUUGGCUGGCUUCUUCCGUGACUGUGCAUCAUUUUCAUCAUCGUUCCCAUCUUCUGUGUUUCUACUUGUCCAACGAGAGUGGCCGCAUACAUGACAGCACUGUUGGUUUCUCCGAUCGCCCCAAUACAACAUGCAGUCAUUUGGGCAACUAUGGAUUUUGUUAUACCCAAAGCCUAAAUCUUUUAUCAUUUUCUUCAUAUCUUUGCAUGACCGAGGGAUUUUUGCAAACGGGAACAUUUCUCUCAAAAACUCUAACAGCAUUGUCAACGAGUUUCCGGUUCACCCUCCCAAACACUUUAAUUGAAAAAGACGAACACAGAAGGACAUCUUUGAAAAUUUUGAUCCCUCAUACAGUUCUUCGUUCAUGUCAUUAAGUAGCGCGUAGAACUUUGCCGCUUCUCCAUUCGGCUCUUCAUGACGUACACUACUUCUCGGUUCGGUAAAAGUAUUUCCACCAAUAUUACAAUCAUCAGAGAACAUAAAGUCCGCUGGGAAUGAUUCGACACCAUGAUUGUGCAUAUUAAAUGCAUCCCGCAACAUACCUUCCAUGUCAUCCCCUCUAUCAGACUGAUGGUAAGAAGUAUCAGGAUAAGUUACAUCCAUCCUUGAAGAGGAAGUACUAGGCGGGCAUAUUCCAUGAAAUAACCAUUGUUUAUAACCCCGAACAAACCCAUCAACAAUUAGAUGCUCGUAUACAACUUCACGAUAAUGCCAGUUUAUGUUGACACACUUCUUACACGGGCAAAGAAUCAUGUUCUCUUGGCUUGCAUAUUGAAAUGCAAAAUUUAGAAAAGUCUGUACUCCAUUUCGAUAACUGUCGCUUACCCUUGACAAAUUCAUCCAAGACCGGUCCAUUUCUUAGAUCUUGAAGUUUGAUUUUCACCAGAAAUUACAAUGGUAAGUUAUGUAAGUUAUGUAAGUUAAAUGUAUUAUGUAAGUUGUAAGUUAAAUGUAUUAUGUAAGUUGCAAGUUAUUAUGUAUUAUGUAAGUUGUAAGUUAAAUGUAUUGUGUAAGUUGUAAGUUAUUAUGUAUUGUGUAAGUUGUAAGUUAUUAUGUAUUAUGUAAGUUGUAAGUUAUUAUGUAUUAUGUAAGUUGUAAGUUAAAUGUAUUGUGUAAGUUGUAAGUUAUUAUGUAUUAUGUAAGUUGUAAGUAAAUGUAUUGUGUAAGUUGUAAGUUAUUAUGUAUUAUGUAAGUUGUAAGUUAAAUGUAUUAUGUAAGUUGUAAGUUAUUAUGUAUUAUGUAAGUUGUAAGUUAAAUGUAUUAUGUAAGUUGUAAGUUAUUAUGUAUUAUGUAAGUUAUGUAAGUUAAAUGUAUUAUGUAAGUUAUGUAAGUUAAAUGUAUUAUGUGGGUUAUGUGGGUUAUGAAGGUUAUUGUUAUUAAAUUUUAAUAAGAUUAUUGUUAAAUUUUUUAAUAAUAAUAAAAACAAAAAUAAAUAAUUUAAUUAUAUUUUAACAUAAUUAUUGUUAAAAUAAAAUUAAUAAAAUAAUAUAUAAUUUAAUAACAUUACUAAUAUAAUUAUUAAUAAUAUUUAAUAAAAUAACAUUUUAAACAAUAGUCAAUUUUAAUAUUCCACAUUUUUUUAUAAUUAUUAAUAAUAUUUAAUAAAAUGACAUUUUAUUUUAAUAGUCAAUUUUAAUAUCCACAUAUUUUUUUAUAUUUUAUUUAUCUUUUAUGAUAACAUGAUAACAAAAAUUAAUUAUAAGGUAUACUCUUUAAUAAAUUAAUUAUUUAUAGCAAUCUUUUGGUUAUGUAAGAUAUGUAUGAUGUAAGCAUAGCACUUUUAUGCAUCUUAUUAUAAUUAUUUUUAAAAUUAUAAUAUAUUUUAACAAGUUAUGUAAGUAAUGUAAUAUAUACUUAAAUUUUAGUAAGUAAUGUAUUAAGUAACAUAUUUAAGUAAUAAAUUUAAACAAAUUUUAGUAAGUAAUGUAUUUUAGUAAUAAAUUUAAACAAAUUUUAGUAAGUAAUGUAUUUUAGUAAGUAAUGUAUUUUAGUAAUAAAUUUAAUCAAAUUUUAGUAAGUAAUUUAUUUUAGUAAGUAAUGUAUUUUAGUAAUAAUUUAAACAAAUUUUAGUAAGUAAUGUAUUUUAGUAAUAAAUUUAAACAAAUUUUAGUAAGUAAUUUAUUUUAGUAAGUAAUGUAUUUUAGUAAUAAAUUUAACAUUCAAUCGCAUAAAUGAGAACUAACGUCGAUAAUUUAUUAAUUGACAAGAUCCUUGAAAAUCGAUAAUUUGUUCACUUUAAAACGAAUCCACUAUUUGCCCAUAAUUUAUUCACUUACUCAAAUAUAUAAACUGAUUUAAGAAUUUUAAUCAUUUGCGUAAUUGUUUUUGCUUGGGUAAAAAAUACGUACAAGAAUUACAAUCAUAGUUUAUACCUUGCAGUUAUGGAAAAAUUUGGCAAAGUAACAUGCAAAUUGAGCUAGCAACAUAUCAAUCAAAAAUGAUAAAUAAAACCGAUACCCACAGCGUAAAAAAAGAAUUCUUAAUUAAAACUCCCUUUUAAAACUCAAAAAUAAUAAUUAAAGUAACAAAAUCCAAAAUUUAAACAUUUGGAGGUGUUUUUUUAAGAAAACCGAGGUGGGAAACAUAGGAAUAAAUACCUCAAUUUCCUGGACUUCGAAGCAAACUACUGAAAAAAAUAAAAAUAAAAAGGAAAACAUAAGUAAGUUAGUUCCAAAUAAACAGGAAAAAAUUAGUAUAAAACUUAAAUAUAACAAAAUCCAAAAUUAAAAAUCUUAUUUGAAUAUUGAAAAAUCAGCACUGAGACAUGUCAAACCAUCCACCACAAACAAUAUACUCCAGGUAGGAGGAAUAAUGCAACCACUUAAAGUUAAUAAAGUAAUGUGGAAGUUACGAUGACACCACUAUGUUCAUUAAAGAACUUCUGAUAUCAGUAUCCAUAACUCUGUCAUGGGAGAUCAACUAUGUCUAGUUGAGAAAUAAGCAAACUAAACGAAUCAGACAUAAUUAUGCACUAUUGCAACAAUGAUUGCAUGGUCCGAAUAAUGGCUCAGCCAAGAAAAUUUUAGGAAAAUGGUUUAUUUAACCUUCACCAGCUACCUUGUGUUUAAAUCUGUGUUAAUUUGAGUCUUUCAGGUGUAAGACCAGACGAGUUAUUUACUAGUAUCUCUUGUCUAGUCCAUAUGCAAAAUAUUAGCAGAGCUAUUAAAGGGAAUGUAUUCUCAAGCUCACCAGCACCAUCCACAAUCAUAUAUACUGACAUAUAAAACAGUUUUGCUUAUUGUCCUAGUUGCCACAUAUGUUUAAAAGGAACCGAGAUUAAACUCUAGAAUCCACAUCCAUAAAGAUGAUAAUCCGGGAGUUUGAGAUAUUCAAAUUUAGUUACCCAUUAUAUCAACCUGAAAUUGCUAGAGUGACCACACCAUCCCCUAUGACCAUAGAAGCACCAAAUACUACCAUGACUAGAAGGGCUGUCCUUACCCUUUUAUGCUACUCCAAAAAUCGCUGUAAUGGAGAAACAACAGGCUGUGUUGAGGACCCAUAUUUGUAUUCGGGCAACCCCUAAAUAAACAAUUUUUUUCCUAAACAAACCCUUCUAUUUAAAUUGCUAAAUAAAUAAUUCACAAGUUCCCCAAAUUCCUAAAAAGAAUGGUGUUUUAACCUAAACCGCAAACCCUAAAAUCUAAUUUUUUUUCUAAACCCCAAAUUCAAAAAGCACAAUGCACCCAAAACCCCAAAUCAAGACGAUGUUCUUCAGAAGGAUUAAAUGCAUACCUUUUAACCAGAUAUUCUGCAACUACUGUCAAGAAUGGCGCAAUCGUUGCUUCCUCUUUGAUGAUUUCUGAUUUCUCCUCCCCUUUCUUCCUUAGAAUAUUUUCUUAGGUUUUUUCCCCUUCCCAAUCGGCCUUUGCACUUGCCUUUUCGUUCUGUCUUUGUCGAGUGAGUAAAAAUGCUAAGUUAAACAACAUCUGCAGAAACGGCAUCGUUGAGAAAAAAUAUUAAAACACCUUUGCGGCGUUUCUUGAAAGAACGCCACUACUUAUUCCAAAUUUCAGGCGUUUAUAGACAAAACGCCACAAAAAAUUAAACCUUUUAACAGAAACGGUGCCGUUUUGUUAGUCUGAAAUUCCAUUUUUUGUGGCGUUUAAUAAAAACCGCCACGUAUACUUAAUCUAUUUUAAGCCAAACGCUGACGUUUUAAAUAAAUUAUUCUAAAAUUUUUCUAAGUUAAAAAUCUGUUCCGGAAACGACGUCGUUUAGCCAUUAUAUUAACACCGUUUUGCGGCAUUUUUGGUACAAACGCCGUAAUUUCUUCCACAUUUCCGGUGUUUUCCUAAAAAAUGCCACUAAAUAUUACAGCUGUGAACAGAAACGACACCGUUUUCGUGGUCUGGAAUUGCAUUAUUUGUGGUGUUUUCCUAAAAAUGCCACUAAAUAUUACAGCUGUGAACAGAAACGACACCGUUUUCGUGGUCUGGAAUUGCAUUAUUUGUGGCGUUUUCCUAAAAACGCCACUAAAUAUUACAGCUGUGAACAGAAACGACACCGUUUUGCGUGGUCUGGAAUAAUUGCAUUAUUUAUGGCGUUUUCCUAAAAACGCCACUAAAUAUUACAGCUGUGAACAGAAACGACACCGUUUUCGUGGUCUGGAAUUGCAUUAUUUGUGGCGUUUUCCUAAAAACGCCACUAGAUAUUACAGCUGUGAACAGAAACGACACCGUUUUGCGUGGUCUGGAAUAAUUGCAUUAUUUCUGGCGUUUUAAGCACAAAUGCCACUAAAAUUUGUCAAACUAAAAUAUACUGUAAACAAACGACACCGUUUACCCAUUUUUUAAAACCCUUUUGUGGCGUUUGAUAUAAAAUCGCCACUAAAAGUUCAAGUUUUAAACAGAAAUGGUGCCGUUUUGCUAGUCUCAAUUUGUAUUAUUUGUUGCGUUUUGUGCAAAAACGCCACGAACACUUAAUUGAUGUUUUAAAUAAAUAAUUGUAAAAUUUUUCUAAGUUACAAAUCUUGUACAGAAACGGCGCCGUUUAGACAUUAUUUUAAUACCCUUUUGCGGCGUUUACUGAAAAAAUGCCGCUAUUGCUUCCAAAAUUUCCUUCGUUUUUGCGAAAACGCCAUAAAAAUUUAAACCUGUAUGCAGAAACGGUGUUGUUUUUUGGUUCUCAAAUUGUUCAGUUUGUGGCAUUUUAUAUAAAAACGCCACUAAUACUUAAAGUACAACAAGCCAAAUGGUGACAUUUAAAGUAAAUAAUUCUAAACUUUUUUAUAAGCUAAAAAUCGUGUAGACGGACGGUGUCGUUUACUCAAAUUUUAAAGACACUUUUGCGGCGUUUCUUGUACAAACGCCAGGACUGCUUCCCAUAUUUGCGGCGUUUAACAGUUAAACGCCACCAAAAGUUUAACUAUUCAUUCGAAAACGGCGCCGUUUUGAAUUUUUUUGUUUUUUUUCAUUUCUUAUGUAUUUGGUCCUAUAUAUAUAUAUAUUUCCAAAAUAAAUAAUUAUACCUAAAUAUAUAACCAUCCAUAUAAUAUAUAUCAAUAUAUUUUUUAACUUAUUUAUGAAUUCUAUUUAAAAUAAUAUUUAAAUAUAUCAAUUGGUACUUUAGAUUGAUUUUUUAAAAUAUUAUUUAAAUAAAUUAAUCUAAACUAACCUAAAAUCCUUAUUUGACCCCUAAACCCCUAAACCCUAAAUCUUUAACCCCUAGAUCGUAACUUGUAACCCCUAAACCCCUAGCUAACUUUUAUAUCCCAAACCCUAAAUUUGUACCCUUAAUCCUUAAAAUAGCACGGCCAUCCAAAAUAAUCCCUAAAUCUUUAAUAAAUAUCAUAAAAUAGUUAUAAUUGAUUAAAUAAUAAUUAAUACUAAAAACUUUUUGUAUAAAGUUUGAAAUUUACCGGAAUGGGCCAUUUUCCGCGAAAUCGCGUCCACGUCAGCGCGAUGUUUGGGUACGCGCCAGGACAUCGCGUCCACGUCAGCACGAUUUGCUUACGUGGAAGAAAUCGCGCCCUCUAGGACGUGAUUUGCUGACGUGGCAUAAACUGUUUGUGUUUUUAGUUUGGAAAACUUUGAAAGGCCAUAACUUUUGGCUCGGUUGUCCGAUUGAGGCGAAUUUUUUUUUGAUUUCAAAUAACUUUUCGAGAUCUACGUGCUGGCAAACCGCCGAAGUUUUCAUCGAAAAAGAUCCUCUUUUGCCCCUCAAUUUUGAUUUUUUCGGUUUAAAAUUGAAUUUUGAAACAUUCAAAUCGUUAUUUUCCUCAUUUAUUUGAAGUAAACACCGGAUAUUUUUUUACACAAUUGUCUUAUAUCAUCCUGUUAUAGGUAUAAGUCAGCUCAUUCCACUUUUGAGAAGUUCCCUAACAUUUUCCAUUUUAUUCAAUUUAGUCCCUAAAACCUAAAUAGUCAUAUUUUCAAAUCUAAGCUUCGUUUUUCAAUUCAAUUUCAAUUUCAUCAUUCUUUCAAUUCAAAUUCACAAAAUUAUUUAAGUAUAUAUUUAAGUGUUAUUCAUGAAUUAUUUGAGCAUUACUAUUCAAAUUAGUAUUUAAAUUAAUAAUAUACUGAAACCAAAUCAUAUACCGAACCGAAAAAUCCUAAACAAAUUUAUUAUUACCUCUUUUACAAUUAUAUAUAUAAGAACAUAUUUAAAAUAUAAUUUGGCAAUACUAAUUAAUCUAAACCCUACGUUCCCUAACCCAACCCCUAGCUAAACCCUAAAUCCUUAAUUAACUCCUAAUAACCCUUAAGUGCUAACCCCAACCCUAACCCCUAAACAUUAUAUCUCAACCCUUACACCAUAUCCCUAAAUCCAAUAUUAUAUAUAUAUAUACUCCUGAUCAAUUAUAAUAAUAACCUUAAAAUAGUAACCCCUAAACCGACUUAAAAUCUUAAAUUAAUAAUAUCAUAUAUAUAUACCCUUAAAACCUAAAACCCUAUAUUAACUAUAGUGAUACGCUUAAUUCAAUAUUUUAAAUUUAAAUUAAUACUUACUAUCUCUUUUAAUUACGAUAAUAAUUUCAAAUUUUUAAUAUAUAAAUUAAAAAACAAUCAGUAAUGUACCCAACAAAAACUUUAAAAUUAUUUUAAAUAAUACUAUUUUAAUUUUUCCAUGUGUUUUAUUUCAAAUUAUUUAUACCUGUUAUUUUUUAUUGAAGAUUUUAAAUAUUCUAUUAGAAAUAUGUUUAAUUUGAUUCAAAUAAUAUAAAUAAUAGUUCAAUUAAGAUAAAUUUUUUUUGCGGCGCAUAAAUAAAAACGCCGCUAAAACACCUAGAUUAGCGGUGCUUUACAAAAAACGCCAUUAAUUCCCCCCCCAAAGGACACAAAACGGCAUCGUCUGGGUGUAUUAUUUGCGGCAUUUUUUAUAAACGCUGCUAAUGUUCACUCUUUAGCGGCGCUUUACAAAAAAUGCCACUAAUUCCCCCCCCCAAAGGCCACAAAACGGCACCGUCUGGGUGUAUUAUUUGCGGCGUUUUUUAUAAACGCUGCUAAUGUUCACUCUUUAGCGGUGCUUUUCCUUAAACGCCACUAAUGCUCACUCUUUAGCGGCGCUUUUCCUUAAACGCCGCUAAUGCUCACUCUUUAGCAACGUUUUUGCUCCAAACGCCGCUAAAAGUGCCGCUAAAAGCUUGUUUUGGUGUAGUGAAAUAAUAAUAAGCAUGAUAAUAGUAAUAACAAUAUUAAAAACAAUAAUAAUAAAAAUAAUGAUAACAUUAUUGAAAUUAAUUGGUUUAAUAGCAAAAAUAUAAUAAGGGACUAAUUUAAAUUGAAAACAGAACUUUGGGGGUCUAAAUCGCAAAAUAAAUUAAAAAGGAAGGGCCACGUCGAACGCGCUGAAAAAUUAGGAGGGGCAAAUGGGAAAUAAUCCCAUUCUUGCAAAACGCAGAGUUCCAGUAGGGACUAAAUUGAAAACGCAAUAAAUUUAUGGGUAAAAUUAAAAAAUUAAAAUAACCUAAUUUAAAAAGCAUUAAAAAAGCGGAAGGGCUAAAGGUGCAAUUAGCCCUUCCGUCGAAAAAACACGUGGAUCCUGAGGGUACGGGUCGGGUCGCGCAAAACGACGUCGUUUCGUACGUUUAUAAAAGCUAAUUUUUUUUUGAAAAAUUUUUCAUUCCUCCGCUUCUUUUUUUUUAAAAAAAAAAACUAAGGUUUCUUUCAAACCUCUCCCUCUCCUUCAGUCAGAACCCAGAAACCGGUGAGUUGGGCCGCCACGUCACCGCCGCGCCGGCGUCGGAAAUUCGAAAAGGUAUUUUUUUACUUCUUUUUUUUAUAUAUACUAUGUAUAUAUUUAUAAUAUGUAUAUUAUUACAAAUCAAAAGUAGAAAAACGAAUAAACAAAUAAAUAAAGUUAGAAAACUAGGAAAACCUUUGUGUUUCUUUGCUUUCUCUUGGAUUUUAUUUCUGAAUGAAACCUCAAAAAACCCUUUUCUUUUACAGCCCCAUUCGGCUUUUUGCCAAAAAAAAGAAAAAGAAAAUCCCCCCCACUUUACAGAUUUGUUUUUUCAUGGCUUUAUAGCCGAUUUUUGUUACAACCCCUUUCCUACUGCUAUUGAGUGUUUUCUUUUCUUUUGCAGGUGCUGCAGGCGGCGGUUGGUGGUGAUGUGAUUGUGACGGUGGCAAGUGGGCAAGUGAUUGUCCGGCGGCGGCACUAGGAGUUAAAGCUGAAACCCUAGUUUGACUAGUUUUUGAGUUUGGGUCUGUUGGGCCUGUAACUAUUGGGUCAACCUUGUAAUUGGGCUUAGGUAGGUUGGGCUGAAAUGGGUUAGGUCAAAAUGGGCCUGUACAAAGAUAUUACAUUAAUAAUAUUUCAAUAAUUAAAAUAUUAUAUAAGCCAUUUUUCCUUAAAAUAUGAAAAUACUAAAACAUAAUCCAGUUUAAUCAUUCUAAAGUUUCUAAUUUUGUUUAAAAGAAUUUUCAAAUAUAUAUGUGUUUAAAUUUAUAUGUUCUAGCAUGAAAUUCAUUAUAUUGUAGUAAGAUUUUAAUAUAACAUGUUUACUUUAACUCAAACAAUUUCACUCGAUUCGGCUCGACUCGAAUUUCAUUUCACUCGACUCAAUUUGGAAAAAAAAUCCAAAUUGAGUUAAGAUGAUAAAAUGAGACUUGUCAACUCGAUUAACUCGAAAUUAUUUUACUCGAUUUGAUCCAACACUCACCCCUAAGAAUUGCAUCAUUGAUACUUAUAACAACAUAAAAAUGUAUACUCAUCUUUUCUAAUCAAUAUGCAGGCACGAAAUGGAAAUUUCCAUGAAAAAAAUGUAUCGCGUAUGAAAAAGUAAGUUCCAUGACAUCGGCUGAAGCAAUAACAAUAAUUGCAAAAAGACAUUGACUCCAUCAGCUUGGAAACUAUAACGUAUUUGCUACGACUGGGUUUUUUUCGCGUGUCACCCGUUAGGCUUUCAAUUAUGUAGUAAAUAUAAUCUAUUUCAAUUAAAAAAUAGUAGAAUUUUGUAAUUCAUUAUGAACCCAAAUUAUUGGCAAAGUUAAAAUUAACUUUUUUUGACAAAAAUUUUGGGUGUGUAGUAUUUAUGUGUAAUCCAAUCUUUUCAUCAUAUAUUCUGAAUAAGCUAAAAGGUAUGGAAUGGUGUCUACCUUUGCUCAUCCAUGUCAGACUUGCAUCUCCUUGAAUUAACCUUGAUUAUCGGUCUUCACUAAGGACUUAUAGUUAUACAAGUCAAGAGCAAAAAGGAUAUGUCCCCUAAUAUCACUUUGGGUGAUGAGUCCUUUGUGAACCAUUCCAUCACCUUCGUAUGUCAUAUCAUAUUUAAAAUAUUCUACUUUAAACACCUAUCAAUGCGAAUCCAUUUAAUGAUAAAUCAAAGUAUGACGGUCAACAUACAAAGAGAGUUUGUGUCUUAAGUCUAAGGAUUAUUUACACUACCAAUACACGGGAGUAUUUCUAUAAACAUUUGAGUGAAAUACCAAAUGGAACUCUCAUAAUUGGCCAAGUUAUAUUUUAUAAUUUUUUCGAACUUUUUAAAAAUCAUUAAUAUUUUAUUUUUUAUAUUUGUAAUACAAUAAUUUUUAUAAUUUUUUAUAACUUUUACAUUUUUAAAAAUAUUUUAAUAACUUGAACAUCAACAUACUUCCACUCGGCAUGUCACAUGUCAACUUGUCAUAGCUUCCGUCAACUAAUCAACAACCAAUAUUGAUAAAAUCAGUCAACAACAAUGUUCGUUAACAAAAAUAGCCAAUUAAUUUUUUUCUCAUUGAAUGCUCAAUUGGGUCUGUUUUUCUAUUAUGAGCUUAAUUGAUUUUUUAAUUUUUUACUAAGAUAUUUUUCCUUUAACCUUAUAUUAAUAUUCAUUACUUUAUUAAAACACUUACUUUUAGGUAAUUAUUUUUCCAACCGAAAUGAUAUCGAAUUAACUCGUAACACAAAUUCAAUAAAAUAUACUAUAUAAACAUAUAUAUAAAUUCAUUAAAAUCUGUCAAUAGUGAAAACACCAUUAAUUUGUCUGAAGUCUCUACUUUUUGGAUCUUAAUGAGGGAGAAAUUUCUUAGAUAGAAACUGAAGACGAUAUUUAAAGUAAAUGCCACGUUAAAAGCUCAGUUCUUUGGAAAAAUAAAUUCCAUCACGACUGAACCAAAAAUUCCCUUGUGUCAUAAUCUUUUGUGGAAAAUUAGGCACUUAAUGGAAAAGUAUAUCCACAAAAUGAUAGAAAAAGGCUUUGGGCCACAAUUAAAUCAACAUCUUUAAAUUGUUAAACCAAAUUAAAGAUGGAAUCGUCGUUGUCAUGGGAUCUACACGGGGUGUUCCAGUUUUACGUAUAAUGAAUUUCUAAUGUUUUUUGCAUGAAACUUUUGAUUCAAUGAGAAAGGAAAUAUUUUCAAAAUCAUGCAGUUUUGGAUUCAAAUUAAGCUUUUUUUUCCAAGCAAUUGCAAAAAUUUGUUUCGACAACUAUUAUCAGAUAAAAGUGUAAUUAUUAAAUAGUAAUUACAAAAGAUUUAUAAUUACAAAGAAUUAUGAUUUCCUAGACAUAUUUGGUGACGGAGUGUAAUUAGAUCAUAAUUUCCUAUAUCAUAUUUCGUAGUACAAAUUGUAAAUUAUAAUUUAUAAUUACAUAGUUACUUAAUAUAUUUUUAAAAAAUUAUUAAUUACUAUAAUAAAUUAUCAGUAAAAUUAAAAAAUUUCUAAACAAGUAACAAAAAUUAAAAUAAAAUCAUCAUAUUUAAUAUGUUAAUCCAAGAAAAUAAUCGAUAAUACAAUUACUAAUAAAAAUUAUAAGAAAGAUGAUUUAUGUUAGGUUAUAACAAUUUUUUUUUUUUGAACAAUCAGAUUUGAACCUAAGCUAUUCCUUGAAAAUAUGAAAAGAAAUUGGCAAGCUUUUUGAUCUAUCAUAUCUAAACCUCAGCUUCAACCAACUCUCAGGUCCUAUCCCUAUCUUGUCUGCUACUGAUCUCUACAUUGUCGACGCUGGAAAUGGUUGUAACAAGAUUUCUCCCGAUCCAUUUGAAGGCAAUAGUGAUUUAUCACCCUAUAUGUGUCCUACUCCAGUAACCAAAAAAGCCAACAGCAGCAGAAUUCCUUAUUAUAUCAAAAUAUUCCUCCCUAUUGCGAUCUUAUUCACAUUCUCCAUUUUAGGAUGUUUGCUCUUAGUGGAUGGUCCGGCGAGACACCUUCUCAGGCAGACUCAAUGAGAGAGUUAAUGUUGUCUAUACUGUUGACACGUGUCCAUGUGGCGGGGUAUAACAUUCAUCAUCUAAAUUAAAAUCUGAAUAUGCAUAAUUAAGAUUAUCUAGAUCAUUUUUUUUAUCUGUAUCAUUAAGAUUAUUAAUAUCUGUUUUUUUUCUAUGUACUGUUUAAAAGUAUUGAUAAUUCCAAUUCCACCUAUAAAUGGAAUUGUGAAAUAUACAACAAGUUAGAACGAUUGAACAUUGUUUUUCAGACUAUAUUAAUGUGGUUUGUUAAUAUGGGAAAUAUUUUUUUAGAACAACAAAUAUUGGCCUCUCAACCACAUUUCAAAGCUUUGAAUAAAGAGUUUACGAGCUGUGUUCGGUACUUGUGUCUAGCUUUGUUCUUUCAAAUGAUAUCGUACCCCGUGAUAUAUUGUAAAAAAACCUUUUGCAUUUGCAUAAUCAACAUCUACCACAUAAUAUUUCCUAAAAAACAUGUAACAGUUUAAAUAAUUUGUGAGAAAAAUAAAAUAACAGCAAGGUGAUGAUAAUAUUAAUGUAUUUAUGAAAUACAAUUUUGAUCUAUUUUCUCUCCCAAAGAUCAUUCUUAGCAUUCUAGUAUUUGAGGCACAAAUCAACUUUAUAAUAUAAUAGUUUUUAUAAAUCCAAUUUGCAGUUUACUAUGUGUUCAAAUAAUAAACCAAAUUAGAUAAAAGAAAUAAUAUAAAUUUUAUAAUAUAACAUUUAUAAACAAUGUUUUCUAUAAAUUGCUGAAUAGCUUUUAUGGUGCUUAUGUUAAAGUGCUCAAAUAUAUGGCCAUACAAGAAUAGUAUAAAAAUUAUAAUACAUGCUUUACAAGCACAAUUUGUUAGGUUAAAAUUUGCUUUAUAAAACACAGGAGUUAAGUGAGAUGAAAAGGGUUUCUCCUACCUUAAUCAGUAAUCGAGGGUUUGAUCCUCGCCUAAGUAUGGAGUAGCUUUAAAACUUGUGGCUAGCAUCUACCCCCUUAAUGGGCCUACAGAAUGCGAAGGAUUAGUUACCGGGCUCGCUUUGGUAGAUACAUUGAGGAAUCAAAAAAAAUUUUACAAGAAAUUUUUUGACUUAUGUGUCUAAUAACAAAGCAGUUUUGACCCAAUAAGAAAUAUAUAAUUAUAUUUUAAAAAAUAUAUAAAAAUAUAUGCCAUAAAAUUAAAAUGUUUUAUUAUUAUUGUAUUAAAAUAAAUUUUAUAAACUUGUAUAAAAAAUAAUUUCUUAAAUCAUGUACGUGUGUUUGAAAGACUAUAAGAUAAUUAGUAAUUGAUUGUAAUUACUCACGUAAUUACCUCAACUCUCAACUCCCUAAGAAUUGAAUAGUAUAAUUGAGGUGCUAUAAUUAUAUUCAAUUUAGUGGACCCAACAAUUACAAUAGUUAGCCAAACAUACUAUUCCUUUGCACUUGCAAGUAAUUACACUUAAAUCUAAUAAUUAAUUCACAUUGAAAUUUUCAAAAUCAUACACUUUGGGGUCUAAAUUAAACUGAUUUUUUUUUUAGUUUCCAAACAAUUGCAAAGAAAAUUCAUGAAAUUAAGUUGUUUUCAAAUAAUUAAUUCACAUUGAAAUUUUCAAAUAAGAUAUCACAUUACUAAUACUUCAAUCAUUAAAAUAUUAUAUAAGACAUUUUGCCUUAUACAAGAAAAUAUGAAAAUACUAAAACUUAAUCCAGUUUAAUCAUUCUAAAGUUUCUAAUUUUGUUUAAAAGCAUUUUAAAAUAUAUAUGAUUUAAAAUUUGUAUGUUUUAACAUGAAAUUCAUUAUAUUGUAGCAAGAUUUUAAUGUAAUAUGUUUAAUUUUUUUAAUUUGAUUCAAACAAUUUCACUCGAUUCAGCUCGACUCGAAUUUUAUUUCACUCGACUCAAUUUGAAACACUACACCAGAACAGGCUUUUAGCGGCAUAUUUUGUGGCGUUUUGAUAACAAACGUCGCUAAAAAUCGAGCAUUAGCGGCGCAAAGAAUAAAACGCCACUAAAGAUCUAGCAUUAGUGGCGCUUCUUAUAAAACGCCGCUAAAGAACAUAAUUCGCGGCAUUUACCACACAGCGCCGCAAAAUCUCAAGACCAACACGCAGCGUUCUGGUCUUGAUGUAUAUUGGCAUUAGUGGCGCUUACAAACAAACGCCGGUAAUGUAUAGUAUUAGCGGCGCUUAGCGGAAGCGCCGCAAAAGAUGUUAACCAAAACGCAGAGUUUGGUCUUGAUGUAUAUUGCAAUUAGUGGAGCUUAUAAAGAAAAUACCGCUAAUGUAUAGUAUUAGCGGCGCCGAACGUUAAACGCCGCAAGUCAUCUUAAUCAAAACGCAGCGUUUUGGUAUUGAUGUAUACUAUAAUUAGUGGCGUUUAAGGAAAACGCCAGUAAAGGAUAGUUAUAGCAGUGUUUGGUGGUAAGCGCCUCAAAAUAUCUUAACCAAAACGCAGAGUUUGGUCUUGAGGUGUAUUAGAAUUAGUGGCGCUUGCUGAAAAACGCCGAUAAAGUAUAGUAUUAGCGGCGUUUGUGGAACGUGCCGCAAAGUGUCUUAACCAAAACACAGCGUUUAGUUCUUGAUGUAUACUGGAAUUAGUGGCGCACAUGGGAAAACGCCGCUGAAGCAUAGUAUUAGCGGCGCUUUUACCGAAACACCACAAAAAACCUAAGCCAGACGACAUCGUUUCGAAACUUUUUAGUGCUUUAGCGGCGUUUUUCCUUAAAGCGCCACAAAAUCAUUUUAUAUGUUUUUUAUAUUUAAUUUGUUUAUUUAUAUUAAUUAAAAUUCAAUUUAUUUUUAAUUGAAUAUUUGUUAAAAAUGGAAAAAUUGAAAUAGUAUUAUUUAAAAUAAUUUUAAAAAAUGUUAGGUACAUGACUGAUUGAUUUGUAAUUUAUAUAUUAAAUAAUUUCAUAUAUAAUUAUAAAAGAUACGAUAGUAUUAAUUUUAAAAUAUUUAAUUAUUUAUCAUUAUAGUUUAGGAUUUAAUAUAUAUGCGGUUUAGGGUAUACGGUUAAUUUAAGAUUUAAGGUCGGUUUAAGAGUUACAAUUUUAACGUUUAUAUAGAUUAUGGAAUUAUGGAUUCUGGUUAAUUUAAGGGUUGUAAUUUAAGGGUUAUAGAUUAAGAGUUAGGGAUUUAAGAUUUAUGGAUUCGGUGUUAGGUUAGGCUUUAGGGUUUAGAUUAAUUAGUGUGUUUUAAUUUUUAUAAAAUAUGGUUUAAGGGUUAGGGGUAGGGAUUCGGGUUAGGAUUUAGGGUUUUGAUUAAUUAAUAUUUUUUAAUUUAUGUAUUAAAUAAGGUUUAGGGUUAGUAUAGGUUAGGGUCGGGGUUAGUGGUUUAAGGGUUAGAAGAUAAGAGUUAGUGAUUUAGGGUUUGAAAAUUCGGGGUCGGGUUAGGCCUAUUGGGAACUUUAGUGGCGCUGCAAAAUUUUUAUUUUAUUUAAGGGUUUACGUUAUAGAAUAUAUGAUUUAAUGGCCAUGGUUUAGAGUUUUAGGGAUUACAGUUUAAUGUUUAUUAUUUUGGGUUAAUAGUUUAUGUGUUAGAGUUUGUGUUUAGGGUUUAAGGAUACUGUUUAAAAAUUGAAGAACAUUUAGAUUUUACUAAAGAUUCAUGCAAUUUAAUAUAUGAAUAUAAAAUAUAUGUUUUGUACAGUAACAUUGGCCACGCAAUUACCCUAAAAUAUGGUUUAGGAAUAUUACGGUUUGGGACUUUUGGUUUUGACUUUUACUGUUUGGGGUUUUGGGGUUUGGGGUUUGAGGUUUGGGGUUUGGGGGUUGGGGGUUGGGGUUUGGUUUUUGAGGUUUAAGGUUUAGAAAUUAUAAUUUAAGCAGGUUUAAAACACGAAUUUAUUUUUUUAAAUGUAUUACUCUCUCAUUUUUUUAUUAUUAAUUUUUCCAUUUUAUAACUUUGGUUUUAAUUUUGGAUCAAUUUAACUUCAAUCUUGGAUGACACUAUUUUGACAACUCACGUGCUAGUAUAUUUGUAUUCUAUUCUUAGCGUAUAUAUAAUUUAAAAUAAAUUAUAAAUAUUUUUAAAUUUUGUAGAAAUUUUAAAUUUUUUUGCAAUGAAAGUCGUUAGAGGUGUUUAUCUCAAAACGUCGGAAAGAGUAUUUAACGUUAAGUAAAACUGCAUCGUUUCCUGUCACUAGGAAGGGGAACGGCGCCGUUUUGUUCAUCUGUAUUCGCGGCGCUUUGAAAAACGCCGCCAAGUUCGAUUAGGAGUUAAUGAAACUGCGCUGUUUUACGUUGCUAUUAGUGGCGCUUUUCAUGAAACGCCGCAAAAUUGUAUUUAUGUUUAUUGAAAUGUUGUCAUUUUUGUCUAUUGUAUUAGUGGCGUUUUUCGAAAAUGCCACAAAAUUGGGUAAACUGUUGGGGAAGCGGCUUCGUUUUGACUUAUAGUUAGUGGCGCUUUACUUAAAACGCCACAAAAUUGUUCUAACAUUUGUUGAAACGUUGUCGUUUUGUAAAUGUAAUUAGUGGCAUUUUUGAGAAAACGCCAGGGGUUUGAGGUAAGUGUUGAUGAAGCGACUGCGUUUUGAAUUAUAGUUAGUGGCACUUAGUUUAAAACGCCGCAAAGUUUUGACCUAUAUUUUGUGGCGCUUUGCUUAAAACGCCGCAAAAAUGUUUUUCAAUGUUUGAUUCGAUGCCGUUUAUCUAUAUUAUUAGUGGCGUUUAUAGGGAAACGCCACAUUUUUCAGCUAUUUGUUGAUGAAACGACCGCGUUUCAAUUAAAUUUAGUGGCGCUUUGAUGUAAACGCCGCAAAUGGAUAUUUUUUUAGAUGAGAACGGCGUCGUAUUUUUUCCAUCAGUCUGACCAAAUAUUACACCCGAUAUUUCUCCAUCACUUAUUCCCCAAAUACUCAUUCUCCCCGAAAUCCCUAAAAUUUCCCCUAAUCCCUAACAGCCCCCCAAACCCGACCACCUGCUACUCUGCCGUCUCUUGUGCUGCAUCACUCUGCCCGUCCAUUUUUGGCACUGCAACCAUCGGUAAGUUUGAGUACUUCGUUCUUCGUUCUUUUUCUUCAUGCAUUAAUGUCUCUCUGUUGCUUCUUCAUUGCUGUUGUUUUGACUCCUUCCUCGUAGCAACCCACACUUUCAAUCUUCCAACUUUCCCAGAAGCUCCAAGGCUGAAACCGAGAAGAAGAAGCUGCAAUUAGUAAUUUCAGAUUCCAUCUUCAGUUUUGGGCAAUACCCUUUCCAAGGUAUAAAGCUGUCGAUAUUAAUUUCAUCAUUUAAAAUUAGUGGCUUUGGGUCCUUAGUUCUGAUAUGGUUACUUUUAUUGGACUCGUUGAUGCUCAAAAAUCGGUCCUUUAUGCAUAAAUGGGUCGAUGCUUUUGAUUAGUUUGAUAGUGGGUUUAGGGUACCACGUGUUUCUUUUAUGUGAAAUGCCUUUAGUCUGCUAUAUAUAUAUGGCGUGGAAAAGUUAUUGGCAUCUGUUAUAUCUAAUGAAUUUGUUUUAAAAACUUUUCAAUGGGAAACUUUUUUGUUAAAGGAAAACCAUUCUUCUGUUUGAUUAUAAUGAAUAUAUAUAGGCUUCCUUUUACCAUUUCUGAUUUGGUUUGAUUCUGUUAUAACUUGUUAUAACCAAACUGAAAUCCGAAUUCAAUUGCUAUAGGUGCCUAACUGUUAUUUUGCAGUAAUGGAUUUAGAGUUAAAGUGUUUUAUUUUUUUCCUGUUUAUUUGGGUGUAAUUUUCAUAUGUUUUCCUUUUUUUUGCAAUAUUUACUCCUAUUUUAAAUUUAUUUUGCAUGCAUUCCAAUUUUAGAUGAAGUGGUUGUAUGUUUGAAAUCGAAGUCAAUAUUUACUUUCAUAUUUCUUUCAUGCCAUUCCCAUCAAUCAUUUCAGCACUAGGCAUGAAUUCAAAAUUAUUCAGGUAUCCUGCAAAUCGCAUUGUUGAUAAGGAUGCAAAAUUUGUUUUCUGAUGUUAAUAUAGCCUUGAUUUUUCUCAUGUAUAGUUGUUAGUUGUUAUGGGUAAAUUUUAUAUAAUUUUAUUUAAUUUUAUAAUUAUUUGAAUAUAUAUUCAUAAUUAUACUGUAUUUAUAAUUAUCGAUUUUCAAUUUUAUCGAUUUACAAUUUUAUUUCAAUUAAUAAAUGUUUAAUAAUCAAUUAAUAAAUUGAUCGAUUAAUUGAUUGAAUAUCAAUGAAUUAUCAAUUUUGGUUAGCUAAUUGAUUGAAUGUUUAAUAAAUUCAUUAUAUAAUGAAUUCUCAAAAAAUUAUUACUUGAUUGCAUGUUUAAUAUAAAUAACUUAUUAUGAUAUAUAUUUUAAAGUUAAUAUAUAAUUUCAAUAUUUAUUAUAUUUUUAAAUAUAUUUUUACAAUUUAAUUUAACUUAUUGAUAAUAUAUCUAUUGUUAAGUAAUAAUUUUUUAAAAUUGAUAUCUUACAUUACUUAAAUAUAUAUUUUAAGUAUAUUCUACAUGACUUACAUAUUACUUACUAAAACAUAUUUUUUACUAAAAUUUACUUUAAUAUAUUACUUGAAUAUAUUACUUAAAUAAUUUACUUAAAUACAUUACUUACUAAAAUUUGUUUAAAUUUUAAAUACAUUACUUGUUUAAUAUAUUACUUACUAAAAUUUAAGUAUAUAUUACAUUACUUACAUAACUUGUUAAAAUAUAUUAUAAUUUUAAUAUUUAUUAUAUUUUUAAAUAUUUUUUACAAUUUAAUUUAACUUAUUAAUAAUAUAUAUAGUCCGGAAGUAAUAAAUUUUUUAAAAUUAGAUCUUACAUUACUUAAAUGUAGAUUUUAAGUAGAGUUUACAUGACUUAUCGACUACGAAAACAGAUGUUUUUACUAAAAUUACUUGAAUAUAGUUCGUAAAUAAUUUACUUAAAUAAUUACUUAAAUACAUUACUUACUAAAGUUGUUUAAAUUUUAAAUACAUUACUUAAAUAUAUAUUACUUACUAAAUUUAAGUAUAUUUACAUUACUUACAUAACUUGUUAAAAUAUAUUAUAAUUUUAAUAUUUAUUAGAAAGUAAGAUACAUAAAAGGUGACCUUACUAUGAAUAUUUACUUACAUAAUCAAUUUUGUAUUUACAAGAACUUACAUAACUUAUUAAUAUUCAAUAAACUUAUCUAACUAUCACACAUACACUUAUUAAACUUACAUAAUACAUAACUUGCAUGUUAACUUACAUAAUACAUGACUUAUAUAAAAUUCUCAAAUAAACUUACAUAAUACAUUAGUUACAUAAUAACUUAUAUAAACUUACAUAAUACACAUUACUUACAUAGCAUACAUAACUUACAUAAUACACAACUUAAAUAGCUUACUUAAUACAUAACUUACAUAACUUAUACACGUACAUAACUUACAUAAUUUACUUAAUACAUAAAUAUAUAUCAUAUGAUAUAUAUUUAAAAAAACUCAUUUGUAGUUACCACUGAACAACUUACCCUUGUAAUUUCUGGUGAAAAUCAGACAUCAAGAAAUAAGAAAUGGACUGGUCUUGGAUGAAUUUGUUAAGGGUAAGCGACGGUUAUCGAAAUGGAGUACAAACUUUUCUAAAUUUUGCAUUUCAAUAUGCAAGCCAGGAGAACAUGAUUCUUUGCCCAUGUAAGAAGUGUGUCAACAUAAACUGGCAUUAUCGUGAAGUUGUAUACGAGCAUCUAAUUGUUGAUGGGUUUGUUCGGGGUUAUAAACAAUGGCUUUUUCAUGGAGAAUGCCCGCCUAGUACUUCCUCUUCAAGGAUGGAUGUAUCUUAUGACAGUACUACUUACCACCAGUCUGUUAGAUGGGAUGACAUGGAAGGGAUGUUGCGGGAAGCAUUUAAUAUUCACAAUCAUGGUUUACAGUCGUUCCCAGCCGACUUUGUUGCAUAUGAUGAUUGUAAUAUCGGUGGAAAUACUUUUACCGAACCCAGAAGAAGUGUACAUCAUGAAGAGCCGAAUGGAGAAGUGGUGAAGUUCUACGCGCUACUUAAUGACAUGAAUGAAGAACUGUUUGAGGGAUCAAAAUUCUCAAAAUUGUCUUUUUGUAUUCGUCUUUUCCAGUUAAAGUGUUUGGAAGGGUGGACCGGGAACUCUUUAACAAUGCUGUUAGAGUUUUUGAGAGAGAUGUUUCCAUUUGCAAAAAUCCCUCAAUCAUGCAAAGAUAUGAAGAAAAUGAUAAAAGACUUAGGUCUUGGGUACACCAAAAUCCAUAGUUGCCCAAUGACUACAUGUUGUAUUGGGGCGAUCGAAGAAACCAGCAGUGCUGUCACAUAUGUGGCCAAUCACGUUGGAUAAAUAGAAACACAGAAGAUGGGAACGACGAUGAAAAUGAUGCACAGCCAAGAAAGAAGCCGGUCAAGAUUUUACGGUAUUUUCCGCUCAUACCAAGGCUUCAAAGGCUUUUCAUGUCGUCGAAGACAGCGGGGUCUAUGAUGUGGCACCAUGAUGGACGAACCGAUGAUGGGAAGAUGAGGUAUCCGGCAGAUUCUUUAGCUUGGAAAUCAUUUGACAAUAAAUUUCCAAGCUUUGCAAGUGAUCCUAGGAGUGUAAGGCUUGGCUUAGCAUCUGAUGGAUUUAAUCCGUACAAGAUCAUGAGUACUGCGUACAGUACUUGGCCAGUAGUGCUUGUUCCUUACAAUCUGCCUCCGUGGAUUUGCAUGAAGCAAUCUUCCCUUAUCUUAUCUAUGAUUAUCCCUGGAGAGAAAGGGCCCGGGAAUGAUAUCGACAUUUAUCUACAGCCACUUAUUGAAGAGUUAAAACAAUUGUGGGCUGGUGUCGAGACAUACGAUGUGCUGAGAAAGGAGAACUUUAAUUUACAUGCAGCUUUGAUGUUGACCAUUAAUGACUUUCCCACUUAUGCCAAUUUAUCCGGUUGGAGUACCAAGGGUCGUUAUGCGUGUCCUUGUUGUGCUGCACAAACAUGUUCGCAAUGGUUGUACAAUGGGAAGAAGUUCUCUUACAUGGGGCACCGUCGAUGGUUACCGAAAAAUCAUAGAUUUAGAUUUUAGAGUUCUGUAUUUGAUGGUACUGAAGAGUUCAGAGAAGCUCCUUCGCAGACCAGUGGCUCUGAAAUCUUGUUCAUGUUGGAAGAUAUGAAUUUCAUUUAUGGGAAGAUGAACCAACCGUCAGACACGCAAAGAAAUAGAAGAUCCAAUGAUGAAGCUGAUAAUGACUCUGAUGAAAAGGACGAUCCUAAUAAGGCGGACUUGUGGAAAAAAAGAAGUAUUUUUUUGAGUUGCCUUAUUGGGAGCAUCACCUUCUACGACACAAUCUUGAUGUUAUGCACAUUGAGAAAAAUGUCUGCGAGAACAUUGUGGGUACAGUUUUGAAUGUCGACGAAAAAUCAAAAGACAAUCUUCAAAGUCGACUUGAUUUAGUCCAAAUGGGAAUCCGACCUGAUCUUCAUCCCAAUCCACUUCCGAAUGGGAAAUAUCGGUUGCCGCCUUCUAUAUUUUCAAUGUCCAAGACGGAAAAAGAAGUGUUCUGCAAGGUGUUGAAAGAUAUAAAGGUUCCAGAUGCGUAUGCAUCGAAUAUAUCUCGAUGUGUUAGUGUUAAAGAUCGAAGAUUAUAUUCGCUAAAAUCACAUGACUAUCACAUCUUGAUGCAAGAUUUACUGCCAGUGGCUCUACGAUGUUGUAUGUCCAAGAAGGUGACGUCUUGUAUAAUUGAACUAUCCAACAUAAUGAAAGCCAUUUGUGGCAAAGUUUUGGACGUUCAAGAACUUCAGAAGGUACAGGAUCGAGCCGCUUUGACUUUAUGCAACAUGGAAAAAAUCUUCCCACCUUCCUUCUUCACCGUUAUGGUUCACUUGAUAAUCCAUCUCCCGCACGAAGCAAUUUUUGGCGGACCCGUUUUCUAUCGAUGGAUGUAUCUCAUAGAAAGGUGUUAAUUAAAAAAGUAUAAGUUUUCCUUCAUUCACCUCUAUGCCUUUACUUUCAAUAAUUAAGAAAUGUUGUAUAUUCUGUUUAGGUUUCUAUCCAAAUUAAAGUCGUACUGCCGCAACAAGCGAUAUCCAGAAGGAUCGAUUGCUGAAGGCUACUUGGCAGAAGAAUGUAUGACCUUCUGCUCAAGAUAUUUGGAAGAUGUUGAAACAAGGUUAAACAGACCAAAUAGGAAUGCUGGACUCACGGACCAUAACUUAGCCGAUACUUAUUUGUUCCAAAGUUUUGGAGAACCAAUCGGAAAAGUUGAAAUUGCAGAAUUAGAUCAUUUAUCGUGGGUACAAGCACAUCGAUAUGUUCUGUUUCACCACGAAUCAUUGGAACCUUUACGGAAGUAAGUUCUACAAAUUUUGAUAAAUAAUUUAUCAAACUAAUAACUAUUUAUCUUCUAACAAAGAUUUUGCGGUAUUUUUUUAACAUAGUGAGUACAAACAAAUAUUGAGAUCUCGUUCGCGCUCCUGAAGAACACAACAUCGAGAUAUCAAUAAGUUGUUUACAGAAUCUUUUUAUGAAUGGUUAAGCCAAACGGUAUGCAGUUCGAGCUUCCGCUUACAAAUAAUAAUGUUUUCUCAUAACAUUUUUAGUUACUCAGUUUACUUUUCAUUCAAUAGGUUUGGAGUGGGAAGAACGUAAACGACGAUGUUAAAUGGCUCUCCCAAGGUCCAAAUCGAGUGGUUAAAAGAUAUAGUGUGUUCCUCAUCAACGGAUUCAGAUUUCAUACAAAAUAUCGCGAGAGGUUGAGGAGAACGCAAAAUUGUGGAAUAGUUGUCAAUUCUGCAAUUACAAGUUAUGCUAGUGCUAGGGACAAUAAUCCUGUCGAGGGAAAUGUGGAAUAUUUCGGACAUCUUACUAACAUAAUUGAGUUGGAUUACUACGGUAAAUGGAAAGUUGUCUUAUUUCGUGGUGAUUGGGCCGAUGUUAAUACAGCUCGUGGAAUUAAGCAAGAUCAAUUUGGUUUUACAAUGGUGAACUUUGACCGAUUGAUUCACACAGGACAACAACUGAUAGAUGAGCUGUAUGUAUUCUCAUCUCAAGUUUUUUACUCAAAAGAUCCAACUGAUGAGGGUUGGUACGUUGUACUCCGUAACAUCCCUAGAGACUUGUUUGACAUGGGCAGUGGAAGUAGAGAUAACAUCGACGACAGAUCAGUAACUUUGCCCUUUCCAGAAUAAAACUUAAACGAUAAUAUCCCUAGUACUAGUGCACAAUUUCAAUGGGUCCGUCAGGAUACCGAUGAAGAUAUUUACGAAUAAUGAUGUAGUAAGAUUUUACGAUUGUUUAAUUAUAUGUAAUAUCAUAAUUUAAAUCUUCGUCUUAUUAUAUAUUUCAACUGUUUUAUAUGUGCUGUUAUUGUUGUAAUUAGUUAUUAAGUUAUUAACUAUUUUAUGUGUAUUGUAGAUAAAAUGCCUAGAAGAAAAAUUCUAAGGGGAAGCGUUGUUCAAAAUAAUCCAAACUCGACAGAAAUAAAUAGUACUGAACAACAGACAGCAGUUGGAUCUUUGAAUGUUCCGAUUACAGCUGAGGAUCCUACAGAAGUUCAAAGUAAGUUUACAUUUAAUUUACAUGCGUGUUGACUUAUAGUUGAUUUAUUUUUCAAAUUCUUAUGUUAUAAUAUACCAUUUGUAGCUGAAAAUGGUGGGACGCGCAGAGGUCGAGGACGUACGCUACUUAGAGAGUUAUACGAGUUAGAUCCAGUCAAGCGUGUCAAAGUUGGACGAAAUAGUUUUGGUCAGCCUGUUGGAUCAGAAGCUCGACUUUUAGAAGGAUACAUGAGCAUUUUAGCACGAAAUCCGAAUAUGUUGCCUAUCAACUACGAGUCAUGGCAUCAAAUGCCCGAUAGCAACAAAAACCAAGCCCUCGAUAAUAUUAACGUAACAAAAUGCUAAUGCCAUCUGUAAUGCUUGGGAAAUAGUUUCAUUUAUAUUUACUUUAUUAACUUGUGCUUUUUGUUUUUUGUAGGCGAGGUUUGCUUUAGAGGUCUCGGAUGAUUAUGUAAAGAAGGCAUUGGGAAAAAGAUGGAGAGACAAUAAAAGAACUUUGAAGAAAAUUUAUUAUAAAACAAAAACAACCCUCGAUGAGAAAUUGCAAAAUGUCUCGCCUGGUAUGUUAAGGUACCAAUGGGAAGAUGAGGUUAGAUUUUGGCAUUCGAAGAAAGGCGAGGUAUGACGUACUUCCAAACUAUUGUAAUUAUUUUGGUUUAUAGUAUUUUCUAUUUACGUACUAAAAAUUUCAUAACGUAGGAUCGUGAACAAGUUGGAAAAAGUAGCAGGCAGAAACAAAAAUUCACCCACACAGUCGGGUCAAGAAGUUUUGCAUGUGUAGCUGAGGCGGAGGUAUUUUUAAUUUAUUUAAUAUUGUCGAAUAUGUAUAACAUUCUAUUAAAUAAUAUUUAUACUACCAUAUUGUAGGAUCUGUCGUCCGGUCAAAAAGUUGGACGCCUUCAACUUUUUGAAAUUACACAUAGGAAGAAAGAUAGAUCUCUCAUGACUCCUCAAGCUAGUGAAAUAAUGGUACGUUUACUUAAUACAAUUUGACUUAUUUUAGUUAUUUUUAGUGUUUAUUUUCUAAUGGUUUAAUUCAUUGCUUGUAAUGCGACUAUUGUUAUGUUGCAUAUGUUUUUUAAUAAAUAAUAUUGCAUUCCUAACUAUGUGAUUUAUUUAUUAGGAAAAACUAAAGGAUAAAAAGGCGGAGUACGAAGCGAUUGCUUCUAGUGAUAGUUCUGUUCAUCUUGAAGACAUUGAUAACCGGAUUAUUACUGAAGUUUUGGGUCCUGAAAGGUAUGGUCGGGUUCGAUUUCAAGGAUCUUUUGUUAGCCCAACCCAAUAUUUUGGAUCCAGCUCCCACCAAUACAUGGCUUCGGGGAGUCAGGCUCAAGCUGAAGUUCAGAGGUUGAAAGACCAGAUGGCUGAGAUUCAGGCGACCACAGUUGAGGUUCAAAGGAAAUAUGAAGAACUCCAGCUACAACUUAAAGCAGAGGUGGCAGCGAGGGAAGCAGAGGCCGCAGUGAGGGAAGCAGAGGCUGCAGCGAGACAAGCAGAGCAGUCCAAAAAGUACGACGAACUCCAGCAAUAGCUUCAGACUGUGAUGAAGAUGUUUCAGUCGCAAAUUCCGCCUUCAUAGUGUAUGGCAUAAAUAUUUUUAUCAUUUUAACAUUUAACAUUUUUGCAAAAAUACUAUGAAUUCACUUUUAUUCAUUGAUAUUAAUAUUAUUUUAUUCGUUUAAUUUGAAAUAUUAUAUAAAUUUAUUGCGUUUGGCUGGUUUAAAUCUGGUUGCUUUUGAUUUGUUGCUACAGGAGGGCUAAAAAAAUGAAAAAUUUAAUAUAAAAAAAUCCCAAAAAUAGUGGCGUUUUUGUAUAAAAGCGCCGCUAAAGAAUUCUUUAGCGGGGUUUUAAAAAAAACGCCACUAUUUUUCAUGUUCUUUAGCGGCGCUUAAGUAUAAACGCCGCUAAAGAACAUGGUCUUUUAGCGGCGUUUUUUUCUAAGCAACGCUAAAGAAAAUGGUAUUUAGUGGCGUUUUUUUUGUAAGCGCCGCUAAAGAACAUGUUCUUUAGCGGCGUUUUUUUCUAAGCGCCGCUAAAGAACAUGGUCUUUAACGGCGUUUUUGUUUGUAAACGCUGCAAACGUUUGCGACGUUUUCGUUAGCGGCCUUUUUUUAGUGGCGUUAAAAAGCGCCGCUAAAGGGCUAAAAAACUCCGCUAAAGACCUGUUUUGGUGUAGUGAAAAAAAUUCAAACUGAAUUAAGAUGAUAAAAAUAAAACUCGUCAACUCGAUUAACUCUGUACAAGCCCAUUUUUGCCCGGGCCCAUUACCAAAAAUAAAUACCCAAACCCACCAAACAACCCAAUAACCCACCUAAACACUAACCCAUACCAACAGACCCAAUUACAAGGCCCAGUGGCCCAAAAUUUUAAAAACAUUUCAGAAAAACCCUAAUCCCCCUAACCCUAGCCGUCUAGCCACCUCUUCUGACACCUGGCCUACCACCGCUCUAGCUUCUGCCACCAUCCCAUCCGCACAUACUCCUCUGUCACCGUCGCCCACUUGCUCCAUCAAGUGUCAAUCACCUGCAAACAAACAGCAAAAUCACAGCAAGCAAAGGGGAGAUUUUGUUUUUUAUUUUCGGUAUAUAAAAACUGAUUGGAAAACCAUUAGAGGGGACAGAUCGGGAUGUUUGUAAAAAAGGGGGGAUUUCCUUUUGAAAAAAGCAAAAAAAAAAAACAAAGAGAAAUAAAAACGGAGAAAAGGUUUUAGUUUCCAAAUCUUUUUUCGUUCAUUGUUAUUUAUUUUAUCUAUUUUUUUAUUUUGAUUUGUGUAAAAUACAUAUGUAUAUACGGAUAUAAAAAAAACUUUUUUUUACCUUUUUGAAUUUUUCGGCCACCACGUGUGGUGGCCAGCGCGGCGGCACUGCGGCGGUCCCUCGCCAGUUUCUGGCCAUUACCCAGAGAGUAAACAAAAAAGGGGGAGAGGAUUCUGGUUUUUUUUUUUAGAAAGAAGAGAAAAAUGAGCUUUUUCUAAAGGAUUUUUAAAUUUUAUACUGUUAACAAAACGACGUCGUUUUGGGCUUGGGCACCAAUAGCCAUAACGACGCCGUUUUGAUGUUUGACCCGACCCGCCUACCCAAGGGGAUCCGCGUGUUUUUGACGGAAGGGCUAAUUGCACGUUUAGCCCUUCCGCUUUUUAAUGCUUUUUAAAUUAGGUUCUUUUAAUUUUUUUAAAUUUUACCCAGAAAUUUAUUGCAUUUUCAAUGUAGUCCCUACUGGAACUCUGCGUCUUGCAAGAAUGGGGUUAUUUCCCUUUUGCCCCUCCUAGCUUUUUUAGCGCGUUUGAUGUGGUCCUUCUUCUUUAAUUUAUUUAUGAUUUAACCCCGAAUUUUGUUUUAUAUUUCAGUUUAGUCCUUUUUGUUAUUUUGUUUAUUUUCUUAAUAAAUUUAUUAUUAUUAUUAUUAUUAUUAUUAUAUAUUUUCAUUUAUAUUUACUUAUGUAAUUUUAAAUAUAUGUCUUAUUAUAUUAUUAUUAUUAUAUAUUUGCUUAUAUAUGUAUAUACGUAUAUGUAUAUGUAUGUUUUUUUUAACUUAUUUAAAAUAUACAUAAAUACUUUUUUUUAUAUAUGUACAUAUCUAUAUAUAUGUAUAUCUAUAUAUUUUCCAUUUUUUCUCACGAAUAUAUGUAUAUAUACUCAUAUAUAUAUUUAUAUAUAUUGAAAUAUAGUUUUAUAUAUAUAUAUAUAUCUUAUUUUAUCUUAUUUUAUUUUUAUAUAUAUCUCACAUAUACAUUCUUCCUAUAUAUUUUUCCUUUAGGUUGUAAUAUUUAUACAUAUAUAUAUUUCAUCUUCUUAAGUGUAUGUUUAUAUAUAUAUACUCUUACAUAUUCAUUAUAUUUUCAAGAUAUAUUGUUUAUAUUCUUUAUACUUUGUGAUUUAUAUAUAUACUUACCUAUGUACUUUUAUAUAUUUGAUAAUGGUUUUAUUCGUAUACAUGUAUGUGCAUAUGUGCUUAUGUAUUUUCAUGUAUAAUAGUUUCAAUAUGUGUACAUGCAUAUGUUUUUUCAUAUUUUCAUAAUUUUAUACAUAUAUACAUGUCCUUUAUUGUCUUUUUUACAAUUUUGUUAACCUUGUUCGUUUAUUUAUGUACAUGUUUGUUAUUGUUUUUCUUCUUGCUUUAAUUUUUGUUUGUUUAUCAUUUGUCAUGAUGCUUGUAUGAUUAUUUUUGGUCUUAUUCUUUAUGCUAUGCUUUGCUCGUGUUAUUUUGCUUGCAUUGCCAUCAUCAUUAUUAUUUUACAUCCAUUUUUUUCGAAUUUAUCAAAAAACGAAAAAUUUAAAAUAAAAGUAACACUCGGUAUUUUAGAUCCUCGAGAGAAUCGAGCCCUAAUGUAUUGGGUUCCGACUUUCUUCGUUGAAUUUAAAUAAUCGAGAUUACUCUUUUACAAAUGAUAAAAAGCUCGUUAUCGGGAAUUCGAUACGUUGUAUCCUAACAUAUUGGAUGUAACACGUUGUUUACUCGAGACGAGGAUUUUUCGAAAUAAAUGCAAUAUUCAAUGUUUAAUAUUUUGAGAAAUUGUGCCCUAACGUAUUGGGUUGCAAUUUCUUUAUUUGUUUUAAACAAUUGAAUAUCCUUAUAAAUUUAAAUACACAAAUCUUUUCAAAUUCAAAUUUUAAACGAUCUCGAAAAUAAAAAAGAUCGUGUCCUAACUUACUGGUCGUGAUCCUUUUUUUAAAUUCGAGAUAGUUAAAUAUCUUUUAAAUUUUCGGCAUUCAUUCGCGCAUUGGGAAAUUCGAGACAUUGUGUCCUAACUUACUGGAUAUGAUGCAUUUUUCUCGAUUAACGUGAAAUAUGCCCCUUUUCUAAAAAAUAAUUUUCAGCGUUCUAAUACAAGGAUCGUAUUUUUAAAAUUCUUCAAAGUUCUCAAUUUUUGACAUUAAGACAUCAAGUAAUCAACUAGGUACCAAUUUUGGGCGUAUCGAGGGUGCUAAUCCUUCCUCGUGCGUAAUCGACUCCCGAACCUGUUUUUUUGAAUUUCGCGGACCAAACUCGUUGUUUUAAUAAAAUUAAAUUGUUUAUUAAAAACAACCACUUUUCGAGGUGAUCCAAUCACACCUCAUUAAAAAAGAUUUGUGGCGACUCCCGUUUUUGUUUCAUUUUUCAAAACCAAGUUGACCCCGUUUUCUAUCAAAAAAUGGUGUCAACAGCUUGGCGACUCCGCUGGGGACAUAAAAUAAGAGAGUCAAGCCACGAGUUGAUUAUUUCUUGUCUUUUUGUCGAAAGUUGAAAAUUUGAUUUAAAUAUACGAUCCUCUCAUUUCAUUUCAUUUGUUUUGAGUUAUAGUUUUUAUCAUGUUUUGUAUUUUUAUAUCUCUGCACGUUGCAUUGCAUGACCGUUGGUCACACCUUUUAAGUGGGAGUGAGAAGCUACUCCUUCGUGAGGUUUUCAGCUCUGUGCAGGAUAGGGGAUCGCUUUUGGGAUACAUCCGUACCUAUGUCUUCGUGAGAUUUUCAUCUCCGUGUAGCCAUAGGGAAAUGUAUUCCCCUGAACCGAACUCGAUCUAUAUGAGCCUAUAAUGGGUGAGGAUCGAGGAAUCUGCUGGUUUGGGUACCUUUACUUUAGAACCAAACCUCAUGUAGUGAACCUUAGGGGCCCACCCUAGGUAGAACCACUUUGAACUCCUAGUAUUUACCCGAAUAGGUGUUCUGUUUAUUCUUGCCUACUUUUGCUUUGUACUAACCUAUUUUCCUUUUUUUGAUUGCAUUGCAUUUUCAUCAUAAAAAGAGGUGUUGAUUCACGUUCAGUUGUUAAAUAGAGAGCUUGUCAUAAGAAAAUGGGUCUUCUGAUAAAGUGGAAAAUAAUACGGUUGCCCGAAUAUGUUCCGAGAAAACACAACAAGAGAAAGAUGAUAGUUUAAUAGAGGACAACACAACUAUUGCUCCGUGCCCGAAGAUUCAAGGUGACAAAGAUUAUUCGAGAGCCACUGAACUUUCUUAAAGAGAAGCCAAUGAGCAUCACGAGGAUGAGCGAGCAGCGAGUUGAGGCCCGAAUCAAGUAAAAAGGAGAUAAAAGAGACGUCCCUUUUGAAGAGUUCGUGAGAUUCAUCUUAACGCUCGAAUGAAGAAGAGGAUCGAAUGUCUCUGCCUAUGAGGGCAAGGCCGUAUAUAUAUCCGCUUUAUGUAAAGAGAUUUGUUUUCUAGUAAAGUUGUUCUAAUAAGAAUUGAACCAAGAAUCAACGUCUCUUUUUGCAUUCAUUUUAUGCAUUUGCAUUACAUAACAUCAUGUGCAUUAAGGACUAUUAAAGGAACCUGAUUGAGUAAAAAUAUUUCAGUUAACCUGGGAACCGAAAAAGCUAUCGACUUAGCAUCGUUACGGUACCCGAACAAAAAUGGACCAAAGAUUGAAAAAAACUUGAACGACUCCAAAGGGGAGGCAAGGCCAACUACAACUGUAAAUACAAGAUCGGUUAGCUAAGGUCCAACAAGAUAGAGUUUUGUGAAGGGGUCAAAAAUGUGUUCGUAUCAAAGUCAUACAUGAAGACAAUUGAAGAGGGACUUUGUUAGAUAUCCGCCCUUAUAAAAUUGGGAGUGUUCUAAAUUAUCGGACUGUAGAAGAAAUCUUUAGAGUAAUGUCCAGAACACACUUGUUGCUUUCAGCCUAGAGGCAAUAAGAAGUCUUUUGUGAAAUAGGCUCAUGUCUUAACGUCAUUAUUUUAAUGGAAUGCGUCUUUGAGAUCUUUUGAACCAAUAUUCUUUCAUUUCUUAUGAAUGAUUAUUUUUAUUCUUUUAUCCAAAUCAUUCUUUCAUUCAUUCAUAAUCAUACUGUGCAGAUAAUUAUUCAUAACUUCAUACAUUCUUUGUAUAUUUUCUUGUACCUACAAUAGGUCCCUGAAUAUCAACGACAUGAAUGACACUGCUACAGACUUUGAAUCUCCUUUUGAGCGAGACAUGUGUUUAGAGGGAUCUCACGACUUUGAAGAUGACAUAGAUCGUAGCUUAUCUCCAAGCUUGUUGAGGAUGGUAGAACAAGAGGAUAAACAGAUCAUACCUCACAAGGAAUCAUUAGAAAUUGUGAGCGCGGUAAAUAUUAGAAUUGACCUGACCGCAGAGACGAAGCAAGACAUUGUUGAGUCACCUCUAGAGUUCAAUGAUGUCUUUGUAUGAUCAUACCAGGAUAUGCCCAGAUUAAUCGCUGAUAAUGAAAUCUGCACAGCAGCGCGUUUUCAGAAAUUUGCAGUGAAUGAUGCGAUUCUUCGUCAAGGCAAAUGCCUCUCUCGUUGACUCAGCAUAGCUUUGCCCAUUUGAAGUCAAACUUUUAUCUCUUCAAGUUCUGUGGGAUUUUAUCCUGAUUAAAGAGGAAGAUCAAAAGUUUUCUGUUGUAGUUUUAAAGAAGAUCAAAGAAAAGGAUAACAAGGAUCUGCCUAACCUUAUGAGUUCAGAUUCCAUAAAAAAUGGGGGGAAAGAAAAAAGAAAAAUAAAAAAAAUCAAUCAAAGUCAAAAAAAAGAAAAAAAGAAAAAAGGAGAGGUCAAGGCGAAAACCCGCAAAGGCGCUUUGACCAAAUGUGGAUUUGAGUUGAAAACCUAGAAAGGGCGACUCAAAUUUUGAGCAAAAUGGGGCAUGGACAUCACCAUUACCAAAGACUUCUAAUGGGCAUUGCUUCUUUUUUUUGAGAGGCUACUUCAUGGAUUAAGGUCAUCCUAUACCGAUACAGAAUUUCAGAGAGGAUGGUAUUGGAAAAUGCAUUGAACUUAAAUGAUAGCAUGAUAACUGAGGUCUGAAAUCAAUUUAGAAGCAGACACCAAAUUUUGUCACCGAAUUACCUAGAGGUGAACAAGGACUGGCAUGAGAAAUCAUCAUUUGCCCUCAUUGUUUGUCGAACAUUUGUACUGGGGCAACACUUUUUUUUGGUUUACAAGAUUGAGAUAAUUUUACCUAUUAAAAUCCCCUCAUUGCUUGUUGGAGGAAUCCAAUCGCGAUAUGAUUAGUUAGCCCUAGGAAAAGGGUUAAAAACUAUUCAUCAGGGUCGGAUGUACCAUAAUAAAUGAUAUGAGCCCAUAAUAAAUAGGCUCAUCUCAGAGAAUUCCACGAGAAGGCUGGAUGUUGAAAAGAUUCUUCCUUAACGAAAGGAUUCUAAAGGGAAAUGAAUGCCAAACUAGGAAUAUCCCUAUGUUGUAAAGAAUAUCAUUUUCAGAAGAGCACUGAUCCUGAGUGAGAUUGCCAAUCCUAUAAACUCGGAUCCAGUUAAGAAACACUUUGUUUAAAGAAGAAGGAAGGACCAAGGUGAAAACUUGCAAAAGGCACUUUGAGUCAAAAAAAUGUGAAAAAAAUGAAAAUAAAAAAAAUUGAAAAAUGAAAAAAAUGAAAAAGUAAAAAUGGAGAGGCUAAGGGGAAAACCCACAAAGGGCAUCUUAGGCCAAAGAGGAUUUGAGUUGAAAACCUGAAGGGCGGCUCAAAUAUUGAUCAGAAUGGGGCAUGAAGUGAUCAGAUUGGGGCAUGCGGUGAUCUUGCUAUACCUGAAAGGGUAAGGCGACAUCUUGGGGCAUCGACAGAGUCCUGUAGAUCUCCUAAACACAUGUCAAACUCAGGAAGGUCUUCAGAAAGUUUGUACAGAGAAGUUCAAGCUGCGAUAUCUAGGGCACCUGACAUUCAUAUUAUUUAUAUAUUGAAUUUGUUAUUCUUGGAAUACUUUUUUCUUUUUCAAGAUACAUGUUCCAAUCAAUUUUUUUUUUAUUCUUGCUAUCCUUGAUAAUGUAUUCAUUUCGAGCUAUGCUCUCAAAUCAAUUCUAUUUUAUCCAUCGUUAUAUUCUUCUUGCAAGCAUGUUGCAUUGGAAUGAUGAUACUUUCACAAUAGAAGUUUUGCAUAUUACUCUAGAAGUUUCUAAAUAAUAUAGGAACCUGAAACAGGACUAUUGUUUAGAAAACACCAAGUUUAAAGGGUGAAAUAUCUAAGAAGGAAGAGUCUAAGUUAAGGCUAUCCCUUCGAAUUUUGUUGUCCAAACAUUGACUAAACAAAAUGACAAGAUGCCGUGUUGGUGACAAAGCUUCAAUGAACAAACAAGCAAUGAUCACCGAAUGAUAAGAAAAGGUUUUCUCGGAGAAGAAAAUUUUGCAAUGGUGCAUGAGCAUUUGGUAUGACACCUGGGGAAUGGGGUAAAAGAACCAAAAAGCUUCACAUUUUGUAUCCUUGAAUUGCGAUAGGAGAAGAUUGAGAAAAGCUAUAUCUUUCUACCCUUGGGUUACAGUGGGAGAAUGAUGGUACAUUUUUACGUCCCAAUGGAUUGAACUUUGACGUUCACAGUGGGGGGCAAUCAGAUUAAGUGUUUCUUUGGAUAUGCCAGACGUGCAAGAAGGCGUUGUAGUACGUCAGUGAUAAAACCCUAAUAAGCUUUUGCGUGAUGAUAACCUAAGCAUUAAGGAAUCAUUUUCAUGACAUUUUGCAUUCAUUCAAAUGUCAUUCAUACACAUCUAGUUAGGAGCAUUUGAUUCGUUCUGAUCAUGUCAUCCUAAUCACUAGGCACAAUUAGGUUCAUAAAAUAGAACAUACAGGUCAUGUUCCCCAAAGAACAGAUCAACGAAGAUAGCAGAUCUUGUCUUCCUGUAUUAGGCAGCGGAGUAGAUCGAAGAAAGCAGAUCUUGUCUUCCUGUAUUAGGCAGUGGAAUAGAUCGAAGAAAGCAGAUCUUGUCUUCCUGUUUUAGGCAGCGGAGUAGAUCGAAGAUAUAGCAGAUCUUGUCUUCCUGUAUUAGGCAGUGGAGUAGAUCGAAGAUAUAGCAGAUCUUGUCUUCCUGUAUUUGGCAGCAAAGGAGAUCGAAGAUAGCAGAUCUUGUCUUCUUGUAUUUGGCAGCUAAGGAGGUCGAAGAUAGCAGAUCUUGUCUUCCUGUAUUAGGCAGCGGAGGAGAUCGAAGAUAUAGCAGAUCUUGUCUUCCUGUAUUAGGCAGCGGAGUAGAUCGAAGAAAGCAGAUCUUGUCUUUUUGUAUUAGGCAGCGGAGUAGAUCGAAGAAAGUAGAUCUUGUCUUCCUGUAUUAGGCAGCAGAGUAGAUCGAAGAUAUAGCAGAUCUUGUCUUCCUGUAUUAGGCAGCAGAGUAGAUCGAAGAAAGCAGAUCUUGUCUUCCUGUAUUAGGCAGCGGAGUAGAUCGAAGAAAGCAGAUCUUGUCUUUUUGUAUUAGGCAGCGGAGUAGAUCGAAGAAAGCAGAUCUUGUCUUCCUGUAUUAGGCAGUAGAGUAGAUCAAAGAUAUAGCAGAUCUUGUCUUCCUGUAUUAGGCAGCAGAGUAGAUCGAAAAAAGCAGAUCUUGUCUUCCUGUAUUAGGCAGCGGAGUAGAUCGAAGAAAGCAGAUCUUGUCUUCCUGUAUUAGGCAGUGAAGUAGAUCAAAAAUGGCAGAUUUUACCUCCCUGUGACUACAGUGGAGUACAUUGAAGCCAAUAAUUCUAUCUCCCUGGUUGGCAGUGGAAUAGAAUGAAGAUUGAAGAUGGCAGAUUUUACCUCCCUGUGACUAUAGUGGAGUACAUUGAAGCCGAUAAUUCUAUCUCCCUGGUUGGCAGUAGAAUAGAAUGAAGAUCAAAGAUGGCAGAUUUUACCUCCCUGUGACUACAGUGGAGUACAUUGAAGCCGAUAAUUCUAUCUCCCUGGUUAGCACUGGAAUAGAUUGAAGAUCAAAGAUGGCAGAUUUUACCUCCCUGUGACUACAGUGGAGUACAUUGAAGCCGAUAAUUCUAUCUCCCUGGUUGGCAGUGGAAUAGAAUGAAGAUCGAAGAUGACAGAUUUUACCUCCCUGUGACUACAGUGGAGUACAUUUAACCCGAUAAUUCUAUCUCCCUGGUUGGUAGUGGAAUAGAUUGAAGAUCAAAGAUGGCAGAUUUUACCUCCCUGUGACUACAGUGGAGUACAUUGAAGCCGAUAAUUCUAUCUCCCUGGUUGGCAGUGGAAUAGAAUGAAGAUCAAAGAUGGCAGAUUUUACCUCCCUGUGACUACAGUGGAGUACAUUGAAGCCGAUAAUUCUAUCUCCCUGGUUGGCAGUGGAAUAGAAUGAAGAUUAAAGAUGGCAGAUUUUACCUCUCUGUGACUACAGUGGAGUACAUUGAAGCUGAUAAUUCUAUCUCCCUGGUUGGCAGUGGAAUAGAUUGAAGAUUGCAGAUUCUGUCACCCUAAGCAGUAGUGGAGCAGAUCGAAGAUGGUGAAUCUUAUCUUCCCAAUACAGUGGAGAAGCAUAUUUAAGCCAUUAGUCCUAUCACCCUAAGUAGUAGUGGAAUAGGUCAAAGAUUGUAAAUUCUGUCACCCUAAGCAGUAGUGGAGCAGAUCGAAUAUGGUGAAUCUUAUCUUCCCAAGGUAGGAGGGAAGUAAAUUUAAACCACAAACCUCGCCCCCUGAAGUUAUAACAGAGUGGAUUGAAGAUAUAAGUCAGAGCUCUCUGAAGAGUAGUGCAGUGGAUCAAAGUAACAAGACAUAGUGGACUGGAGUGAAACUACUUGAAGAAGAGGAGCGUCAAAAGAAAUCGAGACUCGGUGAGACCGGGCAAAAAUUGGUCUUUCUUAGUCUUUGCUCUAUUAUCGUUACACGACAACGAGCAAAGAGGGGCAGCUGUACAAGCCCAUUUUUGCCCGGGCCCAUUACCAAAAAUAAAUACCCAAACCCACCAAACAACCCAAUAACCCACCUAAACACUAACCCAUACCAGCAGACCCAAUUACAAGGCCCAGUGGCCCAAAAUUUUAAAAACAUUUCAGAAAAACCCUAAUCCCCCCUAACCUUAGCCGUCUAGCCGCCUCUUCUGACACCUGGCCUACCGCCGCUCUAGCUUCUGCCACCAUCCCAUCCGCACCUACUCCUCUGUCACCGUCGCCCACUUGCUCCAUCAAGUGUCAAUCACCUGCAAACAAACAGCAAAACCACAGCAAGCAAAGGGGAGAUUUUGUUUUUUAUUUUCGGUAUAUAAAAACUGAUUGGAAAACCAUUAGAGGGGACAGAUCGGGAUGUUUGUAAAAAAGGGGGAUUUCCUUUUGAAAAAAGAAAAAAAAAACAAAGAGAAAUAAAAACUGAGAAAAGGUUUUAGUUUCCAAAUCUUUUUUCGUUCAUUGUUAUUUAUUUUAUCUAUUUUUUUAUUUUGAUUUGUGUAAAAUACAUAUGUAUAUACGGAUAUAAAAAAAACCUUUUUUUACCUUUUUGAAUUUUUCGGCCACCACGUGUGGUGGCCGGCGCGGUGGCCGGCGCGGCGGCACUGCGGCCGGUGCGGCGGCACUGCGGCCGGUGCGGCGGCACUGCGGCGGUCCCUCGCCGGUUUCUGGGCAUUACCCAAAGAGUAAACAAAAAAGGGGGAGAGGAUUCUGGUUUUUUUUAGAAAGAAGAGAAAAAUGAGCUUUUUCUAAAGGAUUUUUAAAUUUUAUACUGUUAACAAAACGACGUCGUUUUGGGCUUGGGCACCAAUAGCCAAAACGACGCCGUUUUGAUGUUUGACCCGACCCGCCUGCCCAAGGGGAUCCGCGUGUUUUUGACGGAAGGGCUAAUUGCACGUUUAGCCCUUCCGCUUUUUAAUGCCUUUUAAAUUAGGUUCUUUUAAUUUUUUUAAAUUUUACCCAGAAAUUUAUUGCAUUUUCAAUGUAGUCCCUACUGGAACUCUGCAUCUUGGAAGAAUGGGGUUAUUUCCCUUUUGCCCCUCCUAGCUUUUUCAGCGCGUUUGAUGUGGUCCUUCUUCUUUAAUUUAUUUAUGAUUUAACCCCGAAUUUCGUUUUAUAUUUCAGUUUAGUCCUUUUGUUAUUUUGUUUAUUUUCUUAAUAAAUUUCUUAUUAUUAUUAUUAUUAUUAUAUAUUUUCAUUUAUAUUUACUUAUGUAAUUUUAAAUAUAUGUCUUAUUAUAUUAUUAUUAUUAUAUAUUUGCUUAUAUAUGUAUAUACGUAUAUGUAUAUGUAUGUUUUUUUUAACUUAUUUAAAAUAUACAUAAAUACUUUUUUUUAUAUAUGUACAUAUCUAUAUAUAUGUAUAUCUAUAUAUUUUCCAUUUUUUCUCACGAAUAUAUGUAUAUAUACUCAUAUAUAUAUAUUUAUAUAUAUUGAAAUAUAGUUUUAUAUAUAUAUAUAUAUCUUAUUUUAUCUUAUUUUAUUUUUAUAUAUAUUUCACAUAUACAUUCUUCCUAUAUAUUUUUCCUUUAGGUUGUAAUAUUUAUACAUAUAUAUAUUUCAUCUUCUUAAGUGUAUGUUUAUAUAUAUAUACUCUUACAUAUUCAUUAUAUUUUCAAGAUAUAUUGUUUAUAUUCUUUAUACUUUGUGAUUUAUAUAUAUACUUACCUAUGUACUUUUAUAUAUUUGAUAAUGGUUUUAUUCGUAUACAUGUAUGUGCAUAUGUGCUUAUGUAUUUUCAUGUAUAAUAGUUUCAAUAUGUGUACAUGCAUAUAUUUUUUCAUAUUUUCAUAAUUUUAUACAUAUAUACAUGUCCUUUAUUGUCUUUUUUACAAUUUUGUUAACCUUGUUCGUUUAUUUAUGAUGUUUGUUAUUGUUUUUCUUCUUGCUUUAAUUUUUGUCUGUUUAUCAUUUGUCAUGAUGCUUGUAUGAUUAUUUUUGGUCUUAUUCUUUAUGCUAUGCUUUGCUCGUGUUAUUUUGCUUGCAUUGCCAUCAUCAUUAUUAUUUUACAUCCAUUUUUUUCGAAUUUAUCAAAAAACGAAAAAUUUAAAAUAAAAGUAACACUCGGUAUUUUAGAUCCUCGAGAGAAUCGAGCCCUAAUGUAUUGGGUUCCGACUUUCUUCGUUGAAUUUAAAUAAUCGAGAUUACUCUUUUACAAAUGAUAAAAAGCUCGUUAUCGGGAAUUCGAUACGUUGUAUCCUAACUUAUUGGAUGUAACACGUUGUUUUCUCGAGACGAGGAUUUUUCAAAAUAAAUGCAAUAUUCAAUGUUUAAUAUUUUGAGAAAUUGUGCCCUAACGUAUUGGGUUGCAAUUUCUUUAUUUGUUUUAAACAAUUGAAUAUCCUUAUAAAUUUAAAUACACAAAUCUUUUCAAAUUCAAAUUUUAAACGAUCUCGAAAAUAAAAAAGAUCGUGUCCUAACUUACUGGUCGUGAUCCUUUUUUUAAAUUCGAGAUAGUUAAAUAUCUUUUAAAUUUUCAGCAUUCAUUCGCGCAUUGGGAAAUUUGAGACAUUGCGUCCUAACUUACUGGAUAUGAUGCCUUUUUCUCGAUUAACGUGAAAUAUGCCCUUUUUCUAAAAAACAAUUUUCAGCGUUCUAAUACAAGGAUCGUAUUUUUAAAAUUCUUCAAAGUUCUCAAUUUUUGACAAUAAGACAUCAAGUAAUCAACUAGGUACCAAUUUUGGGCGUAUCGAGGGUGCUAAUCCUUCCUCGUGCGUAAUCGACUCCCGAACCUGUUUUUUUGAAUUUCGCGGACCAAACUCGUUGUUUUAAUAAAAUUAAAUUGUUUAUUAAAAACAACCACUUUUCGAGGUAAUCCAAUCACACCUCAUUAAAAAAGAUUGGUGGCGACUCCCGUUUUCGUUUCAUUUUUCAAAACCCAAGUUGACCCCGUUUUAACAAAAAAAAUGGUGUCAACAAACUCAAAAUUAUUUUACUCGAUCACCACUAGCAAUUGCAUCCUUGAUACUAAUAACAACAUAAAAAUGUAUACUCAUCUUUUCUAAUCAAUAUGCAGCCACGAAAUGGAAAUUUCCAUGAAAAAAAACUAUUGCAUAUGAAAAAGUAAGUUCCAUGACAUCGACUGAAGCAAAAACAACAAUUGCAAAAAGACAUUGUCUCCUACAGAAAUCCAUCAGUUUGGAGACUAUAAUGUAUAUGCUACAACUGGGUUUUUUUCGUGUGUCACCCGUUAAGGCUUUGAAUUAUGUUGGUAAUAAAUAUAAUUUAUUUCAAUUAAAAAAUGAGAAGAAUUUAGUAAUUUACUAUGACCCAAAUUAUUGGUAAAGUUAAAAUUAAUUUUGUUUUGAACAAAAACUUUCGGUGCUUAGUAUUUAUGUGUAAUUCAAUCUUUCCAUCAUAUAUCCCGAAUAAGCUAAAAGGCAUGGCAUGGUGUCUACCUUUGUUCAUCCAUGUCAGACUUGCAACUCCUUGUAUUAACCCUAAUUAUCAGCCUUCACUAAAGACUUGUAGUUAUAAAAGUCAAGAGCAAAAAAGAUAUGUCCCUCAUAUCACUUGAGGUGAUGAGUCCUUUCUGAACCACUCCAUCACCUUCGUAUGUCAUAUCAUACUUAAAAGAUUUUACUUUAAGCACCUAUCAAUGUGAAUCCAUUUGGUGAUGAAUCAAAGUAUGACGGUCAACAUAUGAGGAGAGUUUGUGUAAAUCUAAGGAUUAUUUACAGUACCAAUACAUGGGAGUAUUUCUAUAGACAUUUGAGUGAAAUACCAAAUGGAACUCUCAUAGCGGGUCAAGUUAUAUUUUAUAAUUUUUCGGAACUUUUUAAAAAUCAUUCAUAUUUUAUUUUUUAUAUUUGUAAUAAUUUUUAUACUUUUUUAUAACUUUUACAUUUUUAAAAAUAUUCGAAUAACUUGACAAGCAACAUCAACAUACUUUCAUAUGGCAUGUCACAUGUCAACUUGUCAUAGCUUCCGCCAACCACAUAAACAACCAAUAUUAAUGAAAUCAGUCAACAACCGUUUUCGUUAAUAAAAGGAGCAACUGAUUUUUUUUCUCAUUGAAUGCUCAAUUGGGUCCAUUUUUCUAUUAUGAACUUAAUUGAUUUUUUAACUUGGUAUUUUUUACCCUUUGACCUUAUAUUAAUAUUCAUUACUUUAUUAAAAAACUGAUUUUUAAGUAAUUUUUCUGAUUGAAUUGAUAUUGAAUUAACUCGUAAUACUAAUUUAAUAAAAUAUAUUAUAUAAACAUAGAUAUAACUUCAUUAAAAUCUGUCAAUAAAGAAAACACCAUUAAUUUGUCUGAAGUCUCGAAUUUCUGAGUCUUAAUGGGUGAGAAAUUUCUUAUAUAGAAACUGAAGACGAUAGCCCAAUUCUUUAAUCUUUUGUGGAAAAUUAGGCAGGAAAAGUAUAUCCACAAAAUGAUAGAAAAAGGCUUUGAGCCACAAUUAAAUCAACAUCUUUAAAUUAUUAAACCAAAUUAAAGAUGGAAUCAUCGUUGUCAUGGGGUCAACAUUUGCAGCUUAUACGGGGUGUUCCAGUUUUACGUAUAAUGAAUUUCCAAUGUUUUUUGCAUGAAACUUUUGAUUCAAUGAGAAAGGAAAUAUUUUCAAAAUCAUGCAGCUUUGGAUUCAAAUUAAGCUUCUUCUUUUUCCCUAGCAAUUGCAAAAAUUUGUUUCGACACAUAAUAAAAGUGUAAUUAUUAAGUAGUAAUUACAAAAGAUUUAUAAUUACAAAGAAUUAUGAUUUUCUAGACAUGUUUGGUGACAGUGUGUAAUUACAUCAUAAUUUCUUAUAUCAUAUUUCGUAGUACAAAUUGUAAAUUAUAAUUUAAAAUUACAUAGUUACUUAAUAUAUUUUUUAAAAAUAUUAAUUACUAUAAUAAAUUAUUGGUAAAAUUAAAAAAUUUCUAAACAAGUAACAAAAUUAAAAUAAAAUCAUCAUAUGUAAUAUGUUAGUCCAAGAAAAUAAUCGAUAAUACGAUUACUAAUAAAAAUUAUAAGAAAAAUGAUUUAUGUUAGGUAAUAACACUUUUUUUUUUUGAGCAAUGAGAUUUGAACCUAAGCUAUUCCUUAGAAAGAUGAAUACUCGACCAAUAGACUACAACUUAAAGUUUUUUAGAAUAUUAUAACCAUUUUUAUAAUUCAUGAAUUAGGUUAAAAUAGUAUAAAAUUUAUAAUAUAUAACAAUUAUAAAAAAAAAUUUAUAAAGUGUCCAAUAACUUCCAAAACACUUCUUAUAAAUAAUAUAUUUUUUUAUCUUAAAAAGUUUUUUUUUUAAAUAAGUCAUGGAAAAAAUUAUAAUUGUUUUAUAAAUAAGUAUAUUAUUUUCUAUAACUGAUAGUAUGGACACAUAAAUAAGUUAUAUUUAAAUUUUUUGACCAUAACUUUUUUAUAAAUAAGUAUGUAGUAACACUUUUUAUAAAACAUAAAUUAUUUUUAUAAUAUGCUUUUAGCUAUAACUUUAGAAACUUUUUAGGAUUUAAAUAAUAUAAUUCUUGUCAUAACUUUAUAAAAUAUUAAAAAAAUAUAAUGUAAUUUUUUAGAACUUAUAAUAUGAUUUUAGAAAUUUUUAUUCAUAAUCAUCCCAAACACGCAUGCGUAUUUAUGUUUAUAAUAUAUUUUUUUUAAAAUAUUUUUUUAAAAGUUAAAUUAUGUAUGAAUUUUCCGUGAGAAAUUAAUAUAUCUGGAAACAUGCGUCCAUAUAUUUUUGAUGUAUCAUUAUCAAGAAAUAUGGACCAUAGGAAGAGCAAAGAUUCAAUCCUAUAAUAUAGUAUUUGCAUUACUGAUACUAACAACAUAGAAAUUUCCAUGAAAAAGAAAGCAUUGCGAAUGAUGAAUUAAGUUCCAUGACGACAACUGGCCCCUACAACUAUUGCAACAAGACCUUGAAUCCUUUGAUGAGUUCCUUUAAAUUCCUCAGUUUGGAAACCAUAACAUAUAUGCUACCACUAAAUCCUUACCAGAUUAAACAAUGGCCUCAUCCUUAACCAUUUCUGUUAUUCUAGGGGUACUGUGGGCUACCAUCCUUUCUUUUGCUACAUCUGUGACAGCAGCAUAUCCAUCGCCAUUGGAGUCCGAAGCCAUAGCUCUGCUAGAAAGCAGGUGGUGGAGUAACCAUAGCAGCAAUACUUCACAAUGUUGCCAGUGGCCUGGUAUAACCUGCAACACUGCUGAAAGCAUCACCCAAAUUAACUUAUCUGAUGCGCCCAACAUUGAGGUUGGAGCUAGAUUUGGGAAACUGAAUUUCUCUUCAUUUCCAAAUCUUGUCCUUCUUAAUCUUAGUGAUCAUCAACUUAGAGGAAAAAUCCCGCAUCAGAUAGGUGAUCUAUCAGCAUUGAAGUACCUUGACUUGUCUUAUUGUGGUUUAUCUGGUGAGUUACCUCCUUCUCUAGGGAAGCUGACCCAAUUAGAAUUCCUCGACAUUUCCUAUAAUGAUAAUAUUAAUGGUUCCAUCCCUCCACAAUUGGGGAAUCUAGAGAACCUUGUGACUUUAAACUUAAGUCAAUGUGGAAUUGUUGGUCCAAUCCCUUCUGCUUUGGGUCAAUUAACCAGUCUCCAAUCUCUGAUCCUUUGGGGGAACCAAAUCAAUGGAUCUAUCCCAUUAGAAAUUGGAUAUUUGAGAAAUUUGACUUAUUUGAGUCUCUCCAACAAUAGAAUUGUUGGUCCAAUCCCUUCUGCUUUGGGUCAAUUAACCAGUCUCCAAUCUCUGAUCCUUUGGGGGAACCAAAUCAAUGGAUCUAUCCCAUUCGAAAUUGGAUAUUUGAGAAAUUUGACUUAUUUGAGUCUCUCCAGCAAUAGAAUUGUUGGUCCAAUCCCUUCUGCUUUGGGUCAAUUAACCAGUCUCCAAUCUCUGAUCCUUUGGGGGAACCAGAUCAAUGGAUCUAUCCCAUUAGAAAUUGGACAUUUGAGGAAUUUGACUUAUUUGGAUCUCAACAACAAUAGACUUGGUUUAAUACCCAUUACCCUGUACCAAUUAACUAAUUUGGAAAUUUUGUACCUUGAUUAUAACCAACUUCAAGGUUCAAUCCCUCAAGAUAUUGAAAAUUUGGAGAACCUCAAACUUUUAUUCCUCACUAAUAAUAGUUUUAUUGGUCAUAUCCCUCUAGCUUUGUGUCAUUUGACGAAACUGGAGUACAUUUCACUCUCCCAAAAUAGCUUGAGUGAUUCAAUUCCUUCUUGUAUUGGUAGUUUAUCAAAGAUGCAGUACUUAAGCCUUGGUUCUAAUCUAUUAAAAGGUCCUAUUCCCCAAGAAAUUUGUAAUUUAGCAAAUUUAACUUCAUUGGCCCUCUCCCAAAACAAAUUGAGUGGUUCCAUCCCUUCUUGUGUUGGUAGUUUAUCAAAGAUGCGGUACUUAAGCCUUGAUUCUAAUCUAUUAAAAGGUUCUAUCCCAAAAGAUAUUGGCAAGCUUUUUGAUCUAUCAUAUCUAAACCUUAGCUUCAACCAACUCUCAGGUCCUAUCCCUAUCUUGUAUGCUACUGAUCUCUACAUUGUCGACGCUGGAAAUGGUUGUAACAAGAUUUCUCCCGAUCCAUUUGAAGGCAAUAGUGAUUUAUCACCCUAUAUGUGUCCUACUCCAGUAACCAAAAAAGCCAACAGCAGCAGAAUUCCUUACUAUAUCAAAAUAUUCCUCCCUAUUGCGAUCUUGUUCACAUUCUCCAUUUUAGGAUGUUUGCUAUUUUCACGGUUUAAGCUCAAGAAUAACCAUGUCAGCGUACAACCAACCAAGAAUGGGGAUUUGUGUUCCAUAUGGAACUAUGAUGGAAAGAUAGCAUACGAGGAUAUCGUUGCAGCAACAGAGGAUUUCGACUUCCGAUACUGUAUUGGAGUUGGUGGUUAUGGUAGUGUUUACAAAGCAAAACUCCCUUGUGGUAAAGUAGUUGCUUUGAAGAAACUUCAUCAUUUAGAAGCCGAAAAUCCAACUUUUGACAAGAGUUUCAGGAACGAGAUCAAGUUUCUAUCAGAAAUACGACAUCGAAACAUAGUGAAGCUUCACGGGUUUUGUCUACACCGACGAUCCAUGUUUUUGAUCUAUGAAUACAUGGAAAAAGGGAGUUUGUUCUGCAACCUAAGGGAUGAAGUGAAUGCUGUGGAAAUGGAUUGGACGAGAAGAGUAGAGAUCAUCAAAGGCAUAGCACAUGCUUUGUCUUACUUGCACCAUGAUUGCUGCCCUCCGAUAGUUCAUCGAGACAUAUCAAGUAACAAUGUUCUUUUAAACUCAAGUUUUGAGGCAUUUGUGGCCGACUUUGGAACAGCUAGAAUGUUGGAUCUUGAUUCAUCCAAUCAGACCAUUAUUGUCGGAACUUGUGGCUACGUAGCUCCAGGUGGCGUUUUCUUUUUUACUUGAUUUACUGACCUUUUCUCUGAACAUAUAAUUGAAUUUCUUCUUACUAAUUUGUGUAUGUAGAACUUGCUUAUACAAUGAUUGUCACCGAAAAAUGCGAUGUUUAUAGUUUUGGAGUGGUAGCACUGGAAACAUUAAUGGGAAAGCAUCCUGAAGAAGUGUUAUCAUGGUUGUCAUCACCAACUUCUUUGGUGAACAUGAAGCUGGUUGAUGUGUUAGACAACCGUUUACCACUUCCAACAAGCCAACUAGUUACACAAAAUCUUGUUCAUGUUGCUACACUAGCAUUCGCUUGCUUAAAUCCACAAACGAAGUCCCGACCAACAAUGAAGGAAGUGUGUGAAGAGUUCCUUUCUCGCCAUACAUCCUUGGGAAUUCCUCUUCGGAUGAUCUCUUUGUUACAACUCAUGAACCGUGAAAUGCAUAUUGGAGGCAAAACUAAAACUUGUGAUGUUUAAAGUCCAUGCGCUUGUUGAUUAGAUAUUGUUUAUCAUGCUCUGAUAAUUUGUUUGUGAACCAUCUCUGGUUUUAUAUAUAUGAUGGAAUGAAUUGCAAUGUUUAAUAAAACUGUUUAUCCGGUUGCUUUAGAAGACAUAAAUUCUGGAAUUUGAUCAAAAUAUUAAGACAUCAUCGCUGGCUGCUUCCUUGAAUUUUGUGCUUCUUUCAAACCAACUCAGAUAAAUAACAUAUAAGUAAAUUAAGGGUGAAUCAAAGCAACAAAAUGCAAUCAAUACAUACAUCAAGAAUUCACCUCAACUAUCUAUAAUUCAUGAAACAAUCUCUCAACUUAUAAAAUGUAAGUGAGAUUCCACAGACCUGAUAUCCAAACUCAAAAGCAAUAAAAGGCGUCAUCAAAACCCUGGCAAGUGAAGACGACAUUCUUUUCAAGCAAGGUAGCGAUACAACUUCCUGUCACCUUUAUCCCUCUACAGGAACUCACAUUAGUAUACAUUUUUAUUUAACAUAUUAUAUAAAUUACACCUUAUAAAUAGAAAAAACAAAUGAAACUCUGACUAUUACAUAUAUAUAAUAAUAUACUGCAUAUUUCCUAAAAAAGGAUAAUAUACCGCACAUGUUACAACGCAUUUUCAAAAAAAGAAAAAGAAAUGUGACCAUGAUAUAUAAUUUAUAGGACAAACAAAGGUACUCAUAUUUUAUAGUUCAUCAUUUUUAAUGUUUGGGACUGUAGUCGGCCAUCACGAUUUGGUCGGCAACAAGUGAAUAUAUUAUGGAUAAACUAUUAUAGAGUUUACAAAAUUACAACUUUUUAGUCUGUAAAUUAUAAAAAGUUAUAAAAUAGCCAUUUAAUUAUUAUUAAAUUACACUUUAUAAAUGAUAAACAAAUAAAACUCCAAAUAUUACAUAUUUAAUAAUGUAAGCACAUUGUAAUAGGCUAAUUUUGGCCUGGCCCAAUAUUAACUAAAUUAAAAAAGAAACCAAAUAUAAAAAUUAAUAAUUGUCCAAUAACAGUUCAGAGUUACAAUGGCCCAAUUAACCCAAGAUCAAACAGCAGCCCAAAACCCCUAGCCCAAUUACAACUAGCCCAAAACCAAUAGCAAAAGAAAGACCAGAAAACCCUAGCAGAGACCAACAGCCGUCGUCGUUCCCCAUGCGCGCAACGCCUCCACGCUCCUUUAGCUGGCUGUACCUGCAAAACAAACGAAACCAACAAGGACAGCAAGGAAAGGCAAUAACAAAAAAAGAUCUAGCAAAUGAAAAAGGAGAAUAACAGAAAAUGAGAUUUUUCUUUCUUGUAAUUUUAUUUUUUGUUUUUAUCAGCUAUAUAAGGCCGAAUAAUCUGUAAAAAAGGGGGAGGAAAUUAAAAAAAGCAGUAAAAAAUCAAUCACAAUUUUCGAAAGUGAUCUAAAUUUCUUUUUUUCAUUUAAUUUAUUUGUUAUUUUCCUUAGUUUUUUUUCGUUGAUGGUUGCUUACUGUUUCAGAAAAGAAACACAAAAAAGGGAGAGGGUUUACCUUAGUGUCGGCGCCGAUUGGAUCUUUAUUCACUUCGUCGCAAUCGAAGCUCAAGCGAGGGUUGUAAAGCUAAAGGCAGCAAAUUUUAUUUCCCUGGCAUCGCAGUAGAUUAAAGCUGAAGGUAGCAAAUCUUAUUUCCCUAGCGUCGCAGUAGAUUAAAGCUGAAGGCAGCGAAUCUCAUUUCCUUGGCGUUGCAGUGGAACAGAUUAAAGCUGAAGGCAGCAAAUCUUAUUUCCCUGGUGUCGCAGUAGAUUAAAGCUGAAGGUAGCGAAUCUCAUUUCCUUGGCAUUGCGGUGGAACGGAUUAAAGCUGAAGGCAACAAAUCUUAUUUCCCUAGCGUCGCAGUAGAUUAAAGCUGAAGGCAGCGAAUCUCAUUUCCUUAGUGUUGCAGUGGAACAGAUUAAAGCCGAAGGUAGCAAAUCUUAUUUCCCUAGCGUCACAGUAGAUUAAAGCUGAAGGCAGCGAAUCUUAUUUCCCUCGCGUCGCAGUAGAUUAAAGCUAAAGGCAGCGAAUCUCAUUUCCUUGGCGUUGCAGUGGAACAGAUUAAAGCUGAAGGUAGCGAAUCUUAUUUCCCUUGCGUCGCAGUAGAUUAAAGCUGAAGGCAGUGAAUCUCAAUUCCUUGGCGUUGCAGUGGAACAGAUUAAAGCUGAAGACAGCGAAUCUUAUUUCCUUGGCAUUGCAGUGGAACAGAUUAAAGUUGAAGGCAGCUAAUCUUAUUUCUUUGGUGUUGCAGUAGAUUAAAGUUGAAGGCAGAGAAUCUUAUUUCCUUGGCGUUGCAGUGGAACAGAUUAAAGCUGAAGGCAGCGAAUCUUAUUUCCCUAGCAUCACAGUGAGAUGGUUUGAAGUUAUCAUGGUAGAUCUUAUCUCCCUGAAGUUGCAAUGGAGCAGAUUAAAGCCACAAAACUUAUCCCCCCGACGUUGCAGUGAGGCAGGUUGAAGAGACAAAUCUUAUCUUUCUGAAGUUACAGUGAAGCAGAUUGAAGCCACCAGUCUUAUUUCCUUGAAGUUGCAGUGGAGCAGACUAAAACCACAAAUCUCGUCCCCUUUGAAAUCGCAACAGGGUAGAUUGAAGCUAUGAGCCGUAUAUAAAGUUACAGUAGAGUGGAUUGAAGCAACAAGAUGCAGUGGGCUGGAAUUAGGCUACUUGAAGAAGAGAAGCACUAAGAGAGGUGAAGACUCGGCAUGACUAGGCAAAAUUGUCCCUUUUUAAGUCUUUGCUCCAUUUUUGUUACACGACAACGAGCAAAGAGGCGCAACUGUAAUAGGCCAAUUUUGGCCUGGCCCAAUAUUAACCAAAUUAAAAAAGAAACCAAAUAUAAAAAUUAAUAAUUGUCCAAUAGCAGCCCAAAACCCCUAGCCCAAAACCAAUAGCAAAAGAAAGACCAGAAAACCCUAGCAGCAGACCAGCAGCCGCCGUCGUUCCCUACGCGCGCAACGCCUCCACGCGCCUCUAGCUGGCUGUACCUGCAAAACAAACGAAACCAACAAGGAUAGCAAGGAAAGGCAAUAACAAAAAAAGAGCUAGCAAAUGAAAAAUGAGAAUAACAGAAAAUGAGAUUUUUCUUUCUUGUAAUUUUAUUUUUUGUUUUUAUCGGGUAUAUAAGGCUGAAUAAUCUGUAAAAAAAAGGAUAGGAAUUUUAAAAAAGCAGUAAAAAAUCAAUCACAAUUUUUGAAAGUGAUCUAUAUUUCCUUUUUUUUCAUUUAAUUUCUUUGCUAUUCUCCUUAGUUUUUUUUUCGUUGAUGCUUGCUUACUGUUUAAGAAAAGAAACACAAAAAAGGGCGAGGGUUUACCUUAGUGUCAGCGUCGAUUGGAUCCUUGUUCGCUUCGUCGUAAUUGAAGCUCAAGCGAGGGUUGUAAGGUCAAAGAUCGGCGGAGCUUUCAGCGGCGUGGGAAUGGGUUCAAAAACCCUAGUAGAGGAAAAAGGGGAUAAUAGUUUUUUUUUUAAAGAAUGACAGAAAGUAGUUUUUUUUUUUUAAAAUUGUUGAUUUUAUAUUAGGUAUGAAAUAGCGUCAUUUAAGGCCUGUUUCAGUGGCCUCAAAACGGUGCCGUAUAAGGCCAUGACCCGCGCGGUGACCCGACCUGAAGGAAGGAUCCACGUGUUUUUUAUUGAUGGGUAAUUUGCACCUCUGGUCCCGCCGCAUUUUUAUUUAUUUUAAUUUAGUUGUUUUCAUUUUUUCAACUGAUACUGUAAAUUUUAUUCGGUUUCUGAUUCGGUCCUGAUGAAAUGGCGCGUUUCAGAGGGCGAGAAUAUUUCCCCAUCCAGUCCCUCUGAGUUAUUUGUGCCUUUCAAUUGGGCCCUUCAUUUUGUUUUAUUUUCGUUUUUUCCUUUUAAUUCAGUUUUGAGUUUAAUUUAAUCCAUACUUAUUUAAUUUAAUGUACUUGAUUUUUAUUCUGUUUAAAAUCCAUUUUUCUAUUAUUUUUAGAUAUAUUUCUUUUUAAAUCUAACUUUCUUUUUAUGUUUAAGUUUAAUAUAUUUUUAAGUUUAUUAUCAAUAUUAUAAUAUAUUAUUAUUCUAAAUUUAUCAUUAACAUUAUUUUAGGUGUAUCAUGUAUUUUUUAUUUAAAUUUAUCAUGUAUUAUCUUAUGCAUUCUUGUUGCAAUUUCAAUAUAAUUUAUACAUUUUUUUACGGUUUUAUUUUAUAAUACAUUUUUAAUUUCACUUAUAUAUUUCUUUGCUUUAAAGAUUAAUACAAUAAUACUCUUACAUAAUAUUUUUUAUUCAUAUAUAUAAUUUGUAUUAAACUAUUUUUAUUAUACAUAUAUAUAUACACAAAAUAUAUCAUCGAUUUCAUAUUAUUAUAUAUCUUAUCUAUUUCAUAUAUUUUAUUUCUUUCAAAACCCUACUCUAUUAUAUACUUGGUUUAUAUCAACUUUUUAUACAUACUAUUAUACAUAUAUUAUUAUAUGAAAUUUUUCAAUCCAUAUGUAAUAUUUAUUUAAAUUAAUAUAUAUAUUUUAUGCGUUUUGGAUUUCUUCUUAUACAAUAUUCACUUUAAAAUUCAUUUAGAUAUUAUUAUUCCAUAUAGUAUUCAUAUUUAAUUCUAUUUUUAAACUAUUUCAAGUCUUCACAUUAAUUACUUCUUUUUUAAUUUUUAUAUAUGUAAUUUUGUGUAUAUACAUUGAAAAUUUCAAAUUUCUUUUCUCUUUUUUUUUAGCUAUUUUAAAAUAGUUACAUUUUAUUUGUGAUAGGCUUUUAGGUCAUUAACUUUUAAAUAUUGGUGUUAAUAUUUACAUGUGAUGUGAGAUUAUUGUUAUUAUGUACAUUGUAUUGCUUGUUUAUAUUGAUAGAUUAUUCGUGUUCAUUUGUACGUAUUUUGGCUUACUAAUUAUUCUUUCGAGUUAUACAUUGUCAUCCCAUUGUGUUUUAUUUGUCAAAAAUUUCAUUUCAUUUAAACAUUGAAAUCAUUUUAUUCAAAAGUUUCCAAAAUAAUGCAAUACUCGAUCUUUGGAACUUCGAGAAAUCGUACCCUAACUUACGGGGUUUUGAUUUCCUCGUCGAACUAAAACGACCAAACAUUUUAGUUUUCAAAUACACAAAGUUUCAAUAAAAAUUUUUAAAGGUUAUCUUAUACUCGGGAAAUCCAACAUUGCUUCCUAACUUACGGGAUACGAUAUUUGGUUGCCCCGGGGUGAGAAGGCCUUUUAUACAUUCGUUCAAAUCUAUCCAAGAAUUAUUUUAAAAUAUGGCAUUAAUAAAAAGGGGAAAUCGUUUUUAAUCUCUUCGAAUUUUCAACAUUCGACUUUAAGACAUUAAAUAAUCAAUUUGGUACCAAUUUUGGGCGUUACGAGGGUGCUGAUCCUUCCUUGUAAGUAACUAACUCCCGAACCCAUUUUUACUGAAACUCGUAAACCAAAAUCAUUUUUAAGGUGAUCCGAUCACACCUCAAUAAAAGAUCGGUGGCGACUCCAAUUUUCAUUUUUUUAAGUCGACACUAUUUUUUAUUUUCAAAAAGUGGUUUCGACAGCUUGGCGACUCCGCUGGGGACUGGUUUUGAGAGUCAAGCCACAAAUUGAUUAAUUUUUGUCUUUUUGUCGAAAAAUCAAAUUUUGUUCUCAAUUCACAAUUUCCCUUUUUGCAUUUCAUCCAUUAUUUUCAUGGUUAAUCAUAGUGCGUUUGCUUGGUUGAUCCAAUUUUGUUAAUGUAUAUCUGCAUUUUGCAUUACAUAAGUUGGUCAAUUUUACCCUUCUUAAGUGGGAGUGAGAAGCUAUUCCUUCGUGAGGUCUUCACCUUCGUGCAGGAUAGUGGAUCACUUUCGAGAUACAUCCGUACCUAUGUCUUCGUGAGAUUUUCAUCUCCGUGCAGCCAUAGGGAAAUGUAUUCCCCUGAACUGAACUCAGCCCAUAUGAGGCUAUAAUGGGUGAGGAUCAAGGAAUCUGCUGGUUCAGGUACCUUUACUUUAGAACCAAACCACAUAUAGUGAACCAUAAGAGCCUACCCUAGGUAAGACCACGCCAAACCGCUAGUGGUCACUCGAAUAGGUGCUCUAUUUAUUUCUUGCUUGCUUUUUCUUGGCACUAACUUGUUUCGUUUUGUUCUGGUUAUGAUUGCAUUGCAUUUUCAUCAUAGAAAAGAGGUGUUGAUUCACGUUCAAUUGCUAAAUAGAGAGCUUGUCAUGGAAAAUGAAUUUUUUGAUAAAGUGGAAAAUAAUACGACUGGCCGAAUAUGUUCCGAGAAAACACAACAAGAGAAGGAUGAUAGCCUAACGGAGGAGUACACGACUUUUUUUCGUUUCCCAAGGAUUCAAGUUGACAAAGAUUAUUCGAGAGUCGACAGCAUCCCAACAUUUUUUAAAUAAGCUAACAAGCAUCACGAGGACGAGUGAGUGAUGAGUCGCGGCCCAAAUCAAGCAAAAAAGAGCUAGUAUAGACAAUCAUUGGAAAAUUCACUAGAUUUAUCUUAACAUCCGGAUGAAGAAAAGGAUCAAUGUCUUCACCUGGAGUGUGAGGGAAAAGCCGUAUAUAUAUCCGCUUUAUGUAAAGAGAUUUGUUUUCUAGUAAAGUUAUUCUAAUAGAAUUGAAUCAGAAUCAACGUCUCUUUUUUGCAUUCAUUGCAUGCAUUUGCAUUACAUUACAUCAUAUACAUUAAAGUCCACCAAAAGAUCCUAAUUGAUUAAAAUUAUUUCAGUUGAUCUGAAAAUCAACAAAAACCUACCAACCAAACAUCAUUACUGUACCUGAGUAAAAGGAAUGGACCAAAUGUUGGAGAGAUUAGAGCAAAGGCAAAUACAGAUGCAAGAGCAAUUAACCAAAUUUUAACAAGAUAUGAGGGAUCAGAUGUUAGAGUUCCAAAGAAGUAUGAUAAGCCUGUUAACCCAGUUAUUGGAUAAAGGGUUAGAAAAAGGAAAAAAUCGGGUGGUCCACUUUAGGGAUGAUAGUGAAGACCCUGCUUCUUCUCCAGGCUUUACACCAACAAGCAUCCAGACACAACCAAAUGGGUAUCCACAAAAAGUGUCUGUUAACAUUAGACCCCAAUACUAGACCGGUACCUCGACACUAAUGAAUUACCCGACAGGCUCAAAUUCCAAUAUGAGAGACAAUCUAACCAAUCCUGUGGUCCAUGAUGAUCUAGCUAAAACAAAACAGGUGAAAGUGGAGUUCCCAAAGCAAUUUGAAGAUCGUUACAAACAGAAAAGGCAAGAGUGGAGUUUCCAACUCAAUACUUUAAAGGCUCCGGGGAAUAGGAAGAAUGAAGUGAAUAACGCAAGCAUGUAUAAUAGGGGAUACACAAAACCAAUUACUGUAGGCCAGCCAAAAAUAGUAACCGCUAGCCAUCAGGGCCUUUCAAGGCAAGAAUCUUACACGAGGACAAAUACAGAAAACGCCUAUACUAAUUAUGUAUAGAGAGCUAUAUCAAAACAUGUUUGAAGCACAUAUAGUAUCGCCUUUCUACUUGAAACCAAUGCAGCCCCCAUUUCCUAAAGGGUACGACACAAAUGCCCAGUGCGAAUACCAUGUAGGAAUCAUGGGGCAUUCGAUAGAAAACUGCACCGCUUUCAAAAAGCUAGUUGAAAGGCUCAUCAAUAUGGGUAUUGUCAAGUUCAAUGACUCAUCUAAUCCGCUACCCAAUCAUAUUGAUAAUAGGGUAAACACGAUGAGUUAAGAUAUUAGGAGAAGAAUCAAGAUAGACAUUGUAGAAGUAAAAACUCUAUUGAGUUGGGUCUAGAAGGAGAUGGCAAGAAGGGGAUUAGUCAUUUCGGAUUUAGGAGGAGGCCACGGAAAGACAAUGAACUAUUGUGAGUUCUAUUAUGAGAAGGGGCAUGAGAUCCAAGAGUGCAUGGAAUUCAGGGCUUUGGUUCAAGGCAUGAUGGACAAUAAAGAGAUGGAGUUCUGUGAGAAAAUUAUAGAAGAGAGAAGCCUAUGCACAAUGUUGGGAAGUGUUCACAUCAAUGUCGUAUAUGAGGACACAACUGAAAAGGGGACCUUGUUAGAUAUCCGUCCUUAUAAACCUGGGAGUGUUUUAAAUAAUUGGACUGCGAAAGAAAUUCCUGUAGUUUUAGAGCUUACUCAGAGUAAUGUUCAGAACACACUUGUUACUUUUAGCCUAGAAGUGAUAAGAAUCCCUUUGUGAAAUAGGCUCAUGUCUGAACGUCAUUAUUUUAAUAAAAUACAUUUUUACAUUUUGAGAAAAUAUUCUUUUACUCUUUUCAUAUGAAUAAUUAUUCUUUCAUUCUUUUAGAGAUUUUCUUCCAAUUCAUUCUUUCAUUUCAUUCAUAAUCGUAUUGUACAAAUAAUAAUUCUUAAAUUCACACAUUCUUUGAAUAUUCUUUGUACCUACAAUAGGUCCUUGGAUAUCAACGACAUGAGUGACACUGCUAUAGGCUCAGAAUUUCCUUUUAAACAAGACAUGUGUUUAGAGGGAUCUCAUAACUUUGAAAAUGACGUAGAUUGUAGCCUAUCUCCGAACUUGUUGAGGAUGGUAGAGUAGGAAGAGAAACAAAUUUUACCCUAUGAGGAGACAAUGGAGAUUGUGACCUUGGUGGAGGGAAAAGUAGUAAAAAGUAGAACAUGCAUAACCGAAGAAACGAAGCAAGACCUUGCUGAGUUACUUCAAGAGUUCAAAGAUGUCUUCGCAUGGUCAUACCAGGAUAUGCUCGGGUUAAGCACUGACAUUGUAAUCUGAACAACAGCACGAUGUCAGAAAUUUGCAAUAUGUUCAAGACUAACAUCAUGAACGAUGCAGUGGAGAAAACCUCUACCGGAGCAACGCCUUUCUCUUUGGCUUCUCACCAUUUUGCCCAUUGAAAUCGAGUUUUCAUCUCUUCAAGUUUUUGUUAAAUUUUAUCCCUAUUGAAGAGGAAGAUCCAAAGUUUUUCGUCAUAGUCAGAUGUACCAAAAAAAAUUUCGCCCCAGAAAGCUCUAUGAGAGAAACCUGAUAUCAAAGAAGAUCCUUUGCAUGCAAAAGAAUUUCAUAAGAAAGUGAAUGUUAAGAUGGGAAGGAUCUUGUGUAGAAGAUUUUAUCUAGAAAAACAUUGAUUCUGAUCGAAAAGGAUAACAAUGACUUGCCUAAUCCUAUGAGUUCAGAUCCAAUCAAAAAAUAUUUUAAAAAACUUAAAAAAUAAAAAAAUAAAAAAUAUUUCAAGAAUAAAAUGAAAAUAAAAAUGAUAAAAAAAAGAAAAAAAGGAAAAAAGGAAAAGGAAAAGGAAAGGCCAAAGCGAAAACCCGCAAAGCGCGCUUUGAUAUCAAAGGGGAUUUGAGUUGAAAACCCAAAAAGGGUGGCUCAAAUUUUAAGAUAAGUGAGGCAUGGAUGUCACCGGGCUAAUAUCCCCGAAGGCUUCUGUACAGCCCAAAUUUUGCCCGGGCCCAACAAGUAGAGACCAAAAUACCAUCAGACCCAAUUAAAUUAAACCACCCCAAACUAAACCUAACCCAAACAAACCCAAAAAUAAACUCAAUAAGAAUAGUCCAUUUUACAAAAAUAAAAACCAAUACAAACCCUAAGCCCAAAUUAAAAUACCAUCCCACUACCAAACUAAAACCCUAGCAGCCCUUACUGCCCAUGUGCGCUGUUCAGCCACCUCGCACGCCCUUUGCCUACCGCCGCUACUUGCCUAUCGCCUUAUCCGCAUGCUCUGACAUCUCUGCCAUCUACAAUACACAAGAAGAAGAAAACAAAAAGGACAAAACAAUAGACAAACAAAUCGAAAGAAAACAAAGAAAAUGGAAAAAUAGUUUUGUAUUUUGGUUAUAAAGCCAAAAUGAGAGGCUUGUUAAGCUUCUUCUUCCUUUUACGAACACAAGAGAAAUAAAAAAAGUAAUAUUUCAAUGUGAUAUAUAUUUUUUUGUUGUUUUAGAUCUAGUGCUUUAUUUUUAUUUCUUUUUAUCUACGAAAAUAAAAAAAGAAAAAUGAAGAAAAAAUGCACCUGGAUUCACACCCGAGCCCCAUCACCGGAAACCUUUUCCCUUGGCGCUGAAAUCGGGCCGAGAGGGGUGUAGGGGGUCUCUAUUUUUGGUUUUUUUCUUAAAAAAGGGCCCUGGCCUUCGAAUGGGAUUCAAAUUCGGGGUUAAAACGCCCUUUUACGCCACGUCGGCCACUGGCCAUGGUGGCGCUAUGGCGGAGGCGCGCCGGAACCCUAGGCCAGAUCAUGGCCAGAGAAGGCAAUGGAGGCACAGAGGGAGAGAGUUUUCUGAUUUUUUUGUAAAAAUGGGAGAGAAGAAGUGAUUUUUUUUUUAGGUAUUUUGGUUUAUAUAAGGUACCAAAAUGGUACCGUUUUGGGAAGGGCCAUUAAUGACCAAAAUGGCGCCGUUUUGGGCUAACCGACCCGAUCCGACUCGCUCCGGAAGAAGGAUCCGCGUGUUUUAGCCUUAAGGGGUUAUUUGCACGAGAAGUCCCUCCGCUUUUGCAGCGAAGUGUAAUUCGAUCCUUUUUUAUUAUUUUCUGAUUUGGGCCGCAAACUUUGCUUCUGCUUCAAUUUGGUCCAUAGACCAUGCGCAGAUGUUGUCCCCUGCAACGGCGCCAUUCAAAUGGCAUGGGAAUAUUUCCCUUUCGACCCUGUAUCUUUGGGUACGUUUAGUUCAGGCCCCAAUUGUCUUUUUAUUUAAAUUCUGUCAUUUAAUUUUGUUUUAAUUUCAAUCUGGUCCUGAGUCCAUUUAAUUUAUUUGUUUAUUAUUAUUAGUAUUUUUUUAAACAAAAACUCUUUUAUUAUUAUCUGUUUUAAGUUUUUAUUUAUUUAUUAUUUAUUGUAAACUAUUAUAUAUAUAUACAUAUAUAUCUUUUAAAUUUUCGUAUGUAUGUAUAUAUUAUUUGAAACUAUUUGUACUUAUUUUUUAUAUAUAAUAUUAUUUAUUUUAAAAUGUUCUAUAUUUAUUUAUUUUAAGUUUUCUGGUAUAUUUUUUAUUCGAAACUUUUAUUAUUUAUUGUUCUUAUAAAUCAUUCAUGUUAAAUUAUUAUUUACUUUAGAUUGUUAUAUAUAUUGUCUUGUUUUAUAUUCCUUUGGUUAUUAAUGUUGGUAUUAAAAUUAGAUAUAUUGUGUGCUCAUUUCCAUUGUGUGUACUAUAAUUUGCUUAUUCGUAUCCUCAUAUAUUUUUCAUGCAUUAAUGUAUCAUUUUAUUCAUAAAUUGUUAUGCCAUGUUCCAUUAUCGCUCAAUUUCAUUUCAUCACUUCAAAAGUUGCGCUCGAUUUGUAUACCUCAAUAAUAAACCGAUCUAUUUUAUCACGAACAAAACAAAUACACCUCGUUCAAGUGUUGCACUCGUCAUCAUUCAAAUCCAAGAAGAGUUUUAAAAUAAGGCAAUAUUUUGUGUUUGGAAAUUCGAGAAAACGUGCCCUAACGUGUUGGGUUUCGAUUCCUCGCUCGACCAAAUAGCCAAAUAUCCUUUUAGAAUUUCAAAGUAAGGCAAUAUUUUGCAUUUGGGAAAUUUGAGAAGACGUGCCCUAACGUGCUGGGUUUUGAUUUCUCGUUUAACCUAAAUAGCAAAAUAUCCUUUUAAACCAUGGCUCUUGAAUAAGCAAGAUUUCAUGUUCAGAUUCGAGAGAAAUCGUACCCUAACUUACGGGGUUUCGAUUUUCCUCGACGAGUCUAAAGGACCAAUCAUUUUAAAUCAAAGCACAAGUUAAAUAAAAACUUAUCCUCGGGAGUUCAAAAAUGUCGUGUCCUAACUCAUUGGAUGUAACAUUUUGUUAUAUCAAGGUAAGGAUUUCUAAAAACGCAAAGGUAAUAUUCUGCAUGUGGAAUUUUGAGAAAUCAAGCCCUAACUUACUGGGUUCCGAUUUUUUUGACCCAAGUGACCGAAUAUCCUUUUAAAAUUGAAAAAAAUGAGGUUUUAAUAAAAAAAAUAAAAGAAAGCUUACUCUCAAAAAUACGAGGUGUUGUGUCCUAACUAACUGGAUGUGACAUCUUGUUACUUCGAGAUAAGGAGGCAUUUUCUAUUUUGAUUUAUUCGAGUAAUUUUAAAAUAACACAAUAAAAAGGGAUAGUAUUUUUAAAUUCUUUUCGAGUUUUUAAUUUUUGACACCAAGACAUUAAGUAAUCAACUAGGUACCAAUUUUGGGCGUUACGAGUGUGCUAAUCCUUCCUCGUACGUAAUUGACUCCCGAAUCCAUUUUCUAAAUUUCGUAGACUAAAAUUGUUGUUUUAAUAAACUCAAAUUAUUUACUAAAGACAACCACAUUUUGAGGUGGUCCGAUCACACCUCAUCAAAAAAAGAUUGGUGGCGACUCCCACUUUCGUUUUAGUUUCAAAAUCCAAGUCGACCCCCUGUUUAUCAAAAAAAUGGUGUCAACAGCUUCUAUUGGGUAUCACUUCAUUUGUGAGGUUAUUAAUUACUUCACCAAAUGGGUAGAGACUGCUUCAUGCGCUAAUGUCACCAGGUUAGCAGUUAGCAAGUUUUUGAAAAAGGAGAUUAUAUGUCGAUAUGGAAUGUCUGAAAGAAUCAUAUCUGACAAUGCGCUGAAUUUGAACAACAGCACCAUAAUGGAAGUUUGCAGUCAAUUUAAGAUCAGACACAAUAAUUCGUCACCAUAUCGCCCAAAAAUGAAUGGUGUAGUGGAGGCGACCAAUAAAAAAUAUCAAGAAAGUUGUGAGGAAAAUGUCUGAGACUUACAAAGAUUGGCAUUACCAUUCACCCUUUUGGCUUAUCGAACGUCUAUCAUAACUUCCACCAGGGCAACGCCUUUCUCUCUGGUUUAUCGGAUGGAGGCAGUUUUACCCAUUAAAGUUGAAAUUCCUUCUCUCCGGGUAUUGGUUGAGCUAAGGUUGGAUGAAGCAAAAUGGAUCCAAUCUCGAUAUGAUAAAUUGAACCUAAUUGGAGAAAAAAGGCUAAAAGCUAUUCACCACGGUCAGAUGUAGUAGAAACGAAUGAUGCGAGCCUAUAACAAAAAGGUUCGUCUUAGAGAAUUCCAUGAAGGGGACCUGGUGUUGGGAAAAUAUUUUUUUCUCUACAAAAGAUUUUAGAGGGAAAUGGAUGCCAAAUUGGGAAGGACCUUAUGUUGUAAAGAAGGCCUUUUCUGGAGGAGCAUUAAUUUUGAGUGAGAUGGAUGGUAAAAACCUGCCUAAUCCUGUAAACUCAGAUUCAGUCAAGAAAUACUUCACCUCUAAUUAGAAAACCCUAGCAGCAGACCAACAACCCUCGCUAUUCUCUACGCGCCUCCAGCUGGGUGUACUUGCAAAACAAACGAAACCAACAAGGACAGCAAGGAAAGGCAAUAACAAAAAAGGAGCAAGCAAAUGAAAAAAGAGAAUAAAAGAAAAUGAUAUUUUUCUUUCUUAUAAUUUUAUUUUUUGUUUUUCUCGGCUAUAUAAGGCCAAAUAAUCUGUAAAAAAAGGGGGGAGAAAUUAAAAAAAAGCAGUAAACAAAAUCAAUCACAGUUUUCGAAGGUGAUCUGAAUUUUUUAUUUAAUUUCUUUGUUGUUUUCCUUAGUUUUUUCGUGGAUGCUUGCUUACUGUUUAAGAAAAGAAACACAAAAAAAGGCGAGGGUUUACCUUAUUGUCGGUGCCGAUUGGAUCUUUGUUCACUUCAUCGCAAUAGACUCUCAAGCGAGGGUUGUAAGGCCGAAGAUCGAAGGAGCUGUCGGUGGCAUGGGAAUGGGUUCAAAAACCCUAGCAGAGGAAAAAUGGGAUAAUAAUUUUUUUAAAGAAUGAUAGAAAGUAAUUUUUUUUAAAUUGUUGAUUUUAUAUUAGGUAUGAAACGACGUCAUUUAAAGCAUGUUUCAGUGGCCUCAAAAUGGUGUCGUAUAAGGCCAUGACCCGCGCGGUGACCCGACCUAAGGGAAGGUUCCGCGUGUUUUUUAUUGAUGGGUAAUUUGCAUCUCUGGUCUCGCCGCAUUUUUAUUUAUUUUAAUUCAGUUUUUUUCAUUUUUUCAAUUGAUACUGUAAAUUUUAUUCGAUUUCUGAUUCGGUCCUGAUGAAACGACGCAUUUCAGAGGGCGAGAAUAUUUCUCCAUUCAAUCCCUCUGAGUUAUUCGCGCCUUUCAAUUGGACCUUUCAUUUUGUUCUAUUUUCAUUUUUUCCCUUUAAUUUUGUUUUGAGUUUAAUUUAAUCCAUACUUAUUUCAUUUAAUGUACUUGAUUUUUAUUCUGUUUAAAAUCCAUUUUUCUGUUAUUUUUAGCUAUAUUUAUUUUUAAAUCUAACUUUCUUUUUAGGACAUUCUAUAUUCAUUCAUACACCUCUAAUUAGGAUAUUUUGAUUUAUUCAGAUCAUAACAUCCUACUCAUUAGGCAUAAAUAGGCCUAUGCAAUGAUUCUACAAGUCAUGUUCCCUAGAGAACAGAUUAGUGAAACCACAAAUCCCAUACCACUGAAGUCGCAGUAGAAUGGUUUGAAGAAGAUGGCGAAUCUAAUAUCCCUGAAGUUACGGUGGAGUAAAUUAAAGCCCAUAAUCUCAUUUCUUUGGCGUUGCAGUGGAAUAGAUUAAAGCUAAAGGCAACGAAUCUUAUUUCCCUGACGUCGCAGUAGAUUAAAGCUGAAGGCACCAAAUCUCAUUUCCAUGAUGUUGCAGUGGAACAGAUUAAAGCUAAAGCCAGCGAAUCUUAUUUCCUUGGGAUCGUAGUAGAUUAAACCUGAAGGUAGUGAAUCUCAUUUCCUUGGCUUGUAGUGGAAUAAAUUAAAGCUGAAGGUAGCAAAUCUUAUUUCCCUAGCGUCGUAGUAGAUUAAAGCUGAAGGCAGCGAAUCUCAUUUUCUUGGCAUUGUAGUGGAACAGAUUAAAGUUGAAGGCAGCGAAUCUUAUUUCCCUAGUGUCGCAAUAGAUUAAAGCUGAAGGCAGCGAAUCUUAUUUCCUUGGCGUUGUAGUGGAACAAAUUAAAGCUGAAGGCAGUUAAUCUUAUUUUCCUGGCGUCGCAGUAGAUUAAAGCUAAAGGCAACGAAUCUCAUUUCCUUGGCGUUACAGUGGAACAGAUUAAAGUUGGAGCCAACGAAUCUUAUUUCUCUAGCGUCACAGUAGAUUAAAGCUGAAGGCAGCGAAUCUUAUUUCCCUAGCAUCGCAGUGGGAUGGUUUAAAGUUAUCAUGGCAGAUCUUAUCUCUAUUAAGUUUCAGUGGAGCAGAUUAAAGCCACAAACCUUAUCCCUCUGAAGUUGCAGUGGGGCAGGUUGAAGAGACAAAUCUUAUUUUCCUAGCAUCGCAGUGGAAUGGUUUGAAGAAGAUGACGAAUCUUAUAACCCUAAAGUUGCAGUGGAGUAGAUUAAAGCCGAUAAUCUUAUUUCUUUUGCGUUGUAGUGGAACAGAUUAAAGCUAAAGGCAUCAAAUCUUAUUUCCCUGGCGUCGCAGUAGAUUAAAGCUAAAGGCAGCGAAUCUUAUUCCCUUGGUGUUGUAGUGGAAUAGAUUAAAGCUGAAGGCAGCAAAUCUUAUUUUCCUGGCGACGCAGUAGAUUAAAGCUGAAGGCAACGAAUCUCCUUUUCUUGGUGUUGCAGUGAAACAGAUUAAUGUUGAGGGCAGCAAAUCUUAUUUCCUUGGCGUCGCAGUAGAUUAAAGUUGAAGGCAGCGAAUCUCAUUUCCUUGGCGUUGUAGUGGAAUAGAUUAAAGCUAAAGGCAGCGAAUCUGAUUUCUCUGGCGUCGCAGUAGAUUAAAGCUGAAGGGAGCGAAUCUUAUUUCCCUAGCGUCGCAGUAGAUUAAAUCAGAAGGAAACGAGUAGGAUGGUUUGAAGUUAUCAUGGUAGAUUUUAUCUCCUUGAAGUCGUAGUAGAACAGAUUAAAGCCACAAACCUUAUCCCUCUGAAGUUGCAGUGGGGCAGGUUGAAGAGACAAAUAUUAUUUUCCUGAAGUUACAGUGGAAUGGUUUGAAGAAGAUGAUGAAUCUUGUAUCCCUAAAGUUACAGUGGAGUAGAUUAAAGCCAAUAAUCUCAUUUCUUUAGCUUUGUAGUGGAAUAGAUUAAAGCUGAAGGCAACAAAUCUUAUUUCCUUGGCAUCGGAGUAGAUGAAAGCUGAAGGCAACAAAUCUUAUUUUCCUAGCGUCACAGUAGAUUAAAGCUAAAGGCAGCGAAUCUCAUUUCCCUCGCGUUGCAGUGGAACAGAUUCAAGUUGAAGGUAGUAAAUCUUAUUUCCCUAGCGUCGCAGUAGGUUAAAGCUGAAGGCAGUGAAUCUCAUUUCCAUGGCGUUGCAGUGGAACAGAUUAAAGCUGAAGGUAGCGAAUCUUAUUUCUCUGGGGUCACAGUAGAUUAAAGCUGAAUGAAUCUCAUUUCCUUGGCGUUGCAGUGGAACAGAUUAAAGUUGAAGGUAACGAAUCUUAUUUCCUAGGGUCGAAGUAGAUUAAAGCAGAAGGAAGCGAAUCUUAUUUCUUUGGCGUUGCAGUGGAACAGAUUAAAUCUCAAGGCAACGAAUAUUAUUUCCCUGGCGUCGCAGUAGAUUAAAGCUAAAGGCAGCAAAUCUUAUUUCCCUGCCGUUGUAGUAAAUUAAAGCUAAAGGCAGCGAAUCUCAUUUCUUUGGCAUUAGCGUCGCAGUAGAUUAAAGCUGAAGGCAGCGAAUCUUAUUUCCCUGGCGUGGCAGUAGAUUAAAUCAGAAGGACACGAGUCUUAUUCCCUCAGCAUUGCAGUGGAACAGAUUAAAGCUGAAGCCAGCGGAUUUUAUUUCCCUGGCAUCGCUGUAGAUUAAACCUGAAGGUCGCGAAUCUUAUUUCCUUUUCGUUACAGUGGAACAGAUUAAAGCUGAAGCAGUGAAUCUUAUUUCCCUGGCGUCGUAGUAGAUUAAAACUGAAGGCAGUGAAUCUUAUUUCGAUUGUGUUGUAGUGGAACAGAUUAAAGCUGAAGGUAGUAAAUCUUAUUUCCCUAGCGUCACAGCAGAUUAAAGCUGAAGGCAGCAAAUCUCUUUUCCCUGGCAUUGCAGUGGAACAGAUUAAAGCUGAAUGUAGUAAAUCUUAUUUCCCUGGCAUCGUAGUAGAUUAAAGCUGAAGGCGGUGAAUCUUAUUUCCUUAGCGUUGCAGUGGAACAGAUUAAAGCUAAAGGCAGCGAAUCUUAUUUACCUGGAGUCGUAGUAGAUUAAACUUGAAGGCAGCGAAUCGCAUUUCCCUGGUGUUGCAGUAGAUUAAAGCUGAAGGAAGUGAAUCUUAUUCCUUUGGCAUCACAGUUGAACAAAUUAAAGCUGAAGGCAGCGAACCUCAUUUCCCUAACGUCGUAAUAGAUUAAAGCUGAAGGCAUCGAAUCUUAUUUCCUAAGCGUUGCAGUGGAACAGAUUAAACCUGAAGCCAGUGAAUCUUAUUUCCCUGGCGUCGUAGUAGGUUAAAGCUGAAUGCAGCGAAUCUCAUUUUCUUGGCAUUGCAGUGGAACAGAUUAACACUAAAGGGUGAAUAUUAUAUCCCUGGCGUCGUAGUAAGCUAAAGUUGAAGGCAGAGAAUCUUAUUUCCUUGGCGUUGCAGUGGAACAUAUUAAAAUUGAAGGCAGUAAAUCUUAUUUCCUUGGCGUUGCAGUGGAAAAGAUUAAAAAUGAAGGUAGCGAACUUUAUUUCCAUGUCGUCGUAGUAAAUUAAAGCUGAAGGUAGCAAAUCUUAUUUCCUUAGCAUUGCAGUGGAACAGGUUAAAGCUGAAGGCAGCGAAUCUCAUCUCCUUGCCGUUGUAGUGGAACAGAUUAAAGCUGAAGGCAAGAAAUCUUAUUUCCCUGGCACCGCAAUAGACUAAAGGUAAAGGCGGUGAAUCUUAUUUCCUUGGCGUUUCAGUAGAACAGAUUAAAGCUGAAGGCAGCGAAUCUUAUUUCCCUGCCGUUGCAGUAGAACAGAGUAAAGCAGAAGGCAACAAAUCUUAUUUCCCUGACGUCGCAGUAGACUAAAGCUAAAGCCAACGACUCUUAUUUCCCCUGCGUUGCAGUGGAACAGAUUAAAGCUGAAAGCAACGAAUUCCAUUUCCUUGGCAUUGCAGUAGAACAAAUUAAAGCUGAAUGCAGCAAAUCUUAUUUCCUUGGCAUCGCAUUAGAUGAAAGCUGAAGGUAGCAAAUCCAUUUCCUUGGCGUUGCAGUUGAACUGAUUAAAGUUGAAGGCAGCAAAUCUUAUUUCGCUGGCGUCAGAGUAGAUUAAACCUUAAGGCAGUGAAUCUUAUUUCCUUAGCGUUGCAGUAGAACAUAUUAAAGCUGAAGGCAAUAAAUCUUAUUUCCUUGGCAUUGUAGUAGAACAGAUUAAAGCUGAAGGCAGCGAAUCUUAUUUCCCUGUCAUCACAGUAGAUUCAAGCUGAAGGUAGCGAAUCUUAUUUCGUUGGCGUUGCAGUGGAACAGAUUAUAGCUGACGGCAGCGAAUCCCAUUUUCUUGGCAUUGCAGUGGAUCAAAUUAAAAUUGAAGGUAGCAAAUCUUAUUUCCUUGGCAUCGCAUUAGAUUAAAGCUGAAGGUAACAAAUCUCAUUUCUUUGGUGUUGCAGAGGAACAGAUUAAAGCUGAAGGCAGCGAAUCUUAUUUCCCUGUCGUCACAGUUGAUUAAAGUUGAAGGUAGCAAAUUUUAUUUCCUUGGAGUUGUAGUAGAACAGAUUAAAGCAGGAGGCACCAAAUCUUAUUUCCCUGACGUCGCAAUAGACUAAAGCUAAAACCAGCGAAUCUUAUUUCCUUAGCAUUGCAGUAGAACAGAUUAAAGCUGACGACAGCGAAUUACAUUUCCUUGGCAUUACAGUGGAACAAAUUAAAGCUGAAAGAAGCAAAUCUUAUUUCCUCGGCGUCGUAUUAGAUUAAAGCUGAAGGCAGCGAAUCUCAUUUCCUUGGCAUAGUAGUGGAAAAGCAGAAGGCAGCAAAUCUUAUUUCUCUAGCGUCGUAGUAGAUUAAAGCUGAAGGCAACAAAUCUCAUUUCCCUGGCGUUGCAGUGGAACAAAUUAAAGCUGAAGCAGUGAAUCUUAUUUCCCUGGUGUCGUAGUAGAUUAAAACUGAAGGCAGUGAAUCUUAUUUCGAUUGCGUUUUAGUGGAACAGAUUAAAGCUGAAGGUAGUAAAUCUUAUUUCCCUAGCGUAACAGCAGAUUAAAGCUAAAGGCAACAAAUCUCUUUUCCCUGGCAUUGCAGUGGAACAGAUUAAAGCUGAAUGUAGUAAAUCUUAUUUCCCCGGCAUCGUAGUAGAUUAAAGCUGAAGGCGGGGAAUCUUAUUUCCUUAGCGUUGCAGUGGAACAGAUUAAAGCUAAAGGCAGCGAAUCUUAUUUACCUGGAGUCGUAGUAGAUUAAACUUGAAGGCAGCGAAUCUCAUUUCCCUGGUGUUGCAGUAGAUUAAAGCUGAAGGAAGCGAAUCUUAUUCCUUUGGCAUCACAGUGGAACAAAUUAAAGCUGAAGGCAGCGAAUCUCAUUUCCCUAACGUCGUAAUAGAUUAAAGCUGAAGGCAUCGAAUCUUAUUUCCUAAGCGUUGCAGUGGAACAGAUUAAACUUGAAGCCAGUGAAUCUUAUUUCCCUGGCGUCGCAGUAGGUUAAAGCUGAAUGCAGCGAAUCUCAUUUUCUUGGAAUUGCAGUGGAACAGAUUAACGCUAAAGGCAGUGAAUCUUAUAUCCCUGGUGUCGCAGUAAGCUAAAGUUGAAGGCAGAGAAUCUUAUUUCCUUGGCGUUGCAGUGGAACAUAUUAAAGUUGAAGGCAGUAAAUCUUAUUUCCUUAGCGUUGCAGUGGAACAGAUUAAAACUGAAGGUAGCGAACUUUGUUUCCAUGUCGUCGCUAUAAAUUAAAGCUGAAGGUAGCAAAUCUUAUUUCCUUAGCAUUGCAGUGGAACAGGUUAAAGCUGAAGGCAGCGAAUCUCAUCUCCUUGCCGUUGUAGUGGAACAGAUUAAAACUGAAGGCAAGGAAUCUUAUUUCCCUGGCACCGCAAUAGACUAAAGGUAAAGGCGGUGAAUCUUAUUUCCUUGGCGUUUCAGUAGAACAGAUUAAAGCUGAAGGCAGCGAAUCUUAUUUCCCUGUCGUUGCAGUAGAAUAGAGUAAAGCAGAAGGCAACAAAUCUUAUUUCCCUGACGUCGCAGUAGACUAAAGCUAAAGCCAAUGACUCUUAUUUCCCCGGCGUUGCAGUGGAACAGAUUAAAGCUGAAAGCAGCGAAUUCUAUUUCCUUGGCAUUGCAGUGGAACAAAUUAAAGCUGAAGGCAGCAAAUCUUAUUUCCUUGGCAUCGCAUUAGAUGAAAGCUGAAGGCAGCAAAUCUCAUUUCCUUGGCGUUGCAGUUGAACUGAUUAAAGUUGAAGGCAGCAAAUCUUAUUUCGCUGGCGUCAGAGUAGAUUAAACCUUAAGGCAGUGAAUCUUAUUUCCUUAGCAUUGCAGUGGAACAUAUUAAAGCAGAAGGCAAUAAAUCUUAUUUCCUUGGCAUUGUAGUAGAACAGAUUAAAGCCGAAGGCAGCGAAUCUUAUUUCUCUGUCAUCGCAGUAGAUUCAAGCUGAAGGUAGCGAAUCUUAUUUCGUUGGCGUUGCAGUGGAACAGAUUAUAGCUGACGGCAGUGAAUCCCAUUUUUUUGGCAUUGUAGUGGAUCAAAUUAAAAUUGAAGGUAGCAAAUCUUAUUUUCUUGGCGUCGCAUUAGAUUAAAGCUGAAGGUAGCAAAUCUUAUUUCCCUGUCGUUGCAGUUGAUUAAAGUUGAAACAGCAAAUUUUAUUUCCUUGGAGUUGUAGUAGAACAGAUUAAAGCAGAAUGCACCAAAUCUUAUUUCCCUGACGUCGCAAUAGACUAAAGCUAAAGCCAGCGAAUCUUAUUUCCUUAGCAUUGCAGUAGAGCAGAUUAAAGCUGACGAUAGCGAAUUAAUUUCCUUGACAUUACAGUGGAACAAAUUAAAGCUGAAAGAAGCAAAUCUUAUUUCCUUGGCGUCGUAUUAGAUUAAAGCUGAAGGCAGCGAAUCUCAUUUCCUUGGCGUAGUAGUGGAAAAGCAGAAGGCAGCACAUCUUAUUUCUCUAGCGUCGUAGUAGAUUAAAGCUGAAAGCAACAAAUCUCAUUUCCUUGGCGUUGCAGUGGAACAGAUUAAAGUUGAAGCCAAUAAAUCUUAUUUCCCUGGCAUCGCAGUAGAUUAAAGCUGAAGGCAGCAAAUCUCAUUUCCUUAGUGUUGCAGUGGAACAGAUUAAAGCUAAAGGUAGCGAAUCUUAUUUCUCUGCUGGCGCAGUAAAUUAAAGCUGAAGGCAGUGAAUCUUUUUUCCUUGGCGUUGUAGUGGAACAGAUUAAAGUUAAAGGCAGCAAAUCUUAUUUCCCUGGCGUCGCAGUAGAUUAAAGAUGAAGGCAGCGAGUCUUAUUUCCUUAGCGUUGUAGUGGAACAGAUUAAAGCAGAAGGCAGUGAAUCUUAUUUCCCUGGCGUCGCAGUAGAUUAAAGCUGAAGCUAGAGAAUCUCAUUUUUUUGUAGUCGCAGUGGAACAGAUUAAAACUGACGGUAACAAAUCUUAUUUCCCUAGCGUCGCAGUAGAUUAAAGCAGGAGGCAACAAAUUUCAUUUCCCUAGCAUUGUAGUGGAACAGAUUAAAGCUAAAGGCAGUAAAUAUUAUUUCCCUAGCGUCGCAGUAGAUUAAAGCUGAAGGCAACGAAUCUCAUCUCCUUGGUAUUGCAGCAGAACAGAUUAAAACUGAAGGCAGCAAACCUUAUUUCCCUGGCGUCGCAGUAGACUAAAGAUAAAGCCAGUGAAUCUUAUUUCCCUGGCGUUGCAGUGGAAUAGAUUAAAGCUGAUGACAGCGAAUCUCCUUUCCUUGGCGUUGUAGUGGAACAAAUUAAAGCUGAAGGCAACAAAUCUUAUUUCCUUAACAUCACAUUAGAUUAAAGCUAAAGGUAGCAAAUCUCAUUUCCUUAGCGUUGCAGUGGAACAGAUUAAAGUAGGAGGCAGAAAAUCUUAUUUCUCUAGCGUCGCAUUAGAUUAAAGCUAAAGGCAGCAAAUCUCAUUUCCUUGGCAUUGCAGUGGAACAAAUUAAAGUUAAAGGCAGUAAAUUUUAUUUCCCUGGCAUCGCAGUAGAUUAAAGCUGCACGUAGCAAAUCUCAUUUCCUUGGCGUUGCAGUGGAAUAGAUUAAAGUUGAAGGCAGCGAAUCUUAUUUCCCUGGUAUCGCAGUAGAUUAAAGCUGAAGGCAGUGAAUCUUAUUUCAUUUCCGUUGCAGUGGAACAGAUUAAAGUUGAAGGUAGCGAAUUUUAUUUCCCUAGCGUUGCAGUAGAUUAAAGCUAAAGGCAGCGAAUCUCAUUUCCAUUGCAUUGCAGUGGAAGAAAUUAAAGCUGAAGGCAGCAAAUCUUUUUUCCUUAGCGUCGCUCUAGAUUAAAUUUAAAGGCAUCGAAUCUCAUUUCCCUGGCGUUGCACUGGAACAUAUUAAAGCUGAAGGAAGUAAUCUUAUUUUCCUGACGUCACAGUAGAUUAAAGCUGAAGGCAGCGAAUCUCAUUUUCUUGGCGUUCCAGUGGAACAGAUUAAAGCUAAAGGAAGCGAAUCUUAUUUACCUGGCGUCGCAGUAGAUUAAAGUUGAAAGCGGUGAAUCUUAUUUCUCUGGCUUCACAGUAGAUUAAAGCUGAAGGCAGUGAAUCUCAUUUCGUUGGCAUUGUAGUGGAACAGAUUAAAGCUGAAGGAAGCGAAUCUUAUUUCAUUGACGUCGCAGUAGAUUAAAGCUAAAGGAAACGAAUCUUAUUUUCUUAAUUUUGCAGUAGAACAAAUUAAAGCUGAAACCAACAAAUAUUAUUUCUCUGUCGUCGUAGUAGAUUAAAACUAAAGGCAGCGAAUCACAUUUCCUUGGCAUUGUAGUGGAACAGAUUAACACUGAAGGCAGCGAAUCUUAUUUCCCUAGCAUUGCAGUAGACUAAAGCUGAAGGCGGCGAAUGUUAUUUCCUUGGCGUUGCAGUGGAACAGAUUAAAGCUGAAGGCAGUGAAUCUUAUUUCCCUUGCAUCGUAGUAAAUUAAAGUUGAAGGCGGUGAAUCUUACUUUCUGGGCAAUACAGCGGAACAGUUUAAAGCUGAAGGCAGCGAAUCUUAUUUCCUUGGCGUCGCAAUAGAUUAAAGCUGAAGACAGCAAAUCUUAUUUCUUUGGCGUUGCAGUGGGAUGGUUUGAAGUUAUCAUGGUAGAUCUUAUCUCCCUGAAUUUGUAGUGGAGCAGAUUAAAGCCACAAACCUUAUCCCCCUGAAGUUGCAGUAGAGCAGAUUAAAGCCACAACCCUUAUCCCCAUGAAGUUGCAGUGAGGCAGGUUGAAGUGACAAAUCUUAUCUUCCUGAAGUUACAGUGGAGCAGAUUGAAACCACCGUCUUAUUUCCCUGAAGUUGCAGUGGAGCAGACUAAAACCACAAAUCUCUUCCCCUUUGAAAUCGCGACAGAGUAGAUUGACGCUACGAGUCGUAUCUGAAGUUGCAGUGGAGUGGAUCGAAGCAACAAGAUGCAGUGGGCUAGAAUUAGGCUACUUGAUGAAGAGAAGUACCAAGUAAGGUGAAGACUCGGCAAGACUAGGAAAAAUUAGCCUUUUUGAGUCUUUGCUCCAUUUUCGUUACACGACAAUGAGCAAAGAGGAGCAACUGUAAUAGGCCAAUUUUGGCCUGGCCCAAAAUUAACCAAAUUAAAAAAGAAACCAAAUAUAAAAAUUAAUAAUUGACCAAUAACAGUCCAGAGUUACAGUGGUCCAAUUAACCCAAGAUUAAAUAGCAGUCCAAAACCUCUAGCUCAAUUACAACUAGCCCAAAACCAAUAGCCAAAGAAAUACCAGAAAACCCUACCAGUAGACCAACAGCUGCCGCCAUUCCCCACGCGCACAACGCCCUCACGUGCCUCCAGCUGGCUGUACCUGCAAAACAAAUGAAACCAACAAGGGCAACAAGGAAAGGCAAUAACAAAAAAAGAGCUAGCAAAUGAAAAAGGAGAAUAAUAGAAAAUAAGAUAUUUCUUUCUUGUAAUUUUAUUUUUUUUAUUUUUAUCGGCUAUAUAAGGCCGAAUAAUCUGUAAAAAAGGGGGAGAAAAUUAAAAAAAGCAAUAAAAAAUCGAUCACAGUUUUUAAAAGUGAUCUAAAUUUCUUUUUUUCCAUUUAACUUCUUUGCUAUUUUCCUUAGUUUUUUUCGUUGAUGCUUGUUUACUGUUUAAGAAAAAAUACACAAAAAAGGGGUGAGGGUUUACCUUAGUGUUGGUGCCGAUUGGAUCCUUGUUCAUUUCGUUGCAAUCAAAGCUCAAGCGAGGGUUGUAAAGCUGAAGUCAGCAAAUCUUAUUUCCCUGGCGUCGCAGUAGAUUAAAGCUGAAGGCAGCGAAUCUCAUUUCCUUUGCGUUGCAGAGGAACAGAUUAAAGCUGAAGGCAGCAAAUCCUAUUUCCCUGGUGUCACAGUAGAUUAAACCUGAAGGUAGCGAAUCAUAUUGCCUUGGCGUUGCAGUGGAACAGAUUAAAGUUGAAGGCAGUAAAUCUUAUUUCCCUGGCGUCGCAGUAGAUUAAAGCUGAAGACAACGAAUCUCAUUUCCUUGGCGUUACGGUGGAAUAGAUUAUAGCUGAAGGUACCAAAUCUUAUUUCCCUGGCGUCUAGUAGAUUAAAGCUGAAGGCAGCGAAUCUCAUUUCCUUGGCGUUGCAGUGGAACAGAUUAAAGCUGAAGGUAGUAAAUCUUAUUUCCUUGGCAUCGCAGUAGAUUAAAGAUGAAGGCAGUGAAUCUUAUUUCCUUGGCGGUGUAGUGGAAUAGAUUGAAGCUGAAGGUAACAAAUCUUAUUUCCCUGGCCUCGUAGUAGAUUAAAGCUAAAGGUAGCGAAUCACAUUUCUUUGGUAUUGCAGUGGAACAGAGUAAACCUUAAGGCAGCGAAUCUUAUUUCCCUAGCGUUGCAGUAGAUUAAAGCUGAAGGCAGCGAAUCUCAUUUCUUUGGCAUUGUAGUGGGAUAGAUUAAAGUUGAAGGCAGCGAAUCUUAUUUCCCCGAUGUCGUAGUAGAUUAAAACUGAAUGUAGUAAAUCUCAUUUCAUUGGCGUUACAAUGGAACAGUUUAAAGCUAAAAGCAGCGAAUCUUAUUUCCCUAGUGUCAAAAUAGAUUAAAGCUGAAGGCAGCAAAUCUCAUUUCCUUGGCGUUGCAAUGAAACAGAUUAAAAUUGAAGGUAACAAAUCUUAUUUCCUUGGCAUUGCAGUAGAUUAAAGCUCAAGGCAGAGAAUCUUAUUUCCUUGGCGUUGCAAUGGAACAGAUCAAAACUGAAGGCAGCGAAUCUUAUUUCCCUGGCAUCAUAGUGGGAUGGUUUGAGGUUAUCAUGGUUGAUCUUAUCUCCCUGAAGUUGCAGUGGAGCAGAUUAAAGCCACAAACCUUAUCCCCUUGAAGUUGCAGUGAGGCAGGUUGAAGUGACAAAUCUUAUCUUCCUGAAGUUGCAAUGGAGUAGAUUGAAGCCACCAGUCUUAUUUCCCUAAAGUUGCAGUGGAGCAGACUAAAACCACAAAUCUCGUCCCCUUUAAAAUCGCGACAGAGUAGAUUGAAGCUACGAGUUGUAUCUGAAGUUGCAGUAAAGUGGAUCGAAGUAACAAGAUGCAGUGGGUUGGAAUUAGGCUACUUGAAGAAGAGAAGCACCAAAAGAGGUGAAGAAUCGGUAAGACUAGGCAAAAUUGUCCCUUUUCUAGUUUUUGCUCCAUUUUCGUUACACGAAAACGAGCAAAAAAGGGCAGCUGUAAUAGGCCAAUUUUGGCCUGGCCCAAUAUUAACCAAAUUAAAAAAGAAACCAAAUAUAAAAAUUAAUAAUUUUCCAAUAACAGUCUAGAGUUACAGUGGCCCAAUUAACCCAAGAUCAAACAGUAGCCCAAAACCCCUAGCCCAAUUACAACUAGCCCAAAACCAAUAGCAAAAGAAAGACCAAAAAACCCUAGCAGCAGACCAGCAGCCAUCGCCGCUCUCCACGCGCGUCCAGCUGGCUGUACCCACAAAACAAACGAAAUCAACAAGGAUAGAAAGGAAAGGCAAUAACAAAAAAGAGCUAGAAAAUGAAAAAGGAGAAUAACAGAAAAUGAGAUUUUUCUUUCUUGUAAUUUUAUUUUUUGUUUUUCUCGGCUAUAUAAGGACGAAUAAUCUGUAAAAAAAGGGGGGAGAAAUUAAAAAAAGUAGUAAACAAAAUCAAUCACAGUUUUCGAAGGUGAUCUAAAUUUUCUUUUUCAUUUAAUUUCUUUGUUGUUUUCCUUAGUUUUUUUUCGUUGAUGCUUGCUUACUGUUUAAGAAAAGAAACACAAAAAAGGGCGAGGGUUUACCUUAAUGUCGGCGCCUAUUGGAUCCUUGUUCGCUUCGCCGCAAUCGAAGCUCAAGCGAGGGUUGUAAGGCCGAAGAUCGGCAGAGCUUUUGGCGGCAUGGGAAUGGGUUCAAAAACCCUAGCAGAGGAAAAAGGGGAUAAUAGUUUUUUUUAAAUAAUGACAGAAAGUAGUUUUUAAAAAAAAUUGUUGAUUUUUUAUUAGGUAUGAAACGGCGUCGUUUAAGGCCUGUUUUAGUGGUCUCAGAACGGUGUCGUAUAAAGCCAUGACCCACGUGGUGACCCGACCUAAGGGAAGGAUCCACGUGUUUUUUAUUGAUGGGUAAUUUGCAUCUCUGGUCCCGCCGCAUUUUUAUUUAUUUUAUUCAGUUGUUUUCAUUUUUUUCAAUUGAUACUGUAAAUUUUAUUCGUUUUCUGAUUCGGUCCUGAUGAAACGACGCGUUUUAGAAGGCGAGAAUAUUUCUCCAUUCAGUCCCUCUGAGUUAUUCGCACCUUUCAAUUGGGCCCUUCAUUUUGUUUUAUUUUCUUUUUUUUUUCCAUUUAAUUUUGUUUUGAGUUUAAUUUAAUCCAUACUUAUUUAAUUUAAUGUACUUGAUUUUUAUUCUAUUUAAAAUCCAUUUUUUGUUAUUUUUAAAUAUAUUUAUUUUUAAAUCUAACUUUCUUUUUAUGUUUAAGUUUAAUAUAUUUUUAAGUUUAUUAUCAAUAUUAGUUCAAUAUUAUAAUAUAUUAUUAUUCUAAAUUUAUCAUUAACAUUAUUUUAGGUGUAUCAUGUAUUUUUUAUUUAAAUUUAUCAUGUAUUAUCUUAUGCAUUCUUGUUGUAAUUUCAAUAUAAUUUAUACAUUUUUUUACGGUUUUAUUUUAUAAUACAUUUUUAGGUCAUUUUAUUUGUGAUAGGCUUUUAGGUCAUUAACUUUUAAAUAUUGGUGUUAAUAUUUACAUAUGAUGUGAGAUUAUUGUUAUUACGUACAUUGUAUUGCUUGUUUAUAUUGAUAGACUAUUCGCGUUCAUUUGUCCGUAUUUUGGCUUACAAAUUAUUCUUUCGAAUUAUACAUUGUCAUCUCAUUGUGUUUUAUUUGUCAAAAAUUUCAUUUCAUUUAAACAUUGAAAUCAUUUUAUUCAAAAGUUUCCAAAAUAAUGCAAUAAUCGGUAUUUGGAACUUCGAGAAAUCGUGCCCUAACUUACGGGGUUUCGAUUUCCUCGUCGAACUAAAACGGCCAAACAUUUUAGUUUUCAAAUACACAAAGUUUCAAUAAAAAUUUUUAAAGGUUAUCUUAUACUCGGGAAAUCCAACGUUGCAUCCUAACUUACAGGAUACGAUAUUUGGUUGCUCCGAGAUGAGAAGGCCUUUUUUACAUUCGUUCAAAUCUAUCCAAGAAUUAUUUUAAAAUAUGGCAUUAAUAAAAAGGGGAAAUCAUUUUUAAUCUCUUCGAAUUUUCAACAUUCGACUUUAAGACAUUAAAUAAUCAAUUCUGUACCAAUUUUGGGCGUUACGAGGGUGCUAAUCCUUCCUCGUACGUAACUAACUCCCGAACCCGUUUUUACUAAAACUAGUAGACCAAAAUCAUUUUUAAGGUGAUCCGAUCACACCUCAAUAAAAGAUCGGUGGCGACUCCAAUUUUCAUUUUUUUAAGUCGAAAUUAUUUUUUAUUUUCAAAAAGUGGUUUCGACAGUCAACAUACAAGGAGAGUCUGUGUGUCAAGUUUAAGGAUUAUUUAUACUACCAAUACAAGGAGUAUUUCUAUAAACACUAAGGGGAUGUUUGGUUGAAGGUAAUGGUUAUGCCAUUACCUGUCUAUUACAAGCCUAUUCUACAGGCCCACUUAAGAUGUUUGGUUCAAGGGAAUACCCUAUUACACAUGUAUUCUGUUCCAGGCUUAUGUAGAGAUAAUUAGGGAUCUUUAUUCCCUUCCCUCUUCACCGUUUACCCAUUCGUUGCCAUAUGAACCCUAUUUUACCCUCACAAAUUCUUACCUCAAAAUCACUCGAACGACAACCAUUUCUUGCUUCCUUCGACUCCGACAUUCCUCCCCUUCAUCCAAGGUCAAGUAAACGUUUUUCCUUCUACUGUUCCUUUCAUUUUCCUACCUGUCUAUUUUUUUCUUACCCAAGUUGCGUGCCAAGUGGGGGCAUUAAGGUGGCCUGGGACGAGAGAGAAUCGAACAACCAGUCGGCUUGGGAAGGGGUUGAGUAGGCCUUUGCUGGCUCAACGUGUGAGAGGGAGGUAUGCCGAAACAGUGCAGUACAAUAACAUCAAAUUUCAAGUGUGGGGUUUAGGUAUGCCGAUCACUACUUCUUAAUCUGGAUCUUUAACAUGUAUAGUAUAUUUUUUAUAGUACUGUCCUGAAAGUUUGAUAAUAUUUUCUUAUCUAUUUGAUUAUUUGAAGGUAAAGAGAUGGCGAAGUUCAUAAUUUCUUAUAUCAAAGGCUUGAGAUAAUGCUUGUUGUUAUAAAUCUCAACUGUAUAAAGUAGCUUUAAUCCGCAACUUACAUGAUUCUUUUGCCUCUUGCCGAUAUCUUUAUAUGUCUGUUCUUGGUAUUUCUUCCGUAAAACCAUCAUAGUAGCAACUUUAAGCAAAUUUACAACACUGAUCACUCUUUAUCAUCAAAGCUUUACUUUUCCGAUACUGGAUGAAAUAUGAUAUAGUAUGGGAUAUUCUGUCUCUAGCUGCCAAUCCAAAAGCUAUUUCUGCAAACUUAAGGUUCUCUUUUUCUGAUUCCAAGUUUGUUGUUAUUCAAAGCCACUGAACUUCGUCAAAACUAAUAGUACUAAGUUGUGGAAUUUUAAUGCUUUAUUAUUAGACUAAAAUGUAUUCAUUUAAUACCUUGUUCUGCAAUUUUUUCUUUCUUUUAUCUUUUGGAGCUUUAAUAUUUUAACACAAGUGAUGUCAAUUUUUUGUCUUGAUAAUAUCUUUAUUAUUUACUGAUGCAACACAUAUCAAGUAACUUUCACAAACAUGCAUUGCUUUUAUAUUCCUUCAUUAUUUACUAAUAUUCUACUGGCCAAUGGCAACUUUGAAAUAAGAUGUUUGGUUUCUGGAAGCUCUCUGUAAAGUUUGUCUUUAUGAGUCUACAUCUGGCCGCUUAGAAAUUUAAUUAAGCUAAUAGUUUUUGCUCUUAAACUUAUAUGACAUUCUGUAAGUUCUUUUAAGUUGUAAAAGAGGUGUAUGCCUAGAUUUUAUAACUAUUAUUAUUAACAAUCCCAUGGCUAAUAAGUGAAUUUCCAUUUUCUUUUUACCUUUAGAACAAACUAACUUUGAGUCUGUCAUAGUAUCUCAAUAUUUUAUACAUGGGAUGCCACUAUUUGUACUACUUUUAUUAUUAGGACUUGGGAUUUAAUUUAUUAGCGUUAUUCCAGGUUAUCUCAAUGUCUAAAAGUGUUGAAAUGAAAUAAAAGUUUACAUCUAUGCUUUCCUGUGGUUCAUGACAGACGAAAAGAUUAAUCAUCCUAUUCAAUUUUAGUAUAUGGUUCAUAUUUUGUUCCCAUAUUCAAUAAAACGGUGCUUCUAGUAUAGGCCAGCCUCUGUAGUAACAUUUCAUGCAUUGUAAAUGAUAUAUAGAUUAUUUUGCUAUAGUAUAUCUUAUAAAUAUUAAUCAUCCUCUUUCUUAAAAACUUCCUAAAACCUUGCUAUGGUAUAUCUUAUAAAUAUUCCAUGCAUUGAAGAUAAUAUAUAGAUUACUUUGCAGGCGGCAACAUUGAUCUCAUGGUCUACUGUAGUAACAUUUGUGUUUUAGAAGUUUGACAAAAAGAAAGAAUGCUACAUGAAAACCUUCUUUCUGCUUCCUAGAAUGUGAUUCUGACUUGUUUAUAUGUCUGUAACCAACAACACUUACUUGGUGUUUACAAUAUCUUACUUCAUUUUUCAAUGCUUGUUUAAUGUAUUUCAUUAAUGCUUCUUCUGGACAAGUUUCAAGUGUAAAUCUUUUACAGGAAGAGGAGCUGAGCGAAGCAGCAGUUCUUAUUUUUCUUAAUUUUGCAGAUAAGCAGAUUGGUAAGUUUCAUGUCUCACAUGUAAUUCAUGUUAUCAUUGAAUAUACUUGGCAAAAUUGCCUUGCAGCCUAUGCUAUGAUGAGAUUCAUUGUAUGUAUUUAUAAGUAAGAACUUCAAAAUGAUUUAUGCCCGUGUUCUAUGCAUCUUUCAACAAUAGAAACUAGUUUUAAAUUAUAUUUAUCCACUCCUUGAACAAAUCAUCUUUGAAGUGGUAGAAUGCUGAGUCAUUUGUUCAUGCACAUUGAGUUCUUCAUCAUCAAAGUAAGGGAUCUGUGAACCUAUUUGAUCAUCCUCAGUAACUCCUAAAGGAAAUUAAUUUAUUGGUCAUCAUUGUAGGUUGAAGGUAGCAACAAGAAGGGGGAAAAAUAUCACUCAAGGGUGUGAUAAGAUAACAAUACCCUCCCAAUGUCUUUGUUGUAAGUUGGUUAUGUGUUCAACUUUGGAAAGAUGAAAUUUGUUAAUGGAAAAGGAAGCUGCCAAGUUAAAGAGCAGCACACCCUCGUAGGCUACCAAAUGUCAAGAGUCAAGAACAACAAAAAAAAUGAACAAAGAAAAGGGACAUAAACAAAUAUCUCCACUGGAAUGAUGAUACCAUUACUCUUUUCUAGUAAUACGGGAAAGACAAUAUAUCCAUGUUAAACUACAUUUACAAUUCAAAUUUGAUCUUUUUACUUUAAACAAGAAAGUUUUGUUUAUAUUUAAUUUUCGAUAUGUUUUUAUUUUUGAUAUGUUUCAUUUAAAACUAUUUUAAUCUUUUAAUAUAUUAUUAAACUAUUUUUAUUUUCGAUAUAUUUAAUUUAUGUUAUAUUUAAUUUUGGUCUUCAAAAAAUGUUUUAUAUUACUUAUAUUGUUUGAUUAAAAACUAUAAUUAACACUACAAAAAUUAUCUCAACAAACGAAACAAUAAAAAAAAAAAGAAAGUAAAAUGCUACAAACAAAUCAUGUUAUGGUAAGAAUGUAAUGUAUAUGGAGUUUUAGAUUUUAUUUAAAUAAAAUAAUAAUCGAAUAUUUUAAAAUACAUAAUUUUUAAGAUAUUUAACGCACUAUAUACCAAUAAUCAAAUUGAGUUAAUACAAAAUAAAAGAAAUUAAGACCUAUUUUCUUUUCUCAUAAAAAUAUUAAAUUCAUAUUAAUCAAAUGGGUUUUUUUUAAAUAAUUAUUAAACAUCAGCCAUCAAUUAAUCAAAUCUUCAAAAACACAUUCUUUUCUUUUCUUUCUUUUUUUUUUCUUUUUUGGAUGAUUGAUAAAGAAAUGAAUGUCAAGUUUUUUACUCGCAAAGAUAGUUGUAAUUUCUAUUUUGUGCUUUGUAAAUAUUCUUAAUAUAUAUUGUUUAUUUUUCUUUGAUAGUGUUAUAGCUUCCUCUUCUUCUUUGGCUUGUUUGAUUGCUUCCUUCACUCAUAGUUGAGCGUCUUGUAUCCUGUGAGGGUGCACAAUAAAAUCAUUAUUGCAUGUUGUUUGCUCCAUAAGUUUAUUCGAACCUAUAUGAGUCUUGAUCCUAUUGAAGCGGAGUUGGGAGAAGGAUUACCUAGUAAUGUGAUAGAUGACGACAAACCGAAUAUCGUAAAUAUUCAUCCAUCGGAUGCAUGGGCUACUUGGAGGAUAGAACUAGCCAACCAAAUGUUUAUUCUACCAAUAUAGGAAGUAUUUCUGUAAACACUAAGGUGUUUUUCACCCUAUAACCUUAUAUUAAUAUUUGUUCCUUUUAUGAAAAUUUAAGUUUUAAAUAAUUUUUCGACUAAAUUAAUAUUAAAUUAGCUUGUAACACCAAUUUAAUAAAAUAUAUAAAACAAGCAUAAAUAUAAUUUCAUUAAAACCUGUCAAUAAAAAAAGUACCAUUAAUUCCUUUGAAGUCCUCACUUUUUGGGUCUUAAUGGGUGAGAAAUUUUUUAAAUAGAAACUGAAGACGAUAUUUUAAGUAAAGGGGACGUUAAAACCCAAGUCUUUGGAAAAUAAAUUGCAUCACGACUGAACCAAAAAUUCCCUUAAGUUAUAAUUAGGCACUUAAUGGAAAAGUAAGUCAACAAAAUAAUAGAAAAGGCUUGGGCACAAUUAAUUUAUACUCUAAUGUCUCGUGUAUAAUGCUAUAAGGAUAAUGCUUAUUUAUUAUUAUCUAUUAUAUAGAAAUAUGGACCAUCAGAAACAAAAAAAGCAAAGAUUCUAUCCUUUUAUUAUAUAUUAUUGAUACUAACAACAUAGAAAUUUCCAGGAAAAAGAAAGCACAACACAUGAAGUAAAUUACAUGACAUCGACUGAAGCAAUGAUAACAACUGGCCCCUACAACAAUUGCAACAAGACCUUGACUCCUACAAUCACUUUCCUUAAAUUCUUCUCUUUGGAAACUAUAACAUAUAUGCUACUACUGAACCUUUAGCAAACAAUUAAGUUUACGUAAUUCAACAUGGCCUCAUCCUCAACCUUUUCCGUUAUUUUAGGUGUUGACACCAAUUUUUUUGUAAAAAUGGGGUCGACUUGAAUUUUGAAAACGAAAAUUAAAAUGGGAGUCGUCACCAAUCCUUUUUGAUAAGGUGUGAUCAGACCACAUUGAAAAGUGGUUGUUUUUAAUAAACAAUUUAAUUUUAUUAAAACAACAAUUUUGGUCCAUGAAAUUCAGAAAAAUAGGUUCGGAAGUCGGUUACGUACGGGGAAGGAUUAGCACCCUCGUAACGCCCAAAAUUGGUACCUAGUUGAUUAUUUAGUGUUUUUAGUGUCGAUGAUUGAAAACUUUAAAGAAUUUUAAAAAUACGAUCCUAAAAAUUUUCGAACAAUAUGGGUUGAAAUUUAGGAUUCUCUUGUUCCGAAAGAAUAUCACAUCCAGCACAUUAGGAUACGAUACUUUAAACUCUCGAAACCAAGAUCACCUUAUGGUUUCCAAAACCCAUACUUUGAAACUUUAAGAGGGUAUUUGGCUAUUUGGCUAAACGAGAAAUCGAAACCCAACACAUUAGGCCACAUUUUCUCGAAUUUCCAAACGCAAAAUAUUGCCUUAAUUUAAAAUUUUCUUUUUGUAUUUGGAUAAAAAUUAUAUCUGAUGGAACAAUAAUUAUGAUAAUGUAAGUAAAAAUAAUACGAGCAAAACAAAAAUAAUAAAAGAUAAAUAAAAAAACAAAUCAAUCACGUACACAACAACAAGCAAAUAAACAAGUAAAAAAAACUAAAGCAUUUAAAGUAAUAAUAAUGGAUAUGUAGAUGAGCGAGUAAAUGAACAUCAAGUGAAGCCAUAAUAACAACAAAGAAAAUAGAUAAAAAUUAUAAAAUAUAAAAGUAUAUAUGUACAUAUAAGAGAAAUAUAUAUGUAUGUAUAUACAUAAAAUUAUGAAAAUAUGAAAAAUAUAUGUAUAUAUAUAUUUUUUAAAGAUGUAAAACAUAAAAAGAUAAACAUGUGUGUAUGUACAUACAUAUAUAUGUAUAUAACAAUCAUGGAAUAUAAAAAGUAUAUAUGUAGGUAUAUAUAUGAAUCAUAAAAUAUAAAGAAUAUAUAUAAAAUACAUGUUUUAAAAGUAUAAAGAAUAUGUAAGUAUAUAUAUAUUUAUGAAAAUAAAAUACAUAUAUAGACAUGUAUAUAGAUAUGUAUAAAAAUUAUGAAAUAUAAAAAUAUAUAUAGGUACAUAUAUGUAUAUAUAGAUAAAUUAAAAAAUAUGCAUAUGUAUAUAUAUUAUAAAAACACAUGUAUGUGUAUAUAUAUAACGAAGAUUUCAAAUUUAAAAAAUAUAAAUGAGCAAAUAAUUACAAUAAUAAUUAAUAAUAAUAGUAAUAAUAUUAAAUUUAUUAAGAAAAUAAACAAAAUAACAAAAUGACUAAAUUAAACUUUAAAAUGAAAUUCGGGGUUUAAAUCUACAAAUAAAUAAAAAGGGGGAUCUUUCUGAACGCGCGCAUAACAUGGAGGGAUUAAAAGGGAAAUUUUCCCUUCCCCACUAAAACGGCGCCGUUCAAAUAGGGACUAAACUAUAAACGCGAAGAAUUCUGGGGUAAGAUUGAAAAAUCCUAAAAUACUUGAUUGAAAAACCAUUUAAAAGUGGAGGGACUAAAAGGGUAAAUAACCCAAAGCUUAAAAACACGUAGAUCCCUUAGAGGGGGUCAGGUCGGCCAGCGGGUUAGGUUAAAAUGACAUCGUUUUGGUGCCUGAGAAGGCUGCCCAAAACGGUGUCGUUUUGGAGUUUUAUAAAUAUAAAAAAUAAUUCGAAAAAACAUUUGAAACCCUAUUUUUAAAAAAGGAAGCCCCCGUCUCUUUCUCUGUUUUCUCUCUGGGCUUUUCCUAGAAACCGACGAUGGGACCGCCGUAUAUGCAUAUAUAUAUAUAUUAGAACAAACAGAAGUAAAAAUAAAAAAUAGAAAAAUAAAUGAAUGAAAAAGGUUUCGAAAACUAAAACCUUUAUCUCUGUUUUUAUUUCAUUAUCUCUUUUUUGUUUUUUUUUCACCCCCUUACAGAUUUUUCAAUCGGCCUUAUAUAGCCGAAAUAAUAAUAUAAAAAAUCUCUUUCUGGUAUCCCUAUUUGCUGUUGCUUGUUGGUGUCUGUUGCAGGUAUUUGACGUUUGAUGAAGCAGGUGGCAGAGUUGGUGGCCCCAGCGUUAGAGGCAGCGGUGGCAGGGCAAGUGGGCGAGGGGUCAGAAGGGGUGGCUAUGGUUAGGCAGUAGGCUAGGGUUUCAGUUUUUUCUAAAAAGUUUUAAACAUUUUGGGUCACUGGGCCUUCAUUUUUUUGGGGGUUGUAAUUUUUAAUUAUUUUUGGGCUUGCUGUAUUUGUUUUGCUGGUAUGGGCCCGGGAAAAAUUGGGUUUGUACAACUUCCCCUCUUUGCUCAUUGUCGUGUAAUGGGAAUGGAGCAAAGACUAAGAAAGACCAAUUUUGUCCGGUCUUGUCGAGUCUUGCUUCUUGGUGCCUUUCUUCUUCAGGUAGACCAAUUUUGUCCGGUCUUGCCGGUCUUGUUGCUUUGAUCCACUCUACUGCACUUCAGAGAGAUAUGACUUGUAGCUUCAAUGUUCUUCGCAGCAACUUCAAAGGGACGAGAUUCGUGACUUUAGUCUGCUCCACUGUAACGUCAGGGAGAUAAGACUUGUUAUGGUAAAUUUAAUCCGACCUACUGCAACUUCAGAGGUAUAGGAUUAGUAGCUUCAGUAUACUCUACUGCAACUUUUGGGAGAUAAGACUUGUCAUGGUAAAUUUAAUCCAACCUACUGUAACUUCAGAGGUAUAGGAUUUAUAGUUUUAAUCUGCUCUACUGUAACUUCAGGGAGAUAGGAUUUGUAUUUUCAACUUGCCCCACUGCAACUUCAUGAGGAUAAGGUUUGCUACUUCAGCCUGCUCUACUGCAACUUCAAAGAGAUAAAGUUUGAUAUGAUCUGAUUUACUGCAACUUCAGAGAGAUGAGAUCUAUUAUUUAUAGCUUGAAUCUGUUUCACUGCAACUUUAGGGAAAUAAGAUUUGCUAUCUUUAAUCUGCUUUGCUGCAAACUAUGGUGUCUUUGAUCUGCUUCGCUGUAGUACAAGAAGGCAAGAUCUGCUAUCUUCAGUCUGCUUCACUGCAAACUUAGGGAGGCAAGACUAGUGUCUUCGAUCUUCUUCGUUGUUAGUACAGGAAGGCGAGAUCUGUUAUCUUUAGUCUGCUCCGCUGUCAGUACAGAAAGGCAAAACUGGUGUCUUUGAUCUGUUUCGCUGUCAGUACAGGAAGGCAAGAUCUGCUACCUUCAGUCUGCUCCGCUGUCAGUACAAGAAAGCAAGGCUAGUGUCUUCGAUCUGCUUCACUGUCAGUACAGGAAGGCAAGAUCUGCUAUCUUCAGUCUGCUCUGCUGUCAGUACAGGAAGGCAAGGCUGGUGUCUUUGAUCUGCUUCGCUGUCAGUACAAGAAGGUAAGAUCUACUAUCUUCAGUCUGCUCCGCUAUCAGUACAGGAAGGCAAGGCUGGUGCAUUCGAUCUGCUUCGCUAUCAGUACAGGAAGGCAAGAUCUACUAUCUUCAGUCUACUCCGUUGUCAGUACAGGAAGGUAAGGCUGGUGUCUUUGAUCUACUUCGCUGUCAGUACAGGAAGGCAAGAUCUGCUAUCUUCAGUUUGCUCUGCUGUCAGUACAUAAAGGCAAGGUUGGUGUCUUCGAUCUACUUCACUGUCAGUACAGGAAGGCAAGAUCUGCUAUCUUCAGUAUGCUCCGCUGUCAGUACACGAAGGCAAUGCUAGUGUCUUCGAUCUGCUUCGCUGUCAGGACAGGAAGGCAAGAUCUGCUAUCUUCAUUGAUCUGUUCUUUGGGGAACAUGACCUAUAUAAUCUAUUUUAUGAACCUAAUUAUGCCUAGUGAUUAGGAUGACAUGAUCAGAAUGAAUCAAAUGCUCCUAACUAGACAUGUAUGAAUGACAUUUGAAUGAAUGCAGAAUGUCAUUUUUUCGAGAAUUAUCCUUCUUUGUCACUUAGGUUAUCAUUACUCAAAGUUUAUUAGGGUUUUGUCACUGACGCGCUACAACUCCUUCUUGCUCGGCUAGCAUAUCCAACGAAACACUUAAUUAGAUUGCCCCUCCACUGUGAAUGUCAAAGUUCAAUCCACUGGGACGCAAAAUUUGUACCAUCAUUCUCCCACUAUAACCCAAGGGUAGAAAAAUAGAGCUUUUUCUCAAUCCUCUCCUAUCGCAAUUCAAGGACACGGAAUGUGAAGCUCUUUGGUCUUUUACCCCAUUCCAAGGGUGUCAUAAAAAAUUCUCAUGCACCAAUGAAGAAUUUUCUUCUCCCAGGAAACCAGUUUUUAUUAUUUGGUGAACAUCGCUUGUUUGCUCAUUACAGUUUUAUCACCAAGACAACAUCUUGUUAUUUUGUUCAAUCAAUGUUUUGACGACAAAUUCUAAAAAGAUGGUCUUAAUUUAGACUUUUCCUUCUUAGAUAUUUCAACCUUUAAACUUGGUGUUUUCUAAACAAUAGUCUUGUUUCAGGUUCCUAUAUUAUUUAGAAACUUCUAGAGUAAUAUGCAAAAUUUCUGUUGUGAAAGUAUUAUUAGUCCAUUAAUCAUUAUUCCAAUGCAACGCUUGCAAAAGGUCAUAACGACAUAUAAAAUAGGAUUAAUUUGAGAGCCUGACUCGAAAUGGAUAAAUCAUCAAAGAGUGUAAGAAUAACAAAGGAAUUGAUUGGGAACACAUAUCUUAAAAAAGAAUGAAGUAUUCUAAGAACAUCAAAUUCAAUAUAAAUAGUAUGAAGACUAGGUGCCACAGAUAUCGUAGCUUGAACUUCUCUAUAAAAACUUUCUGAAUACCAUUCUGAGUUUGACAUGUGUUUAGGAGAUCUACAGUACUUUGUCGAUGCGCCAAGAUGUCGCUUACCCUUUUCUGUUGAUUUAGAUAUAGCAAGAUCACCACAUGCCCCAAUCUGAUCAAAAUUUGAGCUGCUCUGAUCACCUCAUGUCCCAUUCUAAUCAAAAUUUGAGCCACCCUUUUCGGGUUUUCAACUCAAAUCCCCUUUGGUCUCAAGGCGCCCUUUGCGGGUUUUCGCCUUGGCCUCUCCUUUUUCUUUUCUUUCUCUUUUUCUUUUCUUUUCUUUUCUUCUUCUUUUUUUCUUUUCUUGAUAUAUUUUUUUAUUAAAUCUAAACUCAUAGGAUUAGGCAUGUCCUUGUUAUCCCUUCCGAUUAAAAUUAACAUUUUUCCAAAUAAGGCCUUACACAUAAGGUCCAUCCUAGUUUGGCAUCCACUUUCUUAUAAAGUUCUUUUUUUGUAUGGGAAGAUCUUCUGCAAUACUAGGUCCCUCUCAUGGAAUCCUCUAGAGCGAACUCUUCUAUUUUUUUUGAGCUCACAUCAUUUACUUUUGGCGCAUUUGACCAUGAUGGAUAACUUUGAACAUUCCUUUUCAAUCAGGAUUAGAUCCAAAAGACUCAAAGAGAAAAAAUCUCGACUUUAAUGGGCAAAAUCGUGAUAGGCCAAAGUGAAAGGUAUUACCCGAUAGAGUUUUUUUACCGCACCGUUCAUUUUGGGGCGAUAUGGUGUUAAUCUUGAACAGACUACAAACUUCUGAUAUCGUGCUCUUGUUCAAAUUUAGUGAUUUGUCAGAUAUGAUCUUUUUUGGCAUUCUAUACUGACAUAUGAUUUUUUUCCAGAAUUUGCUAACUGUCGACUUUGUGAUAUUGGCAUAUGAAGUAGCUUCCACCCACUUAGUAAAGUAAUCGACGACCACAAAGAUGAAUCGAUGACUAUCAGAAGCUUUUGGCAAGAUCGACCCACUGACAACUGUGCCCCACAUAGAGAAAGUCUAUGGAAAAGUCAUAACAUGAAGAGAUGAAGGAGGCACAUGAAUCUUGUCUCCAUCAAUUUGGUAAUUAUGACAUUUCUUGGUACAACUGAUGUAAUCCCCUUCCAUGGUGAACCAGCAAUGCUCGAAUCUCAUGAUUUGCUUGGCCAUUGUAAAACCAUUAGCAUGUAUUCCUCAGACACCCUUACAGACCUCUUCCAAGAUUUUCUUAGCCUUAACAGUGUCCACAUGUCUUAGUAGCUCAGGCAUAUCUCGGUACGAUCAUGCAAAAACAUCUUUGAAUUCUUGGAGUAACUCAAUGACGUCUCACUUUGUCUCUGCGGUGAUACAGGCUCCGAUCUUCACCUCUUUCUCUUCUCCUAAGCUCACAAUUUCCACUGAUUCCUUAUAAAGCAGGAUUUGUUUCUCGACUUUUUCUACCAUCCUCAACAAGUCCGAAGAUAGGCUACAAUCUAUGUCAUCUUCAAAGUCAUGAGAUCCCUCUAAACACAUGUCUCGCUCAAAAGGAGAUUCUGAGUCUGUAGCAAUGUCACUCAUGUAAUUGAUAUCUAAAGACCUAUUGUGGGUACAAAAGAAUAUACAAAGAAUGUAUGAAUUUAUGAAUAAUUAUUUGUACAGUAUGGUUAUGAAUGAAAGAUUGAUUUGGAAGAAAAUCCAAAAGAAUGAAAGAAUCAAAAAUGAUUACUCGUAAAGAAUGAAAGAAGAUUGACUUAAAAAUGAUCACAAAGAUGUAUUAAAAUAAUGACGUUCAGACAUGAUCCUAUUUCACAAAGGAGUUCUUAUUGCCUCUAGGCUAAAAGCAACAAGUGUGUUCUGAACAUUACUCUAAGUAAGCUCUAAAUACUACAGAGAUUUCUUCUGCAGUCUAAUUAUUUAGAAUACUCCCAAGUUUAUAAGGGUGGAUAUCUAACAAGGUCUCUUUUCAGUUGUCUUCAUGUAUGGCAUUGAUGUGAACAUUUCCUUCUUCUUCCUCUUUUUUUUUCACACUUCUUCACAAAGAUCAAUCUCUUUAUUGUCCAUCAUAUUUAGUUGGAUCUUGGCUAACCGCUCUUACAUUUGCAACUGUAGUUGGUAUUGCUCCCUCUUUGGAGUUGUUCAAGUUUUUCCAAUCUUGGUCCAUGUCUUUUUGCUUUGGUACCGUAACGAUGCUUAGUUAAUAGAUUUUUUUUCCCAGGUUAACUGAAAUAAUUUUACCUAAUUAAGGUCCUCUUGUGAAAAUCUAAUGCAUAUGAUGCAAUGUAAUGCAAAUGCAUAGAAUGAAUGCAAAAAGAAGUUGACUCCGAUUCAAUUCCAUUUAGAAAACUUUACUAAAAAACAAAUUUCUUUACAUAAAAUGGAUGCAUGUAUGGCCUCGCCCUCAUAUCCAAGAAACAACAUCGAUAUUUCCCUUUGUUCGAAUGUUUAAGAUAAAUCUCGUAAGUUUCCAAUGGAUGCCACUACUAGCUCCUUCUUUCUUGAUCCUGGUUGCAAUCCAUUGUCUGCCCAUUCUCGUAAUGCUCAUCACCUUCUUUAAAGAAGUCAGAAUGUUGGCGACUCUCAAAUAAUUAGCUUGAAUCUUCGGGCCACGAAGUAAAGUCAUGUACUCUUCUGUCACCCUUCUUUUGUUGUGUUUCUUGGGAAAUAUUCGGGCAGCCAUAUUAUCUUUCACUUUAUCAAAAAAUUCAUUUUCCAUGACAAGCUUUCUAAUUUAGUAAUCAAACUUGAAUCAACACCUUUUUUCUAAGAUGAAAAUGCAAUGCAAUCAUAACCAAAACAAAACGGAACGGGUUAGUACAAAGCAAAANNNNNNNNNNNNNNNNNNNNNNNNNNNNNNNNNNNNNNNNNNNNNNNNNNNNNNNNNNNNNNNNNNNNNNNNNNNNNNNNNNNNNNNNNNNNNNNNNNNNNNNNNNNNNNNNNNNNNNNNNNNNNNNNNNNNNNNNNNNNNNNNNNNNNNNNNNNNNNNNNNNNNNNNNNNNNNNNNNNNNNNNNNNNNNNNNNNNNNNNNNNNNNNNNNNNNNNNNNNNNNNNNNNNNNNNNNNNNNNNNNNNNNNNNNNNNNNNNNNNNNNNNNNNNNNNNNNNNNNNNNNNNNNNNNNNNNNNNNNNNNNNNNNNNNNNNNNNNNNNNNNNNNNNNNNNNNNNNNNNNNNNNNNNNNNNNNNNNNNNNNNNNNNNNNNNNNNNNNNNNNNNNNNNNNNNNNNNNNNNNNNNNNNNNNNNNNNNNNNNNNNNNNNNNNNNNNNNNNNNNNNNNNNNNNNNNNNNNNNNNNNNNNNNNNNNNNNNNNNNNNNNNNNNNNNNNNNNNNNNCAAAUAUAAGUAAAUUAAUUGUGAAUUAAAGCAAAAAAAUGAAAUUUAUAAAUACAAUGUUCCUUUCAUCAAUUUGCAUAAAGGUUAAAUGGUUUAGAAGAAAGCUUUCUAAAAAAAGACUACACUAAAAUGACCAAACCAUUUUGGAAAGAGGGAAAGAUGCUUAGGGGUAAUUUUUGUUAAAGAAAAGGCCACUAAAGACUUCAUUAAUGCUUAGGGUAAGAUACUUAGGGGCAAGGACUCUUAAUAUUUUUACAUUAUCUAUAAUAAUUCAAUUUGAUUUAGUUUUUUUAUUUUUAUAUUAAUUUUAAGUUUAGGAUUUUAAACUUAUUUUAAUAAAAUGAACUUUAUUUUAUGAUUUUUGUAUAUUAUUGGGUAAACUUUGACUUAUUAUAUAAGGCUUAGAAUCUCUAGUCCUAUGAUGAAAGGGUUCGGAAAUUAAAGCACAAAAAGUAUUUAUAAAGUGAAAACUAUGAACAAAACAGAGUAAUCACUAGGGAUAAUAAUAUAAUAUAAUCUCUCUUCCAACUUUGGCUUUAGUAUAAAUGAUCUUUCAUUCCACCAACAAGCCAUGUCUCUUAGGCUAUAUCAGAUGAAAUUUUUGUAGAAAUCAAGGUCGUAUUUCAUCACAUACUAAGCUCUCUUUCACCUUCAUGUUUUCUUCUUCCGUUAAAGACCUCAAUUUUUUUGUUUUUUCCUCGUCUUUCCUCUUGCACUCUUGUUUGUCUCCUUCAUCUUUCCCAUCCUCUUCGACCCAGUUAGCUUCUUCUAACCAGCUCUUAGCAAAAGCAGAUCGACAAUGCAUAAGCAAGAGAGCAUUUGUAGGUGGGACUGCAUUAGCUUGACCAUCAACAUGAUCGAAGGAGCAUUUACCAGAAAUCACAAUUCUUAAUAUCAAUUUGCAAGUCUGAGAAGAUUACAGAUUUAAAAACCUAAUUGUCUACUUAAAGGUCUAAAGUCAAAUACUGAGUUGGUUAUAACAUGUAAUUAAGUAAUGAAACCUGCAUUUAUAAUUUAUUGAAGGAAUCAGGCUGCCACAAUAUCUAUAAAUGAUUAAGUUCAAGCUAUACAAAUUAUAUUAAAAAUAAGAUGACCAUUACAAAAAAUAAAAAAAGAAGGCCCUUUUCAGCGACAAUAACAUGUAAUUAAGUAAACCAUGUAUUUUUUGUUUCUUAAUCUUAGCCUGAACUUCCGUUUGCUUACCAAUAUUUCUGGAAAAUGAUUUACUUUCUAAGAAUGAUUUACUUUUUUGGUGUUUGAAUGAAUCUGUAUAAAAUAUUUUCUGUUGUUUGGCAGAUUCCUGAAAAUAUUUCAAAAAAAACUGUUUUAAAUGAAACAUACAUUUGAGAAUUUAAUUGAGUUUAUUUAUAUCUACCAAUAAAUUUAUAUUUUACAUUAUUUUUACAUAUAUUUCAACCACAAUAUCAUUUCUCACCUCAUUAUUAUUUAUUUAUUUUCUAAUUUAAUUAUAAGGACAAAUUCUAUUUUUCAUUGUUUUUUCGUUUUACACUUUCAAUUUUCAAACGUUCCAAUUUUGAAUAUAAAAAAUAAAUAUCCAUUUAAUAAUUAUAUUUAAGUGUGAUUAUACAUGAUUGGUAACUUGUAAAUACACUAUUUUUAGUUUUUUCACUUUACCCAUAAUUAUUUAUUAAAAUAAUUUUAUAAAUAUAUAUUUUUAAUAUAAAAUAUAUUCAUUCGGGAGUCUUACCUUAUAAUAUCCACAUACAUGUUAUGGCUUAGGUUUGGAUAAUAUUAGACUUUGGAUUAACAGGAACGAUAGAAGAAAUUGAUGUUGUCAAGUUGCACCAUAGAAACUAUCAUAUUCUCCUCCAAUGUAAACAAACCAAAAACUACUGUUCUAUUUAUCAACCACUGCACAAGUAGUGUGUAUUUCUUUUGUUAUACAUAUAAGCACAACUCCGCAUAUAUGAAUUAUCUACCAACUACUCACGAAAGGCUUUUAAAAAAAUAUUAGUUAGUAAAGCCAUCCAAGAGGAAAUAUGCUACUAACGUGAAACGGGCAAAAUUACAUAGUAAAUAUGUCUUCAUGAGACUGCUGUAUUUCUUUAAGAACCAAAAGAACUAUAAGUGAAGGCAAAAUAGUUUAUUGUUUCAACUCUCUAUCCCCAUGCCUCAUUGUGCAAUGAAUAAAGUACAUCAAGCAGGGAUUUAUCCCUCGCCAUAAAUAUAUCGCACUAGUCUUUGCUUUAUACAAAUUUCUUGAAACACAACUUUGGAAUUUUAAUAUUUGGAACUCCUAAGCUACCUGAAAUAACUGCAAGUUACCAUGACUAAAGUGCAUACAUACAUAUAUGAAAGUUGCUCAAGCAAUGAUAAGAUAAUUAAUUGCUAAAAAUCUUUAUUGAUUUUGUGGAGAGACAAUCAGACAAGUCAUGUCAGAUUAAUGAUGGGACAAAAAGGGUUUCUGGACUUUUAAAGUUAUGAAUGCAUCUAUCAGGCUCAAACAUUUCCAAUAUCUAAUUUAUGGUGUACAUCUCAAAGCAAAGAAUGCAAAGCAUCAGGCUUAAAGAUCAUAAUAUGCACAAAAAAUGUAGUGGCCCUGCAAGGUCUGCAUCAUGUCAUGCAUGCAUAGAUACAUUACAUUACUACAAGCAAAUUUAUAGCUUUAUCGGUCUAUAACACGGUAGCAUAAUUAGAAACUAUCAAACAUGUCAGAGCGUGCAUGUCUGAAUCAAAGUACAAAGGCAAAAAUAUACAGGUUUCUUCUCACUACAGUAUAGUAUAAACAAACUUCUAUUGCCUGCAAAGGAUGGAAGAUGCUAACUCAAGCCUUACAAUAGUGCAUACAUCACAAGAUGCAUGCGAGCCAAUGGCGCUUCAAGAGACAUGAAACUUUACACAGUUAGAAUCUUCACAUUUACCCCAAAAGUUCAGACUUCAGACAAUAGAAAAUGGUAGAUAAACUAGCUUUUUAUAGUGUCAAACAUGCUGCAUUACAACAAAAUAAUCAGAUUGUUCUUCUCUGAUAAAACAAAAGGUUAACAUUUAGAGUUUAAAACAAACGAAAAAUGAAAAAAAUAAUUGGAAAUAGACUAUUAACCAAAUAAAAAAAUGAAAAAUAAUUUCUAAUAAAUAUAUGCUAAAUAAAAACCCAAAAUGGCAAUUGGUCUUGAAUCCAAAUCUCUUAAAAAUUCAAGAAACAAAUUCCAAUUCUAAAAAUCCCAGUCUCUUAACAAAACAAAUACCAAAUAUACCAAAUACCCUUUCCCUUACACAUAAAAGCUAAUUCAAGAGAUUACCAAAACAAAAAUGCAAACUCAAGAACCAAGCUUGAAAAACAACCAAAACCCCCACUUCAAAUCUUGGUCAACUUACCCUGAAAAAUCACAUAGAAAGAGAAAAAAAGAAACUCACAUGUGGCCAUGGAGAAAGCAACGAAUUUACAGAGUAACCAAAAUACAAUAACUUUGAAGAACAAAAACAAUCAGGGAAAUAACCAAAGAGAAAAGCAUCAAUGAAAUGGACUGAAGCAAUAAAACACUGUAGACUGGAAUGAAGCUACUUGAAGAGAAGCACCCAAAGAAGUCAAGACUCGGUGAGACCGGGCAAAAUUGGUCUUUCUUAGUCUUUGCUCUAUUCCCGUUACACAAGAAUGAGCAAAGAGGGGCAGCUGUAAGAGCCAAUUUUUGCCCGGGCCUAUACCAACAAAAUAACCCAAAUAAUAAAAACAAAAAUAGUCCAUUUUCAGCAAAUUUAAACCCAAAAAACUACAAGCCCAAACCCAAUAGGCCCAAAAAUCAGAAACCCUAAGCCCACAAACUUAAAGAUUUUCAGCAAACCCUAGUUGCCUCCCCUAAAACUUGGCACCGCAAGCUUCCAUGCGUGGCCUCCUCGUCUGCCACGCCCUCGCGUCGCCGCACGCCAGCACCCCAUCCACGCGCAUCUGACACUGUUCUGUCACCUGCAAAAGACAACCAACAGAACAACAAAUAGAGAAAACAAAUAGAAAAUGACAAAUGAGGCAGAGAUUAAACGUUUGUAAUCGGCUAUAAAAAGCCGAAUAAGGCAAUUGUACUCUUCUUCUUCCGAUUUUACGAACAAAAAAGAGAAAUAAAAAAACAAAAAAAAUAAAGGUGAUUUUUUAGAUCUGUUGUUUUUAUUUUUUUUAUUUUACUUCAUUUAUUUUUUUUCAAACAAAAACAAAAUAAAGAGGAGGGGGCUUACCGGAUGCCCGUGACCAUCGUCGGAUGGUUGGUCUCCGUCAUCGAGACCAAAUUCGGAGGGAGAGGGCUGUGGGCCUCUAUCUCGGACCUUAUGGGGUUCGAAAGCCCGUCUGCUCAACCCACCAAGAACCAGGCUUUAAAAGCCUUUCGUCGCGCUUCGUUGGCCGUCGUUUUGGUGGCGGUGCGGCGGAUAGACGAACGGUGGUGAGAGGCCGAUCGUCAGAGGGCAUGGGGAGUAUUGAGAGGGUUGCUGCAGUUUUUUAGUGUGAAGGGUAGGGAAAUGAGAAAAAUAAAAAAGGGUUGUUAAAGUAAAGACGAAAACGGCACCGUUUAAGGGAAGGUGAUCUGCGCAUUCUGCCCUAAUGGGUAAUUUGCGCAUUUGGUCCCUUCAUCUUGCGCUGAAGCGCAAUCUGACCUUUGUAUUUUUUUAAUUUGGGGCCGCGAAUUCUGUGUCUGCUUCAAUCUGGUCCUUAGACCGUGCACAGAACCUCACUGCAUUUAGGGCUGGGGAAUAUUUCCCUACAGGUCCCUCACGCUUCGAGCGUGUUUCAGUUCGGUCCCUUGCAACUUUUUUUAAUUAUUUGCAGUUUAAACCCCAAUAUUGUGACCCGAAUUUAAUUCAGUCCUCAGACCUAUUAUUCUCAUUUUUAUUUAUUUUUUAUUUACUUUUGUUUAUAUUUGUUUUUAAUUUUAUUUUAAAUAAAAAGGGGUUUUUAUUAAAUUUUCCUUUUAACUUUUUAUUUGUUUGUUUAUUUUAUAUUUAACAUUUAAUCUGAUUUUUAUUAGUUGUAUGUUUUUUAUGUUAUUAUUAUUAUUAUUCGAUGAUUUGAUUUAUAUUAAAUUUUAUAUAUAAUACAUGAAUGUUUUACUCCUUUUGGCAUUUUACUAGUUAUGUGUUUUAUUUUCGCUAUUAUAUUGUCAUUCAUAUCAUUGCUUUUGUGCAUAUAUGUUAGUGUUAGGUUUUGAUAGUAUCAAGGCUAUAUGAUUAUUAUAUCAUGUGUAUUAUGUUAUAGUUGUUGCAAAUGUAUGUUAUAAUAUUACUAUUAGUUAGAUAUGCUUUUUAUCUCAAGUAUUUCUUUUUAGUAUAGUCCAAAUCGCAUACGCGUUACUCUUAAAUAUUCCGUUAAUUCAUACUCAAAAUUCAAAAGGGUAAAAUUUCGAAAAUAAAGGCAAUAUUCCUUAUUUAGAAAAUUCGAGAAAAUCGUGCUCUAACUUACUGAGCUUUGAUUUUUCUUGCGUUGAUCUCAAAUAACCGAAUAUCCUUUUAAAAUUGAAAUAAAUGAGGUUUAAAUAAAAAAUAAAAGGCAAGCUUACUCUCAAAAUACAAGGUGUCGUGUCCUAACUUACUGGAUGUGACAUCUUGUUAAUUCGAGAUAAGAAUGCAUUUUUCAUUUUGAUUUAUUUGAGUAAUUUUUUAAAAUAACACAAUAUAAAGAGGGAUCGUAUUUUUAAAUUCUUUUCGAGUUUUUAGUUUUCGACACCAAGACAUUAAUUAAUCAACUAGGUACCAAUUUUGGGCGUAUCGAGGGUGAUAAUCCUUCCUCGUACGUAACCGACUCACGAAUCCAGUUUUCUAAAUUUCGUGGACCAAACUCGUUGUUUUAAUAAAAUUAAAUUGUUUAUUAAAAACAACCCCUCUUCAAGGUGAUCCGAUCACCCCUUAUCAAAAAGGAUUGGUGGCGACUCCCGUUUUCGUUUUCGUUUUCGUUUUCGUUUUCGUUUUCAUUUUCAAAAUCUAAGUCGACCCAGUUUUAACAAAAAAAUGGUGUCAACAGCUUGGCGACUCCACUAGGGAUGAAAUUUGUGAGAGUCAAGCCAUGUGUUGAUUAUUUCUUGUAUUUUUGUCAAAAGUUAAAAAUUCGAUUUAAAUUUAUGAUCCUCUCAUUGCAUCUCUUUUGUUUUGAGUUAUAUUUUUUAUCAUGUUCUGUAUUUUAUUUUUAUAUCUCUGCACAUUGCAUUGCGUGGCCACUGGUCACACCCUUUUCAGUGGGAGUGAGAAACUAGUCCUUUGUGAGGUUUUCACCUCCGUGCAGGAUAGUGGAUCACUUUCGGAAUACAUCCGUACCUAUGUCUUCGUGAGAUUUUCAUCUCCGUGCAGCCAUAGGGAAAUGUAUUCCCCUGAACCAAACUCGGUUCGUAUGAGCCUAUAAUGGGUGAGGAUCGAGGAAUCUACUGGUUCGGGUACCUUUGCUUUAGAACUAGACCUCAUAUAGUGAACCUAAGAGCCUACCCUAGGUAAAACCACUUCAAACCCCUAGUGGUCACCCGAAUAGAUGUUUUAUUUAUUCUUGUUUGCUUUUGCCUUGUACUAACCUGUUUUCUUUUUGGUUAUGAUUGCAUUGCAUUUUCAUCAUAAAAAAGAGGUGUUGAUUCAUGUUCAGUUGCUAAAUAGAGAGUUUGUCAUAAGAAAUUGGGUUUCUUGAUAAAGUGGAUGACAAUACGGUUGUCCUAAUAUGGUCCAAGAAAGCGUGAUAAGAGAAGGAUGAUAGCUUAAUGGAGGACUACAUGACUAUUGCUCCGUUGCCCGAGGAUUCAAGAUGACAAAAAUUAUUCGAGAGCCGCUGAACUUUCAUAAAGAGGAGCCAACGAGCUUCACGAUGAUGAAUGAGUAAUGAGACGCAGCCCAGAUCAAGCAAAAAGGAGAUAGAAGAGACGUCUCUCUUGAGGAGUUCGUAAGAUUUAUCUUAGUGCUCGAAUAAAGAAAAGGAUCGAAUGUCUCCGCCUAUGAGGGCAAAGCCGUAUAUGUAUCCGCUUUAUGUAAAGAGAUUUAUUUUCCAGUAAAGUUGUUCUAAUAUAAUUGAACCAAGAAUCAAUGUCUCUUUUUGCAUUCAUUUCAUGCAUUUGCAUUACAUUGCAUCAUGUGCAUUAGAUUUUUACAAAAUGACCCUAAUUAAUUAAAAUUAUGAUAGUUACCCUGGAAACCAACAAAAAUCCACCAACCAAAUAUCACUACGGUACUCGUCACCAAACAAAAGCAAUGGAUCAAAGGUUGGAAAGAUUGGAACAAUUACAAAAGGAGAUGCAAGAUCAGAUGCAAGAACGACUGGAUAAGAUCCAGCAAGACAUGCUAGAAUCCCAAAACACUAUGAUGAACCAAUUGAAGCAGUUAUUGGCUGGAGGGAAUGAUAAAGGAAAAAGCCUUGUAGUUGAUUCUGGGGUUGAUCAGGAGGACCCUGUUUAUCUUCCCGGUUUCACGCCGAAAAGUACCCAGGCACAACCAGAUAUGUGCCCACAAAGAAUACCUGUCAAUAUUAAACCUCAAUAUCCGGUUGGUGUCUCGAUACCAAUGCAAUUUUGAAUGGGCUCAAGUUCUAAUCCCGGGGACAACCCUACCAAUCCUGUGGUCUCGAAUCUCGAUGACAUGGAAGAAAUAGAAAAAGCAAGAAUGGACCUGCCAAAACGACUUGAGGAUCGAUGUAGAUGGCUAGAGGAAAAAUUUAGAGCCAUGGAGAACACUAACUACCAUUAUGGAGUUGACGCCAAGGAUCUGAGUUUGGUUCUUGAUUUAGUGCUCCCGCCUAAGUUCAAGAUGCUCGAAUUCAAAAAGUAUAAUGGGACUAGUUGUCCUGAAGCUCACAUCACAAUGUUCUGCUGAAGAAUGAUUGGGUACGUUAAUAACGAUCAACUACUAAUUCAUUGCUUUCAAGACAGUCUGAUUGGUUCGGCUUCCAAAUGGUACAACCAGUUAAGCCGCGCUAACAUCCGUUCAUGGAAAGACUUGGCACAGGCUUUCAUAAAGCAGUACAACCAUGUAACAGACAUGACACCUGAUAGAAUCACAUUGCAGAACAUGGAAAAGAAGCAAAGUGAGAGCUUUAGGCUAUAUGCUCAAAGAUGGAGAGAGGUAGCAACACAAGUCCAGCCACCUCUUCUGGAGAAAGAAACCACGAUGCUUUUCAUCAACACUCUGAAAGCCCCAUUCAUUAACCAUAUGUUGGGAAGCGCUACUAUGAACUUCUCAGAUAUGGUAAUGUCUGGCGAGAUGAUUGAAAAUGCCAUCAGAAGUGGAAGAAUAGAUGGUGGGGAGGAUAAUAGAAGGUCAAUCCCAAAGAAAAAGGAGAAUGAAGUGAACCAUGUGAGUACAUACAACAAGUAGAUUACGGUGAACCAGCCAAGGAAAGUGGUUGCUAGUCAACAAGGUUCAUCAAAACAAGAAUCUUAUGUGAAACAAGGAUUGAGAACCUCCAGUUCACGCCAAUUCCCAUGUCGUAUAAGGAGCUGUAUCAAAGCUUGUUCGAUGCGCGCAUUGUUACCCCUCUCUACACGAAACCUCCACAGCCUCCGUACCCCAAAUGGCACGAUGCGAAUGCACAAUUCAAAUAUCAUGCGGGAAAUACGGGGCAUUCCAUAGAAAAUUACAUUGCCUUUAAAAAACUGAUUGAAAGGCUUAUCAGUAUGGGCGUCGUUAAAUUUGACGAUUCCUCCAGUGCGGAAAAUCCAUUACCCAAUCAUAAUUGAUAAGUGGAGUGAAUGCAAUGCACAAGCAACUAAAGAAGGGACCUUGUUAGAUAUCCGUCUUUAUAAAUGUGGAAGUGUUCUAAGCAAUUCGACUGCGGAAGAAAACCCUAUAGUCUCUAGAGCUUUUUUAAAGUAAUGUUCAGAACAUUUUUGUUGUUUUUAGCCUAAAAAUGAUAGAAAUUUCCUUUGUGAAAUAGGCUCAUGUCUGAACGUUGUUAUGAAAUACAUCUUUGCAAUUAUUACUGAGCCAAUAUUUUCAUUCUUUACAAACAAUUCCAGAUUCUUUUAUUCUUUUGAAUUUUCUUCUAAAUUGUUAUUCAUUCAUUCAUAAUCAUAUUGUAUAAAUAAUUAGUCAUAAAUUUAUACAUUCUUUUGCAUAUUCUUUGGUACUUAUUAUGGGUCCCCAGAUAUUAAUUACAUGAAUGACACUUCUACAAACUCAGAUUUUCCUCUUGAGCAAGGCAUGUGUUUAGACGAAUCUCAUGGCUUUGGAAAUGACAUAGAUCGUAGCUUAUCUCUGAACUUGUCGAGGAUGGUAGAAUAAGAGGAUAAACAGAUCCUACCUCUCAAGGAAUUAUUAGAAAUUGUGAGCUUGGAAUUGACCUGACCUCAAACAUGAAGCAAGACCUUGUUCAAAGAUGACUUUAUAGGAUCAUACCAGGAUAUGCCUAGGAUAAACACUGAUAAAGAAAUCUGAACAACUCACGAUGUCAGAAAUUUGCAGUAGGAACGAUGCAAUUCUUUGUCGGGGUAAUGCCUUUCUCGUUGAGUCAUCAUAGCUUUGCCCAUUUGAAGUCGAGUUUCCAUCCCUUCAAGAUGUUUUCUGUCGUAGUUGCGCCUCAAAAGGGCUCUAUAAAAUAAAUGAGGGUUUUUCGCAUACAAGAUGAAAGUGAGAAAUCUUAUCUAUAAAAACAUUGGUUUUGAUCGAAAGGGUUCAGAUUCAAUCAAAAAAAAAUCAAAAAAAUCAAAAUCAAAAUCAAAAUGAAAAUCAAGAAUAAAAGAAAAAAGAAGAAAAAGAAAAUGGAGAGGCUAAGGUAAAAACCCGCAAAGGGCGCCUUGAGACCAAAGGGGAUUUGAGUUGAAAACCCGAAAACGGCGGCUCAAAUAUUGAUCAGAAUGGGGCAUGAAGUGAUCAGAGCAAUUCGAAUCUUGAUCAGAUUGGGGCAUGUGGUGAUCUUGUUAUACAUGAAUUAACAGGAAAGGGUAGACAACAUCUUGGGGCAUUGACAAAGUACUGUAGAUCUCCUAAAUACAUGUCAAACUCAGAAUAGUCUUCAGAAGGUUUGCACAGAGAAGUUCAAGCUGCGAUAUCUGAGGCACCCAAUUCUCAUAUUAUUUAUAUUGAAUUUGUUGUUCUUGGAAUACUUUAUUCUUUUCCAAGAUAUACAUUCCCAAUCAAUUUCUUUAUUAUCCUUCUUUACUAUUUUGGAUAAUUUAUUCAUUUCGAGCUAUGCUCAGAAUCAAUUUUAUUCUUAUCCAUUGUUAUGACCCUUUUUACAAGCAUGUCACAUUGGAAUAAUGAUUAAUGGACUAAUAAAACUUUCACAAAGGAAGUUUUGCAUAUUACUCUGAAAAGUUUCUAAAUAAUAUAGGAACCUGAAACAGGACUAUUGUUUAGAACACACCAAGUUUAAGGGUUGGAAAUUUGAGAAGGAAGAGUCUAAAUUUGGACUUUCUCUUUGGAUUUUGUUGUCAAAUGUAUUGAUUGAACAAAGUGACAAGAUGUCGAGUUAAUGACAAAGCUUAAAUAAACAAGAAAGCAAUGAUCACAAGGCAAUAGGAAGGGGUUCCCUCAGAGAAGAAAGCAUUCAUUUGCACAUGAGCCUUCGGCAUGACACCUUGAGAAUGGUGUAAGGAACCAUAGAGAUUUAGAUCCUGUAUCCUUGAAUUGUGAUAGAAAAGGAUCGAGAAAAGCCACAUAUUUCUACCCUUGGAUUACAGUGGAAAAAUGAUGGUACAAAUUUUGCGCCCCAAUGGAUUAAACUUUCAGGUUUACAGUGGGGGUAACCUGGCUAAAUGUUUCUUUGAAAACGCCAGCCGAGCAGGAGGGUGUUGUAGCACUUCAGUGACAAAGCCUUAAUAAACUUCGAGUAAUGACAACCUAAGCGGGAUCAUUCUCGGAAGAAUAAAAUUCUGCAUUCAUGCAAACACCAUUCACACAUGUCUAGUUAGGAGCAUUUGAUUCAUUUUGAUCAUGCCAUCCUAAUCAUUAGGCAUAACUAGGUUCAUUAUACAGGUCAUGUUCCAUAGAGAACAGAUCAGUGAAGAUCGAAAACAAAACCUUGCCUCCAUUAGUUGCAAUGUAGCUGGUUAAAGAUAGCAGAUCUUGCCUUCCUGCAUUAAUAGCGAAGCAGAUUGAAAAUAAAGCCUUGCCUCCAUCAGUUGUAGUGGAGCUGGUUAAAGAUAGCAGAUCUUGCCUUCCUACGUUAACAGCGAAGCAGAUCGAAAACAAAGCCUUGCCUCCAUCGGUUGUAGUGGAGCUGGUUAAAGAUAGCAAAUCUUGCCUUCCUACGUUAACAGUGAAGCAGAUCGAAAACAAAGCCUUGCCUCCAUCAGUACAGUGAAGCUGGUUAAAGAUAGCUGAUCUUACCUUCCUGCAUUGACAGUGAAGCAGAUAAAAAAUAAAGCCUUGCCUCCAUCGGUUGUAGUGGAGCUGGUUAAAGAUAGCAGAUCUUGCCUUCCUACGUUAACAGCGAAGCAGAUCGAAAACAAAGCCUUGCCUCCAUCGGUUGUAGUGGAGCUGGUUAAAGAUAGCAAAUCUUGCCUUCCUACGUUAACAGUGAAGCAGAUCGAAAACAAAGCCUUGCCUCCAUCAGUACAGUGGAGCUGGUUAAAGAUAGCUGAUCUUGCCUUCCUGCAUUGACAGUGAAGCAGAUCAAAAAUAAAGCCUUGCCUCCAUCGGUUGUAGUGGAGUUGGUUAAAGAUAGCAGAUCUUGCCUUCCUACGUUAACAGCGAAGUAGAUCGAAAACAAAGCCUUGCCUCCAUCGGUUGUAGUGGAGUUGGUUAAAUAUAACAGGUCUUGCCUUCCUGCAUUAACAGCGAAGCAGAUCGAAAACAAAGUCUUGCCUCCAUCGGUUGUAGUGGAGCUGGUUAAAGAUAACAGAUCUUACCUUCCUGCAUUAGCAGUGAAGCAGAUCGAAAACAAAGCCUUGCCUCCAUCGGUUGCAGUGGAGCUGGUUAAAGAUAGCAGAUCUUGCCUUCCUACGUUAACAGCGAAGCAGAUCGAAAACAAAGCCUUUCCUCCAUCAGUACAGUGGAGCUGGUUAAAGAUAGUUGAUCUUGCCUUCCUGCAUUGACAAUGAAGCAAAUCGAAAACAAAGCCUUGCCUCAAUCAGUUACAGUGGAGCUGGUUAAAGAUAGCAGAUCUUGCCCUCCUGCGUCAACAGUGAAGCAGAUCGAAGAUUACAUAUAACAGCCCGAUUUUGGGCCUAGUCGGAACAGUGGUUUCGGGACCACAAAUCCGACGAGGAAAAAUUUAUUUUUCUUAUAUUUUUAUGGUCUACGAUUUCACGGAAUGAUUUUUUGAAAAUUUUGUUCGAAAAUUUCGACGUUUGGGCACUCAAUUUAGUCAAAAGGACUAAAUUGUAAAAAGUGCAAAAGUUGAGUUCUAAAUGUUAGAGGUGUUCAAUUGUUAUGAAACUUUAGAUUGGAGGUCCUUAUAUGGUAAUUAGACCAUUGGUUAAGUUGGUAGACAAAAAUGGCCAUGAGAUAAGUGAAAUAGGAAAUUUUUAAGUUAGGGGCAAUUUGGUAAUCUAGUAAUUAAAAUGACUUAAAAGGAAAAAGAUGGCAAAUGGGGCUCAUCUUCUUCAUUGGGACGAAAUCAGCAAGGGGGGAGCCAUUGUUAGGGUUUUCAAGCUUCCAAGCUCCAUAAUAAGUGAUUCUAAGCCCCGUUUUUAAUGUUCUUUACGUUUUUGGAGUUCCGGUAACUUGAUUUUGCUUAUUCUAGCAAUAAUUUAAUCUAGGGUUUAUAUUUGGAAAAAUACUCAUAUGUGAAAUGUGUUUAUUUUGAUGUUUUAUGGUAGAAUAUGAAGCUAGAAAUUAUGUUAAGCAACUUUUUCUAAGCGAUUUUGAGUGAAAACGAGUAAAACGACAUAAUCGAUAAAAAUACUAAAUGUUCAUAAGUAAGUGUUAGAAUGGGAAUUUGGUGUUAUCAUAGAAGGGAAAAAUGUUCAGCAUGUCAUAAUACAUAAGAAUAAGGGAUAAAGUUUAAUUUCCGAGCCUAGGGACAAAAUUGUAAUUUUGUGAAACUUUAGGGGCAAAAAUGUAAUUUUUCCAAAAUGUGAUUUUUGGACUGGAUUGAAUAAUGUGAGUGUUAAAUAAGUUAAAUGUGUUAUUAUAAGUCAAGAAAGACAAGGAAUUGACUUUGAUUAGUGAAAAAAAUGAGAAAAAGUGAGAAAUUUCCCGAUUGAACAUUCGGAAUAAAAAGGGAUACGAAUGAAGUGACAAAAAUGAUCACAUAUGUGGCAUGGACUGUGUGUAGGCCACUAUGUGAAAGUGAAAGUGAUGGUCACGUGUGUAGUACUAUGUAUAGGCUACUACGUGUAUCAGAAUGAUAGGUCGCAUGUGUAGUACUAUGUGCAGGCUACUAUGCGUACCGGAUAGCUUCGAUCACGUGUGUAGUACUAUGUGUAGGCUACUACGUGUACCAGAAUGAUAGGUCGCAUGUGUAGUACUAUGUGAAGGCUACUAUGCAUACCGGAUAGCUUCGAUCACGUGUGUAGUAUUAUGUGCAGGCUACUACGUGUAUCAGAUAGUGAUGGUCACAUGUGUAGUACUAUGUGCAUGCUACUAUGUGAAUCUGCAUCAUUGAAUAUAAAGGUGGUUGCUAAGUGCUGAUUCCACCGUAUCCUUAACUGUGAAAGGGGUUGCUAUGUGCUGAUUCCCCAUAUCAUUGAAUAUAAAGGUGGUUGCUAAGUGCUGAUUCUACAGUAUCCUUGACUGUGAAAGGGGUUGCUAUGUGCUGAUUCCCCGUAUCAUUGAUUAUAAGGUGGUUGCUAAGUGCUGAUUCCACCGUGUAACGGUUAAUAUUCCGAAGUGUUCAUCGGGGAAAUUAGAUAAGUGAAAAUAUAUGUUAAUCGAAUAAGGUUACGUGAUGAAUAUUGGGUUCGAUAUUUAAUCGACCCUUAAGUAGGAUGAAAAGAAGUAAUGAAAUUAUGAAAAAGUAAAAUGUGCAACAAAACAGUUUUAGACAGUAACAAUAGUGUGACUUUGAAAAAUCACCAAAAAUGGUGGAAAUUGAAUUAGAGAGUGAAUAAGAUAUGAAAUGAAAUCUUAAGGAUUCUAUUUUUACAUGAAAGAAACAAGGAAAGCAAAAGAGUUACACAUUUUUAGAUUUUUGAAUUUUAGUGAGGCAGGGUCGGAUUGAUUUCAGAAUCCCCUAUUCUGAAUUUGGAAAAUAGAUAAAAAUUGUACAAAAAUAAUUAUGAGUUAUAAUUUAUAUGCUUAGAAUCCUUAAUGACUCUAUUUUCAAAGGAAAGAAAUGUAAAUAUCAUCCAAAUUCUGUACAAUGAGAUAAUUCAUUUUUAGUGAAGAGAGGUCAGUGAUGUUGAGUAGUGAAACAUGGGUGAAUUUAAAGAAUAAACUGUACUAAUUUUCCAAGGAAAAAAUUCUGAAAAAUUUAUGGUAAUAAUACAUAUGAGUCUAGUUUCAGGGAAAAUUAACAGAUCUUAAUUUGGAGCUCUGUAGCUUCAGAUAAAAAUGAUUUAGUGACGCUGAAUCAAAUGGACAGCUUUGAAUUUAAAUAUAAGUGAAUAGUGAAAUUAUGUAUAAUGCUAUUUAAGCAUGUUUUAUACAUAAAGGAUGUGGAAUGGAGAGGAGGAGGAGGACAAUAAAAUGUAUGAAAGAAUUGUGUAUAAUGGUCAUAUGCCGGAUUAUAAUCGGUAAAUGUUAAAUUGAAUGGUAAAUACGUAUUGGUACCGAAGAAACUAUUGCGGUGUUGAAAAGCAAUUGAUCAAAUAUAUAAGAAAUUUAGUCUUGAUAUAUAUAUAUGAUAAUAAUGAUAUAUGGAUGAUUAUAUCAUUGAGUUGCAUUGGUUAAUUCGGUUUAUGUGAUGGAAAUGUCAAGAACAUUUGUCUUUGAUAUGUGAUGAUCAUGGUUUAAGCUCAUAUGGGAAAAUAAAGUUUCAUAGGAUGAGAGUGUGGUAUUGAAAUAUAUAUAUUGGAUUGAGAAAUUAAUUUGAAUUGUGAACACGAAAUAUUGUAAAUUGAAUAAAAUGGAAAUGAAGCUUUGAAUUACAUGAGUAAGUAUCGGGUCUCGUAGGCCCUAUUUGUUAUGAAUAUAAUAUUUUGAGGAUAUGUUAUAUAGAAUUAUAAAAGCAUGUUAAAAAUUUGAAGAGUUCAAAUUUGAAUGAAAUUUUGUAACUCAGUUUAAUACGUUUACAUGUGUAAGUGUUCUAGUAAUGCCUCAUACCCUAUUCCGGAGUUGAAUACGGGUAAGGGGUGUUACAUUACAAGUCCUAUGUCCCUGACCAGCAGAGGAAUAGGUUGGAAAUUGCAGAUCUUGUCUCCCUAAGCAGUAGCAGAGCAGAUCGAAGACGGCGAAUCUUAUCUUCCCCAGGAGUAUGGAAACAGAUUUAAGCCACAAGUCCUAUGUCCCUGACCAGCAGAGGAAUAUGUUGGAAAUUGCAGAUCUUGUCUCCCUAAGCAGUAGCGGAGCAGAUCAAAGACGGUGAAUCUUACUUCCCUGGCGAUGCAGUGGAUCAGAUUGAAGCUACAACACCAAAUCUUGUUCCCCGACAUUGCAAUUAAAAAGAUUGAAGCCGCAAUGGCGAAUCUUACUUCCCUGGCGGUGCAGUGGAAUAGAUUAAAGCUACAACGGCGAAUCUUGUUCCCUGACAUUGCAGUCAAGACGAAAAAAAUCAAGCCUUGCCUCCAUCAAUUGCAGUGGAGCGGAUUAAAACCACAGAUCUUAUCUCCCUAAGCAGUAGUGGAGCAGAUCGCAUCAAGUCUUAUCUCCCUAAACAGUAGUGGAGCAGACAAAAGAAACCAAUCCUAUCUCCCUGAAGUUGCAGUGGAGCGGAUUAAAACCACUAAUCUCAUCCUCAUGGAGUUGUAGUAGAGUAGAUUGAAGUCGUAUCUCUAUGAAGUGCAAUGAAAUGGACUGAAGCAAUAAAACACAGUACACUGGAAUGAAGCUACUUGAAGAGAAGCAUCCAAAGAAGUCAAGACUCGGUGAGAUCGGGCAAAAUUGGUCUUUCUUAGUCUUUGCUCUAUUCCUGUUACACGAGAAUGAGCAAAGAGGGGCAGCUGUAAGAGCCCAUUUUUGCCCGGGCCCAUACCAACAAAAUAACCCAAAUAAUAAAAACAAAAAUAGUCCAUUUUCAGCAAAUUUAAACCCAAAAAACUACAAGCCCAAACCCAAUAGGCCCAAAAAUCAGAAACUCUAAGCCCACAAACUUAAAGAUUUUCAGAAAACCCUAGUUGCCUCCCCUAAAACUUGGCACCGCAAUCUUCCAUGCGUGGCCUCCUCGUCUGCCACACCCUCGCGUCGCCGCACGCCAGCACCCCAUCCACGCGCAUCUGACACUGUUCUGUCACCUGCAAAAGACAACCAACAGAACAAAAAAUAGAGAAAACAAAUAGAAAACGACAAAUGAGGCAGAGAUUAAACGUUUGUAAUCGGCUAUAAAAAGCUGAAUAAGGCAAUUGUACUCUUCUUCUUCCGAUUUUACGAACAAAAAAGAGAAAUAAAAAAUAGAAAAAAUAAAGGUGAUUUUUUAGAUCUGUUGUUUUUAUUUUUUUUAUUUUACUUCAUUUAUUUUUUUUCAAACAAAAACAAAAUAAAGAGGAGGGGGCUUACCGGAUGCCCGUGACCGCCGUCGGAUGGUUAGUCUCCGUCAUCGAGACCAAAUUCGGAGGGAGAGGGCUGUGGGCCUCUAUCUUGGACCUUAUGGGGUUCGAAAGCCCGUCCGCUCAACCCACCAAGAACCAGGCUUUAAAAGCCUUUCGUCGCGCUUCGUUGGCCGUCGUUUUGGUGGCGGUGCGGCAGAUAGACGAACGGUGGUGAGAGGCCGAUCGUCAGAGGGCAUGGGGAGUAUUGAGAGGGUUGCUGCAGUUUUUUAGUGUGAAGGGUAGGGAAAUGAGAAAAAUAAAAAAGGGUUGUUAAAGUAAAGACGAAAACGGCACCGUUUAAGGGAAGGUGAUCUGCGCAUUCUGCCCUAAUGGGUAAUUUGCGCAUUUGAUCCCUUCAUCUUGCGCUGAAGCGCAAUCUGACCUUUUUAUUUUUUUAAUUUGGGGCCGCGAAUUCUGUGUCUGCUUCAAUCUGGUCCUUAGACCGUGCGCAGACCCUCACUGCGUUUAGGGCUGGGGAAUAUUUCCCUACAGGUCCCUCACGUUUCGAGCGUGUUUCAGUUCGGUCCCUUGCAACUUUUUUCAAUUAUUUGCAGUUUAAACCCCAAUAUUGUGACCCGAAUUUAAUUCAGUCCUCAGACCUAUUAUUCUCAUUUUUAGUUAUUUUUUUAUUUACUUUUUUAUAUUUGUUUUUAAUUUUAUUUUAAAUAAAAAGGGGUUUUAUUAAAUUUUCCUUUUAACAUUUUAUUUGUUUGUUUAUUUUAUAUUUAACAUUUAAUCUGAUUUUUAUUAGUUGUAUGUUUUUUAUGUUAUUAUUAUUAUUAUUCGAUGAUUUGAUUUAUAUUAAAUUUUAUAUAUAAUACAUGAAUGUUUUACUCCUUUUGGCAUUUUACUAGUUAUGUGUUUUAUUUUCGCUAUUAUAUUGUCAUUCAUAUAAUUGCUUUUGUGCAUAUAUGUUAGUGUUAGGUUUUGUUAGUAUCAAGGCUAUAUGACUAUUAUAUCAUGUGUAUUAUGUUAUAGUUGUUGGAAAUGUAUGUUAUAAUAUUACUAUUAGUUAGAUAUGCUUUUUAUCUCAAGUAAUUCUUUUCAGUAUAGUCCAAAUCGCAUACGCGUUACUCUUAAAUAUUCCGUUAAUUCGUACUCAAAAUUCAAAAGGGUAAAAUUUCGAAAAUAAAGGCAAUAUUCCUUAUUUAGAAAAUUCGAGAAAAUCGUGCUCUAACUUACUGAGCUUUGAUUUUUCUUGCGUUGAUCUCAAAUAACCGAAUAUCCUUUUAAAAUUGAAAUAAAUGAGGUUUAAAUAAAAAAUAAAAGGCAAGCUUACUCUCAAAAUACGAGGUGUCGUGUCCUAACUUACUGGAUGUGACAUCUUGUUAAUUCGAGAUAAGAAGGCAUUUUCCAUUUUGAUUUAUUCGAGUAAUUUUUUUAAAUAACACAAUAUAAAGAGGGAUCGUAUUUUUAAAUUCUUUUCGAGUUUUUAGUUUUCGACACCAAGACAUUAAUUAAUCAACUAGGUACCAAUUUUGGGCGUAUCGAGGGUGCUAAUCCUUCCUCGUACAUAACCGACUCCCGAAUCCAUUUUUCUAAAUUUUGUGGACCAAACUCAUUGUUUUAAUAAAAUUAAAUUGUUUAUUAAAAACAACCCCUCUUCAAGGUGAUCCGAUCACACCUUAUCAAAAAGGAUUGGUGGCGACUCCCGUUUUCGUUUUCGUUUUCGUUUUCAUUUUCAUUUUCAAAAUCUAAGUCGACCCAGUUUUAACAAAAAAAUGGUGUCAACAACUGGCAAAUAAAUAAAGCCUAAGUAUUGCAUUGCAAAUGACAUAAUAUCACCCAUGUCUACAAUGUAAACUGACAGACAUAUUAAAAUUUAAAUUUAAAUCCAUAAAAAUUUAUGUACUUAUAUUCAUGCAUUUACACAAACACAGGAAAGAUAUAUAAAUUUACAAGAACAAACACAAUGUCAAAUCAAUAUAUUUCCUUCCUUCAAUACAAACAUCGUGUGUCAUCAACCAACAUAAAGAACAUAACAAAAAGUAUGCCCUAGUUUCAGCACUCUUUUAAGGCAGUUACUAAAAGUUGUUUUCAACCAUGUUAAGAAGCAUAUCAAGAAAUCAAGUUGAGGACUUCUAAUGAAAGUUGACAAGAAAUUUUCCAGAGAUGGAUGUACUAUCCAUGAUCCAUUCUAACAAUUUGAUCUUUAGUCUUACCUUCUAUUAUAAGAAUGAGUAGCCUUUGUUUCUGGCAAUUUUUGAUUGGUUCUAGUAUUCACUAAUAAGAAAGAUUUUCAUUUUUUGAAUACGUAUACAACCUGAAUCCAUUCUAUAUCAGUAACAACAAUAAUACACAUGAUAGAGUGAUAGAUUACGAGUUUCCAUACAAGAUUUCACACAUACAAUAAAAGAAAAAUAAGUGAAAUAAUUCCAUCUAAAAUGAAAUUAAAGAAAGCCAAAACUAAUGUAGUAGAACAGACAAUUGAGAAUGUUAAAUUUUCUUAUACUAGUUCCAUCUGUUUUAAAAAUAAAUAAAAAAAGAUUGCAAGGUAAAUCAGUAGUAAGAAAGAAAAAUAUGGAAUACCCACAAAAGGAUUGCAAACAAACAAGCCAAUUUAGAUCAAAAAAAUCAGAUUGAGAAACCAAUUAUUCAAGAAUUGUGAGUGUUGUCACCAUUUUUUUGCUAAAACGGGGUCGACUUGGAUUUUAAACAAAAACGAAAAUAGGAGUCGCCACCAAUCUUUUUUUGAUGAGGUGUGAUCGGGUCACCGCAAAAAAGUGGUUGUUUUUAAUAAAUGAUUUGAUUUUAUUAAAACAACGAUUUUGGUCCACGAAAUUUAGAAAAACGGGUUCGAGAGUCGGUUACAUACGAGGAAGGAUUAGCACCCUCGAUACGCCUAAAAUUGGUACCUAGUUGAUUACUUAAUGUCUUAGUGUCGAAAACUGAAAACUUUAAAGAGAUUUAAAAUACGAUACUAAAAAACUUGAAUGACAUGGAUUAAGAUUUAAGAGAAUAUUUGGCUAUUUGGCCAAACAAAAAAAUCGAAACCCAGCACAUUAGGGCACGUUUCCUCGAAUUUCCAAAUGCAAAAUAAUGCCUUACUCUGAAAUUUUAAAGGAUAUUUGGCUAUUUGGUCGAACGAAAAAAAAAUCGAAACCCAACACAUUAGGGCACGCUUUCUCGAAUUUCUAAAUGCAAAAUAUUGCCUUUAUUAUUUUUUAGAAAUCCUCAUAUCGAGAAAACAACAUAUUAUAUCCAAUGCGUUAGGACACAACGUAUCGAAUUCCCGAUAUGAGAAUACAUGCCAAAGAGUUUACUUAUUUAAAAGAUGUGUAACUAUCUCGAAUUUUAGAAAAAGGUAUCACGCCCAGUAAGUUAGGACACGAUCUUUUCUUAAUUCUCGAGAUCGUUUAAAACUUGGGAAAAAAAGAAAAAAAAAGAUCAUGCCCAGUAAGUUAGGACACGAUCUCUUCUUAAUUCCUGAGAUCGUUUAAAACUUGAGUUUGAAAAGAUUCGUGUAUUUAGAUUUAUUAUGAAAAUCGAAACCCAGUAAAUUAGGGUGCGACCUUCUCGAAUCUAAACACGAGAUUUUGCUUAUUCAAAAAUCAUAAUUUAUGCAUCGAAUAAAAUUAAUCUAACAUGAAAUAGUAGAAAUAAAACACGGUGUCAAUAUGUGAACAAAACAAAAAUGAAUACGAUGAUGUAGCAUAAAUAAUAUGAGUAAUAGCAAUGAAAAUAAAUUAGAUAAAAAGGACAAAUCAAUGACAUGAAAAUAAUAAUGCAUAUAAGCAAAUAAAAUCAAAACAUUCUUUCAAAAUAAAUAAUGAAAAUGUAAAUAAAGAAAUAAACAAAGAAAAUGUAUAAAACUAUAAAAAUAUAAAAGAGAUAUAUAUAUGUAUAUACAUGAAAUUAUGGAAAUAUGAAAAAUAUAUGUAAGUAAAUACUUUAAAAUUAUUAUAUAAAUAAAUACUUUAAAAUUAUUAUAUAAAAUAUAUAUUUAUAAGUAAGCAUAUACAUACAUAUAUACGUAUAUAAAUUAAAAUAUGUAUAUGUACAUGCAUGUAUAUGUAAAAAUUGUAGAAGGUAUACAAAAGUAUGAAUAUAUAUGAAAAUAGAAUAUGUACAUAGAUAUAUAGAUAUGCAUAUAAGUUAUAAAAUAUAAAGAAUGUACAAGUAUAUAUAUGUUAUAAAAACGCACUUAUGUAUAAAUAUAUAUAUGCAUAUAAAUAUAUAUAAAAAUUAUGAAAAUAAAAAUAAUAAAAAUAUAUAUAUAAAAAUAUGUGUUUAUAUAUUUACAAAAAUUAAAAAAUAUGUACGUAUACAUAUAUAUAAUAAAAAGUAUGUAUAUUAUAAAAAAUAUAUACAUGUGUAUAUAUAGAUAACAAAAUUUAAAGUUUAAAAAAAAGUAUAAAUAAGCAAAUAAUAAUUAAUAGUAAUAAUAAUAGCAUCAAAUUUACCAAAAUAACAAAGAAAAAAUGGCUAAAUUGAAUUUAAAAGAGGACUUUGGGGGGAAAUCUGCAAAUAAAUAAGGGGAAAGGACCAUCUUGAACUCGCGCAUGACAUGGAGGGACUAAAAAGGCAAUUUGUCCUUCUCCUUUAAAACGACGUGGUUCCAGCAGGGACUAAACUGUAAGCGCAACAAAUUGCUGGGUACAAUUUAAAAAAUUUAAAAAACCUAAUUUAAAAAUCAUUAAAAAGCGGAAGGGCUGAAAGCCUAAUUAGCCCUUCUGCUAAAAAACACGUGGAUCUUGCCUGGGUCGGGUCAGACUCGGGUCGGCUCUUGGGUUCAUGUCAAAAAAAGUCGUUUUGGCACCUGAGAGGCCUGCCCAAAACGGCGUCGUUUUGGAGGCCUAUUUAAGGCAAAAUUUUCACCAAAAAAAAUCAUUUUAGCAUAGUUCAGAAAAAAAUUCCCCCUCCCUUCUAUUUUCUCUGAAGGCCUGAGGGUCAGGCGAGAGUCCGGUCGGUCGCCACCGCGUCAGCCGCUGGUCGCCGACGACGGCACCGCCGUCCACGGUGGCCGGAAGGCCAAAAGUCACCCCUUUUUCCAGCGAAAAUCAAGGGUAAGUUUUCCCCUUUUUUAAAACUCAUUUUAAUGAAUGUAAAUGGUUUGAUUUUUUAAAAAUGAAAUGUAUAUAUACGUAAAUAGUUUUGAAAAAAAUAAAAAAAGACCUUGCCACGAUUGAAUCUGUUCUCUCCUUCAAUGCUCACUAUUUUUUUGUUUGUAUGCAUGAAUACUUUUUAUUUGUAUUCCCAAAAAAAACCCAUUUUUACAAUGUACGAAUGGCUUUAUAUAGCCUUUUACAAUUUUUCUAUUAUUUUCUUGUUGUUGCUGCUUUCUUUGCUUGUUUGUAGGUGAGCAGUUGGGAGCAGGUGAGGCCGCAAGGCGCUGGUCAGAGGCGGUGGCAAGUGGGGUGAUGGGACGGUGGCAGAAGGCCCUAGGUUUUCUGUUGUUUCUUUUUUUUUCUGAAAAUUGUUUAAUUUGUUGGGCCAUUGGGCUUAGGGUUGAAUUUGUUUGGGCUGUGUUGUAUUGGGUUUUGGGUAGGUUUGCAAUAGGCUGAAGGUUAAUUGGGUCCGGGCAUAAAAUUGGGUUGUACAGUGAGAGAACUGGAAAAUAUAAUGUUUAGGAACAAAAAUGAUUAUCCUCUUUUUAUUUGUCGACAGCCACUUGAUUUUAAGUCUUUGAACAUAAAUUUGUCGACAAAGAAGACAUACUUGGAUCAUCCAUUGAAUCCAUCUUUUGUUUUUCUAUGUUGAAUAAAAAAUUCAAUCGAAACACUCAAUCUAAUUUCUACUAUUUUGAUUCAAUACAUAUCAUAAUAGUUUUUUCAGUCAAAUGAAAAGGAAAACUAUUUACCUAUUUUAUGGAAAAUUGUCCUUUUUUUGUAUAAUUAUAGGUGUUUCAUCUAUUUUAUGGUCCUUACAGUGCUGACACGACCGUUAACAACAUUAAUGUGGCGUUCUAUGCCAGUGAUAGUUAGCUACAAUGUCAACAAAAAUAAAAAAAAUUAAAAAUUAAAAGGAAUAUUUAAAUUUAUUUUACUGGAAUGAACCUAAACAUAUGAUUGUCCAAGUUCAUUCGUUUCAAAACUUAAAUUUUUUUUAAAUUUAAAAAAAAAAUUAUGUUUUUUAUAAACGUGUAAAACACUUUUAAAAUUUAAUAAAAAUAUUUAAAACUUAAGUCCCUAAUGAAUAUGUCCAAAUUCAUUCAAGAUUAGUUUCAAAUAUACUAAAAUUAAUUUUCUUUAAAAAUUGAUAUGUGUGUCAAUAUUUUUCUAUUGCUACCUCUUAGGAUGAAUAAAAAAAAGAAAAUAUAUGAAUUUAAAUAAUUUAAAUUUUAUUAAUCUUAAGUCUAAAGAUUUUUUUAAUUGUAUGAAUAUAUCCAAUUAAAACAGUGUAUCUAUUAUUUCAUUACAUGUGUAUCUUAAAAGGUUUAAAAAAUUGGAUUAGAUUUUUUUAAUUGUAUGAAUAUAUCCAAUUAAAACAGUGUAUCUAUUAUUUCAUUACAUGUGUAUCUUAAAAGGUUUAAAAAAUUGGAUAUAUUCAUACAUUUAAAACAACUUUACACAAACAAUUAAUAAUAUUUAUUUUCUGAAAUAUAUUUUUUUAAAAUUUUUAUUCAUUCUAAAAUGUACCAAAGGAAUUAGAACAUUGAUACCCAUAUCAAUUUUUUUAAAGAAGAUUAAUUUUUAAUAUUUUUUAAACUUUGUACAAUUUAGAAAAACUUGAAUGAAUUUAGACAUAGACAUAACUUGUAAAUGAUUUUUAUCAAUUUUAAAUUUUUUAAAUUUAUUUAAUAUUUUUUAAAUUUUAAUAAUAUUUUUUAAAAUAUUAUUUUUAAUUUAAAAAUUUUUUAAGCUUCGAAACAAAUGAAGCGACAUCAGCAACUAUUCCUUUUAAAAAGUUUAAAUAUCCCUUUUAAUUUUUUAUUUUUGUUAACAUGGCAGUUUACGUGGUAUUGCCACAUAAGCAACUAUCGAUAACAUGAAGCACCACAUUAGAGCUGUUAACGGCCGCAUCAAUGUUGUAACAGUCAAUAUUAGUCAAAAGGCCAAUUUUGUUAGUUCAUGGGCUCAAUUGGGUGCAAAAAGUUUGCAGGGGCUUAAUUGAUUUUUUUUAAAAAAGUUUGAGGACCAAAAAUACCAUUAAACCCUUCUUUAACUAUUGAUCUUUCUUUUUCUAAGUAUCGGUCAACAUUAGUUAAAGGGCUUAUUUUGUCAGUUUUGUUAGUUUAAGGGCUCAGUUGGGUGCAAAAAGUUCGCAGGGGAUUAAUUGAUUUUUUCGAAAAAGUUCGACAAUCAAAAAUACCUUUAAGCCCUACUUUGACUAUUGAUAUGUCUUUUUUAAUUAAUUUUGUAUCCGUGCAUAGUAUAGGCACACGAUGUACAGGGUAUUUCCACGUAUACAUGUAAAGUGUAUUUUGAUGCCACGGCGGAAUUAGAUGAAAAUGUGAUUAUUAAAGUAGUAAUGUCACCUUCUAGUAAUUGUAAAGAAUUAUAAUUUUCUAGAUGCAUUUGGCUAGUAGAGUGUAAUUAUAUUGUAAUUCUUUUUGCCUUGUUUAGUAAUAUAAAUUGUAAUUACACAUUUACAAAUUUUAAAUUGUUUAAAAAGUAUUAAUUACUAUAAAUAGUUAUUAGUAAUACCUGAGAAAAAAUUUUAAACAAGUGACAUAAAUUAAAAUCAAAUCAUGUUAUGUUAGUCCAAGAAAGUAACCGACAACACGUUUGCCGAUAAAAAAGAAUAAGAAAACUAAACAUCUAUGCAAUUUUAUUAUUACUUUAGCAUUUCAUAUUUGUUAGGUUAUUCCUUUUCUAACAUUUAACAUAUACUUCUUAUCAUCAUCUAUUAGUUCAAUACCUUUUUCCUUGUACCAAUUAACCAAUAUGGAAAUUUUGUCCCUUGGUAAUAACCAGCUUGAAGGUUCCAUCCCUCGGAAAAUUGAAAAUUUGAAGAACAUCAAGAUUUUAAGCAUCCCUAAUAAUAGUUUUACUGGUCAUAUCCCCCUAGCUUUGUGUAGUUUGACAAAUUUGGAAUAUAUUGACCUUGGCAAGAAUCAAAUCAGUCGUUCAAUCCCAUCUUGUAUUGGCAGUUUAUCCAAUUUGGAUACCUUAAAACUUGAUUCAAAUCUAUUAAAAGGUCCUAUCCCUGAAGAAAUUGGUAGGCUUUUUCACCUAUCAAAUUUAAACCUCAGCUUCAACCAACUCUCAAGUAGUGUCUGUUGAAGCAUGGUCAGCAUGCAGCAACCAAGACAGUCGAGGGCAUCACAUGCAGAAGCUGCUAGUUCAUCAAGCCAGCAAGCAUGUUUUUGUUUCAUUUUGUAUACUAAGUUGAUGCAAUGUAACUUAGUUCAAUUUUAACUAUAUUAGGUUUAUGUUUGAUGUAAAUUGAUGGUGAUUGAGCUGAUUAAUCAGCUUUAUUGAUUUGUACAAGUUAAUUAGCUUAAGUUAAUAAGUUUGUUAGUGGUAGUAGGUUGUGAUUAGGUUAACCUACUGUUUUGUCAAGUUGUAAACUUGUUUAUGUAUUGGCUUUAUGCCAUUUUCAGUUUUUUGAAUGAAUUUAAUCAAGAUUUCAUCCAUAUGCUCUCUAUUUUAGCUUUGCUUUGAAAUUUGUUUUAUUUUUCUUCUUUGUUUCUGACACAAGUCUCGAUCAUUGCUUGGCAAGUUUCUUGUUGAACUUUGUUGUGUGUUGUUCUCAGCUCCAACAAUUGGUAUCUAGAGCCACAUUCUUAGAGGACCUAUUAUAACUCAACAAGAGGCACCAUGGCUUCAUUAGGUUUUUCACCAGCUUCACCACCUGUCUUCAAUGGAGAGGGCUUCAACAUUUGGGUAGUUAAAAUGAGGACUUACCUGCAGGCAUUCGACCUAUGGGAAGUAGUUAACUCAGAUACUGAGCCAGCACCUCUUCGAGCUAAUCCAACAGUUGUUCAAAUAAGGCAACACACUGAUGAAAGAACAAAAACACCCAAGGCCAUGUCAUGCAUACAGAAUUGUGUGACAGAUGUGAUCUUCAUGAGGAUCAUGGCCUGUAAAACACCAAAUGAGGCUUGGGAUAAGCUAAAAGAAGAGUUUCAGGGGAUUGAAAGAAUAAGAAAACAGUAGCUGCUCAACUUGAGAAUGGAUUUUGAAAAUCUCAAAAUGAAAGAGGAAGAAACAGUCAAGCAGUAUUCAGAUCGAAUUAUGGCUGUUGUAAACAGCAUAAGGCUCCUUGGAGAGCAAUUCAGUGAAGCUAGAAUAGUUGAGAAAGUCAUGUCCACUUUGCCAGAAAGGUAUGAAGCCAAAAUUUCAUCCCUCAAAGUCUCAAGGGACUUGACAACUAUCUCCUUAACUGAGCUAAUCAAUGCCUUGUAUGCACAAGAGCAAAGAAGAGCCAGCAGACAAGAGGAGCACCAGGAAAGGGCUUUUCAAGCCAAAACAAAAGAAGCCUCGAGCAUCAGUGCUCAGUAAGGCAAAAAGUUCUGGAAAAACAGGCCUAAACCUGAUGCUGCUAGAAGCAGUAACCAACUCUGUAAACAUUGCAAAAAGGCUGGUCAUCCAGAAGAUAGAUGCUAGUUUAGACCAGAUGCAGUAUGCCAAUACUGCAAGAAAAAUGGCCAUGUUAAAAAGGUUUGUAAGAACAGAAGCAAACCAAGGCAGAAUCAAUUUCAGCAACAAAAGGCAGAAGCUCGAGUGGCUGAAGAUAACAGUGAUCAUGAGGAACAGGGUUUUGUUGUGUCAUGUGCAACAAAUCAGAAGAAGAGUUCAAAGGGCUGGCUUCUGGACAGUUAUUGCACAAACCACAUGUCACCAGAUGAAACUAUCUUCAAGACCUUGGAUAGAACCUGCAAAACCAAGGUGAAAAUUGGAAAUGGUCAGUUCAUAAAUGCUGAAGGAAGAGGGGAUGUACUGAUUCAUACCCCUACAGGUGGCAAAAUCAUUUCAAAUGUACUUUUGGUACCUGAAAUCGACAGGAACCUUCUCAGUAUAACUCAACUACUUGAGAAAGGCUACUCAGUAGUGUUCAAGGAGAAAGAAUGUCAAAUUUUUUAUCCGAGUGGAUCAAACCUUAAAACAGUCACUAUGACUAACAAAUGUUUUGAAGUAGACUGGCCAAAUGGCUCACAUUCAGCCUGUAUAGCCUCCACUGAUGAUUCCAGGCUCUGGCACCAGAGGCUUGGACAUGCAAACUACAAAUCCAUAGCUUAGAUGGCCAAUGAAGGGUUGGCUGAAAACUUCAUCGAUUCAAUAAAGAAUGAUGAGCUUUGUGAAAUAUGUCAACAAGGAAAAUUGGCAAGAUUGCCAUUUCCUACAAGCACAGCAUGGAGAGCAUCAGAGAAGCUGCAACUUGUACACACUGAUGUGUGUGGACCAAUAAAGACUGAGACUUUUAAAGGGAACAGGUACUUUAUUCUCUUUAUUGAUGAUUAUACAAGAUACUUCUUGAUUUAUUUUCUGAAGUAGAAAUCAGAUGUUGCAUCUGUGUUCCUGAAGUAUAAGGCUGCUGUUGAAACUGAGUCUGACUGCAAGCUUAGAGCACUAAGGUCAGACAAUGGAACUGAGUAUACCACAGCUCAGUUCCAAGCCUACUGUGAAGAAGCAGGCAUCAAACAUCAACUGACUAAUGUGUAUACACCUCAGCAGAAUGGGGUAAGUGAAAGAAAAAACAAAAGUUUAAUGAAUAUGGCAAGAUGUCUUCUAUUUGAGAAGAAUUUGCCCAAAACUCUGUGGGCUAAAGCAGUUAACACUGCGGUCUACCCUCAAAAUAGGCUCCCAACCAAGGCCCUAGCUCAAAAGACACCAUUUGAAGCCUGGUUUGAAUUUAAGCCAUCAAUGGCUCAUCUUAGAACCUUUGGUUGUCUGUGCUAUGCACAAGUUCCAGCUGUGAAGAGAAGUAAGUUAGAUAAAAGGGCUCAAGCAGGGAUUCUAAUUGGCUAUAGCAUGGUUAAAAAGGGCUAUAGAAUUCUAGAACCUGGUACAAACAAGAUUCUGGUGAGCAAAGAUGUUGUGUUCAAUGAAAAAGAAUGCUGGAAUUGGGAGAAGGCUGAACCAGAGGCAGUAACUGAAGACCUGGCAUUGGACCAAGUUGAAAAUGAUCAAAACACAUCUGAAAUGGAUGUAGAUGAUGUCCCAAUCAGAGGCACUUGAUCAUUGGCUGAUGUCUAUGAAAGAGCACAAGUGGCUAUUGUUGAACUAAGUUGCUUUGAAGAAGCAGCAAGCCAGGAGGGCUAGAAGCAAGCAAUGAUUGAAGAAAUCAAGAUGAUUGAAAAGAAUCAGACCUAGAGUCUGGUUGAAAUACCAACAAACAGGAGGAUUAUUGGUGUCAAAUGGGUCUAUCGAGUUAAAAACAAUGCUGAUGGUAGCCUAAAUAAGUUAAAAGCUAGAUUGGUUGUGAAAGGCUUCAGUCAAAGGUAUAGAUCAAAUUACCUCGAGACCUUUGCACCUGUGGCUAGGCUCGAUACCAUAAGAUUGCUAGUUUCCUUAGCAGCACAAAAGCAGUGGAUGAUACACCAACUUGAUGUAAAAUCAACAUUUCUCAAUGGAUUCCUUGAAGAAGAAAUUUAUGUGGAGCAACCUUAAGGCUUCAAGGUGUCUGGCAAGGAAGAAAUGGUGUACAAGCUCAACAAAGCCUUGUAUGGCUUGCAAUAGGCCCCAAGAGCCCGGUACAGCAGAAUUGAUGGUUAUCUGACCUGUUUGGGAUUCAACAGGAGUCUUAGCGAGCCAACUCUGUAUGUUAAAUUGAUAAAUGAUGAAACUCAGCUCAUUGUUUCAUUGUAUGUCAAUGACCUAUUGGUGGCAGGAGGAGAUCGAGAAUUACUAGUCAAUUUUAAAACCAAAAUACAACAGCAUUUUGAUAUGUCAGACUUGGGGUUGAUGUCCUACUUCUUAGCCAUGGAAGUAACACAAGCUGAGAAAGGAAUUUGGCUAAGUCAGAAGACCUCAACAAAUUCUCAAUGGAGAAUUGCAAAGCAACCAGCACACCAGUUGCUGUUGGAGAAAAGCUAUCAAGCCAAGACAAGCAUGAAAAGGUUUGUGAAACAACCUACAGAAGUCUAGUUGGAUGUUUGCUAUAUUUGACUGCCACUAGACCUGACAUAAUGUAUGUUGUGAGUCUACUCUCGAGGUUCAUGCAUUGUUCAAAUGAAAGUCAUUUUAGAGCUGCAAAAAGAGUUCUGAGAUACAUCAAGGGAACUUUGUCCUAUGGAAUGCUGUUUACCAAGGCAGAAAAUUUGAAGCUUGUUGGUUAUUGUGACAGUGAUUGGGCUGGUUCAUUAGAUGAUAUGAAGAGCACUUCGGGUUAUGCAUUCAACUUAGGGUCUACUAUGAUUUGUUGGAGCUCAAAGAAGUAGGGAGUAGUAGCUCAGUCAACUGCAGAGGCAGAAUAUGUGGCUGCUGCUGCUGCAGUUAAUCAAGCCAUAUGGCUUAGAAAAAUUUUGACAAACAUUAACCAUGAGCAAAAUGAAGCAACAGAGAUAAUGUGUGAUAACCAAUCUGCUGUUGCAAUUGCAAAGAACCCUGUUUUUCAUGGGAGGACCAAGCAUUUCAAUAUCAAGUUUCAUGCAGUUCGAGAAAUGGAGCAGGCUCAUGUUAUUAAACUGGUUCAUUGCAGUUCUGAAGAGCAAUUAGCUAAUAUUUUGACAAAGGCACUCAGUGUUUCAAAGUUUCAACAUCUGAGAGCUAAAAUGGGAGUUUGCAACAUGCUAACCAAGGAGGAGUGUUGAAGCAUGGUUAGCAUGCAGCAACCAAGACAGUCGAGGCUAUCAUAUGCAGAAGCUGCUAGUUCAUCAAGCCAGCAAGCAUGUUUUUCUUUCAUUUUGUAUACUAAGUUGAUGCAAUGUAACUUAGUUCAAUUUUAACUAUAUUAGGUUUAUGUUUGAUGUAAAUUGAUGGUGAUUGAGCUGGUUAAUCAGCUUUAUUGAUUUGUACAAGUUCAUUAGCUCAAGUUACUAAGUUUGUUAGUGGUAGUAGGUUGUGAUUAGGUUAACCUACUGUUUUGUCAAGUUGUAAACUUGUUUAUGUAUUGGCUUUAUGCCAUUUUCAGUUUUUUGAAUGAAUUCAAUCAAGAUUUCAUCCAUAUGCUCUCUAUUUUAGCUUUGCUUUGAAAUUUGUUUUGUUUUUCUGCUUUGUUUCUGCCGCAAGUCUCGAUCCUUGCUUGGCAAGUUUCUUGUUGAACUUUGUUGUGUGUUGUUCUCAGCUCCAACAGUGUCUCUAUCUUGUCUGCCACUAAGCUUCGCAUUAUCGAUGCUGGAAAUAAUUGUAACAAGAUUUCUCCCGAUCCAUUUGAAAGCAAUAGUCGUUAUCACCCUAUAUGUGUCCUCCUCCAGUAACCAACAAAACCAACAGUAGUAGAACUCCUUCCUAUAUCAAAAUAUUCCUCCCAAUUGCCAUCUUCUCCACAUUCUCCGUUUUGGGAUGCUUUCUAUUUUCACGGUUUAAACUCAAGAAUAACAGCGUCGGUGUACAACCGACGAAGAAUGGGGAUUUGUGUUCCAUAUGGAACUAUGAUGGAAAGAUAGCAUACGAGGAUAUUGUUGCAGCAACAGAGGAUUUUGACUUUCAAUACUGUAAAGGAGUUGGUGGUUAUGGAAGUGUUUACAGAGCACAACUACCUUGUGGUAAAGUAGUUGCCUUGAAGAAACUUCAUCGUUUAGAAGCUGAAAAUCCAGCCUUUGACAAGAGCUUCAGGAAUGAGAUCAAGAUUCUAACAGAAAUACGACAUCGAAGCAUCGUAAAGCUUCAUGGGUUUUGUCUACACCGACGGUCCAUGUUUUUGAUCUAUGAGUACAUGGAAAAAGGGAGUUUGUUCUGCAACCUAAGAGAUGAAGUGUAAGCUGUGGAAAUGGAUUGGACAAAAAGAGUGGAGAUCAUCAAAGGCAUAGCGCAUGCUUUGUCUUACUUGCACUAUGAUUGCAGCCCUCCAAUAGUUCAUCGAGACAUAUCAAGUAACAAUGUUCUUUUAAACUCAAGCUUUGAGGCCUUUGUAGCUGACUUUGGGACUGCUAAAAUGUUGGAUCUUGAAUCAUCCAAUCAGACCAUUGUGGGCACAUGUGGUUAUGUAGCUCCAGGUGAUUUUCUUUGCUUUGUUUGAUGACAUUUUCUUCGGAAUUUAUAAAAUUAAUUGAACAUAUAAAUGAUUUUCUUUUUUAUCUGGUUUUUCGUACGCAGAACUUGCAUAUACAUUGGUUGUCACCAAAAAAUGUGAUGUCUAUAAUUUUGGAGUGGUGGCACUAGAAACGUUAAUGGGAAAGCAUCCCGAAGAAUUGUUAUCAUGGUUUUCAUCACCAACUUCUUUGGUAAAUAUGAGGCUGAUUGAUGUGCUAGACAACCGUUUACCACUUCCCACAAGUCAAUUAGUUGCACAAAAUCUUGUUCGCAUUGCUACUUUGGCAUCCGCCUGCCUAAAUCUGCAACCUAAGUCUCAACCAACAAUGAAAGAAGUGUACGAAGAGUUUCUUUGUGGCCAAACAUCCUUGGGAGUUCCCCUUCGGAUGAUCUCUUUGUUACAACUUGUGAACUGUGAAAUGCAUAUUGGAGAUAGAACUGAAACUUGUAAUGUUUAAACUCCAUGCACUUGUUCUUGAUUAGAUAUUGUUUAUCAAGCUUUGAUGAUUUGUUUGUAAACCAUAUCCUAUGUUCUAUAUGUUGGAAUGAAUUGCAAUGUUCAAUAAACUUGUUUAUUCGAUUGCUUUACAGAACAUAAAUUCGACAAUUUGAUGCAAAUAUUCAAACACCAUCCUAAUAGCUUCCUUUCAUUUCGUGCUUCUUUCAAGCAUGAAAGACCAACUCAAAGGAUAAAUCAAAUAUAAGUAAAUUAAUUGUGAAUUAAAGCAAAAAAAAUCAAAUUUAUAAAUACAAUGUUUCUUUCCUCAAUUUGCAUAAAUUUUAAAUGGUUCAGAAGAAAGCUUUCUAAAAAAGACUACACUAAAAAUGACCAAACCAUUUUGGAAAGAGGGAAAGAUGCUUAGGGGUAAUUUUUGAUAAAGCAAAGGCCACUAAAGAAUUCAAUAAUGCUUAGGGGUAAGAUGCUUAGGGGUAAGGUCUUUUAAUUUUUUUAUAUUAUCUAUAAUAAUUCAAUUUGAUUUAGUUUAUUUAUUUUUAUAUUAAUUUUAAGUUUAGGGUUUUGCACUUAUUUUAAUAAAAUGAACUUUAUUUUAUGAUUGUUGGAUAUUAUUUGAUAAACUUUGACUUUUAUAUAAGGCUUAGAAUUUUUAGUCCUCAGAUGGAAGGGUUCAGAAAUAAAGCACAAAGAAGUAUUUAUAAAGUGAAACUAUGAAGAAAACAUAGUAGUGACUAGGGAUAAUAAUAUAAUAUAAUCAUCUCUUCCAACUUCGGCUUCAGUAUAAAUGAUCUUUCAUUCCACCAACAAGCCAUGUCUCUUGGGCUAUAUCAGAUGAAAUUUUGUAGAAAUCAUGGUCGUAUUUCAUCACUACUAAGCUCUCUUUCACCUUCCUGUUUUCUUCUUCCAUUAAAGACCUCAAAUUUUUUAUUUUUUCCUCGUCUUUCCUCUUGCACUCUUAUUUGUCUCCUUGAUCUUCCUCGUCCUCUUCGAUCCUGUUAGCUUCUUCUAACCAGCUCUUAGCAGGAGCGGAUCGACAAUGCGUAAGCAAGAAAGCAUUUGUAGGUGGGACUGCAGCAGCUUGAUCAUCAACAUGAUCGAGGGAGCAUUUACCAGCAAUCACAAUUCUUAAUAUCAAUCUGCAAGUCUGAGAAGAUUGCAAAUUUAAAAAACCUAACUAUCUGCUUAAAGGUCAAAAGUCAAAUGCUAAGUUGGUUAUAACAUGUAAUUAAGUAAUGAAACCUGCAUUUAUAAUUUAUUGAAGGAAUCAGGCUGCCACAAUAUCUAUAAAUGAUUAAGUUCAAGCUAUACAAAUUAUAUUAAAAAUAAGAUGAUCAUUACAAAAAAUUAAAAAAGAAGGCCCUUUUCAGCGGCAGUAACAUGUAAUUAAGUAAACCAUGUAUUUUUCUAUUUCUUAAUCUUAGCCUGAACUUCCAUUUGCUUGCCAAUAUUUCUGGAAAAUGAUUUACUUUUUGGAAAUGAUUUACUUUUUUGGUGUUUGGAUAAAUAUGUGUAAAAUAUUUUCUGUUGUUUGGCAGAUUUCUUGAAAAUAGUUUAGAAAAACUGUUUUAAAUGAAACAUACAUUUGAGAAUUUAAUUGAGUUUAUUUUAUAUCUAUCAAUAAAUUUAUAUUUUACAUUAUUUUUACAUAUAUUUCAACCACAAUAUCAUUUCUCACCUCAUUCUUAUUUAUUUAUUUUCUAAUUUAAUUAUAAGGACAAAAUUCUAUUUUUCAUUGUUUUUUCGUUUUGCACUUUUGAUUUUCAAACUUCCAGUUUUGAAUAUAAAAAAUAAAUAUCCAUUUAAUAAUUAUAUUUGAGUGUGAUUAUACAUGAUUGGUAACUUGUAAAUACACUAUUUUUAGUUUUUUCACUUUACCCAUAAUUAUUUAUUAAAAUAAUUUUAUAAAUAUAUAUUUUUAAUAUAAAAUAUAUUCAUUCGGGAGUCUUACCUUAUAAUAUCCACAUACAUGUUGUAAGGCCCAAAAUUUUCCCGGGCCCAACAGUCCAAUUACAAAAAUAUAAACCCAAUUUAAACCCAAAUAAAUCAAAACCCUAGGGCCCAAAUGGCCCAAAAUCUAAAGUAAAUUUUUAGCUAAAUUUUAGCAGCAAAAAAACCCUAGCCGCAUGACCUGCUACUGCCGUCGCUUCGCCUCCUCGCGCGCCUGCGCCGCUCGCCGCCACCACUCGCCUAUCACUGGCCUUCCACGCCACUGACACCUGCAGAGAAAAAUAAAUGCAAGGCAACAGAAGAAUCCGGCCAAAUAAAGAGCAAAAAGACAAAGAAUAGAAAUCAAUAGUUGUAAUACGGCUAUAAAAGCCAAAAUGUUCUCGUUGUAUUUUUUUACGCACACUAAGCAAUCAAAAAGCAGAACAGAAAUUUGAAAAGGUUGAUUAAAAUCUCUUACUGUUUCCUGUUUGUUUUUCUCUUUUUUUUUAUUUUUUUAUUUUUUAUUUUUACAAAUCCAUUUGAACGAAAACUAGAAUAGAAAAGCAAGAAAAAGCUUACUUGGGCGUCACGAUCCCAUCGUCGGAGUCCCUUUCUCCGUCGCCGGAGCCGAGUUUUCAGAGAGGGGAUGAGGAAGACUUUAUUUUUCUUUCCCAUUUUUGUGGGCACGGGCUAAAAACCUUUCUCUUUUUCCAUGCGACUCCGGCCACCAUCCUUGGUGGCGUCGCAGUGGAGAUGUGGUGGAUGACGGCGGGGUUCCAAAGCUAGGCUUGGAGCCCUAGCAGAGAAAGGGGAAGCCCCUUUUCAUUUUAUUUUUCUAUUCUUUGUAACAAAUGAAACAGCAAAAAAAAAACUGUAGCAAUUAUAACAAUCGCAAACGGCGUCGUUUAAAGGGGGAGAGCUGCGCAUUCAUUCCCUAAAGGGGUAAUUUAUGCAAUUGGUCCCUUCUCUUCGACGCCUUAAUGCAAUAUGGUCUUUGGUUUUUUUUUAAAUUCGGUCGCAUAAUUCUUCAUGCAUUUCAUUUUAAUCCAUGCUGGGACUCAAUGCAUGAGGGUUGGGGAUAUUUUCCCAAUCAAUCCCUCAUAUUCAAAGCUUGUCCCACUUGGACCCUUAAUACCUCUUAUUUAUUUAUGGUUUUAACCCACCGAUUCUAGCCCGAUUCCAAUUCCAUCCUUGGUUCUGUAAAUACUUAUUUUUUUUUCUUUUAAAUUGUUUUUGUCUAUUAUCAUUAGUUUUUCUUAUUUGUCUUAAUUUCUUCUUUAUUUGUUUUUUUAUCGUAUAGCUAUAUUUUUCUUUUCUUUUCUUUUGCUAUAUAUAUUAUUUCAUUAAACAGUUUUAUUAUCAUUGUUUUUUUUAUUUUUUUUACUUUACGUUUUAUUUAUAUUAAACAUUUUUGUUUAUAUAUAACGUUUUAAGUUUCCUUUCCUAUAUUACAUUCCAAGCCUUUUAUAUACAAUACUGACUUGCUUUUAUAAAUUGUUUUUUUUUUAUGAUAAGAUGUGUUAUAUAUGUCAAAUCUUAUAAACUGCUUUCUACUAUCUCCUUUUAAAUUGUCAUUUUUAUCUUUAUUUUGAACUCAUUUUAUGUAUUAUUUAGUUAAAGUUGUUUUAUUACUUAAAAUUGUUUUAUAUAUCUUUUAAACGCAAGUUAUUUAUUAAAAAAUGUUUUAUUUGUUUUUUUCCGUUUCAAAGAUUAUUUCCUUCACAUUACUUAUCUUAUAUACAUUAGUUGUUAUAUAUAUAUAUAUAUAUAUAUAUAUAUAUAUAUCUUUUUUUGUAUAUUAUUAACCUUAAAUUUCUUUGUUUGCAUUAUCUAUUUUAAACUCAUCAUUAUUAUUUUAAAUAUAUUUUACAUUUUAUUUGACUUUAAUUUGCUUUAUACCUUCUAAAUUAUUGCUUGAUUUAUUGGUCUUUAUUUAUCGAUGUUUGAAUUUGAAUGAUGAAUGUUGUGAGAUUAUUGCCUUUGUGUAUAAUUUAAUUCGCUUAUUCGUUUUCUGGCGUUCACUUGCAUGAUAUUGUAUUCGUGUAUUAUUGUCCCAAGCGCGCUACCAUAUUUUAUUUCAUGUCAUUGCAUCGUGGAUGUCUCAACGUUUUCAUUCGAUAUAAUCCAUUUCGUUUUACUCCCAAACAAAAUAAAUGCACAUCUCUUAGUGUUGUACUCGCGACUAUUCGAAAAGAUUUUCUAAAUAAGGCAAUAUUUCGCGUUUGGAAAUUCGAGAAAACGUGCCCUAACGUGCUGAGUUUCGAUUUCUCGUUCGACCAAAUAGCCAAAUAUCCUUUUAAGAUUUUCUAAAUAAGGCAAUGUUUUGCGUUUAGAAAUUCGAGAAAAUAUGCCCUAACGCGCUGGGUUUCAAUUUUUCGUUUGACCAAAUAGCUAAAAUAUCCUUUUAAAAUUUCAAAAUAAAGUAAUAUUUCGCGUUUGGAAAUUCGAGAAAACGUGCCCUAACGUGCUGGGUCUCGAUUUCUCGUUGAACCAAAUAGCCAAAUAUCCUCCUCUUAAAUCUCAAUCCAUGUCGUUUGAGUUUUUUAGGAUCAUACUCUACAUCUCUUUAAAGUUUUCAAUUUUCAACACUAAGACACUAAGUAAUCAAUUAGGUACCAAUUUUGAGCAUAUCGAGGGUGCAAAUCCUUCCUCGUGCAUAACCGACUCUCGAACCCAUUUUUCUAAAUUUCGUAAAUCAAAAUCGUUGUUUUAAUAAAAAUUAAAUCAUUUAUUAAAAACAACCACUCUUCGAGGUGACCCAAUCACACCUCAUCGAAAAAAGAUUGGUGGCGACUCCCGUUUUCGUUUUUAUUUUCAAAAAAAUGGUGUCAACACAUGUUAUGGCUUAGGUUUGGAUAAUAUUAGACUUUGGAUUAACAGGAACGAUAGAAGAAAUUGAUGUUAAGUUGCACCAUAGAAACUUUUAUAUUCUCCUCCAAUGUAAACAAACCAAAAACUACUUUUCUAUUUAUCAACCACUGCACAAGUAGUGUGUAUUUCUUUUGUUAUACAUAUAAGCACAACUCCGCAUAUAUGAAUUAUCUACCAAAUACUCACGAAAGGCUUUUAAAAAAAUAUUAGUUAGUAAAGCCAUCCAAGAGGGAAUAUGCUACUAACGUGAAACGGGCAAAAUUACAUAGUAAAUAUGUCUUCAUGAGACUGCUGUAUUUCUUUAAGAACCAAAAAAACUAUAAGUGAAGGCAAAAUAGUUUAUUGUUUCAACUCUCUAUCCCCAUGCCUUAUUGUGCAAUGAAUAAAGUACAUCAAGCAGGGAUUUAUCCCUCGCCAUAAAUAUAUCGCACUGGUCUUUGCUUUAUACAAAUUUCUUGAAACACAACUUUGGAAUUUUAAUAUUUGGAACUCCUAAGCUACCUGAAAUAACUGCAAGUUACCAUGACUAAAGUGCAUACAUACAUAAAUGAAAGUUUCUCAAGCAAUGAUAAGAUAAUUAAUUGCUAAAAAUCUUUAUUAAUUUUGUGGAGAGACAAUCAGACAAGUCAUGUCAAAUUAAUGAUGGGACAAAAAGGUUUUCUGGAUUUUUAAAAGCUAUGAAUGCAUCUAUCAGGCUCAAGCAUUUCCAACAUCUAACUUAUGGCUUACAUCUCAAAGCAAAGAAUGCAAAGCAUCAGGCUUAAAGAUCAUAAUAUGCACAAAAAAUGUAGUGGCCAUGCAAGGUCUGCAUCAUGUCAUGCAUGCAUAGAUACAUUACAUUACUAUAAGCAAAUUUAUAGCUUUAUUGGUCUAUAACACGGUAGCAUAAUUAGAAACUAUCAAACAUGUCGGAGUGUACAUGUCUGAAUCGAAGUACAAAGGCAAAAAUAUACCGGUUUCUUCUCACUGCAGUAUAGUAUAAACAAACUUCUAUUGCCUGCAAAGGAUGGAAGAUGCUAACUCAAGCCUUACAACAGUGCAUACAUCACAAGAUGCAUGCGAGGCAAUGGCGCUUCAAGAGACAUGAAACUUUACACAGUUAGAAUCUUCACAUUUACCCCAAAAGUUCAAACUUCAAACAAUAGAAAAUGGUAGACGAACUAGCUUUUUAUAGUGUCAAACAUGCUGCAUUACAACAAAAUAUUCUUAUUGUUCUUCUCCGGUAAAACAAAAGGUUAACAUUUAGAGUUUAAAACAAACCGAAAAUGAAAAAAUAAUUGGAAACAGACUAUUAAACAAAUGAAAAUAUGAAAAAUAAUUUCCGAUAUAUAUGCUAAAUAAAAACCCAAAAUGGCAAUCGGUCUUGAACUCCAAUCUCUUAACAAUUCAAGAAACAAAUUCCAAUUCCAAAAAAUCCUAGUCUUUUAACAAAACAAAAACCAAAUAUACCAAAUACCCUUUCCCUUACACACAAAAGCUAAUUCAAGAGAUUACCAAAAAAAAAAAGGCUAAUUCAAGAACCAAGUUUGAAAAACAACUAAAACCCCCAAUUAAAAUCUUGGUCAGCUUACCUUGAAAAAUCACAUAGAAAGAGAAAAAAGAGAAACUCACAUGUGGCCAUGGAGAAAGCAACGAAUUUACAGAGUAACCUACAAUAACUUUGAAGAACAAAAAUAAUCAGGGAAAUAGCCAAAGAGAAAAGCAACAAGUUAAACCCCAUGAAGGAAAUUACAACUGCUCAUUGGAAAGCUAGAUUUUUGAGUUUCUUCAAAAUGCAGACUUGGUAAGGACGACGAGAUAACAAGACUCGGAUUCGAAGGUGAGGCCAACGAAUAGAGAUGAGGAGGAGAGGCAGAGGCUAAUGGACAAAGAGGAAGGAAAACGACUGUUGUGAUGAGAGUGGAGGAAAAUGGAAAAUGUCUUACCGAAAUAAAAUCGGUAAGACCUUUUCCAUAAAAAGCCAUUUCAUUUACCCUUGGUUUAGAAAAUGUUAUAAAAAGCCAUUUCAUUUACCCUUGGUUUAGAAAAUGUUCUGCUGAAGUAAUUUAUUUUCCAUCAAAAAAACACAGUAAAAUACAGAAAAUAUUUUAUGGAAAAUAUUUUACUGACAAAUAAGCAGAGCCUAAGUACUGCAUUGCAAAUGACAUAAUAUCACCCAUAUCAACAAUGUAAACAGACAGACAUAUUAAAAUUUAAAUUUAAAUCCAUAAAAAUUUAUGUACUUAUGUUCAUGCAUUUAUACAAACACAAGAAAGAUAUAUAAAUUUAGAAGAACAAACACAAUGUCAAAUCAAUAUAGUUCCUUCCUUUAAUACAAACAUCGUGUGACAUCAACCAACAUAAAGAAGAUAACAAAAAGUAUGCCCUAGUUUCAACACUCUUUUAAGGCAAUUACUAAAAGUUGUUUUCAACCAAGUUAAGAAGCAUAUCAAGAAAUCAAGUUAAGGAGGACUUCUAAUGAAAGUUGACAAGAAAUUUUCCAGAGAUGGAUGUACUAUCCACGAUCCGUUCUAACAAUUUGAUCUUUAGUCUUACCUUCUAUUAUAAGAAUGAGUAGCCUUUGUUUCUGACAAUUUUUGAUUGGUUCCAGUAUUCACUAGACCUGUCCAUGGGCCGGGCGGCUCGGUUCGGCCCGACGGCCCGCCCGAAAUAUGGGAGGGUUCGGGUAAAAAUAUAUGCCCGAAAUAUGGGCUUGGGCAAAAAAAUGAGACCCGUUUAAAAAAUGGGCCGGGCUCGGGCUCAACUUUUUUGGCCCGGGCCCGGCCCGGCCUGGCCCGAAUAUAAUAAAUAUAUAUUUUUAUUUUUAUUUUUUAAUUUUAAAAUACUUUAAAAAUAUUUUUUUAUUUUUUUAUUUUUAAAAUAUUUUUUUGUGUUUAUUAAAAACCGGGCCGGGCCAGGCCGGGCUUAUUAUUUUUUCCCGGGCCGGGCCUGGGCAAAAUUUUAGGCCUAUAUUUCAGGUCGGGCCGGGCCCGAGCCUAAGAGUUGGGCCGAAAUUUUUUUCCGGGCCCGGCCCGGCCCAUGAACAUGUCUAGUAUUCACUAAUAAGAAAGAUUUUCAUUUUCUGAAUACGUAUACAACCUGAAUCCAUUCUAUAUCAACAACAAUAGUACACAUGAUAAAGUGAUAGAUUACAAGUUUCCAUACAAGAUUUCACACAUACAAUAAAAGAAAAAUAAGUGAAAUAAUUCCAUCUAAAAUGAAAUUAAAGAAAGCCAAAACUAAUGCAGUAGAACAGAUAAUUGAGAAUGUAGAAUUUUCUUAUAUUAGUUCCAUCUGUUUAAAAAAAAAAGAUUGCAAGGUAAAUCAAUAGUAAGAAAGAAAAAUAUGGAAUACCCAUAAAGGGAUUGCGAACAAACAAGCCGAUUUAGAUAAGAAAAAUCAGAUUGAGAAACCAAUUAUUCAAGAACCGUGAAAGAACUGGAAAAUAUAAUGGUUAGGAGCAAAAACGAUUACCCUCUUUUUAUUUGUCGACAACCACUUGAUUUUAAGUUUUUGAACAUAAAUUUGUCAGCAUAGAAGACAUACUUGGACCCUCCAUUGAAUCCAUCUUUUGUUUUUCUAUGUUGAAUAAAAAAUUCAAUCGAAACACUCUGUCGAAACCAUUUUUUUGAAAACAACAAAAUUUUUAGGUUGUCGACUUUUAAAAAUGAAAAUUGGGAGUCGCCACCAAUCUUUUAGUAAGGUGUGAUUGGAUCACCUAAAAAAACGGCUUUGGUCUACGAGUUUUAGAAAAACGGAUCCGGGAGUCAGUUACGUACGAGGAAGGAUUAGCACCCUCGUAACGCCCAAAAUUGGUACCUAGUUAAUUAAUUAGUGUCUUAAGGUCGAGAAUUUGGAAAAACGUAAUCUUUAGCAAAACUUAAAAGGCUACGUAUUAAGACCCUUAUUAUUUCAGAGAAAGAAGAUACCACACCCAAUGCGUUAGGGCACAACAUUCUAAUUUUCCCCCAAAAAUGAAUUGGGCCAAAAUACUUAUACAAUAAAACUUUAAAAGAACAUCCACUUAUCCAAGAUUUAAGAAAUCACACCCAAUACGUUAGGGCACUAUUCCUUUAGAAUCCCAAACUCGGAAUAUUUCCUUUACUUUAAAAGAAAGUCCGCUUAUCCAAGAUUUAAGAAAUCACACCCAAUACGUUAGGGCACAAUUCCUUUAAAAUCUCAAACUCGGAAUAUUUCCUUUAUGAUUUUUAAAAAAUCUUCAUUUCGAGAAAUCAAUGCGUCACAUCCAAUACGUUAGGACACAACGUGUUGAAUUCCCAAUAAUGAGUUCUUAUUUUUUUAAUUAAAGAGAAAUGCUUGAUUGUUAGAUUUAACGAAGAAAAUCAGAACCCAAUACGUUAGGGCUCAAUUUCCUUGAAAAUCCUAAAUACAAGCACUAUCUCAAUUUUGAAAAGUUUGAAAUCGAGUAAAAAAAUGAUGUGAUGUUACAUUAAAUAUACAAUGCAAUAAUAAAUAAAUAUACAAGUGAAAGACAUAAGCAAAACUAUAAAAUAUAAAAAAAAAUAAAGGAUAUAAAGUGUGCUUAUAAUAAGUACAUUGAAGUUAUGGAGAAUACAAGACAUACAUGGAUUUAUAUGAAGAUAUAGACUAUAAGAUUCAUAUAAAAUAUAAUGCAUUUAUAAAAAGAAAUAUAUAAAUAUAUAUAUUAUAAAAUUUGUGUAAAAAAAAUAAAUAGGUAGUUAAACAUUUUCAAAAAUAAAUAAAUAAAAAUAGAUAUAUACGUGUAUAUAUAUAAAUAUAAAAGAACAUUCAUUAGAAAAAAAAAAUAAUAUGUAUACAUGUACAUAUAAAAUAUCUAUAGAUUAAAAAUAAUUAAAUAAUAUCUACAUUAUCAAAAUUGAAUAAAAUAAAUAAAUAUGUAUAUAUAUAUAAAUAUGAGAAAAAUAUUAAUUGAAAAAAAAAUAUAUAAUGUGUACAUAUAUAUAAAAAAUAAUUAUAUACAUAUAUAGAUUAUAAAAACGAUAAUUACAUAUAUACAAAAAAAUGAUAAUAAUUAAAUUAAUUAAUUUAAAAAAUAUUAAAAAAACUAUGAAGAAAACAUGUACAAGUAUACGUGUACAUAUUUACAAAAGUAAAAACAAGUUUUUGAAAUUAAAAAUAUAAAAGUAUAUAUAUUAUAAAAAAUGUUUGUAUGUACAUAAAAAUAAUAAUUAAAUAAUGAUAAUAAUAAUAAUAAUAAUAAUAAUGAUGAUGAUGAUGAGGAAGAUGAAAAAAUAAAAUUAAAAAAAAACGAAUUGCAAAAAAACAAAUAGUUAAAAAAAACUAAAAUAACAAGAAAUAAAUGAAAUUUAAGCAAAAUAAUGGGCGAAAUCGCGACACGCGAAUUACAUGGAGGGCCAAAUCGGAAAUAAUCCGCCUCCCCAAAACAGUGUCGUUUCGCUAACAUGAUUUAAAACAGUUUUUUAGAAAAAAAAACAUUGUUUGCAGCAUAAAAAAAAGAAAACAAAAAAAACAAAGGCUCUCUACUAGGGUUUUUAACCCCAGCCCCCUGACACCACCGUUCACUCUUGUCGAUACUCCGAUUGCGACAGAGACGGCACAAAUCCGGCGAUUCCAACUUGAGGAGUAAGCUCUUUCCUCCUUUCUUUAUAUUUUAAGCAAAAAUAAAUAAAGAGAUAAAGAAACUAAAAAUAUAUAUACAUCUAUGUAUAAAUGAAAAAUAAAAGAACGAUAAUCCUCAAGGUAAUAUAGAGAGAAAAAAACCUUUGUAUUCGAAAAAGAAAAUUUUCCUUCUCUCUCUUUUCAGUCUCUCUCUUUUCAGUCUUCUCUCUUUUUACAUUACAUUCAGUGGCUUUAUAUAGCCAUUCUAAAAAAAUCAUAUAAAGAAGAAACAAAUCUCUUUUAUUUGAUUUGUGAAUCUUUGAUUUCAUUUCCUUUUUUUUUCUUGCUUGAUAUGCUUGAUUUGAUUUUGCAAUCCUUGAUUUUCUUUCCUUUCUUGUUUGUUUCCUUGCAGGUGAAGAUCGAUGACGCUCGUGACUGCGGCGCAAAGUCUUCUUAGAAACCCUAGGGUUUCUGCAAAUGAUUUGAGCCACUGAAUUUGGGCCAUUUUCAAAAUUGGGCCACCGUUUUAAAUUGGUUUUGGGCCUUAUGGCCCGUUUGUAAUUUUGGGCCUUUUACCAGGGCCAAAAUCGGGUAUUACAGCUGCCCCUCUUUGCUCAUUGUCGUGUAACAGGAGAGCAAAGACUUAAAAAAUGCCCGAUUUUGUCCGAUCUUUGGUAUUUUUCUUCUUCAAAAAGCUUCGCCUCUUCCUACUGCAUCUUCAGUAGUAUAGGAGCUAGUGCUUCAAUUUAUUUCACUGCGACUGCAGGGAGAUAAGACUUACAAUCUUCAAUCUAUUCCACUAAUGCUUAGGGAGAUAAGAUCUGAAAUCUUCAAUCUAUUCCACUGUUGUCCAGGGGAGUAGAAUUACUGGCUUCAAUGUACUCCAUUAUAACCACAGUGAGGUAAAAUCCGCCAUCUUCGAUCUGCUCCACUACUGCUUAGGGAGAUAAGAUCUGAAAUCUUCAAUCUAUUCCACUGUUGUCCAGGGAAGUAGAAUUACUGGCUUCAAUGUACUCCACUAUAACCACAGGGAGGUAAAAUCCGCCAUCUUCGAUCUGCUCCACUACUGCUUAGGGAGAUAAGAUCUGAAAUCUUCAAUCUAUUCCACUGUUGUCCAGGGAAGUAGAAUUACUAGCUUCAAUGUACUCCACUAUAACCACGGGGAGGUAAAAUCCGCCAUCUUCGAUCUGCUCCAUUACUGCUGAGGGAGAUAAGAUCUGAAAUCUUCAAUCUAUUCCACUGUUACCCAGAGAAGUAGAAUUACUAGCUUCAAUGUACUCCACUAUAACCACAGAGAGGUAAAAUCUGCCAUCUUUGAUCUGCUCCACUACUGCUUAGGGAGGUAAGAUCUGAAAUCUUCAAUCUAUUCCACUGUUGCCUAGGGAAGUAGAAUUACUGGCUUCAAUGUACUCCUCUAUAACCACAGGGAGGUAAAAUCUGCCAUCUCCGAUCUGCUCCACUACUGCUUAGGGAGAUAAGAUCUGAAAUCUUCAAUCUAUUCCACUGUUACCCAGAGAAGUAGAAUUAUUGGCUUCAAUGUACUCCACUAUAACCACAGGGAGGUAAAAUCUGUCAUCUUUGAUCUGCUCCACUACUGCUUAGGGAGAUAAGAUCUAAAAUCUUCAAUCUAUUCCACUGUUACCUAGGGAAGUAGAAUUACUGGCUUCAAUGUACUCCUCUAUAACCACAGGGAGGUAAAAUCUACCAUCUUCGAUCUGCUCCACUACUACUUAGGGAGAUAAGAUCUGAAAUCUUCAAUCUAUUCCACUGUUGCCCGGGGAAGUAGAAUUACUAGCUUUAAUAUACUCCACAGGGAAGUAAAAUCUGCCAUCUUCGAUCUGCUUCGCUGUCAAUGCAGGAAGGCAAGAUUUGCUAUCUUUAACUUGCUCCACUACAACCGAGGAAGGCAAUGCUUAAUUUUCGAUCUGCUUCGCAGUCAAUGCAGGAAGGCAAGAUCUACUCUUUCACUGAUCUGUUCUCUGUGGAACAUGACCUGUAUAAUGAACCUAAUUAUGCCUAAUGAUUAGGAUGGCAUGAUCAAAAUGCAUCAAAUGCUCCUAACUAGACAUGUGUGAAUAGUGUUUGCAUGAAUGCAAAAUUUAUUUUUUCGAGAAUGAUCCCACUUAGGUUGUCAUCACUCGAAGUUUAUUAAGGCUUUGUGACUGACGUGCUACAACGCCUUCUUGCUUGACUGGCUUUUCUGAAGAAUCAUUUAGCCAGGCUGCCCCCCACUGUGAACCUCCAAGUUUAAUCCAUUGGGGUGCAAAGAUUCAUACCAUUGUUCUCCCACUGUAACCCAAGAGUAUAUGGCUUUUCUUCAAUCCUCUCCUAUCACAAUUCAAGGAUAUAGGAUCUAAAUCUUUCUAGUCUUUUACACCAUUCCCAAGUGUCGUACCAAAAGCUCAUACACAAAUGAAGGCUCUCUUCCCCGAGGUAACCUCUUUCUAUUGCCUGGUGAUCAUUACUUGCUUGUUGAUUUAGGCUUUGUCAUCAACACAACAUCCAAUGUUUUUGACAACAAAAUCCAAAGAGAGUCCUAGUUUAGACUCUUCCUUUUCAGAUUUCCAACCUUUAAAAACUUGGUACGUUCUAAACAAUAGUCCUAUUUUAGGUUCCCGUAUUAUUUAGAAACUUCUAGAGUAAUAUGCAAAACUUCCUUCAUGAAAGUUUUAUUAGUCCAUUAAUCAUUAUUCUAAUGCAACAUGCUUGCAAAAAGGGUAUAUCAAUAGAUGAGAAUACAAUUGGUUCUGUGCAUAGCUCGAAAGGAAUAUAUUAUCAAAAAUAGUAAAUAAGGAUAGCAAAGAAAUUGAUUGAGAAUGUGUAUCUUGGAAAAGAAUGACGUAUCCCAAAAAUAACAAACUCAGUAUAAAUAGUAUGAAUAUUGGGUGCCCCAAAUAUCGCAGCUUGAGCUUCUCUGUACAAACUUUGUGAAGAUCCUUCUGAGUUUGACAUGUGUUUAGGAGAUCCACAGUACUCUGCCAAUGCCUCAAGAUGUUGCCUACCUUUUCCUGAUAAUUCAGGUAUAACAAGAUCACCACAUGCCCCAAUCUGGUUAAACUUUGAGUUGCUCUAAUCACUUCGUGCCCCAUUCUGAUCAAUAUUUGAGCUGCCCUUUUCGGGAUUUCAACUCAAAUCCCCUUUGGUCUCAAAGUGCCCUUUGCGGGUUUUCACUUUGGCCUCUCCAUUUUUCUUUUUCUUUUUUUUGUUUUGUUUUGUUUUUUUUAAUCUAAACUAAUAGGAUUAGACAAGUCUUCGUUAUCCCUUUCGAUCAAAACCAAUGCAAGAUCUUCUUUGUGAUCAAAUUUCUUUCAUACAGUUUUUUUUUGGGCAAAAUUUAACUAUGACGAAAACUUUGGAUCUUCCUCUUCAAUUGGGAUGAAAUCCAACAACGGAGAAAUGGUAACUUAACUUCGACAAGUUAAACCAUGAUGAGCCAAAGGAGAAGGCAUUGCCCCUGCAAAGAAUUCUAAAUGUAUCGUUCAUGAUUUUAAUCUUGAACAUACUGUAAAUUCUUGAUAUCGUAUUGUUGUUUCGAUUACGAUGUCGGUGCUUACUCAAGCAUAUCCUGAUAUGACCAUAUGAAGACAUCUUUGAACUCUUUGAAGUAACUCAACAAGGUCAUGCUUCAUUUCUUCGGUUAUGCACGCUAUCUUAAGGUCCAUUGUCCCUUCAUGAAGUACGAUUUCAUUCUUGUUCUACCAUCCUCAAAAAGUCUAAAAAUAGACUACAAUCUAUAUCAUUUUUAAAGUCAUGAGAUCCCUCUAAACACAGAUCUCACUCAAAAGAAACUUCUGAGUCCGUAUCAGCAUCACUCAUGUCGUUGAUAUCAGGGGACCCAUAGUAGGUACCAAAGAAUAUACAAAAAAAUGUAUGAAUAAUCAUUUAUACAAUUAUGAAUGAAUAGAAUAAUAUGGAAGAAGAUCCGAAAGAAUGAAAGUAUAAUUAUUCGAAAAAGAAUGAAAGAACAUUGGCUUAAAAAAUGAAUGCAAAGAUGUAUUUUAUUAGAAUAACAACGUUCAGACAUGAGCCUAUUUCAUAAAGGAAUUCUUAUUGCCUCUAGGCUGAAGGCAACAAGUGUGUUUUAAACAUUACUCUGAGUAAUCUCUAAAUACUACAGGGGCUUCUUCUGCAGUCUAAUUAUUUAAAACACUCCCAAGUCUAUAAGGGCAAAAAUCUGACAAGGUCUCUUCUUCAGUUGUUUCAUCGUGAACACUUCUCAACACCCCUUCAUAUUCAAUCAUGACUGGGUACUAGAUGAACCAUCUAUCUUGACAAUACCCAUGUUGAUGAAUUGUUCAACUAGCUUUUUGAAGGUAAUGCAAUUUUCUAUAGAAUGCCCCGUAAUGCCUGCAUGAUAAUCACAUUGUGCACUUGCAUCAUACCAUUUGGGAUACGGGGGCUGUGGAGGCUUCAUAUGUAAAGGAGCAACGACAUGCGCAUUGAAUAAGCUUUGAUACAGCUCACUGUACGACGUUGGAAUUGGUGUGAACUGGAGCUUUUCAGUACCUGGCUUCACACCUAAUUCUUGUAUUGAUGAACCCUGUUGAUUAGCAAUCGAUUUGUCGUACGUAUUCACGUUGUGCACCUCAUUUCCCUUUUCUUUUGAGGCUUGCCUUCUGUUAUUUCCUCCAGCAUCAAUCUUUCCGCUCCUUAUGGCGCUUUCAAUCAUUUCACCAUUCAUGAUUAUGUCAGAAAAGCUUUUUGUUGCACUCCCUAACAUAUGUGUGAUGAAUGGUGCCUUCAAUGUGUUGACGAAAAGCAUCGUCAUCUCUCUUUCUAGCAGAGAUGGCUGAACUUGGAUAGCAACCUCCCUCCAUCUCUGUGCGUACUGCCUGAAACUUUCACUAGGCUUCUUCUCCAUGUUUUGCAGAGUAAUUCUAUCAGGUACCAUGUCAGUCACAUGACUGUACUGCUUUAUAAACGCCUGUGCCAAAUCUCUCCAUGAGUUAAUAUGGGUACGGUUCAAUCGAUUGUACCACUUGGAUGCUGCCCCUGCGAGGCUAUCCUGGAAGCAAUGACUCAAGAGUUGGUAAUUAUUGACAUAACCGGUCAUUCGUCUGCAGAACAUGGUAAUAUGAGCUUCGGGGCUACUGGUUCCAUUAUAUUUCUCAAACUCUGGCAUUUUGAAUUUGUAAGGGAGCACUAAAUCCGGAACCAAGCUCAAUUCUUUAGCAUCAAUUCCAUGGUAGCCCUCAGUACUUUCCAUCGCUCUAAGUUUUUCCUCCAGCCACUUGUACUUUUCCUCUAGCUGUUUUGGCAAUUCAUCAUUCAUUUUCUCUUUUCCGGCCGUCUCAUCGAAAUCAGGGAUAGCAUGAUUAACAAAGUUGGCUUCGGGGUUAGAGCCUGAUCCCGCCUAGAAAUUCAUUUGCGUUGCAACGUCACCCAGAGGGUUAAUGGUAAUAGAGGACCUACGCGGAUAUAUCUCAACUUGUUGGGGUGUAAAGUCCGGAGGAUAGACAAGUCCCUCAUUGUCACCUUCUUCAUUGUUGAGCACCAAUCCCUUUCCUUUGUCAACUCCUCCAGCCAAUAACUGAGUCAACUUAGCCAUCAUACUCCCUUGAGAUUUCAUUAUCUUUUCCAUCAUCUUUUGUUGAAUCUUUUCUAAUUGCUCAUUCAUUUGCUCUUACAUUUCUUUCUGGAACUGUUCUAGCCUUUGGUCCAUGUCUCUAGUUUUGGAUCGAGUUCCAUAGCAGUGUUUGAUAGCUUGAUUGGUUUCUAGAUUAACUGAUGAGUAAUUUAGAUUAAUUAGAAUCCCUUAAUAUAUUUAUUAAUGCAUAUGAAACAAUGCAAUGCAUGAAAUGAAAUGCCAUGUCAUGCAAAUAAAACACCAAAAGUCAGUAUAACAUAGAAACACAAGAUAUAAUCAAGAAAUAGUAAAGAUCUCUAAUUGGAUAUCUACUAGGGUUUAGUAUAAUUCUACCUAGGGUGGAUUCCUAAGGUUCAUUAUAUGAAGUUUGGCUUCUAGAGUAAAGGUACCCAAACCAGUAGAUUCCUCAAUCCUCACCCAUUAUAGGCUCAUAUGGACCGAGUUCAGUUCAGGGGAAUACAUUUCCCUAUGGCUGCACGGAGAUGAAAAAAUCUCACGAAGACAUAGGUACGGAUGUAUCCCGAAAGCAAUCCACUAUCCUACACGGAGGUAAAAUCCUCACGAAGGCAUAGUUUCUCACUCCCACUUAAAAGGGUAACAUUGCUCAACUCAUUAAAUGUAUAAUGCAAACAAUGUUUGAACAAGUAGAUAAUGAAUGCAAAAGGAUGUCAUGAGUUUGUUUUUUAAAAUAUUUUCUCGACCAUAAGACAAAAAUUAAUCAACUUUGUGGCUCGACUCUCUUCUUUUUUUAAAAAAAAUGUCCCCAGUGGAGUCGCCAAGCUGUCGAAACCAUUUUUUUGAAAACAACAAAAUUUUUAGGUUGUCGACUUUUAAAAAUGAAAAUUGGGAGUCGCCACCAAUCUUUUAGUAAGGUGUGAUUGGAUCACCUAAAAAAACGGCUUUGGUCUACGAGUUUUAGAAAAAUAGAUCCGGAAGUCAGUUACGUACGAGGAAGGAUUAGCACCCUCGUAACGCCCAAAAUUGGUACCUAGUUAAUUAAUUAGUGUCUUAAGGUCGAGAAUUUGGAAAAACAUAAUCUUUAGCAAAACUUAAAAGGCUACAUAUUAAGACCCUUAUUAUUUCAGAGAAAGAAGAUACCACACCCAAUGCGUUAGGGCACAACAUUCUAAUUUUCCCCCAAAAAUGAAUUGGGCCAAAAUACUUAUACAAUAAAACUUUAAAAGAACAUCCACUUAUCCAAGAUUUAAGAAAUCACACCCAAUACGUUAGGGCACUAUUCCUUUAGAAUCCCAAACUCGGAAUAUUUCCUUUACUUUAAAAGAAAGUCUGCUUAUCCAAGAUUUAAGAAAUCACACCCAAUACGUUAGGGCACAAUUCCUUUAAAAUCCCAAACUCGGAAUAUUUCCUUUAUGAUUUUUAAAAAAUCUUCAUUUCGAGAAAUCAAUGCGUCACAUCCAAUACGUUAGGACACAACGUGUUGAAUUCCCAAUAAUGAGUUCUUAUUUUUUUAAUUAAAGAGAAAUGCUUGAUUGUUAGAUUUAACGAAGAAAAUCAGAACCCAAUACGUUAGGGCUCAAUUUCCUUGAAAAUCCUAAAUACAAGCACUAUCUCAAUUUUGAAAAGUUUGAAAUCGAGUAAAAAAAUGAUGUGAUGUUACAUUAAAUAUACAAUGCAAUAAUAAAUAAAUAAACAAGUGAAAGACAUAAGCAAAACUAUAAAAUAUAAAAAAAAAAUAAAGGAUAUAAAGUGUGCUUAUAAUAAGUACAUUGAAGUUAUGGAGAAUACAAGACAUACAUGGAUUUAUAUGAAGAUAUAGACUAUAAGAUUCAUAUAAAAUAUAAUGCAUUUAUAAAAAGAAAUAUAUAAAUAUAUAUAUUAUAAAAUUUGUGUAAAAAAAUAAAUAGGUAGUUAAACAUUUUCAAAAAUAAAUAAAUAAAAAUAGAUAUAUACGUGUAUAUAUAUAAAUAUAAAAGAACAUUCAUUAGAAAAAAAAAUAAUAUGUAUACAUGUACAUAUAAAAUAUCUAUAGAUUAAAAAUAAUUAAAUAAUAUCUACAUUAUCAAAAUUGAAUAAAAUAAAUAAAUAUGUGUAUAUAUAUAAAUAUGAGAAAAAUAUUAAUUGAAAAAAAAAUAUAAUAUGUACAUAUAUAUAAAAAAUAAUUAUAUACAUAUAUAGAUUAUAAAAACGAUAAUUACAUAUAUACAAAAAAAUGAUAAUAAUUAAAUUAAUUAAUUUAAAAAAUAUUAAAAAAAACUAUGAAGAAAACAUGUACAAGUAUACGUGUACAUAUUUAUAAAAGUAAAAACAAGUUUUUGAAAUUAAAAAUAUAAAAGUAUAUAUAUUAUAAAAAAUGUUUGUAUGUACAUAAAAAUAAUAAUUAAAUAAUGAUAAUAAUAAUAAUAAUAAUAAUAAUAAUAAUAAUAAUAAUGAUGAGGAAGACGAGAAAAUAAAAUUUAAAAAAAACGAAUUGCAAAAAAACAAAUAGUUAAAAAAAACUAAAAUAACAAGAAAUAAAUGAAAUUUAAGCAAAAUAAUGGGCGAAAUCGCGACACGCGAAUUACAUGGAGGGCCAAAUUGGAAAUAAUCCGCCUCCCCAAAACAGUGUCGUUUCGCUAACAUGAUUUAAAACAGUUUUUUUAGAAAAAAAAAACAUUGUUUGCAGCAUAAAAAAAAAGAAAACAAAAAAAACAGAGGCUCUCUACUAGGGUUUUUAACCCCAGCCCCCUGACACCACCGUUCACUCUUGCCGAUACUCCGAUUGCGACAGAGACGGCACAAAUCCGGCGAUUCCAACUUGAGGAGUAAGCUCUUUCCUCCUUUCUUUAUAUUUUAAGCAAAAAUAAAUAAAGAGAUAAAAAACUAAAAAUAUAUAUACAUCUAUGUAUAAAUGAAAAAUAAAAGAACGAUAAUCCUCAAGGUAAUAUAGAGAGAAAAAAACCUUUGUAUUCAAAAAAGAAAAUUUUCCUUCUCUCUCUUUUCAGUCUCUCUCUUUUCAGUCUUCUCUCUUUUUACAUUACAUUCAGUGGCUUUAUAUAGCCAUUCUAAAAAAAUCAUAUAAAGAAUAAACAAAUCUCUUUUAUUUGAUUUGUGAAUCUUUGAUUUCAUUUCCUUUUUUUUUCUUGCUUGAUAUGCUUGAUUUGAUUUUGCAAUCCUUGAUUUUCUUUCCUUUCUUGUUUGUUUCCUUGCAGGUGAAGAUCGAUGACGCUCGUGACUGCGGCGCAAAGUCUUCUUAGAAACCCUAGGGUUUCUGCAAAUGAUUUGAGCCACUGAAUUUGGGCCAUUUUCGAAAUUGGGCCACCGUUUUAAAUUGGUUUUGGGCCUUAUGGCCCGUUUGUAAUUUUGGCCUUUUACCCGGACCAAAAUCGGGUAUUACACACUCAAUCUGAUUUCUACUAUUUUGAUUUAAUACAGAUCAUAAUAAUUUUUCAGUCAAAUGAAAAAGAAAACUAUUUACCUAUUUUAUGGAAACUUGUCCUUUUUUUUGUAUAAUUAUAGGUGUUUCAUCUAUUUUAUGGUCCUUACAGUGCUGACACGAUCGUUAACAACAUUAACAUGGCGCUAUAUGUCAGCAAUAGUUAGCUACAAUGUUAGCAAAAAUAAAAAAAAAUUAAAAAUUAAAAGGAAUAUUUAAAUUUAUUUUACUAAUGAACCUAAACAGAUGGUUGUCCAAGUUCAUUCGUUUCAAAACUUAAAUUUUUUUAAAUUUAAAAAAAAUUAAGUUUUUUUAUAAAUGUGUAAAACACUAUUAAAAUUUAAUAAAAAUAUUUAAAACUUAAGUCUCUAAUGAAUAUGUCCAAAUUCAUUCAUGAUUAGUUUCAAAUAUACUAAAAUUAUUUUUCUUUAAAAAUUGAUAUGUGUGUCAAUAUUUUUCUACUGCUACCUCGUAGGAUGAAUUAAAAUAUAUAUAUAUAUAUAUCAAUUUAAAUAAUUUAAAUUUUAUUAAUCAUACAUCUAAAGAUUUUUUUAAAUGACUAAUUAAAACAGUGUAUCUAUUAUUUCAUUACAUGUGUAGCCUCAAAGGUUUAAAAAAUUGGAUAUAUUCAUACAUUUAAAACAACUUUACACAAACAAUUAAUAUUAUUUAUUUUUUUAUUUUCUGAAAUAUAUUUUUUUUUAAUUUUUAUACAUUCUAAAAUGUACCAAUGGAAUUAGAACAUUGAUACACGUAUCAAUUUUUUUAAAGAAGAUUAAUUUUUAAUAUUUUUUAAACUUUGUACAAUUUAGAAAAACUUAGAAUGAAUUUAGACAUAGACUUAACUUGUAAAUGGUUUUUAUUAAUUUUUAAUUUUUAAUUUUUUAAAUUUAUUUAAUAUUUUAUAUAUUUUAAUAAUAUUUUAAAAUUUUAUAAAAUUUUAAAAAAUAUAUUAUUUUUUAAAAAUAUUAUUUUUAAUUUUAAAAAUUUUUAAGCUUCGAAACAAAUGAACUUGGUACUGCGACAUCAACAACUAUUCCUUUUAAAAAGUUUAAAUAUUGCUUUUAAUUUUUUAUUUUUGUUGACAUGACAGUUGACGUGGUAUUGCCACAUAAGCAACUAUCGCUAACAUGAAGCACCACAUUAGCGUUGUUAAUGGCCACAUCAACAUUGUAAAGGUCAAUAUUAGUCAAAGAGCAUAUUUGGCCAAUUUUGUUAGUUCAUGGGCUCAAUUGGGUGCAAAAAGUUUGCAGGGGCUUAAUUGAUUUUUUUGAAAAAGUUUGAGGACCACAAAUACCAUUAAACCCUUCUUUAACUAUUGAUAUUUCUUUUUCUAAGUAUCGAUCAACAUUAGUUAAAGGGCUUAUUUUGUCAGUUUUGUUAGUUUAAGGGCUCAGUUGGGUGCAAAAAGUUCGCAGGGGCUUAAUUGAUUUUUUCGAAAAAGUUCGACAAUCAAAAAUACCUUUAAGCCCUACUUUAACUAUUAAUAUGUCUUUUUUAAUUAAUUUUGCAUCCAUGCAUAGUAUAGGCACACGAUGUACGGGGUAUUUCCACGUAUACAUGUAAAGUGUAUUUUGAUGCCACGGCGGAAUUAGAUGAAAAUGUGAUUAUUAAGGUAGUAAUGUCACCUUCUAGUAAUUGCAAAGAAUUAUAAUUUUCUAGAUGUAUUUGGCUAGUAGAGUGUAAUUAUAUUGUAAUUCUUUAUGCCUUGUUUAGUAAUAUAAAUUGUAAUUACACAUUUACAAAUUUUAAUUUGUUUAAAAAGUAUUAAUUACUAUAAAUAGUUAUUAGUAAUACCUAAGAAAAAAAUUUUAAACAAGUGACAUAAAUUAAAAUCAAAUCAUGUUAUGUUAGUCCAAGAAAGUAACCGACAACACGAUUGCCGAUAAAAAAGAACAAGAAAACUAAACAUCUAUGCAACUUUAUUAUUGCUUUAGCAUUCCAUGUUUGUUGGGUUAUUCCUUUUCUAACAUUUAACAUAUUCUUCUUACCAUCAUCUGUUUGUUCUUGACCAAUUUCUUCAUUGUUGAUACAAGGUUCAACAAUGGAGGGAGUAAGGAGGAGGUAAGGUGGAGUGAGUGGUGGAAAAGUAUUUAUAAGAGAGGUCCUCUUGUCCAUUAGCAUGACAUGGCAGGAUAAAUGCUCAAUCCCACCAAAUGUGUAAAAGAUAUUCAUGAACAUAAAGGAUAUUCAUGAUGGGGGCCCAUUAUGUUAUUCAUUCCAUCAGUACAAGGUUAAUACGCCCAUGCAAGUCCUAAUGGCCUCAAGGAUGUGUUCACACCAAAAAAAAGGGGUGUUAGCCUUUCUAAAGGGUUGGUGCUCCUUUGAUCUUAGUGGAUGGUUCGGCAAGGCAUCUUCUUAGGCAAACUCAAUGAGAGGGUUAAUGUUGUCUAUACAAUUGACACGUGUCCAUGUGGCGGGGGUAUAACAUUCAUCAUCUAAAUCAAAAUCUGAAUAUGCAUCAUUAAGAUUAUCCAGAUCAUUUUUUUUAUCUAUAUCAUUAAGAUUAUUAAGAUCUAUUUUUUUUUCAUGUACUAAUUAAAAGUAUUGAUAAUUCCAAUUCCACCUAUAAAUGGAAUUGUGAAGUACACAACAAGUUAGAACGAUUGAACAUUGUUUUUUAGACUAUAUUGAUGUGGUUUGUUAAUCUGAGAAAUAUUUUUUUAGAACAACAAAUAUCCUCACAACCACAUUUCAAAGCUUUGAAUAAAGAGUUUGCAAGCUUUGUUUGGUACUUGUGUCUAGCUCUGUUCUUUCAAAUGAUAUCGUACCCCGUAAUAUAUUGCAAGAAAACCUUUUGCAUUUGCAUAAUCAACAUCUACCACAUAAUAUUUCCUAAAAACAUGUAACAAUUUAAAUAAUUUGUGAGAAAAAUAAAAUAACAGCAAGGUGAUGAUAAUAUUAAUGUAUUUAUGAAAUACAAUUUUGAUCUAUUUUCUCUCUCAAACAUCAUUCUUAGCAUUCUAGUAUUUGAGGCACAAAUCAACUUUAUAAUCCUACAAUUAUAAUAGUUUUUAUAAAUCUAAUUUGCAGUUUACUAUGUGUUCAAUAAUAAACCACCUUUUUAUAAUAUUUCGAUUGCUAUUAUUUCAUGCAAAUUAGAUAAAAGAAAUAAUAUAAAUUUUAUAAUAUAACAUUUAUAAACAAUGUUUUUAUAAAGUGUUGAAUAGCUUUUAUAAUAUAACAUUGAAAUUUUCAAAAUCAUGCACUUUUGGGUCCGAAUUAAACUGAUUUUUUUUUUUUAUAAUUUCAAAACAAUUGCAAAGAAAAUUCAUGAAAUUAAGUUGUUUUCAAAUAAUUAAUUCACAUUGGAAUUUUCAAAUAAGAUGUCACAUUAAUAAUAUUUCAAUCAUUAAAAUAUUAUAUAACACAUUUUGCCAUACAAGAAAAUAUGAAAAUACUAAAACUUAAUCCAGUUUAAUCUGCUCAAGGAAAUGACUAUCACUGAGCUAAUUCAAAUAAGCCUCUGAAAUUAGCUUAACUUCAUAAAAUUUCUUUGCAAUUUUUUGGAUAUAAAUAUAUAUAUAAAUAUAUAAAAGAAAAAGAAAACAAGUUGAUUGGAUCAUAUUAUUUUCCGUGAGAAAUUAAAAUACCAGCCAACAUGCAUGCAUUUAUUUUGUAGAAAAUUAAAACCAUAAAAAAAACAAAAAGCAAAGAUUCAACCCUUUUAUUAUAGCAUUUGUUAGGGGUGAGCAAAACUCGUUCGAUUCGAAAAAAUUAAAAAAUAUUCAAAUUUCAAGUUAAUCGAAUAAAGUGUUAAUUAAGAUAUUACAUUAAUAAUAUUUCAAUAAUUAAAAUAUUAUAUAAGACGUUUUUCCUUAUACAAGAAAAUAUGAAAAUACUAAAACUUAAUCCAGUUUAAUCAUCCUAAAGUUUCUAAUUUUGUUUAAAAGAAUUUUCAAAUAUAUAUGACUUUAAAUUUAUAUGUUCUAACAUGAAAUUCAUUAUAUUGUAGCAAGAUUUUAAUGUAAUAUGUUUAAUUUUUUAAUUUAACUCAAACAAUUUCACUCGAUUCGGCUCGGCUCGAAUUUUAUUUCACUCGACUCAAUUUGGAAAAAGUUCCAAAUUGAGUUAAGAUGAUAAAAUGAGACUCGUUAACUCGAUUAACUCGAAAUUAUUUUACUCGAUUUGAUCCAACACUCACCCCUAGCAAUUGCAUCAUUGAUACUUACAAAACAUAAAAAUGUAUACUCAUCUUUUCUAAUCAAUAUGCAGGCACGAAAUGGAAAUUUCCAUGAAAAAGAAGUAUCGCGUAUGAAAAAGUAAGUUCCAUGACAUCGGCUGAAGCAAUAACAACAAUUGCAAAAAGACAUUGACUCCUAUAGAAAUCCAUCAGUUUGGAAACUAUAACGUAUUUGCUACGACUGGGGGUUUUUUGGUGUGUCACCCGUUAGGCUUUCAAUUAUGUUGGUAAUAAAUAUAAUCUAUUUCAAUUAAAAAAAAUAGUAGAAUUUAGUAAUUUAUUAUGAACCCAAAUUAUUGGCAAAGUUAAAAUUAAUUUUUUUUCGACAAAAAUUUUUGGUGUGUAGUAUUUAUGUGUAAUCCAAUCUUCUCAUCAUAUUUUCCGAAUAAGCUAAAAGGUAUGGCAUGGUGUCUACCUUUGCUCAUCCAUGUCAGACUUGCAACUCCUUGUAUUCACCUUGAUUGUCGGCCUUCACUAAGGACUUAUAGUUAUACAAGUCAAGAGCAAAAAGAUAUGUCCCCUAAUAUCACUUUGGGUGAUGAGUCCUUUCUGAACCAUUCCAUCACCUUCGUAUGUCAUACCAUACCUAAAACAUUCUACUUUCAACAUCUAUCAAUGCGAAUCCAUUUGGUGAUGAAUCAAAGUAUGACGGUCAACAUACAAGUUUGUGUCUUUAAGUCUAAGGAUCAUUUACACUACCAAUACAUGGGAGUAUUUCUAUAAACAUUUGAGUGAAAUACCAAAUGGAACUCUCAUAAUAGGCCAAGUUAUAUUUUAUAAUUUUUUCGAACUUUUUAAAAUCAUUAAUAUUUUAUUUUUUAUAUUUGUAAUACAAUAAUUUUUAUAAUUUUUUUAUAACUUUUACAUUUUUAAAAAUAUUUUAAUAACUUGAACAUCAAUAUAUACUUCCACACGGCAUGUCACAUGUCAACUUGCCAUAGCUUCCGUCAACUAAUCAACAACCAAUAUUGAUAAAAUCAGUCAACAACAAUUUUCGUUAUUGAAAAGAGCCAAUUGAUUUUUUUCCAUUGAAUCCUCAAUUGGGUCUGUUUUUCUAUUAUGAGCUUAAUUAAUUUUUUAACUUUUUAUUAAGUUGUUUUUCCUUUAACCUUAUAUUAAUAUUCAUUACUUUAUUAAAAAAACUUACUUUUAGGUAAUUUUUCCAACCAAAAUGAUAUCAAAUUAACUCGUAACAUAAAUUCAAUAAAAUAUAUUAUAUAAACAUAUACAUAAAUUCAUUAAAACCUGUCAAUAGUGAAAACACCAUUAAUUUGUCUGAAGUCUCUACUUUUGGGAUCUUAAUGGGGGAGAAAAUUUUUAGAUAGAAACUGAAUACGAUAUAUAAAGUAAAUGCCACGUUAAAAGCUCAGUUCUUUGGAAAAUAAAUUCCAUCACGACUGAACCAAAAAUUCCCUUGUGUCAUAAUCUUUUGUGGAAAAUUAGGCACAUAAUGGAAAAGUAUAUCCACAAAAUGAUAGAAAAAGGCUUUGGGCCACAAUUAAAUCAACAUCUUUAAAUUGUUAAAUCAAAUUAAAGAUGGAAUCGUCGUUGUCAUGGGAUCCACACGGGGUGUACGUAUAAUGAAUUUCCCAUGUUUUUUGCAUGAAACUUUUGAUUCAAUGAGAAAGGAAAUAUUUUCAAAAUCAUGCAGCUUCGGAUUCUAAUUAAGCUUAUUUUUUUCCAAGCAAUUGCAAAGAUUUGUUUCGACAACAAAUAAUAAUCGGAUAAAAGUGUAAUUAUUAAAUAGUAAUUACAAAAGAUUUAUAAUUACAAAAUUAGAUCGUAAUUUUCUAUAUCAUAUUUCGUAGUACAAAUUGUAAAUUAUAAUUUAUAAUUACAUAGGUACUUAAUAUAUUUUAAAAAAAAUAUUAAUUACUAUAAUAAAUAAUCAGUAAAAUUAAAAAAUUUCUAAACAAGUAACAAAAAUUAAAAUAAAAUCAUCAUAUUUAAUAUGUUAGUCCAAGAAAAUAAUCGAUAAUACGAUUACUAAUAAAAAUAACAAGAAAAAUGAUUUAUAAAUAAGUAUAUUAUUUUCUAUAACAUAUAGUAUGGACACAUAAGUAAGUUAUAUUUAAAUUUUUUGACCAUAACUUUUUUAUAAAUAAGUAUGUAGUACACUUUUUAUAAAACAUAAAUUAUUUUUAUAAUAUACUUUUGGCUAUAACUUUAGAAACUUUUUAGGAUUUAAAUAAUAUAAUUCUUGUCAUAAUUUUAUAAAAUAUUAAAAAUAUAUAAUGUAAUUUUUUAGGACUUAUAAUAUGAUUUUAGAAAUUUUUAUUCAUAAUCAUCCCAAACACGCAUGCGUAUUUAUGUUUAUAAAAUAAUUUUUUUAACUUAAAUUUGUAAAAAAAAUAUUUUUUAAAGUUAAAUUAUGUAUGAAUUUUCAGUGAGAAAUUAAAUAUCGGGAAACAUGCGUUGAUGAAAAUUAAAAUCAGGAGGUAUCAUAAUUAUCAAGAAAUAUGGACCAUAGGAAGAGCAAAGAUUCAAUCCUAUAAUAUAGUAUUCGCAUUAUUGAUACUAACAACAUAGAAAUUUCCAUGAAAAAGAAAGCAUUGCGCAUGAUGAAUUAAGUUCCAUGACAAGGACUGAAGCAAUGACGACAACUGGCCCCUACAACUAUUGCAACAAGACCUUGAAUCCUUUGAUGAGUUCCUUUAAAUUCCUCAGUUUGGAAACCAUAACAUAUAUGCUACCACUAAAUCCUUACCAGAUUAAACAAUGGCCUCAUCCUUAACCAUUUCUGUUAUUCCAGGGGUACUGUGGGCUACCAUCCUUUCUUUUGCUACAACUGUGACAGCAGCAUAUCCAUCGCCAUUGGAGUCCGAAGCCAUAGCUCUGCUAGAAAGCAGGUGGUGGAGUAACCAUAGCAGCAAUACUUCACAAUGUUGCCAGUGGCCUGGUAUAACCUGCAACACUGCUGAAAGCAUCACCCAAAUUAACUUAUCUGAUGCGCCCAACAUUGAGGUUGGAGCUAGAUUUGGGAAACUGAAUUUCUCUUCAUUUCCAAAUCUUGUCCUUCUUAAUCUUAGUGAUCAUCAACUUAGAGGAAAAAUCCCGCAUCAGAUAGGUGAUCUAUCAGCAUUGAAGUACCUUGACUUGUCUUAUUGUGGUUUAUCUGGUGAGUUACCUCCUUCUCUAGGGAAGCUGACCCAAUUAGAAUUCCUCGACAUUUCCUAUAAUGAUAAUAUUAAUGGUUCCAUCCCUCCACAAUUGGGGAAUCUAGAGAACCUUGUGACUUUAAACUUAAGUCAAUGUGGAAUUGUUGGUCCAAUCCCUUCUGCUUUGGGUCAAUUAACCAGUCUCCAAUCUCUGAUCCUUUGGGGGAACCAAAUCAAUGGAUCUAUCCCAUUAGAAAUUGGAUAUUUGAGAAAUUUGACUUAUUUGAGUCUCUCCAACAAUAGAAUUGUUGGUCCAAUCCCUUCUGCUUUGGGUCAAUUAACCAGUCUCCAAUCUCUGAUCCUUUGGGGGAACCAAAUCAAUGGAUCUAUCCCAUUCGAAAUUGGAUAUUUGAGAAAUUUGACUUAUUUGAGUCUCUCCAAGAAUAGAAUUGUUGGUCGAAUCCCUUCUGCUUUGGGUCAAUUAACCAGUCUCCAAUCUCUGAUCCUUUCGGGGAACCAAAUCAAUGGAUCUAUCCCAUUAGAAAUUGGAUAUUUGAGAAAUUUGACUGAUUUGAGUCUCUCCAGCAAUGGAAUUGUUGGUCCAAUCCCUUCUGCUUUGGGUCAAUUAACCAGUCUCCAAUAUCUGCUCCUUUCGGGGAACCAAAUCAAUGGAUCUAUCCCAUUAGAAAUUGGAUAUUUGAGAAAUUUGACUUAUUUGAGUCUCUACAACAAUAGACUUGUCGAUUCAAUACCCAUUACUCUGUACCAAUUAACCAAUUUGGAAAUUUUGGACGUUGAUAAUAACCAACUUCAAGGUUCUAUUCCCCAAGAAAUUUGUAAUCUAGCAAAUUUAACUUCAUUGUACCUCUCCCAAAACAAAUUGACUGGUUCAAUCCCUUCUUGUGUUGGUAGUUUAUCAAAGAUGCUGUACUUAAGCCUUGGUUCUAAUCUAUUAAAAGGUCCUAUUCCCCAAGAAAUUUGUAAUCUAGCAAAUUUGACUUCAUUGUACCUCUCCCAAAACAAAUUGACUGGUUCAAUCCCUUCUUGUAUUGGUAGUUUAUCAAAGAUGCUGGACUUAAGCCUUGGUUCUAAUCUAUUAAAAGGUUCUAUCCCAAAAGAAAUUGGCAAGCUUUUUGAUCUAUCAUAUCUAAACCUUAGCUUCAACCAACUCUCAGGUCCUAUCCCUAUCUUGUCUGCCACUAAGCUUCGCAUUAUCGAUGCUGGAAAUGGUUGUAACAAGAUUUCUCCCGAUCCAUUUGAAGGCAAUAGUGAUUUAUCACCCUAUAUGUGUCCUACUCCACUAACCAAAAUAGCCAACAGCAGCAGAAUUCCUUACUAUAUCAAAACAUUCCUCCCUAUUGCGAUCUUAUUCACAUUCUCCAUUUUAGGAUGUUUGCUAUUUUCACGGUUUAAGCUCAAGAAUAACCAUGUCAGCGUACAACCAACCAAGAAUGGGGAUUUGUGUUCCAUAUGGAACUAUGAUGGAAAGAUAGCAUACGAGGAUAUCGUUGCAGCAACAGAGGAUUUCGACUUCCGAUACUGUAUUGGAGUUGGUGGUUAUGGUAGUGUUUACAAAGCAAAACUCCCUUGUGGUAAAGUAGUUGCUUUGAAGAAACUUCAUCAUUUAGAAGCCGAAAAUCCAACUUUUGACAAGAGUUUCAGGAACGAGAUCAAGUUUCUAUCAGAAAUACGACAUCGAAACAUAGUGAAGCUUCACGGGUUUUGUCUACACCGACGAUCCAUGUUUUUGAUCUAUGAAUACAUGGAAAAAGGGAGUUUGUUCUGCAACCUAAGGGAUGAAGUGAACGCUGUGGACAUGGAUUGGACGAAAAGAGUAGAGAUCAUCAAAGGCAUAGCACAUGCUUUGUCUUACUUGCACCAUGAUUGCUGCCCUCCGAUAGUUCAUCGAGACAUAUCAAGUAACAAUGUUCUUUUAAACUCAAGUUUUGAGGCCUUUGUGGCCGACUUUGGAACAGCUAGAAUGUUGGAUCUUGAUUCAUCUUAUCAGACCAUUAUUGUCGGAACUUGUGGCUACGUAGCUCCAGGUGGCGUUUUCUUUUUUACUUGAUUUACUGACCUUUUCUCUGAACAUAUAGUUGAAUUUCUUCUUACUAAUUUGUGUAGGUAGAACUUGCUUAUACAAUGAUUGUCACCGAAAAAUGCGAUGUUUAUAGUUUUGGAGUGAUAGCACUGGAAACAUUAAUGGGAAAGCAUCCUGAAGAAGUGUUAUCAUGGUUGUCAUCACCAACUUCUUUGGUAAACAUGAAGCUGGUUGAUGUGUUAGACAACCGUUUACCACUUCCAACAAGUCAACUAGUUACACAAAAUCUUGUUCAUGUUGAUACACUGGCAUUCGCUUGCUUAAAUCCACAAACGAAGUCCCGACCAACAAUGAAGGAAGUGUCUGAAUGGUUCCUUUCUCGCCAUACAUCCUUGGGAAUUCCUCUUUGGAUGAUCUCUUUGUUACAACUCAUGAACCGUGAAAUGCAUAUUAAAGGCAAAACUAAAACUUGUGAUGUUUAAAGUCCAUGCGCUUGUUGAUUAGAUAUUGUUUAUCAUGCUCUGAUAAUUUGUUUGUAAACCAUCUCUGGUUUUAUAUAUGAUGGAAUGAAUUGCAAUGUUUAAUAAACCCGUUUAUUCGGUUGCUUUAGAAGACAUAAAUUCUACAAUUUGAUCCAAAUAUUAAGACAUCAUCGCUGGCUGCUUCCUUGAAUUUUGUGCUUCUUUCAAACCAACUCAAAGAUAAAUAACAUAAAAGUAAAUUAAGGGUGAAUCAAAGCAACAAAAUGCAAUCAAUACAUACAUCAAGAAUUCACCUCAGCUAUCUAUAAUUCAUGAAACAAUCUCUCAACUUAUAAAAUGUAAGUGAGACUCCACAGACCUGAUAUCCAAACUCAAAAGCAAUAAAAGGCGUCAUCAGAACCCUGGCAAGUGAAGACGACAAUCUUUUCAAGCAAGGUAGCGAUACAACUUCCUGUCACCUUUAUCCCUCUCCAGGAACUCCCGCUCAAUAAGGGACUCGAUCCGUUUCUUAAUUACAACGGGGUUGGGCAGAAACCGUGACUGUAGCUGUUUUGUGACCUCAGCAACAAUGUUGUUAUGAUCCAGCACACGCCUAGCUUUCAUGAUCCUCACGAUUGCUGCCUCAAUUUGCGGUUUUCGAUCUUCCUCCACUCUCUGCCUAGUUUCUUGAUUUUCAGGUUCCGACUCCCUUUGCGCAGCCACAGUGCCUAUCUUGACCUUGAAGAACUUGCUUGUAUACUUGUCAUUGAAAAGAAAGGUAUCAGUGUCUACUAUGUCCUUGCUCAUAGGUUCUUUCCGAAGCACAUUUUUUCCCUUAACACAGGCAAGAGACUGCAAGCACCUUUUCAAGUCAAAGGUAGGAAUCUCGGUCACCUGCUCAAUCUCCUUAUAGCUUAGUCGAUCAGCAUCGUUGAAGAGCAUAAGGACACACAUCUGGUAUGUGGAAACAUUCAGUUCAUGCUUCUGUCCCUUACCAAAGGUUGCCUUCAAAUCAGCUGUCCCCAUGUUAGUUUGCCAAGACAAUCUCCGUCCGGUAUGGGUACCUAGGUAAUAAUUACGGAAUUUCUCACAUAUUCCCAGAAUUUCAGCAGGAAGUUUGCAUGUAGUAAUAGGUUGAGUUGGCCAAGAUCCAGUUGUCAGAACCUGGACAGAAAGCAUGGGACCAUCCCCUAUAUCCGAACCAUGACUUGCAUGGAAACCUUGCAUCGUAUCUUGUGAUGUCUUCAUAUCUGUGAACAUACCCUCCAACUUUGAGGUGAAUUGAUACCCACACUCUGUUUUGAGCUUAACAAUCAAACUUCUUUCAGCAUCAUCAGAGACGGACUUCCCUGAAAGAAGCCUUUUGGCCAAGUGUUGUUUGUAGUACUUCUCGAAAACAUCUUUCUCUUGAAGGUAACGGAAGAGCAUCAUCACCUUGUCGAGUAACAAUUCCACAUCCUCUUCAGUAACCCCCCUCAAACCUUUUCGAAGCUUAUCAUCAACAAACAAAGAGAUGAACUCUGGAGACCGAGAAUUCAGAUUGAUGAAAUAUUCAAACGAGGAAUUUAAUGCAUUUUGAAAAGUCUUGUCAUUUCUAAAUGCUGAAGUGAUAAUCUUGUCGUAUUUGUCCUUUAAAUCCAACAGAUGUUGCACAAAAUCGACAGGAUCCUUCAGCCUUUCGGGAUCAGUGAGUAACUGCUUACCAGUAUCACGAAUGUAUGAAGUCAUGACAUCUCUGAUUAAAACAAGCCCAUUGGAUACUCGACGAAACAAGUAAUACAUCCUUCCUAAGUCCUCAUAUUUUUCAUCGACAAUCAUAUUAAUCAACCCCGAGUUCUCCAUUUGCACAAGCCUGUGCAUAUGACUUUCAAUCAUCUCCGUUUCUACCACAUUUGUUAUCUUGACUUCACUUCUGGUGUCCAAGUAAUGUGAGACUCUCUCUAUUUCUUCAUUUAGGCGUCUCUCGGCUUUCUUUAGAUACUCCCCACAAUCACAUUACAGUCAUCUUCUAACCCACAAUCAUUUGUGCUAUGAGCUUUUGGGCACUAUUCCGGAUAAAAUGGACGGAGGCAAGAUCGAGAUGGGCUAGUUGCGAGACACACUCCUGGAUCCGGAUGAAGAUUCAACCGAAAUAGAAAGAAUCCGAUAUGCUCGGGCAUACAUUCUUCAGUUAAUUGGAGGUUAUCUAAUGAUAGACUUGUCACGGAGCCGCGUACAUCUAAUAUGGCUGCUGAAACUCGUUGAUUUUAGAGCAGCUGGUGAAUUCAGUUGGGGGUCUACCGUCUUGGCCACAUUAUAUCGGGAGAUGUGCGGGGCGACGUGACCGAGGAGAGUAAAAAUCAGAGGUUGCCUGUCACUACUGCAAUCAUGGGCACGGUUUCGCUUUCCAUUUUUAUGUCCUCGAGUGGACCACCCAUAUACAUUCCCAUUCAUAACGAGGUAAAUUUUAUAUUAGAUUUUACAAUUAUUAUGUAGAUAUUUAAAAAUAAAAGUAUGCUAAAAGUUUAUUUAAUUAGGUGGAACCAUCCGGCAAGUCAUGCUCGAUUACCUACCGAACUUGAAAAUAUACGGCUUCUAUUAGACCAACAGUCGGAAGCACAUGUAAGUAUUAAAUAAAAUUGAUAUUUCCAUCAUUCGCUAGUCGAUUGGUAAAUAGUAUUUAGUAUUUAGUAUUUAGUAUUUAGUAUUAUGUAUAUAACUAAUAUUUCUAUAAUGUUCACAUAGUUUCAAUGGACACCAUACGAGGAUCCGGCAAUUUGGGCAAUAAUUCCGGAUGAGUUCUUACAAAAUCGAAACGCUUGGCACGUGAAAGUCGUGUUGAUCAACUACACGACCAUGGAGCCACACCAGUCAGACAGAGUGCUACGACAGUUUGGAUGUAGACAACUAAUUCCCGUGGAACCUGAGGUGUUUGACGAUCAACACAAAAUCGACCUUCGGCAAUUGAAUACGGAUUGGCCAAGAUACUGGUUCGAGUACAUGGAAAUGUGGGAAGAUCGGUAUGAAUACAUACCUACUCUGGAACCAAUCAUCGUUCCGGAGUUAGUGUGGGUGCUGGAAUACAUGUCAUGGUUUAGGAUUCAUGGCAAGCUGUAUUUACUGACGCCAGAGGAGAGGCAGCGGCAAUUACGUGUCCAAAGGGAAAGGCGCAGGCCUCAAAAUCCAAGACGACAAGACGACGACGCUAGCCCCUCAACGAGGCCUAGACAUUCACCCGGCCCAUCAUCAGAGGUCAUGCAAUCACUAGGCCCAACGAGAGUACCGACACAGUCACCUGACCCAGCAGUCCAACCGAUGAUACCCACGCAACCGCUUUUUCAGAUGAUGCCAGGUGCGUUUCCUAGCCUUUUUAUAUAUCCUAACCCUUAUAUGUAUCCUUUUCCGAGUCCUAAGGCAGGUUGGAGCCAAUGGCCCGGUUCAGCUCCGUUUCCUGUUACGCCGAGUGGACCGCCGAUGUAUAGGUCAGCAGCACACGAGGGAUCGCAAGAGGGGCCGUCGAGGAGCUCUUCUUUUUACCAAUCCCCACCACCGUAUGAGUUUCAAACACCGUCACCGUUGGUGAUGCAAAAACCUCCACAUUCACUAUUCUUUGAAGGUGGAUCAUCGUCCCAACUCCGACAACCAGAUACCCUACCAGAAGAACCAGAAUCCCCGCCACAGGAACCACAACCGCCACCGGAAGCUGGACAAAGGAGGCAUCCAGCGCGUAACCAUCGACGGCCGCCAUGUGGCACUGAAUCCAGCGGGCACAGACAUUGAUUUUUGUAUUUAAAUUUAUUUGUACAAAUAUUUUGAAUAUUUUGAUACUAUUUGAUGUAAUAAAAUAGAAAUUGUUUUGAGUUAUUACUUAAAACCCUAAACUAAUUUCUUAAAAAUUUAUAAAUCUAUAAUUUAUAAUUUAAUUGACAAACCUUAAACCCCAAAACUAAAAACCCUAACCCUAAUCAUAACCCUUAACUUAAAAACUCUAACCUUUAAAUUAAAAACACUAAACCCUAAACCUAAAAACCAUAAACCCUUAAGCUAAAAACCUAACCUUAGACCCUAACCAUUAACCUAAAACACUAACCUUAAACCCUAAACUCAUAAACCUAAAUACCCUAACCCUAAACCCUAAACCCUUAACCUAAAAACCUUAACCAUUAACCUAAGAACCCUAAACCCUUAACCUAAAAACCCUAACCCUCAACCUAAAAACCUUAAACCCUUAACCUAAAAACCCUACACACUAAACUUAAAACCCUAAACCCUUAACCUAAAAAUCCUAACCCUUAACAUAAAAACCUUAAACCCUUAACCAAAAAACCCUAUACACUAAACUUAAAACCCUAAACCUUAAAUCUAAAAACCCUAACCCUUAACCUAAAUUUCAUAAACCCUUAACCUAAAAACCCUAACCCUGAACCUAAAUUCUAUAAACCCUUAAUCUAAAAACCCUAACCCUAAACCUUAACCUAAAAACCUUAACCCUCAACCUAAAAACCCUAACCCUUAACCUAAAAACCCUAAAUGCUUAACCUAAAAACCCUAACCCUCAACCUAAAAACCCUAAACCCUUAACAUAAAAACUCUACACACUAAACUUAAAACCUUAAACCCUUAACCUAAAAACUCUAACCCUUAACCUAAAAACCUUCAACCCUUAAACUAAAAACCCUAACCCUCAACCUAAAAACCUUAAACCCUUAACCUAAAUUCCAUAAACCCUUAACCUAAAAACCCUAACCCUUAACCUAAAUUCCAUAAACCCUUAACCUAAAAACCCUAACCCUCAACCUAAAUACCCUAAACCCUUAACAUAAAAACCCUAACAUAAAGGCUUAAAAACUAUCCUUGUCCCUUAACUUAAAUAUAAUUUGAUAAUUUUACUAACCAUUAAUACAAUUAUCAGUUAAUAACUUUACAUUCACGUAAUGUUAGAUUUGGAAAAAUGUUUUGACUAGUACUAACAAUUAAUAAUUUUAUAUAAUUUUAUAAUUUUUCUAACAAUUAAUACAAUUAUCAAUUAAUAAUUGAAAAAAUAUAAUUAGCAGCAAUUACAUUCAACUAUUGCGAUUAGGGCAUGAUCGACUUGUAUGGCCUAGAUUCCUACACCAUCCGCACAACUUUUGUUGACUGGCUGUUUCUCGGAUAGCCAUAUUGUUGCGUAUUCUAGUCGAGCAAGGUCGACCCCUUGGUUUGCGACGCAAUUUUCUAUCCAGUAACAGCUUAAAAUGAGCAAGAGAUACGGGCAGCCACUUACGUUCAUCUGGGGCCAGUGGGAAAACGUGUCUCUAGAUGUUGUACAUGUUUUCUAAUUUGUACACUUCGUCCACAUAGCUCAUCGGAUCCAGACGGAGAUUCUGACAAGAUACAAUAACAUGAGAGCAUGGAUAACAAAGUGCAUCAAAACUCUCACGGUCGCAAGUCCUAUUUCGCAAGUCUACAUGAUAUUGCCCACCAACAACACUUUGGAGCGGUCUAUCAAACUCUGUCACGCGAAACAAUAAGUUGUCUCAAUCGUGACACACGGUGUGCAUGGUGUUUGCCCGCGCCUUGGCCUUGUGAAUUUCUUAAACUACCUUGCUGCACCAUACAUGGCCUCUCUGCAUCUGGCCUGCAUAACUUGCUGCUCGCUUUGGAAAUAGUGCCACCAAACGAAAAUAUGUCUCUCGCACAACUGAUGUUAUCUGUAGAUGACGCAUUUUUUUAAGAACAGAAUUUAUGCAUUCAGCCAAGUUUGACGUCAUAUGGCCAUAUCGUAGGCCGUCGUCGUAUGCUUGUGCCCACUAUUUGAAACGUAUGUUAAAAGGUAGUACGCCCCUCCUUUGUUAAUUGAACGUAAAAUUGCCAACAUCUCGUGAAAACGGUCUUUAUUUAUUUCAUACCCUACCAAUAUAAGUUCAUAGAGAAUAUUACAUGCCACUUAUACUAAUAAAACUAAUUCAAAUUGACAAACGAAAAACACAAAUAUAGACUAAAUACACAUGUUGGUCACUUGUCGUCAUUCGUUCUUAGAUGGAUAUUGACUGUAGUAGUUGGGAGCAACGUGUCUUAGGCAAUAUCGAUGGUGCGUGCGCUGCCAUAAGCUUCCCUCUCGAUCAAAUGCAACUAGUAUAUCGGUGCCCCGAUCUAAAAUAACACAGAUAUCAGGUUGGGGGCACACAUGCCUCCUUAACCUAGAGAGAAAGAAAUCUCAAUCAUCAGAUGACUCCCCCGGUGUUAUUGCAAAUGCAAUUGGAAGAAUUCUCCCACCGCCAUCCUGUGCCACUGCAAGCAAUAGCCGAUGAGUAUACCUACCAAACAUAAAGGUACCGUCAAUUUGUACCAAUGGCUUACAGUAUGGAAAUGCGUCUCGGCAUUGCUUAAAGGUCCAAAACAGGUGUUUGAACACUCGGCAUCCACGUAGCAAUCGGCCGUUGUAGUACGCAUGUUCCGUUUGAAGGUCUAUGAUGGCACCUGGGACGUACCUCUCUAGCACUUGACACCACUGCCAUAUUUUAUUAUAUGAGGCAUCCCACCCACUAUGCAUCUUCUCCAAUUCCUUUUGCUUAGCUAUCCAAGCCUUGCGGUAAGACGGCGUGUACCCUAUUUGGCUACAGAUAUUGGCAAUUAACACCGGCACUGAAGUCUUGGGAUCUGCUUUUACCGUGGGCAGUAUCAAGCUAGCUAACAUAGCUAAAUCCAUCUUGGGAUGAUCUUGUAAAACACCUAUAAUUGGAGUACAUUAAAUAAUGCAACAUUACAUAAUAAAAGUAUUAUUCAGAAACCGUCAAUAUUGUACCUACAGCACAUGUAUGUGGACCUUUGUACUUUUUAAUCUCCCACAACCCUGUCCUUUUCCUUAACGAGGCGUAGGUUUUCCAUGAACAUGUGCCGUCUUGUACCGCAUACUUCACCUCAAACUUAUCAAAUUUCAAUUUAACGACGUGGUAGUUAACGUCGUUUUUGAUGCUAUGUUGUUUCAAAGCACCAAUAAAACUAUCCUUGUUGGUAAACUGAUUGCCAACUUUAAAUUCACCCGAAUCUAGCCCCGAACUUGUACGAUCACGCAACAGGUGUGGUAGAUCUGGAAACUCUAACGUAUCAUCUGCAGACAGAUCGACAUUAUGUAUGUGGGCUAGAGGUGAGUAUACUCUGAAUCAUGGAUUUUCUUCUUCAAUUGAACUCCUUUCAGCAUCUUCAUGUUCUGUUGGAAUAGGCUCCGGUUCAGAAAAUAAGCCAACUUCUGCACCAUCGGGCCCGAGCUCUCGAGGUGGAUCCACAUUACAGUCAUCUUCUAACCCACAAUCAUCUGCAGCGUACGAGGUCCCCUCACCGGUUGACGUCGUAGGGUGUACAUCAUCCCUUCUUCUGGGCAUUUCAUAACGUCCCCAAUUGGAUGUAGAUUGCCACCCACUAGAACUUGAUGUCGUUCCCUAAUACGUAUUUCUAGCAUCAAACGUCGAGCCACUGACGUACAUAUCCCAUCCACCAACAGAGUGUCUUGCAGGGGAUGUGCAUUCGACACCACUAUCAAAUAUGGGCUAUUCUGUGUUUUGUAACCUGCUAACCCAGUGUCAACUAGUGGUCAUGUAUACAUCUCGAACACCAGUCGCAAGUACAUCAUUUGGCGGUGUAAAUUGUACAUAUAACUCAAUAUAAGGUGCUCCACUAGCAAAAUGAGUCUGCACAAUUGCCUCCAAGUUACGAGCACCUUUUAUGUCGAACGAGUCAUAUGUCACCGGAUCAACAGAAGAACAAAAUCAACACGUGAUAGACAGAACUUUCAUUGGUGUCGUUCCAAAAAUUUUACGCCUAAUUCUUUUACGAAGUUUUGUCAAAUCUAUGUUCUGGUUAAAAACCAGUCGCACCGUAUUCUCCGAUAAAAAAACAACACCAUUCUCGGUAUGGCAAACCUCACCAUCGUAGUAAAUAACAGCACUAAUAUGUUCACUCAUAUUUGAAACUCUAACCUUCUUAGCCUCUCUAAAUUGUUUCUGCUGUGACUUAUGCAUUUUGAGAACAUUUUUUGCCUCAUUUAUAGCCUCAGCCCAAACAUGCUAUUGUAGCAAAAGCGCAUCCACGUGGGCACGAUUUCAUAAAUUCUUCUCAUAAAGCUUUUUUUUGGUAAAUUUAAAAAAAUAGGCUUUUUUUGGUAAAUUGCCCUCAAUUGGGUGCAAAAAGUUCGUAGGGGCUUAAUUGAUUUUUUUCGAAAAAGUUCGACGAUCAAAAAUACCUUUAAGCCCUACUUUAACUAUUGAUAUGUCUUUUUUAAUUAAUUUUACAUUCGUGCAUAGUAUAGGCACACAAUGUACGAGGUGUUUCCACGUAUACAUGUAAAGUGCAUUUUGAUGCCACGAAGGAAUUAGAUAAAAAUGUGAUUGUUAAGUUAGUAAUGUCACCUUCUAGUAAUUGAAAAGAAUUAGAUGCAUUUAGCUAGUAGAGUGUAAUUAUAUUGUAAUUCUUUGUGCCUUGUUUAGUAAUAUAAAUUGUAAUUACACAUUUACAAAUUUUAAAUUGUUUAAAAAGUAUUAAUUAAUAUAAAUAUUUAUCAAUAAUAUCUGAGAAAAAAUUUUAAACAAGUGACAUAAAUUAAAAUCAAAUCAUGUUAUGUUAGUCCAAGAAAAUAACCGACAACAUGAUUACCGAUAAAAAAAAAUAAAAAUAAACAUUAUAUGCAACUUUAUUAUUGCUUUAGCAUUCCAUGUUUGUUGGGUUAUUCCUUUUCUAACAUUUAACAUCUACUUCUUAUCAUCAUCUAUUAGUUCUUGACCAAUUUCUUCAUUGUUGAUACAAGGUACAACAAUGGAGGGGAGUAAGGAGGAGGUAAGGUGGAGUGAGUGGUGGUUUUGUGGAGGCCGGUUCACUUAAAGAGGUGGAGAGCCGAAAAGGAACAAGAGGAUAGGCUGAUUGCUGAAAGUGGAGAUGGCUGCUCAGAGUAACUUUAAGGAUUGGAAAAUCGAUCCAUUCUUCAUCGUUGGAAAGGUAUUUAUAAGAGAGGUCCACUUGUCCAUUAGCAUGACAUGGCAGGAUAAAUGUUCAGUCCCACCAAAUGUGUAAAGGAUAUUCAUGAACAUAAAGGAUAUUCAUGAUGGGCCCCAUUAUGUUAUUCAUUUGAUCAAUACAAGGUUGUUAUGCCCAUGCAAGUCCUAAUGGACUCAAGGAUGUGUUCACACCAAAAAAGGGGGUGCCAAGCCUUUCUAAAGGGUUGGUGCUCCUUUGAUCUUAGUGGAUGGUCCAGUGAGACAUCUUCUUAGGAAAACUCAAUGAGAGGGUUAAUGUUGUCUAUACUAUUGACACGUGUCCAUGUGGCGGGGAUAUAACAUUCAUCAUCUACAUCAAAAUCUGAAUAUGCAUCAUUAAGAUUAUUGAAAUCAUUUUUUUAUUUGUAUCAUUAAGAUUAUCAAGAUCUUUUUUUUUUCAUGUACUAUUUAAAAGUAUUGAUAAUUCCAAUUCCACCUAUAAAUGGAAUUGUGAAGUAUACAACAAGUUAGAACGAUUGAACAUUGUUUUUUGGACUAUAUUGAUGUGGUUUGUUAAUAUGAGAAAUAUUUUUUUAGAACAACAAAUAUCCUCUCAACCACAUUUCAAAGCUUUGAAUAAAGAGUUUGCGAGCUGUGUUUGGUACUUGUGUCUAGCUCUAUUCUUUCAAAUGAUAUCAUACCCCGUGAUAUACUGCAAAAAACCUUUUGCAUUUGCAUAAUCAAUAUCUAUCACAUAAUAUUUCCUAAAAAACAUGUAACAAUUUAAAUGAUUUGUGAGAAAAAUAAAAUAACAGCAAGGUGAUGAUAAUAUUAAUGUAUUUAUGAAGUACAAUUUUGAUCUAUUUUCUCUCUCAAACAUCAUUCUUAGCAUUCUAGUAUUUGAGGCACAAAUCAACUUUAUAAUCCUUCAAUUAUAAUAGUUUUUAUAAAUCUAAUUUGCAGUUUACUAUGUGUUCAAUAAUAAACCAACUUUAUAACCUUUUUAUAAUAUUUCGAUUGCUAUUAUUUCAUGCAAUUUAGAUAAAUAUAUAUAUAAAUUUUAUAAUAUAACAUUUAUAAACAAUGUUUUUAUAAAGUGCUGAAUAGCUUUUAUGGUGCUUAUGUUAAAGUGCUCAAAUAUGUGUCACACAAUAAUAGUAUAAAAAUUAUAACACACGAUUUAUAAGCAUAAUUUGCUAGGUUAAAAUUUGCUUUAAAAAAAUACAGGAGUUAGGUGACAUGGCAAGGGUUUCUCCUACCUUAAUCAAUAAUCGAGGGUUUGAUCCUUACUCUAGGUAUGGAGUAGUUUUAAAACUUGUGGCCAGUAUCUACCCCCUUAAUGGGCUUACAGAAUGUGAAAGAUUAGUUAUCGGGCUUGCUUAGGUAGAUAGAUUGAGAAAUCAAAAAAAAAUUACACAAAAUAUUUUGACUUAUGUGUCUAAUAGCAAAGCAAUUUUGACCCGAUAAGAUAUAUAUAAUUAUACUUAAAAAAAUAUAAAAUAUAUGUCCUAAAAUUAAAAUAUAUUAUUAUAUUAAAAUAUUUUUUGUAAAUUAAAAUAUAUUAUUAUUGCAUUAAAAUAAUUUUUGUAAACUUGUAUAAAAAAUAAUUUCUUAAAUCAUGUACAUGUGUUUAAAAAACUAUAAGGUAAUUAGUAAUUUAUUGUAAUUACUCGCGUAAUUACCCCAACUCUCAACCCCUAAAAAUUGAAUAGCAUAAUUGAGGUGCUAAAAUUACAUUCAAUUUAGUGAACCCACAAAUCACAAUGGUUUUCUAAACACGCCACACAUUUGCAAUAGCAAGUAAUUGCACUCAAAUCUAAUAUUUGCAUGAAAUAUUUGAAUUUAUAUGUCUAAUAGCAAAGCAAUUUUGACCCAAUAAGAAAUAUAUAAUUAUAUUUUAAAAAUAUAAAAUAUAUGUUCUAAAAUUAAAAUACUUUAUUAUUAUAUUAAAAUAACUUUUAUAAAUUUGUAUAAAAAAUAAUUUCUUAAAUCAUGUACGUAUGUUUGAAAAACUAUAAGGUAAUUAGUAAUUUAUUGUAAUUACUCGCAUAAUUACCCAACUCUCAACUCUCUAAAAAUUAAAUAGUAUAAUUGAGGUGCUAUAAUUACAUUUAAUUUAAUGGACCCAUCAAUAACAAUAGUUAGUCAAACAUACUAUACUUUUAUAAUAGCAAUUAAUCACACUCAAAUCUAAUAAUUAAUUUAUAUUGAAAUCUUCAAAAUCAUAUACUUUGUGGUCCAAGUUAAACUGAUUUUUUUUUUCAAAACAAUUGCAAAGAAAAUUCAUGAAAUUAAGUUGUUUUCAAAUAAUUAAUUCACAUUGGGAUUUUCAAAUAAAAUGUCACAUUAAUAAUAUUUCAAUCAUUAAAAUAUUAUGUAAGACAUUUUGCUUAUACAAGAAAUAUGAAAAAUUCUAAAAUUUAAUCCAGUUUAAUCUGCUGAAGGAAAUGACUCUAACACUGACCUAAUUCAAUUAAGCCUCUGAAAUUAGCUUAACUUCAUAAAACUUAAUCCAGUUUAGUCAUUCUAAAGUCUCUAAUUUUGUUUAAAAGAGUUUUUAAAUAUAUAAAUGAUUUUAAAUUUGUAUGUUUUAAUAUGAAAUUCAUUAUAUUGUAGUAAGAUUUAAUGUGGCAUGUUUAAAAUUUUAAUUUAACUCAAAUAAUUUCAUUUAAUUUGGCUCGACUCAAAUUUUAUUUCACUUGAUUCGAUUUGAAAAAAAAUUCAAAUUGAAUUAGAAUGAUAAAAUGAGACUCGUCAACUCGAAAUUAUUUUACUCGAUUCGAUCCAACACUCACCCUUAGUAAUUGCAUCAUUGAUACUAAUAACAACAUAAAAAAUGUAUACUUAUCUUUUCUAAUCAAUAUGCAGGCACGAAAUGGAAAUUUCCAUGAGAAAGAAGUAUAUCGCGUAUGAAAAAGUAAGUUCCAUGACAUCGGCUGAAGCAAUAACAACAAAUGCAAAAAGACAUUGACUCCUAUGGAAAUCCAUCAGUUUGGAAACUAUAACGUAUAUGCUACGACUCGGUGUUUUUUGGUGUGUCACCCGUUAGACUUUCAAUUAUGUUGGUAAUAAAUAUAAUCUAUUUCAAUUAAAAAAAUGAGUAGAAUUUAGUAAUUCAUUAUGACCCAAAUUAUUGGUGAAGUUAAAAUUAAAAUUUUUUCGACAAAAACUUUCAGUACUUAGUACUUAUGUGUAAUUCAAAUCUUUCCAUUAUAUAUCCCAAAUAAGUUAAAAGGCAUGGCGUGGUGUCUACCUUUGCUUAUCCAUGUCAGACUUGCAAUUCUUUAUAUUAACCUUAAUUAUCGGCCUUCAUAAAAAGAUGUGUAAUUAUACAAGUCAAGAGCAAAAAAGAUAUGUUCUCUCAUAUCACUUGGAGUGAUGAGUCCUUUCUGAACCACUCCAUCACCUUCGUAUGUCAUACCAUAUUUAAAACAUUACUUUAAGCACCUAUCAAUGUGAAUCCAUUUGGUGAUGAAUCAAAGUAUGACGGUUAACACAUAAGGAGAGUUUGUGUAAGUCUAAAGAUUGUUUACACUACCAAUACAUGAGACUAUUUCUAUAGGCAUUUGAGUGAAAUACCAAAUGGAACUAUCAUAGCAGGUCAAGUUAUAUUUUAUAAUUUUUUCGAAACUUUUUAAAAAUUAUUCACAUUUUAUUUUUUAUAUUUGUAAUAAAUUUUAUAAUUUUUAUAACUUUUACAUUUUUAAAAUAUUCUAAUAACUUGACAAGCAACAUCAACAUACUUCCACAUGGCAUGUCACAUGUCAACUUGUCAUAGCUUCCGCCAACCACAUCAACAACCAAUAUUGAUAAAAUCAGUCAACAACCGUUUUCGUUAGCGAAAGGAGCCAAUUGAUUUUUUUCUCAUUGAAUGCUCGAUUGGGUCAAUUUUUUUAUUAUGAACUUGAUUGAUUUUUAACUUUUUACUAAGGUGUUUUUUACACUUUAACCUUAUAUUAAUAUUCAUUAUUUUAUUAAAAAACUUAUUUCUAAGUAAUUUUUCCGACCGAAUUGAUAUCGGAUUAACUCCAAUAAAAUAUAUUAUAUAAACAUAUUAAAAUAUAUCAAUAAAGAAAACACCAUUAAUUUGUUUGAAGUCUCGACUUUUUGAGUCUUAAUGGGUGAGAAAUUUCUUAUAUAGAAACUGAAGACGAUAUAUAAAGUAAAUGCCACAUUAAAAGCCCAAUUCUUUGGAAAAUAAAUUCCAUCACGACUGAACCAAAAAUUAAAAUAAAAUCUAUCAUAUUUAAUAUAUUAGUCCAAGAAAAUAAUCGAUAAUAUGAUUACUAAUAAAAAUAACAAGAAAAAUGAUUUAUGUUAGGUUAUAACAAUAUUUUUUUUUUUUUGAACAAUGAGAUUUUGACCUAGACUAUUCCUUGAAAAGGUGAAUACUCGACUAAUAGGCCACAACUUAAAAUUUUUUAAAUUAUAACCAUUUUUAUAAUACAUGAAUUAGGUUUAAAAUAGUAUAAAAUUUAUAAUAUAUACCAACUAUAUAAAAAAUUAUUUAUAAGGUGUCCAAUAACUUCCAAAACACUUCUUAUAAAUAAUAAAUAUUUUUAUCUUAAAAAGUUUUUUUUUUUAAAUAAGUCAUGGAAAAAAAUUAUAAUUGUUUUAUAAAUAAGUAUAUUUUUUUGUAUAACAUAUAGUAUGGACACAUAAAUAAGUUAUAUUUAAAUUUUUUGACCAUAACUUUUUUUUUUAUAAAUAAGUAUUUGCAUAAUAUAGUAUUUGCAUAAUAUAAUGUUUGCAUUAUUGAUACUAACAACAUAGAAAUUUCCAUGAAAAAGGCCUUGAAUCCUUUGAUGAAUUAAGUUCCAUGACAAGGACUGAAGCAAUGACGACAGCUGGCCCCUGCAACUAUUGCAACAAGACCUUGAAUCCUUUGAUGAGUUCCUUUAAAUUCAUCAGUUUGGAAACCAUAACAUAUAUGCUACCACUAAAUCCUUACCAGAUUAAACAUGGCCCCAUCCUUAACCAUUUCUGUUAUUCUAGGGGUACUGUGGGCCACCAUCCUUCUUUCCUUUGCUACAACUGUGACAGCAGCAUAUCCAUCGCCAUUGGAGUCCGAAGCCAUAGCUCUGCUAGAAAGCAGGUGGUGGAGUAACCAUAGCAGCAAUACUUCACAACGUUGCCAGUGGCCUGGUAUAACCUGCAACACUGCUGAAAGCAUCACCCAAAUUAACUUAUCUGAUGCGCCCAACAUUGAGGUUGGAGAUAGAUUUGGGAAACUGAAUUUCUCUUCAUUUCCAAAUCUUGUCCUUCUUGAUCUUAGUGAUCAUCAACUUAGAGGAAAAAUCCCGCAUCAGAUAGGUGAUCUAUCAGCAUUGAAGUACCUUGACUUGUCCAAUUGUGGUUUAUCUGGUGAGUUACCUCCUUCUCUAGGGAAGCUGACCCAAUUAGAAUUCCUCGACAUGUCCUAUAAUGGUAAUAUUAAUGGUUCCAUCCCUCCACAAUUGGGGAACCUAAAGAACCUCGUGACUUUAAACUUAAGGCAAUGUGGAAUUGUUGGUCCAAUCCCUUCUGCUUUGGGUCAAUUAAUCAAUCUCCAAUCUCUGAUCCUUUCGGGGAACCAAAUCAAUGGAUCUAUCCCAUUAGAAAUUGGAUAUUUGAGAAAUUUGACUUAUUUGAGUCUCUCCAACAAUAGAAUUGUUGGUCCAAUCCCUUCUGCUUUAGGUCAAUUAACCAGUCUCCAAUCUCUGAUCCUUUGGGGGAACCAAAUCAAUGGAUCUAUCCCAUUAGAAAUUGGAUAUUUGAGAAAUUUGACUUGUUUGGAUCUCUACAACAGUAGACUUGUCGAUUCAAUACCAAUUACUCUGUACCAAUUAACCAAUUUGGAAAUUUUGUACCUUGAUAAUAACCAACUUCAAGGUUCAAUCCCUUCUUGUGUUGGUAGUUUAUCAAAGAUGCAGUACUUAAGCCUUGAUUCUAAUCUAUUAAAAGGUCCUAUUCCCCAAGAAAUUUGUAAUCUAGCAAAUUUAACUUCAUUGUACCUCUCCCAAAACAAAUUGACAGGUUCAAUCCCUUCUUGUAUUGGUAGCUUAUCAAAGAUGCAGUACUUAUGACUUGAUUCUAAUCUAUUAAAAGGUCCUAUUCCCCAAGAAAUUUGUAAUCUAGCAAAUUUAACUUCAUUGUACCUCUCCCAAAACAAAUUGACUGGUUCAAUCCCUUCUUGUAUUGGUAGUUUAUCAAAGAUGCAGUACUCAAGCCUUACUUCUAAUCUAUUAAAAGGUCCUAUUCCCCAAGAAAUUUGUGAUCUAGCAAAUUUAACUUCGUUGUACCUCUCCCAAAAUAAAUUGACUGGUUCAAUCCCUUCUUGUAUUGGUAGUUUAUCAAAGUUGCAGUACUUAAGCCUUGCUUCUAAUCUAUUAAAAGGUUCUAUCCCAAAAGAAAUUGGCAAGCUUUUUGAUCUAUCAAAUCUAAACCUUAGCUUCAACCAACUCUCAGGUCCUAUCCCUAUCUUGUCUGCUACUCAUCUCUACAUUGUCGACGCUGGAAAUGGUUGUCAAAAGAUUUUUCCCGAUCCAUUUGAAGGCAAUAGUGAUUUAUCACCCUAUAUGUGUCCUACUCCAGUUACCAAAAAAGCCAACAGCAGCAGAAUUCCUUACCAUUUCAAAAUAUUCCUCCCUAUUGCGAUCUUAUUCACAAUCUCCAUUUUAGGAUGUUUGCUAUUUUCACGGUUUAAGCUCAAGAAUAACCAUGUCAACGUACAACCAACCAAGAAUGGGGAUUUGUGUUCCAUAUGGAACUAUGAUGGAAAGAUAGCAUACGAGGAUAUCGUUGCAGCAACAGAGGAUUUCGACUUCCGAUACUGUAUUGGAGUUGGUGGUUAUGGUAGUGUUUACAAAGCAGAACUCCCUUGUGGUAAAGUAGUUGCUUUGAAGAAACUUCAUCAUUUAGAAGCCGAAAAUCCAACUUUUGACAGGAGUUUCAGGAACGAGAUCAAGUUUCUAUCAGAAAUACGACAUCGAAACAUUGUGAAGCUUCACGGGUUUUGUCUACACCGACGAUCCAUGUUUUUGAUCUAUGAAUACAUGGAAAAAGGGAGUUUGUUCUGCAACCUAAGGGAUGAAGUGAAUGCUGUGGAAAUGGAUUGGACGAAAAGAGUAGAGAUCAUCAAAGGCAUAGCACAUGCUUUGUCUUACUUGCACCAUGAUUGCUGCCCUCCGAUAGUUCAUCGAGACAUAUCAAGUAACAAUGUUCUUUUAAACUCAAGUUUUGAGGCCUUUGUGGCCGACUUUGGAACAGCUAGAAUGUUGGAUCUUGAUUCAUCUUAUCGGACCAUUAUUGUCGGAACUUGUGGCUGCGUAGCUCCAGGUGGCGUUUUCUUUUUUUACUUGAUUUACUGACCUUUUCUCUGAACAUAUAAUUGAAUUUCUUCUUACUAAUUUGUGUAUGUAGAACUUGCUUAUACAAUGAUUGUCACCGAAAAAUGCGAUGUUUAUAGUUUUGGAGUGGUAGCACUGGAAAUAUUGAUGGGAAAGCAUCCUGAAGAAAUGUUAUCAUGGUUGUCAUCACCAACUUCUUUGGUAAACAUGAAGCUGAUUGAUGUGUUAGACAACCGUUUACCACUUCCAACAAGCCAACUAGUUACACAAAAUCUUGUUCAUGUUGCUACACUGGCUUUCGCUUGCUUAAAUCCACAACCGAAGUCCAGACCAACAAUGAAGGAAGUGUGUGAAGAGUUCCUUUCUCGCCAUACAUCCUUGGGAAUUCCUCUUCGGAUGAUCUCUUUGUUACAACUCAUGAACCGUGAAAUGCAUAUUGGAGGCAAAACUAAAACUUGUGGUGUUUGAAGUCCAUGCGCUUUUUGAUUAGAUACUGUUUAUCAUACUCUGAUAACUUGUUUGUAAACCAUCUCUGGUUUUAUAUAUGAUGGAAUGAAUUGCAAUGUUUAAUAAACCUGUUUAUUCGGUUGCUUUAGAAGACAUAAAUUCUGCAAUUUGAUCCAAAUAUUAAGACAUCAUCGCUGGCUGCUUCCUUGAAUUUUGUGCUUCUUUCAAACCAACUCAAAGAUAAAUAACAUAAAAGUAAAUUAAGGGUGAAUUUAUCAACCACUGCACAAGUAGUGUGUAUUUCUUUUGUUAUGCAUAUAAGCACAACUCCUCAUAUAUGAAUUAUCUACCAAAUACUCACGAAAGGCUUUUCAGAAAAUAGUAGUUAGUAAAGCCAUCCAGGAGGGAAUAUGCUACUAACGUGGAACGGGCAAAAUUACAUGGUAAAUAUGUCUUCAUGAGACUGCUGUAUUUCUUUAAGAACCAAAAGCACCAUAAGUGAAGGCAAAAUAGUUUAUUGUCUCAACUCUUUAUAUCCCCAUACCUCAUUGUGCAAUGAAUAAAGUACAUCAAGCAGGGAUUUGUCCCUGGCCAUAAAUAUAUCGCACUGGUCUUUGCUUUAUACAAAUUUCUUGAAACACAACUCUGAAAUUUUAAUAUUUGGAACCCCUAAGCUACCUGAAAUAACUGCAAGUUACCAUGACUAAAGUGCAUACAUACAUAUAUGAAAGUUUCUCAAGCAAUGAUAAGAUAAUUAAUUGCUAAAAAUCUUUAUUGAUUUUGUGGAGAGACAAUCAGACAAGUCAUGUCAGAUUAAUGAUGGGACAAAAAGGUUUUCUGGACUUUUAAAAGUUAUGAAUGCAUCUAUCAGGCUCAAGCAUUUCCAACAUCUAAUUUAUGGCUUACAUCUCAAAGCAAUGAAUGCAAAGCAUCAGGCUUAAAGAUCAUAAUAUGCACAAAAAAUGUAGUGGCCCUACAAGGUUUGCAUCAUGUCAUGCAUGCAUAGAUACAUUACAUUACUACAAGCAAAUUUACAGCUUUAUUGGUCUACAACACGGUAGCAUAAUUAGAAACUAUCAAACAUGUCGGAGCGUGCAUGUCUGAAUCUACAAAGGCAAAAAUAUACAGGUUUCUUCUCACUGCAGUAUAGUAUAAACAAACUUCUAUUGCCUGUAAAGGAUGGAAGAUGCUAACUCAAGCCUUACAACAGUGCAUACAUCACAAGAUGCAUGCGAGCCAAUGGUGCUUCAAGAGACAUGAAAAUUUACACAGUUAGAAUCUUCACGUUUACCCCGAAAAUUCAGACUUCAAACAAUAGAAAAUGGUAGACGAACUAGCUUUUAUAGUGUCAAACAUGCUGCAUUACAACAAAAUAUUCAGAUUGUUCUUCUCCGGUAAAACAAAAGGUUAACAUUUAGGGAUUAAAACAAACGGAAAAUGAAAAAAUAAUUGGAAACAGACUAUUAAACAAAAUAAUUUCCAAUAUAUAUAUGCUAAAUAAAAACCCAAAAUGGCAAUCGGUCUUGAAUCCCAAUCACUUAACAAUUCAAGAAACAAAUUCCAAUUCCAAAAAAUCCCAGUCUCUUAACAAAACAAAAACCAAAUAUACCAAAUACCCUUUCCCUUACACACAAAAGCUAAUUCAAGAGAUUACCAAAAAAAACACUAAUUCAAGAACCAAGCUUGAAAAACAACCAAAACCCCCAAUUAAAAUCUUGGUCAGCUUACCCUGAAAAAUCACAUAGAAAGAGAAAAAGAGAAACUCACAUGUGGCCAUGGAGAAAGCAACGAAUUUACAGAGUAACCAAAAUACAAUAACUUUGAAGAACAAAAAUAAUCAGGGAAAUAACAAAAGAGAAAAGCAAUAAGUUAAACCCCAUGAAGGAAAUUCCAACUGCUCAUUUACAGAGUAAUCAAAAUAAAAUAUAGUGAUAUAACUUGAUAGGAUUGGAAAGCUAGAUUUUGAAGUUUCUUCAAAAUGCAGACUUGGUAAGGACGACGAGAUAACAAGACUCGGAUUCGGAGAUGAGGCCAACGAAUAGAGAUGAGGAGGAGAGGCGGAGGCUGAUGGACAAAGAGGAAGGAGAACGACUGUUGUGAUGAGAGUGGAGGAAAAUGGAAAAUGUCUUACCGAAAUAAAAUUGGUAAGAAGUUUUCCAUAAAAGGCCGUUUCAUUUACCCUUGGUUUAGAAAAUGUUUUCUGAAGUAAUUUAUUUUUCAUCAAACAAAUACAGUAAAAUAAAAAAAAAUAUUUUACGGAAAAUAUUUUACUAAUAAAUAAACAGAGCCUAAGUAUUGCAUUGCAAAAGAUAUAAUAUCACCCAUAUCAACAAUAUAAACGGACAGACAUAUUAAAAUUUAAAUUUAAAUUCAUAAAAAUUUAUGUACUUAUAUUCAUGCAUUUAUUCAAACACAAGAAAGAUAUAUAAAUUUACAAGAACCAACACGAUGUCAAAUCAAUAUAAUUCCUUCCUUCAAUACAAACAUCGUGUGACAUCAACCAACAUAAAGAAGAUAACAAAAAGUAUGGCCUAGUUUCAGCACUCUUUUAAGGCAGUUACUAAAAGUUGUUUUCAACCAAGUUAAAAAGCAUAUCAAGAAAUCAAGUUAAGGAGGACUUCGAAUGAAAGUUGACAAGAAAUUUUGCAGAGAUGGAUGUACUAUCCACGAUCCGUUCUAACAAUUUGAUCUUUAGUCUUACCUUCUAUUAUAAGAAUGAGUAGCCUUUGUUUCUGGCAAUUUUUGAUUGGUUCCAAUACUCACUAAUAAGAAAGAUUUUUAUUUUCUGAAUACGUAUAUAACCUGAAUCCAUUCUAUAUCAACAACAACGAUAAUACACAUGAUGGAGUGAUAGAUUACAAGUUUCCAUACAAGAUUUCACACAUACAAUAAAAGAAAAAUAAGUGAAUUAAUUCCAUCUAAAAUGAAAUUAAAGAAAGCCAAAACUAAUGCAGUAGAACAGAUAAUUGAGAAUGUAGAAUUUUCUUAUAUUAGUUCCAUCUGUUUAAAAAAAAAAAGAUUGCAAGGUAAAUCAGUAGUAAGAAAGAAAAAUAUGGAAUACCCACAAAGGGAUUGCGAACAAACAAGCCGAUUUAGAUCAAAAAAAUCAGAUUGAGAAACCAAUUAUUCAAGAACCGUGAAAGAACUGGAAAAUAUAAUGGUUAGGAACAAAAACGAUUACCCUCUUUUUAUUUGUCAACAACCACUUGAUUUUAAGUCUUUGAACAUAAAUUUAUCGACAAAGAAGACAUACUUGGACCCUCCAUUGAAUCCAUCUUUUGUUUUUCUAUGUUGAAUAAAAAAUUCAAUCGAAACACACAAUCUGAUUUCUACUAUUUUGAUUCAAUACAGAUCAUAAUAGUUUUUUCAGUCAAAUGAAAAAGAAAACUAUUUUUCCUAUUUUAUGGAAAAUUAUCCUUUUUUGUAUAAUUAUAGGUGUUUCAUCUAUUUUAUGGUCCUUACAGUGCUGACACGACCGUUAACAACAUUAACGUGGCGCUUUAUGUCAGCAAUAGUUAGCUACAAUGUCAGCAAAAAUAAAAAAAAUAAAAAUUAAAAGGAAUAUUUAAAUUUAUUUUACUAGAAUGAACCUAAACAUAUAGUUGUCCAAGUUCAUUCGUUUCAAAACUUAAAUUUUUUUUAAAUUUAAAAAAAUUAAGUUUUUUAUAAAUGUGUACAACACUAUUAAAAUUUAAUAAAAAUAUUUAAAACUUAAGUCCCUAAUGAAUAUGUCCAAAUUCAUUCAAGAUUAGUUUCAAAUAUACUAAAAUUAAUUUUCUUUAAAAAUUGAUAUGUGUGUCAAUAUUUUUCUAUUGCUACCUCUUAGGAUGAAUAAUAUAUAUAUAUAUAUAUAUCAAUUUAAAGAAUUUAAAUUUUAUUAAUCAUACUUCUAAAGAUUUUUUAAAUGUAUGAAUAUAUCCAAUUAAAACAGUGUAUCUAUUAUUUCAUUACAUGUGUAGCCUAAAAGGUUUAAAAAAUUAGAUAUAUUCAUACAUUUAAAACAACUUUACACAAACAAUUAAUAAUAUUUAUUUUUAUUUAUUUUCUGAAAUAUAUUUUUUUUAAUUUUUAUACAUUCUAAAAUGUACCAAUGGAAUUAGAACAUUGAUACACGUAUCAAUUUUUUUAAAGAAGAUUAAUUUUUAAUAUUUUUUAAACUUUGUACAAUUUAGAAAAACUUGAAUGAAUUUAGACAUAGAAUUAACUUGUAAUUGGUUUUUAUUAAUUUUUAUUUUUUUAAUUUAUUUAAUAUUUUAUAAAUUUUAAUAAUAUUUUAAAAUUUUAUAAAAUUUUAAAAAACAUUAUUUUUUAAAUAUUAUUUUUAAUUUAAAAAUUUUUUAAGCUUCGAAACAAAUGAACUUGGUACUGCGACAUCAACAACUAUUCCUUUUAAAAAUUUUAAAUAUUCCAUUUAAUUUUUUUUAUUUUUGUUGACAUGGCAGUUGACGUGGUAUUGCCACAUAAGCAACUAUCGCUAACAUGAAGCACCACGUUAACGCUGUUAAUGGCCACGUCAACGUUGUAACGGUCAAUAUUAGUCAAAGGGCCUAUUUGGCCAAUUUUGUUAGUUCAUGGGCUCAAUUGGGUGCAAAAAGUUUGCAAGGGCUUAAUUGAUUUUUUUGAAAAAGUUUGAGGACCAAAAAUACCAUUAAACCCUUCUUUAACUAUUGAUAUUUCUUUUUCUAAGUAUCGGUCAACAUUAGUUAAAGGACUUAUUUUGUCAGUUUUGUUAGUUUAAGGGCUCAGUUGGGUGCAAAAAGUUUGCAGGGGCUUAAUUAUUUUUUCGAAAAAGUUCGACAAUCAAAAAUACCUUUAAGCCCUAGUUUAACUAUUGAUAUGUCUUUUUUAAUUAAUUUUGCAUUCGUGCAUAGUAUAGGCACACGAUGUAUGGGGUAUUUCCACGUAUACAUGUAAAGUGUAUUUUGAUGCCACGGCGAAAUUAGAUGAAAAUGUGAUUAUUAAGGUAGUAAUGUAACCUUCUAGUGUCACGGGCCUCAGUGCAAAGCCCGUGACCAUGGCACAAGAUGCGCCCCAUGGAGGUCUAUCAAUAAGAUGAGGAACAUUUAGCCCACAAGAGCUGGCCCGAUUCAGAUAACUAUUGGAGAAGCCUAUCAGAUUGAAGCCUGGUUGGCCCAAUGAUGAAAACAUGGCAACUUAGGCUAAUAUGGUAACUAAUCUUAGAAGAUAGAGAUAAUCAUAUCUUGUAAAGAUUAGAUUUGAUUUGAUAUAGCAUAUCUUGUAAAAUCCCUAAAAUUAAGGGAUAUGGUUAAUCUUGUCCGUCGAUGUAAAUGUAUCUUGACAGUCGAUUUUGGGGGAGCUCAACUAUAAAUAGAGAGCCUCCCCCUCAUUUGUACUCAUUCCAUUGUAUUCUGAAUUCUUAAGAGUAAUAGAGUUCUGAGAGCAUUUACUCAAACACCUUGUGUGCAUUCUUUUUUUUGGCUUUCUAUUGUUCUUUGACUUAGCUUCUUUUGGCCUAAAUCGUUUCCGCUCUUCAAUUGGUGCCUUGGAGGAGUUCUUAAGGAAUCCUCAUUUGAGUUAAGGCUGACUUAGGCGAGUUUGGACGAACGGAUCACCUAAGGCCACACGGGUUGCGAGACGAAAACUCUAGCCCCGUGACAAGUGGUAUUAGAGCAAGGUUUGAACCAAGUAAUAUCUGAGUUGUUGGUUCAAAGGCACUGUUGGGAUGUCGAAAGAAGUUGUUGGUCAGAAUGAGCCAAUGGAGACCCGAGGAAGGGCCAGAAAUGUGAGUCGAUCAAGGGACUUAUUGUCAGCUUUAGAGGAUCGAGUUGUCACUCUCGAAGAGUCCAUGGGGGACGUCAAGGAAAGGAUCGACGAUGUCGAUGAUAGACACAAUGAUGGGUUACGAACAUUACAGGAACAACUCAGGGAAUUUGUGUGGGACACUAUCGGUUCCUCUGAGAAUAAGCUGGCUGAAAAGAACGAUGCUCUCGAGGCUAUGGUGACAGCCUUGAAGGAGGAGAUCAAUGAGCUUAAGAGGGAGCUCAAGAUUUUCAAGGCUGCCAUAGGGAAUGGAAUGUUGGUUUUAAAUCUGAAGCCACAAGCAAUGGAUAUGCCCAAGCCGAAGGCGUUUAAAGGGGCAAGGUCUGCAAGUGAAGUGGACAACUUUUGUUGGGCCAUGGAGCAAUACUUUUGUGCGAUGAACAUCGAAGAUGAUGUCACAAAGGUAAACACUGUUGCUAUGUAUUUCACUGAUGUUGCUUUGUUAUGGUGGCGACGUAGGUCCACUGAUGUGAGACGUAGUGGGACCGAGAUUGGGACUUGGAAGGAGUUCCAAAGUGAAUUUAAAGUACAGUUUUACCCCGAGUAUGCCGAGGACGAAGCUCGAGCAAAGUUGCGACGGCUAAUGCAACGAGGCACGGUUAAGGAGUAUGUACAGGAGUUCAGUAAACUCAUGCUCCAAAUCUCUGAUUUGAGCGAGAAGGAAGCAUUUUUCUCCUUUACAGAUGGGCUGAAACCAUGGGCGAAGCAAGAAUUGCACCGUCGAGGAAUUUAGGAACUUACCAAUGCCAUAAUGGUAGCGGAGUCCAUAGUGGAACUUGCUCCGAGAAGGGACAGGUUUGAAUCUUCCAAGCCCAGCAGGAGGGGCAAUGGUGGGUAUCAUGAGGAGGAUGAAGAGGGACAAAGCUAUGAUGGCAACGCAAGUAGUAGCGAUGGUGAUGAUAGGAAACCACAAGUUGGGAAGAAGAAACCCAAGAGGAAAAGAGACAAGCUGAAAUGCUUUCUCUGCGACGGUCCACACAUGUUGAAGAAUGUCCAAAAAAAUCCGCGCUUAAGGAGAAGCCGGUGGGAAAGGCCUUGGUACUUGGUUCAAGUGCAAGGGGUGUCGAAGCCAAGGAGGCCGAAAGCGAGAAAAAGCCAGUGGAGUUCUUCUUGCGUCAUGGUCUGUAUAGGUUGCGGAAGUGUCCAAGGAAGUCUAUCAUCGAUGGGAAUGAUGGAGUAGACAAAGAGCCCAAGAAGCUUGGUUCGAGCAAGGGAAAAGCCGAAGCCAAGAGGGCAAAGAGGAGCAAAAAGAAGCGAGUAAAGUGCUUCUUGUGCCGUGGUUCGCAUGAGAUACAGAACUAUCCAAAGCAAGCCAGAGUAAAAAGAAAGGCAACGUCUGAACUUGGUGAGUCAUCAGAGGGACUUCCACUUAAGGAAGAGGUGAGUUUGUCAUCGGACUUAGAGGAAAGAGUUACGAUGAAAACAGUGAAGUUGGGACCAAUGAGGCUCAAGUUGAGUAAAGCGUCGGAGUUGGCCGAGUCAUCGACUAGGCUUCCACCUAUGGGAGAGGUGGGUGGUGCAUCAGACUUCAAGGGAAAAGAAGUGAUGCAUGUGGGACAGUUGACCAGAGUAAAUACGAAGGUACAUUUCGAACACUGUGAUAGUGUUUUGCAUUCUAACUUGUUGACUUGGCAAGAACGUAGGGGCCCUUUCGAAGUUCUUGAGCAGAGAGGCCGAGAGACUGUGGGUAAAGCGAAGCCAAGUGUGGUGAAUCAAGAGGAUUCUGUUCGAGCAAAGUUAGAAUGUGGACAAGAGAGUGACAUAACUUCUUGUCAUCGAGAUGCACAAACGAGUAGGACGGUUCGAGUGAAGAAGUGACGUAAGCCGAAGCAAAAGUCCCGAAAGAAGGAAAAGGCUAAGGCGUUGAGACGAGAUCGAGGCGAAUCAAGCCAGUGCCAUUCGGAAGUCGCAACAAGGACGUUGCGAGAAUGGGUGGGGGAGAAUGUCACGGGCCGCAGUGCAAAGCCCGUGACCAUGGCACAAGAUGCACCCUAUGGAGGUCUAUCGAUAAGAUGAGGAACAUUUAGCCCACGAGAGCUGGCCCGAUUCAGAGAACUAUUGGAGAAGCCUAUCAGAUUGAAGCCUGGUUGGCCCAAUGAUGAAAACAUGGCAACUUAGGCUAAUAUGGUAACUAAUCUUAGAAGAUAGAGAGAAUCAUAUCUUGUAAAGAUUAGAUUAGAUUUGAUAUAGCAUAUCUUGUAAAAUCCCUAAAAUUAAGGGAUAUGGUUAAUCUCGUCCGUCGAUGUAAAUGAAUCUUGACCGUCGGUUUUGGGGGAGCUCAACUAUAAAUAGAGAGCCUCCCCCUCAUUUGUACUCAUUCCAUUGUAUUCUGAAUUCUUAAGAGUAAUAGAGUUCUGAGAGCAUUUACUCAAACACCUUGUGUGCAUUCUUUUCUGUGGCUUUCUGUUGUUCUUUGGCGUAGCUUCUUUUGGCCUAAAUCGUUUCUGCUCUUCAAUUGGUGCCUUGGAGGAGUUCUUAAGGAAUCCUCAUUUGAGUUAAGGCUGACUUAGGCGAGUUUGGACGAACGGAUCACCUAAGGCCGCACGGGUUGCGAAACAAAAACUCUAGCCCCGUAACACUAGUAAACGUAAAGAAUUAUAAUUUUUCUAGAUGCAUUUGGCUAGUAGAGUAUAAUUAUAUUGUAAUUCUUUGUGCCUUGUUUAGUAAUAUAAAUUGUAAUUGCACAUUUACAAAUUUUAAAUUGUUUAAAAAGUAUUAAUUACUAUAAAUAGUUAUCAGUAAUACCUGAGAAAAAAUUUUAAACAAGUGACAUAAAUUAAAAUCAAAUCAUGUUCUGUUAGUCCAAGAAAGUAACCGACAACACGAUUGCCGAUAAAAAAGAACAAGAAAACUAAACAUCAUAUGCAACUUUAUUAUUGCUCUAGCAUUCCAUGUUUGUUGGGUUAUUCCUUUUCUAACAUUUAACAUAUACUUCUUAUCAUCAUCUAUUAGUUCUUGACCAAUUUCUUCAUUGUUGAUACAAGGUACAACAAUGGAGGGGAGUAAGGAGGAUGUAAGGUGGAGUGAGUGGUGGAAAAGUAUUAAUAAGAGAGGUUCUCUUGUCCAUUAGCAUGACAUGGCAGGAUAAAUGUUCAGUCCCACCAAAUGUGUAAAGGAUAUUCAUGAACAUAAAGGAUAUUCAUGAUGGGGGCACGUUAUGUUACUCAUUCGAUCAGUACAAGGUUAAUACGCCCAUGCAAGUCCUAAUGGCCUCAAGGAUUUGUUCACACCAAAAAAAAAAGGGUGCUAGCCUUUCUAAAGGGUUGGUGCUCCUUUGAUCUUAGUGGAUGGUUCAGCGAGACAUCUUCUUAGGCAGACUCAAUGAGAGGGUUAAUGUUGUCUAUACAGUUGACACGUGUCCAUGUGGCGGGGGUAUAAAAUUCAUCAUCUAAAUCAAAUUUUGAAUAUGCAUAAUUAAGAUUAUCCAGAUCAUUUUUUUUAUCUGUAUCAUUAAGACUAUCAAGAUCUAUUUUUUUUCCAUGUAUUGAUUGAAAGCAUUGAUAAUUCCAAUUCCACCUAUAAAUGGAAUUGUGAAGUAUACAACAAGUUCGAACGAUUGAACAUUGUUUUUUAGACUAUAUUGAUGUGGUUUGUUAAUAUGGGAAAUAUUUUUUUAGAACAAGAAAUAUCCUCUCAACCACAUUUCAAAGCUUUGAAUAAAGAGUUUGCGAGCCUUGUUUGGUACUUGUGUCUAGCUGUGUUCGUUCAAAUGAUAUCGUACCCCAUAAUAUACUGCAAGAAAACCUUUUGCAAUUGCAUAAUCAACAUCUACCACAUAAUAUUUCCUAAAAACAUGUAACAAUUUAAAUAAUUUGUGAGACAAAUAAAAUAACAGCAAGGUGAUGAUAAUAUUAAUGUAUUUAUGAAAUACAAUUUUGAUCUAUUUUCUCUCCCAAACAUCAUUCUUAGCAUUCUAGUAUUUGAGGCACAAAUCAACUUUAAAAUCCUUCAAUUAUAAUAGUUUUUAUAAAUCCAAUUUGCGGUUUACUAUGUGUUCAAAUAAUAAACCAAAUUAGAUAAAAUAAAUAAUAUAAAUUUUCUAAUAUAACAUUUAUAAACAAUGUUUUCUAUAAAGUGUUGAAUAGCUUUUAUGGUGCUUAUGUUAAAGUGCUCAAAUAUGUGGCCAUACAAGAAUAGUAUAAAAAUUAUAAUACAUGCUUUAUAAGCACAAUUUGUUAGGUUAAAAUUUGUUUUAUAAAACAUAGGAGUUAAGUGAGAUGAAAAGGGUUUCUCCUACCUCAAUCAGUAAUUGAGGGUUUGAUACUGUAUUGGAGUUGGUGGUUAUGGUAGUGUUUACAAAGCAAAACUCCCUUGUGGUAAAGUAGUUGCUUUGAAGAAACUUCAUCAUUUAGAAGCCGAAAAUCCAACUUUUGACAAGAGUUUCAGGAACGAGAUCAAGUUUCUAUCAGAAAUACGACAUCGAAACAUAGUGAAGCUUCACGGGUUUUGUCUACACCGACGAUCCAUGUUUUUGAUCUAUGAAUACAUGGAAAAAGGGAGUUUGUUCUGCAACCUAAGGGAUGAAGUGAACGCUGUGGACAUGGAUUGGACGAAAAGAGUAGAGAUCAUCAAAGGCAUAGCACAUGCUUUGUCUUACUUGCACCAUGAUUGCUGCCCUCCGAUAGUUCAUCGAGACAUAUCAAGUAACAAUGUUCUUUUAAACUCAAGUUUUGAGGCCUUUGUGGCCGACUUUGGAACAGCUAGAAUGUUGGAUCUUGAUUCAUCCAAUAAGACCAUUAUUGUCGGAACUUAUGGCUACGUAGCUCCAGGUGGCGUUUUCUUUUUUACUUGAUUUACUGACCUUUUCUCUGAACAUAUAGUUGAAUUUCUUCUUACUAAUUUGUGUAUGUAGAACUUGCUUAUACAAUGAUUGUCACCGAAAAAUGCGAUGUUUAUAGUUUUGGAGUGGUAGCACUGGAAACGUUAAUGGGAAAGCAUCCUGAAGAAGUGUUAUCAUGGUUGUCAUCACCAAGUUCCUUGGUAAACAUGAAGCUGGUUGAUGUGUUAGACAACCGUUUACCACUUCCAACAAGCCAACUAGUUACACAAAAUCUUGUUUAUGUUGCUACACUGGCAUUCGCUUGCUUAAAUCCACAACCGAAGCCCCGACCAACAAUGAAAGAAGUGUGUGAAGAGUUCCUUUCUCGCCAUACAUCCUUGGGAAUUCCUCUUCGGAUGAUCUCUUUGUUACAACUCAUGAACCGUGAAAUGCAUAUUGGAGGCAAAACUAAAACUUGUGAUGUUUAAAGUCCAUGAGCUUGUUGAUUAGAUAUUGUUUAUCAUGCUCUGAUAAUUUGUUUGUAAACCAUCUCUGGUUUUAUAUAUGAUGGAAUGAAUUGCAAUGUUUAAUAAACCUGUUUAUUCGGUUGCUUUAGAAGACAUAAAUUCUGCAAUUUGAUCCAAAUAUUAAGACAUCAUCGCUGGCUGCUUCCUUGAAUUUUGUGCUUCUUUCAAACCAACUCAAAGAUAAAUAACAUAAAAGUAAAUUAAGGGUGAAUCAAAGCAACAAAAUGCAAUCAAUACAUACAUCAAGAAUUCACCUCAACUAUCUAUAAUUCAUGAAACAAUCUCUCAACUUAUAAAAUGUAAGUGAGAUUCCACAGACCUGAUAUCCAAACUCAAAAGCAAUAAAAGGCGUCAUCAGAACCCUGGCAAGUGAAGACGACAUUCUUUUCAAGCAAGGUAGCGAUACAACUUCCUGUCACCUUUAUCCCUCUACAGGAACUCACAUUAGUAUACAUUUUUAUUUAACAUAUUAUAUAAAUUACACUUUAUAAAUCAAAAAAACAAAUGAAACUCUGAGUAUUACAUAUAUAAUAAUAUACUGCAUAUUUCCUAAAAAAUGAUAAUAUACCGCACAUGUUACAAUGCAUUUUCAAAAAAAAGAAAAAGAAAUGUGACCAUAAUAUAUAAUUUAUAUUACAAACAAAGGUACUCAUAUUUUAUAGUUCAUCAUUUUUAAUGUUUGGGACUGUAGUCGGCCAUCACGAUUUGGUUGGUAACAAAUGAAUAUAUUAUGGAUAAACUAUUAUAGAGUUUACAAAAUUACUGCUUUUUAGUCACUCGAUUAUAAAAAGUUAUAAAAUAGCCAUUUAAUUAUUAUUAAAUUACAUUUUUGAUUAAAUGCAAAAAGUACAUAUCUUAUGUAAUUUAAUUGGUCAAAUUAUGAGAAUGAACCAUUGAUUUUCUCCAUGUUUAUAUUAAAUUUUAUACAGGGGUGCAAUUUGGGGUCAAAAGAGAAAAAGGAGAAGCAAUUGGGCUAGAUUGAAGAAAGGAGCAAAGAAGGCGAGCCAAAACAGAAUUUUUCCAAGUUGUAAUUAGCUGAAAUUUUAUUUUGACUUAGUGGGGGAUUAUGUAGAGAUUUUGAUAUCGUAGGAAUAUGUUUUUUUCCUUGAUUUUCUAUGGCUAGUGGCCUUUAAUUUGGCAAAUUUGUUCAAAGCCACUAGUAUAAAUAGAGGGCUACUAUGUUCAUUUAAUCAUCAAGUUUUUCAAUCAAGUUUUUAAUCAAGCUUUUAUCUUUUGAAUUCAAUCUUCUUUCCUUUUUGCAAAUUUAUUUGCUGACAUUAAUUCCUUAUAUUUUUCCAUUUAUUAGUUUCCAGCUUUGGAACUACUGCACCCAAACCUUGCCUCACCCACAUACAUCCACUUACAUUUCUUUUUCAUUUAUCCAACCCUCUCCAAAUAUGCCCAACUCCAACAUGCCCCAAACCUAGUCAACUAAACCCAUUUCAGCUUUAGGUCGGUGUUAACUUCGUCUAGACCGGUGAGUUAUGAACCCGAGCAAUUUAAAUCCUGAAUUCUAGUAUUUAUUAUUUCUCUGGAUUAAGAGUAUGAUUUCAUCAACUCACAAAGUCAAAUCAACACUAAGUCAAAAAAGACGUCGUUUGAGUUAGUGUGGUUAGACGUACAAUUGGGAUUCCGAAAGGAUCGAUUGUCUAAUCAGUUUUCCGUGAACACAUUGGCGUGCCAAGUGGGGAUUCUUGUUUGGUUCCGUCAAGGGAAGUAGUAAUCGGAUUUAAAUGUCCCACGCGAUUGAGGGCAUUGGUUCGUGCUAAGCUCUUCUAGAACGCAAAGAUGUAGGAGUUCUAAAUCACGAACGUUUUGUAGGUUGUUUGAUCGGCAAUGGUUAGUUAUAGGACAUUUCAUAACUAAUUUACACAAGGAAGAGUUGGUGUCCGAGGUGUCUUUGGUAGCUAUAACUAGCUUAUUGGAAAAGAGAAGUUCAUCUAAUUUCGAGGAUCGGUUCAAAGACGGAAAAACUCAUGCCUGAAGCUGAGCUAAAUUUAAUUGAUUUUUCUUCAAAUUUACUUAACUGUUUUUAUUAUUUAAUUGUUUCCAGCUUUUACUUUUUACGCAUUUUUUCCCCUGUUUAUUUCAGGUUUCAAAUUUUAUCCCCCCAAAUUUCUUGGGCAUGACAACUUCCCAAACAUAAAUAUGGUCGAGAGAGAGAAACAAUUUUCAGUAAUCUAGUCUCUAAGGGAUUGAUCCUACUCCCUAUAUUGCUCAAAUUUGCAAAUUAGGUGUAGGAUUUUAUUGGUGGAAUCAACAACCAUCAGUUUUGGCGCCGUUCCCGGGGACUGGCAACACUCACAAUUGUUUAAAUCGUCUUCAUGACUAAAUCUUCAUCCAGAGAUCUCGAAUACGACCCAGAGAUUUGAGAAAUCAAAAUGAGCACGACGAAAAAAGACAGAAGCUCUUAAACAUGCAAGUAAAGAAAAAGUUGAGCUAGGACAAGGGAUCUUAGAAUCCGACGUCGAAAAGUUGAGCUAAGAAAUUCGGGCAGAGGCAAUUCAACGUGGGAAACAAGUCAAAGUGGUUGAACCUGAGACCGAACCACUUUUUGAAAAAAAGAAGCAGAAGACAACCUCGGUGAACCAGAAAGGAUGGAAAACCGAACCAUUCGUCAACUAGCCACAUAAGCAACUAUUCCUUUUAAAAAAUUUAAAUAUUCCUUUUAACUUUUUAUUUUUGUUGACAUGGCAGCUGACAUGGUAUUUCCACAUAAGCAACUAUCGCUAACAUGAAGCACCACGUUAGCGCCGUUAAUGGCCACGUCAAUGUUGUAACGGUCAAUAUUAGUCAAAGGGCCUAUUUGGCCAAUUUUGUUAGUUCAGGGGCUCAAUUGGGUGCAAAAAGUUCGUAGGGGCUUAAUUGAUUUUUUUUGAAAAAGUUCGAGGACCAAAAAUACCAUUAAACCCUUCUUUAACUAUUGAUAUUUCUUUUUCUAAGAAUCAGUCAACAUUAGUUAAAAGGCCUAUUUUGUCAGUUUUGUUAGAUUAAGGGCUCAGUUGGGUGCAAAAAGUCUGCAAGGGCUUAAUUGAUUUUUUUGAAAAAGUUCAACGAUCAAAAAUACCUUUAAGCCCUACUUUAACUAUUGAUAUGUCUUUUUUAAUUAAUUUUACAUUAGUGCAUAGUACAGGCACACUAUGUACGAGGUGUUUCCACAUAUACAUGUGAAGUGUAUUUUGAUACCACGGAGGAAUUAGAUGAAAAUGUGACUAUUAAGGUAGUAGUGUCACCUUCUAGUAAUUGCAAAGAAUUAUAAUUUUUUAGAUGCAUUUGGCUAGUAGAGUGUAAUUAUAUUGUAAUUCUUUGUGCCUUGUUUAGUAAUAUAAAUUGUAAUUACACAUUUACAAAUUUUAAAUUUUUUAAAAAGUAUUAAUUACUAUAAAUAGUUAUCAAUAAUACUUGAGAAAAAAUUUUAAAUAGGUGACAUAAAUUAAAAUCAAAUCAUGUUAUGUUAGUCCAAAAAAGUAACCGACAACACGAUUAUAUGCAACUUUAUUAUUGCUCUAGCAUUCCAUGUUUGUUGGGUUAUUCUUUUUCUAACAUUUAACAUAUACUUCUUAUCAUCAUCUAUUUGUUCUUGACCAAUUUCUUCAUUGUUGAUACAAGGUACAACAAUGGAGGGGAGUAAGGAGGAGAUAAGGUGGAGUGAGUGGUGGUUUUGUGGAGGCCAGUUCACUUAAAGAGGCAGAGAGCUAGAAAGGAAUAAGAGGACAAGCUGAUUGCUGAAAGAAAAGAUGGUUGUUCAGAGUAACUUUAAGGGUUGGAAAAUCGAUCCAUUCUUCAUCGUUGGAAAGGUAUUUAUAAAAGAGGCCCUCUUGUCCAUUAGCAUGAUGUGGCAAGAUAAAUGCUCAGCCCCACCAAAUGUGUAUAUUCACGAACAUGAAGGAUAUUCAUGAUGGGCCCUAUUCUAUUAUCCAUUCGAUCAGUACAAUGUUGUUACGCUCAUGCAAGUCCUAAUGGCCUCAAGGAUGUGUUCACACCAAAAAAAGGGGUGCCUAACCUUUCUAAAGGGUUGGUGCUCCUUUGAUCUUAGUGGAUGGUCCGGCGAGACAUCUUCUCAGGCAGACUCAAUGAGUGGGUUAAUGUUGUCUAUACUGUUGACACGUGUCCAUGUGGCGGGGGUAUAACAUUCAUCAUCUAAAUCAAAAUCUGAAUAUGCAUCAUUAAGAUUAUCUAGAUCAUUUUUUUAUCUGUAUCAUUAAGAUUAUCAAUAUCUGCUUUUUUUUUCAUGUACUGUUUAAAAGUAUUGAUAAUUCCAAUUCCACCUAUAAAUGGAAUUGUGAAAUAUACAACAAGUUAGAACGAUUGAACAUUGUUUUUCAGACUAUAUUGAUGUGGUUUGUUAAUAUGGGAAAUAUUUUUUUAGAACAACAAAUAUCCUCUCAACCACAUUUCAAAACUUUGAAUAAAGAGUUUACGAGCCGUGUUUGGUACUUGUGUCUAGCUCUGUUCUUUCAAAUGAUAUUGUACCCCGUGAUAUACUGUAAAAAAACCUUUUGCAUUUGCAUAAUCAACAUCUACCGCAUAAUAUUUCCUAAAAAACAUGUAACAAUUUAAAUAAUUUGUGAGAAAAAUAAAAUAACAGCAAGGUGAUGAUAAUAUUAAUGUAUUUAUGAAAUACAAUUUUGAUCUAUUUUCUCUCCCAAACAUCAUUCUUAGCAUUCUAGUAUUUGAGGCACAAAUCAACUUUAUAAUCCUUCAAUUAUAAUAGUUUUUAUAAAUCCAAUUUGCAGUUUACUAUGUGUUCAAAUAAUAAACCAAAUUAGAUAAAAGAAAUAAUAUAAAUUUUAUAAUAUAAUUGUUAUACCUAAUUUUAGCUCGGGCUCACAUAUGGAAACAUAUUUUUUGAGGAUAUGCAAUCUUAUAUAUGAUAUGCAAUCCUAGAUAUGAUAUAUGCAAUCUUAGAUAUGAUAUGCAAUCUUAGAUAUGAUGUAUAAUCUUAGAUAUGAUAUGCAAUCUUAGAAGAUAUGAUUUUGAAAUCUUAGAGAUACCCUUUAAUCUCAGCCGUUGAUGUAAUUGAUCUGUACCGUUGGAUUUGGGGAGGCUCAACUAUAAAUAGAGGCCUCUCCCUUCAUUGCAUGAGGAGAAAAAAAGAGGAAAGGGAGGAAUAAAAAAAGAGAACGAUUGACAGUUUUUUAAAGGUGGCUUACUAUUUUUUUCGUUUGAUUAUUUUGUACUUAUUUACAAUUUUAAAAAAGGAGAAGGUGAUACCACUACGAAUUUUAUUUAUUUAUUUUUUAUUUAGCCCCUCCGCCUUUUAAUGUCUUUAUAAUUAGGUUUUUUUUAUUUUUUUAAAAAUUUUGCCCUUUAAUUUAUUUUAAUUUCAAUUUAACCCUUCUUGAACGACACCGUUUUAGAGGAGAAGGGAAAAUUUCCCUUCCAGCCCCUUUAUGUAAUUCGCGUAUUCAAUUUAGUCCUCCAGACUUUAUUUAUUUGCGAAAUUACCCCAUAUUUUUUAUUUGUAAUCCAAUUUAGCCUUUUUUUCAUAUUUUCUUCAAAAAUCAAUAUUUUUUUGAUGAUGCAAUUGUUCUUAUCUUAUAAUUCUUAUCUGUAAUUAUUAUUAUAUUGUAUAUAUGUUUUUUAAAAAAACAUGUAGUUAUGCCUUUUUUUAAUUAGUAUUUUUUUCGCGUACUUAUAUAUAUAUAUAUACUUGUUUUAUUUAUUUAAUUAUCUUUGAUAUUAUUUAUUUCAAACCUAUGUAUUUUUAUGUGCACUUGUAUGUAUUUUUUGUUAUUUAUUUUAAUUAUUCGCUUAUUAAUUUAUGUUUGCAUAUUUUCUGCUCAUUUAUUUAAUAUCUUUUGCAUGUCAUUAUUUAUAUUCAAUUGUUUGUAUUAUUUCCAUGCUAUUAUUGUACUUGUUAUCAUUGUUAUUAUGACAUUUGCGCAUAUAAAAUAAUGUUACAUUAUUUUUUAGAAAAAACUCAAAUUUAAAAAUAUAAUUUUCAAAAUUGAGAUAAUACUCGUAUUUAGGAUUGCUCAAGGAAAUUGAGCCCUAACGUAUUGGGUUCCGAUUUUUUUGAAAAUCUAACAAUCGAGGAUUGCUCUUUAAACCAACUAAAAACUCAUUAUUGGGAAUUCAACACGUUGUGUCCUAACGUAUUGGAUGUGACGCAUUGAUUUCUCGAUGUAGAUUUUUUAAAAAUCAUAAAGGAAAUAUUCCGAGUUUGGGAUUUUUAAAGGAAUCGUGCCCUAACAUAUUGGGUGUGAUUUCUUAAAUCUUGGAUAAGUGGAUGUUCUUUUAAAGUAAAGGAAAUAUUCCGAGUUUGGGAUUCUAAAGGGAUCGUACCCUAACGUAUUGGGUGUGAUUUCUUAAAUCUUGGAUAAGUGGAUGUUCUUUUCAAGUUUUAUUGUACAAGUAUUUUGGCCCAAUUCAUUUUUGGGGGAAAAUUAGAAUGCUGUGCCCUAACGCAUUAGGUGUGGUAUCUUCUUUCUCUGAAAUAAAAAGGGUCUUAAUACGUAGCCUUUUAAGUUUUGCUAAGGAUUACGUUUUUCCAAAUUCUCGACCUUAAGAUACUAAUUAAUUAACCAGGUACAAAUUUUGGGCGUUACGAGGGUGUUAAUCCUUCCUCGAACGUAACUGACACCCGGAUCCGUUUUUCUAAAACUUGUAGACCAAAGCCGUUUUUUAGGUGAUCCAAUCACACCUCAAUAAAAGAUUGGUGGCGACUCCCAAAUUUUCAUUUUUUUUAAAGUCGACAACCUAAAAUUUUUGUUUUUCAAAAAAAUAGUUUCGACAAUAACAUUUAUAAACAAUGUUUUCUAUAAAGUGUUGAAUAGCUUUUACGGUGCUUAUGUUAAAGUGCUCAAAUAUGUGGCCAUACAAGAAUAGUAUAAAAAUUAUAAUACAUGCUUUAUAAGCGCAAUUGGUUAGGUUAAAAUUUGCUUUAUAAAACACAGGAGUUGAGUGAGAUGAAAAGGGUUUCCUACCUUAAUCAGUAAUCGAGGGUUUAAUCCUCGCCUAAGUAUGGAGUAGCUUUAAAACUUGUGGCCAGCAUCUACCCCCUUAAUGGGCCUACAAAAUGCGAAGGAUUAGUUACCGGGCGCGCUUCGGUAGAUACAUUGAGGAAUCAAAAAAAAAAAUUACACCAAAUAUUUUGACUUAUGUGUCUAAUAACAAAGCAGUUUUGACCCGAUAAGAAAUAUAUAAUUUUAUUUUAAAAAAUAUAUAAAAUAUAUGUCAUAAAAUUAAAAUUUUUUAUUAUUAUUGUAUUAAAAUAAAUUUUAUAAACUUCUAUAAAAAAUAAUUUCUUAAAUCAUGUACGUGUGUUUGAAAGACUAUAAGAUAAUUAGUAAUUGAUUGUAAUUACUCACGUAAUUACCUCAACUCUCAACUCCCUAAGAAUUGAAUAGUAUAAUUGAGGUGCUAUUAUAUUCAAUUUAGUGGACCCAACAAUUACAAUAGUUAGCCAAACAUACUAUUCCUUUGUACUUGCAAGUAAUUACACUUAAAUCUAAUAAUUAAUUCACAUUAAAUUUUUCAAAAUCAUACACUUUGGGGUCGAAAUUAAACUGAUUUUUUUUUAGUUUCCAAACAAUUGCAAAGAAAAUUCAUGAAAUUAAGUUGUUUUCAAAUAAUUAAUUCACAUUGGAAUUUUCAAAUAAGAUAUCACAUUACUAAUACUUCAAUCAUUAAAAUAUUAUAUAAGACAUUUUGCCUUAUACAGCAAAAUAUGAAAAUACUAAAACUUAAUCCAGUUUAAUCAUUCUAAAGUUUCUAAUUUUGUUUAAAAGUAUUUUCAAAUAUAUAUGAUUUUAAAUUUGUAUAUUUUAACAUGAAAUUCAUUAUAUUGUAGUAAGAUUUUAAUGUAAUAUGUUUAAUUUUUUUAAUUUAAUUCAAACAAUUUCACUCGAUUCAGCUCGACUCGAAUUUUAUUUCACUCAACUCAAUUUGAAAAAAAAAUUCUAAAUUGAAUUAAGAUGAUAAAAUAAGACUUGUCAACUCGAUUAACUCAAAAUUAUUUUACUCAAUCACCGCUAGCAAUUGCAUCCUUGAUACUAAUAACAACAUAAAAAUGUAUACUCAUCUUUUCAAAUUAAUAUGCAGCCACGAAAUGGAAAUUUCCAUGAAAAAAAAACUAUUGCAUAUGAAAAAGUAAGUUCCAUGACAUCGACUGAAGCAAUAACAACAAUUGCAAAAAGACAUUGACUCCUAUAGAAAUCCAUCAGUUUGGAAACUAUAACGUAUAUGCUACAACUGGGUUUUUUUCGUGUGUCACCCGUUAGGAUUUGAAUUAUGUUGGUAAUAAAUAUAAUCUAUUUUAAUUAAAAAAUGAGUAGAAUUUAGUAAUUUAUUAUGACCCAAAUUAUUGGUAAAGUUAAAAUUAAUUUUUUUUCGAACAAAAACUUUCGGUGCUCAGUACUUAUGUGUAAUUCAAUCUUCUCAUCAUAUAUUCCGAAUAAGCUAAAAGGUAUGGCAUGGUGUCUACCUUUGCUCAUCCAUGUCAGACUUGCAACUCCUUGUAUUCACCUUGAUUGUCGGCCUUCACUAAGGACUUAUAGUUAUACAAGUCAAGAGCAAAAAGAUAUGUCCCCUAAUAUCACUUUGGGUGAUGAGUCCUUUCUGAACCAUUCCAUCACCUUCAUAUGUCAUACCAUACCUAAAACAUUCUACUUUCAACAUCUAUCAAUGCGAAUCCAUUUGGUGAUGAAUCAAAGUAUGACGGUCAACAUACAAGUUUGUGUCUUAAGUCUAAGGAUCAUUUACACUACCAAUACAUGGGAGUAUUUCUAUAAACAUUUGAGUGAAAUACCAAAUGGAACUCUCAUAAUAGGCCAAGUUAUAUUUUAUAAUUUUUUCGAACUUUUUAAAAUCAUUAAUAUUUUAUUUUUUAUAUUUGUAAUACAAUAAUUUUAUAAUUUUUUUAUAACUUUUACAUUUUAAAAAUAUUUUAAUAACUUGAACAUCAAUAUAUACUUCCACACGGCAUGUCACAUGUCAACUUGCCAUAGCUUCCGUCAACUAAUCAACAACCAAUAUUGAUAAAAUCAGUCAACAACAAUUUUCGUUAUUGAAAAGAGCCAAUUGAUUUUUUUCCAUUGAAUCCUCAAUUGGGUCUGUUUUUCUAUUAUGAGCUUAAUUAAUUUUUAACUUUUUAUUAAGUUGUUUUUCCUUUAACCUUAUAUUAAUAUUCAUUACUUUAUUAAAAAAAACUUACUUUUAGGUAAUUUUUCCAACCAAAAUGAUAUCAAAUUAACUCGUAACAUAAAUUCAAUAAAAUAUAUUAUAUAAACAUAUACAUAAAUUCAUUAAAACCUGUCAAUAGUGAAAACACCAUUAAUUUGUCUGAAGUCUCUACUUUUGGGAUCUUAAUGGGGGAGAAAAUUUUUAGAUAGAAACUGAAUACGAUAUAUAAAGUAAAUGCCACGUUAAAAGCUCAGUUCUUUGGAAAAUAAAUUCCAUCACGACUGAACCAAAAAUUCCCUUGUGUCAUAAUCUUUUGUGGAAAAUUAGGCACAUAAUGGAAAAGUAUAUCCACAAAAUGAUAGAAAAAGGCUUUGGGCCACAAUUAAAUCAACAUCUUUAAAUUGUUAAAUCAAAUUAAAGAUGGAAUCGUCGUUGUCAUGGGAUCCACACGGGGUGUACGUAUAAUGAAUUUCCCAUGUUUUUUGCAUGAAACUUUUGAUUCAAUGAGAAAGGAAAUAUUUUCAAAAUCAUGCAGCUUCGGAUUCUAAUUAAGCUUAUUUUUUUCCAAGCAAUUGCAAAGAUUUGUUUCGACAACAAAUAAUAAUCGGAUAAAAGUGUAAUUAUUAAAUAGUAAUUACAAAAGAUUUAUAAUUACAAAAUUAGAUCGUAAUUUUCUAUAUCAUAUUUCGUAGUACAAAUUGUAAAUUAUAAUUAUAAUUACAUAGUUACUUAAUAUAUUUUUUUAAAAUAUUAAUUACUAUAAUAAAUUAUCAGUAAAAUUAAAAAAUUUCUAAACAAGUAACAAAAAUUAAAAUAAAAUCAUCAUAUUUAAUAUGUUAGCCCAAGAAACUAAUCGAUAAUGAUUACUAAUAAAAUUAUAAGAAAAAUGAUUUAUUUUAGGUUAUAACAAAUAUAUAUUUUUUUUUUGAACAAUGAGAUUUGAACCUAAGCAAUUCCUUGGAAAGAUGAAUACUCGACCAAUAGACUACAACUUAAAGUUUUUUAGAAUAUUAUAACCAUUUUUAUAAUUCAUGAAUUAGGUUAAAAUAGUAUAAAAUUUUAAUAUAUAACAAUUAUAAAAAAAUUAUAAAGUGUCCAAUAACUUCCAAAACACUUCUUAUAAAUAAUAUUUUUUUAUCUUUUUUUUUUUAAAUAAGUCAUGGCAAAAAAUUAUAAUUGUUUAUAAAUAAAUAUUAUUUUCUAUAACAUAUAGUAUAGACACAUAAGUAAGUUAUAUUUAAAUUUUUUGACCAUAACUUUUUUAUAAGUAAGUAUGUAGUACACUUUUUAUAAAACAUAAAUUAUUUUUAUAAUAUACUUUUGGCCUAUAACUUUAGAAACUUUUUAGGAUUUAAAUAAUAUAAUUCUUGUCAUAACUUUAUAAAAUAUUAAAAAUAUAUAAUAGUAAUUUUUAGAACUUAUAAUAUGAUUUUAGAAAUUUUUAUUCAUAAUCAUCCUAAACACGUAUGCGUAUUUAUGUUUAUAAAAUAAUUUUUUAACUUAAAUUUGUAUAAAAAAUAUUUUUUAAAGUUAAAUUAUGUAUGAAUUUUCCGUGAGAAAUUAAUAUAUCGGGAAACAUGCGUUGACAUAUACUUUUGAUAAAUUCAAAUCAGGAGGUAUCAUAAUUAUCAAGAAAUAUGGACCAUAGGAACAGCAAAGAUUCAAUCCUAUAAUAUAGUAUUUGCAUUAUUGAUACUAAACAUAGAAAUUCCAUGAAGAAGAAAGCAUUGCGCAUGAUGAAUUAAGUUCCAUGACAAGGACUAAAACAAUGACGAUAACUUGCCCCUACAACUAUUGCAACAAGAGCUUGAAUCCUUUGAUGAGUUCCUUUAAAUUCAUCGUUUGGAAACCAUAACAUAUAUGCUACCACUAAAUACUUACCAGAUUAAACAAUGGCCUCAUCCCUAACCAUUUCUGUUAUUCUAGGGGUACUGUGGGCUGCCAUCCUUCUUUCCUUUGCUACAACUGUAACAGCAGCAUAUCCAUCGCCAUUGGAGUCCGAAGCCAUAGCUCUGCUAGAAAGCAGGUGGUGGAGUAACCAUAGCAGCAAUACUUCACAACGUUGCCAGUGGCCUGGUAUAACCUGCAACACUGCUGAAAGCAUCACCAAAAUUAACUUAUCUGAUGCGCCCAACAUUGAGGUUGGAGAUAGAUUUGGGAAACUGAAUUUCUCUUCAUUUCCAAAUCUUGUCCUUCUUGAUCUUAGUGACCAUCAACUUAGAGGAAAAAUCCCGCAUCAGAUAGGUGAUCUAUCAGCAUUGAAGUACCUUGACUUGUCUUAUUGUGGUUUAUCUGGUGAGUUACCUCCUUCUCUAGGGAAGCUGACCCAAUUAGAAUUCCUCGACAUUUCCUAUAAUGAUAAUAUUAAUGGUUCCAUCCCUCCACAAUUGGGGAAUCUAGAGAACCUUGUGACUUUAAACUUAAGUCAAUGUGGAAUUGUUGGUCCAAUCCCUUCUGCUUUGGGUCAAUUAACCAGUCUCCAAUCUCUGAUCCUUUGGGGGAACCAAAUCAAUGGAUCUAUCCCAUUAGAAAUUGGAUAUUUGAGAAAUUUGACUUAUUUGAGUCUCUCCAACAAUAGAAUUGUUGGUCCAAUCCCUUCUGCUUUGGGUCAAUUAACCAGUCUCCAAUCUCUGAUCCUUUGGGGGAACCAAAUCAAUGGAUCUAUCCCAUUCGAAAUUGGAUAUUUGAGAAAUUUGACUUAUUUGAGUCUCUCCAAGAAUAGAAUUGUUGGUCGAAUCCCUUCUGCUUUGGGUCAAUUAACCAGUCUCCAAUCUCUGAUCCUUUCGGGGAACCAAAUCAAUGGAUCUAUCCCAUUAGAAAUUGGAUAUUUGAGAAAUUUGACUGAUUUGAGUCUCUCCAGCAAUGGAAUUGUUGGUCCAAUCCCUUCUGCUUUGGGUCAAUUAACCAGUCUCCAAUCUCUGAGCCUUUCGGGGAACCAAAUCAAUGGAUCUAUCCCAUUAGAAAUUGGAUAUUUAAGAAAUCUGACUUUUUUGGGUCUCUACAACAAUAGACUUGUCGAUUCAAUACCCAUUACUCUGUACCAAUUAACCAAUUUGGAAAUUUUGUACCUUGAUAAUAACCAACUUCAAGGUUCUAUUCCCCAAGAAAUUUGUAAUCUAGCAAAUUUAACUUCAUUGUACCUCUCCCAAAACAAAUUGACUGGUUCAAUCCCUUCUUGUGUUGGUAGUUUAUCAAAGAUGCAGGACUUAGCCCUUGGUUCUAAUCUAUUAAAAGGUCCUAUUCCCCAAGAAAUUUGUAAUCUAGCAAAUUUAACUUCAUUGGCCCUCUCCCAAAACAAAUUGAGUGGUUCCAUCCCUUCUUGUGUUGGUAGUUUAUCAAAGAUGUGGUACUUAAGCCUUGAUUCUAAUCUAUUAAAAGGUUCUAUCCCAAAAGAUAUUGGCAAGCUUUUUGAUCUAUCAUAUCUAAACCUUAGCUUCAACCAACUCUCAGGUCCUAUCCCUAUCUUGUAUGCUACUGAUCUCUACAUUGUCGACGCUGGAAAUGGUUGUAACAAGAUUUCUCCCGAUCCAUUUGAAGGCAAUAGUGAUUUAUCACCCUAUAUGUGUCCUACUCCAGUAACCAAAAAAGCCAACAGCAGCAGAAUUCCUUACUAUAUCAAAAUAUUCCUCCCUAUUGCGAUCUUAUUCACAUUCUCCAUUUUAGGAUGUUUGCUAUUUUCACGGUUUAAGCUCAAGAAUAACCAUGUCAGCGUACAACCAACCAAGAAUGGGGAUUUGUGUUCCAUAUGGAACUAUGAUGGAAAGAUAGCAUACGAGGAUAUCGUUGCAGCAACAGAGGAUUUCGACUUCCGAUACUGUAUUGGAGUUGGUGGUUAUGGUAGUGUUUACAAAGCAAAACUCCCUUGUGGUAAAGUAGUUGCUUUGAAGAAACUUCAUCAUUUAGAAGCCGAAAAUCCAACUUUUGACAAGAGUUUCAGGAACGAGAUCAAGUUUCUAUCAGAAAUACGACAUCGAAACAUAGUGAAGCUUCAUGGGUUUUGUCUACACCGACGAUCCAUGUUUUUGAUCUAUGAAUACAUGGAAAAAGGGAGUUUGUUCUGCAACCUAAGGGAUGAAGUGAAUGCUGUGGAAAUGGAUUGGACGAGAAGAGUAGAGAUCAUCAAAGGCAUAGCACAUGCUUUGUCUUACUUGCACCAUGAUUGCUGCCCUCCGAUAGUUCAUCGAGACAUAUCAAGUAACAAUGUUCUUUUAAACUCAAGUUUUGAGGCAUUUGUGGCCGACUUUGGAACAGCUAGAAUGUUGGAUCUUGAUUCAUCCAAUCAGACCAUUAUUGUCGGAACUUGUGGCUACGUAGCUCCAGGUGGCGUUUUCUUUUUUACUUGAUUUACUGAACUUUUCUCUGAACAUAUAAUUGAAUUUCUUCUUACUAAUUUGUGUAUGUAGAACUUGCUUAUACAAUGAUUGUCACCGAAAAAUGCGAUGUUUAUAGUUUUGGAGUGGUAGCACUGGAAACAUUAAUGGGAAAGCAUCCUGAAGAAGUGUUAUCAUGGUUGUCAUCACCAACUUCUUUGGUGAACAUGAAGCUGGUUGAUGUGUUAGACAACCGUUUACCACUUCCAACAAGCCAACUAGUUACACAAAAUCUUGUUCAUGUUGCUACACUGGCAUUCGCUUGCUUAAAUCCACAAACGAAGUCCCGACCAACAAUGAAGGAAGUGUGUGAAGAGUUCCUUUCUCGCCAUACAUCCUUGGGAAUUCCUCUUCGGAUGAUCUCUUUGUUACAACUCAUGAACCGUGAAAUGCAUAUUGGAGGCAAAACUAAAACUUGUGAUGUUUAAAGUCCAUGCGCUUGUUGAUUAGAUAUUGUUUAUCAUGCUCUGAUAAUUUGUUUGUGAACCAUCUCUGGUUUUAUAUAUAUGAUGGAAUGAAUUGCAAUGUUUAAUAAAACUGUUUAUCCAGUUGCUUUAGAAGACAUAAAUUCUGGAAUUUGAUCAAAAUAUUAAGACAUCAUCGCUGGCUGCUUCCUUGAAUUUUGUGCUUCUUUCAAACCAACUCAGAUAAAUAACAUAUAAGUAAAUUAAGGGUGAAUCAAAGCAACAAAAUGCAAUCAAUACAUACAUCAAGAAUUCACCUCAACUAUCUAUAAUUCAUGAAACAAUCUCUCAACUUAUAAAAUGUAAGUGAGAUUCCACAGACCUGAUAUCCAAACUCAAAAGCAAUAAAAGGCGUCAUCAAAACCCUGGCAAGUGAAGACGACAUUCUUUUCAAGCAAGGUAGCGAUACAACUUCCUGUCACCUUUAUCCCUCUACAGGAACUCACAUUAGUAUACAUUUUUAUUUAACAUAUUAUAUAAAUUACACCUUAUAAAUAGAAAAAACAAAUGAAACUCUGACUAUUACAUAUAUAUAAUAAUAUACUGCAUAUUUCCUAAAAAAGGAUAAUAUACCGCACAUGUUACAACGCAUUUUCAAAAAAAGAAAAAGAAAUGUGACCAUGAUAUAUAAUUUAUAGGACAAACAAAGGUACUCAUAUUUUAUAGUUCAUCAUUUUUAAUGUUUGGGACUAUAGUCGGCCAUCACGAUUUGGUCGGCAACAAGUGAAUAUAUUAUGGAUAAACUAUUAUAGAGUUUACAAAAUUACAACUUUUUAGUCUGUAAAUUAUAAAAAGUUAUAAAAUAGCCAUUUAAUUAUUAUUAAAUUACACUUUAUAAAUGAUAAACAAAUAAAACUCCAAAUAUUACAUAUUUAAUAAUGUAAGCACAUUGUAAUAGGCCAAUUUUGGCCUGGCCCAAUAUUAACUAAAUUAAAAAAGAAACCAAAUAUAAAAAUUAAUAAUUGUCCAAUAACAGUCCAGAGUUACAAUGGCCCAAUUAACCCAAGAUCAAACAGCAGCCCAAAACCCCUAGCCCAAUUACAACUAGCCCAAAACCAAUAGCAAAAGAAAGACCAGAAAACCCUAGCAGAGACCAACAGCCGUCGUCGUUCCCCAUGCGCGCAACGCCUCCACGCUCCUCUAGCUGGCUGUACCUGCAAAACAAACGAAACCAACAAGGACAGCAAGGAAAGGCAAUAACAAAAAAAGAUCUAGCAAAUGAAAAAGAAGAAUAACAGAAAAUGAGAUUUUUCUUUCUUGUAAUUUUAUUUUUUGUUUUUAUCAGCUAUAUAAGGCCGAAUAAUCUGUAAAAAAGGGGGAGGAAAUUAAAAAAAGCAGUAAAAAAUCAAUCACAAUUUUUGAAAGUGAUCUAAAUUUCUUUUUUUCAUUUAAUUUCUUUGCUAUUUUCCUUAGUUUUUUUUCGUUGAUGGUUGCUUACUGUUUCAGAAAAGAAACACAAAAAAGGGAGAGGGUUUACCUUAGUGUCGGCGCCGAUUGGAUCUUUAUUUACUUCGUCGCAAUCGAAGCUCAAGCGAGGGUUGUAAAGCUAAAGGUAGCAAAUUUUAUUCCCCUGGCAUCGCAGUAGAUUAAAGCUGAAGGUAGCAAAUCUUAUUUCCCUAGAGUCGCAGUAGAUUAAAGCUGAAGGCAGCGAAUCUCAUUUCCUUGGCGUUGCAGUGGAACAGAUUAAAGCUGAAGGCAGCAAAUCUUAUUUCCCUGGCGUCGCAGUAGAUUAAAGCUGAAGGCAGCGAAUCUCAUUUCCUUGGCAUUGCGGUGGAACAGAUUAAAGCUGAAGGCAGCAAAUCUUAUUUCCCUAGCGUCGCAGUAGAUUAAAGCUGAAGGCAGCGAAUCUCAUUUCCUUAGUGUUGCAGUGGAACAGAUUAAAGCCGAAGGCAGCAAAUCUUAUUUCUCUAGCGUCACAGUAGAUUAAAGCUGAAGGCAACGAAUCUCAUUUCCUUAGUGUUGCAGUGGAACAGAUUAAAGCUGAAGGCAGCGAAUCUUAUUUCCCUCGCGUCGCAGUAGAUUAAAGCUAAAGGCAGCGAAUCUCAUUUCCUUGGCGUUGCAGUGGAACAGAUUAAAGCUGAAGGCAGUGAAUCUCAAUUCCUUGGCGUUGCAGUGGAACAGAUUAAAGCUGAAGACAGCGAAUCUUAUUUCCUUGGCAUUGCAGUGGAACAUAUUAAAGUUGAAGGCAGCUAAUCUUAUUUCCUUGGUGUUGCAGUAGAUUAAAGUUAAAGGUAGAGAAUCUUAUUUCCUUGGCGUUGCAGUGGAACAGAUUAAAGCUGAAGGCAGCGAAUCUUAUUUCCCUGGUGUCACAGUAGAUUAAAGCUGAAGGCAGCGAAUCUUAUUUCCCUAGCAUCACAGUGAGAUGGUUUGAAGUUAUCAUGGCAGAUCUUAUCUCCCUGAAGUUGCAAUGGAGCAGAUUAAAGCCACAAAACUUAUCCCCCCGACGUUGCAGUGAGGCAGGUUGAAGAGACAAAUCUUAUCUUCCUGAAGUUACAGUGAAGCAGAUUGAAGCCACCAGUCUUGUUUCCUUGAAGUUGCAGUGGAGCAGACUAAAACCACAAAUCUCGUCCCCUUUGAAAUCGCAACAGGGUAGAUUGAAGCUAUGAGCCGUAUAUAAAGUUACAGUAGAGUGGAUCGAAGCAACAAGAUGCAGUGGGCUGGAAUUAGGCUACUUGAAGAAGAGAAGCACUAAGAGAGGUGAAGACUCGGCAAGACUAGGCAAAAUUGUCCCUUUUUAAGUCUUUGCUCCUAUUUUUGUUACACGACAACGAACAAAGAGGCGCAACUGUAAUAGGCCAAUUUUGGCCUUGCCCAAUAUUAACCAAAUUAAAAAAGAAACCAAAUAUAAAAAUUAAUAAUUGUCCAAUAGCAGCCCAAAACCCCUAGCCCAAAACCAAUAGCAAAAGAAAGACCAGAAAACCCUAGCAGUAGACCAGCAGCCGCCGUCGUUCCCUACGCGCGCAACGCCUCCACGCGCCUCCAGCUGGCUGUACCUGCAAAACAAACGAAACCAACAAGGAUAGCAAGGAAAGGCAAUAACAAAAAAAGAGCUAGCAAAUGAAAAAUGAGAAUAACAGAAAAUGAGAUUUUUCUUUCUUGUAAUUUUAUUUUUUGUUUUUAUCGGGUAUAUAAGGCUGAAUAAUCUGUAAAAAAAAAGGAUAGGAAAUUUAAAAAGCAGUAAAAAAUCAAUCACAAUUUUUGAAAGUGAUCUAUAUUUCCUUUUUUUUCAUUUAAUUUCUUUGCUAUUCUCCUUAGUUUUUUUUUUCGUUGAUGCUUGCUUACUGUUUAAGAAAAGAAACACAAAAAAGGGCGAGGGUUUACCUUAGUGUCGGCGUCGAUUGGAUCCUUGUUCGCUUCGUCGUAAUUGAAGCUCAAGCGAGGGUUGUAAGGUCGAAGAUCGGCGGAGCUUUCAGCGGCGUGGGAAUGGGUUCAAAAACCCUAGUAGAGGAAAAAGGGGAUAAUAGUUUUUUUUAAAGAAUGACAGAAAGUAGUUUUUUUAAAAAAAAAUUGUUGAUUUUAUAUUAGGUAUGAAAUGUCGUCAUUUAAGGCCUGUUUCAGUGGCCUCAAAACGGUGCCGUAUAAGGCCAUGACCCGCGCGGUAACCCGACCUGAAGGAAGGAUCCACGUGUUUUUUAUUUAUGGGUAAUUUGCACCUCUGGUCCCGUUGCAUUUUUAUUUAUUUUAAUUCAGUUGUUUUCAUUUUUUCAAUUGAUACUGUAAAUUUUAUUCGGUUUCUGAUUCGGUCCUGAUGAAAUGGCGCGUUUCAGAGGGCGAGAAUAUUUCCCCAUCCAGUCCCUCUGAGUUAUUCGUGCCUUUCAAUUGGGCCCUUCAUUUUGUUUUAUUUUCGUUUUUUCCUUUUAAUUCAGUUUUGAGUUUAAUUUAAUCCAUACUUAUUUAAUUUAAUGUACUUGAUUUUUAUUCUGUUUAAAAUCUAUUUUUCUAUUAUUUUUAGAUAUAUUUAUUUUUAAAUCUAACUUUCUUUUUAUGUUUAAGUUUAAUAUAUUUUUAAGUUUAUUAUCAAUAUUAUAAUAUAUUAUUAUUCUAAAUUUAUCAUUAACAUUAUUUUAGGUGUAUCAUGUAUUUUUUAUUUAAAUUUAUCAUGUAUUAUCUUAUGCAUUCUUGUUGCAAUUUCAAUAUAAUUUAUACAUUUUUUUACGGUUUUAUUUUAUAAUACAUUUUUAAUUUCACUUAUAUAUUUCUUUGCUUUAAAGAUUAAUACAAUAAUACUCUUACAUAAUAUUUUUUAUUCAUAUAUAUAAUUUGUAUUAAACUAUUUUUAUUAUACAUAUAUAUAUACACAAAAUAUAUCAUCGAUUUCAUAUUAUUAUAUAUCUUAUCUAUUUCAUAUAUUUUAUUUCUUUCAAAACCCUACUCUAUUAUAUACUUGGUUUAUAUCAACUUUUUAUACAUACUAUUAUACAUAUAUUAUUAUAUGAAAUUUUUCAAUCCAUAUGUAAUAUUUAUUUAAAUUAAUAUAUAUAUUUUAUGCGUUUUGGAUUUCUUCUUAUACAAUAUUCACUUUAAAAUUCAUUUAGAUAUUAUUAUUCCAUAUAGUAUUCAUAUUUAAUUCUAUUUUUAAACUAUUUCAAGUCUUCACAUUAAUUACUUCUUUUUAAAUUUUUAUAUAUGUAAUUUUGUGUAUAUACAUUGAAAAUUUCAAAUUUCUUUUCUCUUUUUUUUUAGCUAUUUUAAAAUAGUUACAUUUUAUUUGUGAUAGGCUUUUAGGUCAUUAACUUUUAAAUAUUGGUGUUAAUAUUUACAUGUGAUGUGAGAUUAUUGUUAUUAUGUACAUUGUAUUGCUUGUUUAUAUUGAUAGAUUAUUCGUGUUCAUUUGUACGUAUUUUGGCUUACUAAUUAUUCUUUCGAGUUAUACAUUGUCAUCCCAUUGUGUUUUAUUUGUCAAAAAUUUCAUUUCAUUUAAACAUUGAAAUCAUUUUAUUCAAAAGUUUCCAAAAUAAUGCAAUACUCGAUCUUUGGAACUUCGAGAAAUCGUACCCUAACUUACGGGGUUUUGAUUUCCUCGUCGAACUAAAACGACCAAACAUUUUAGUUUUCAAAUACACAAAGUUUCAAUAAAAAUUUUUAAAGGUUAUCUUAUACUCGGGAAAUCCAACAUUGCUUCCUAACUUACGGGAUACGAUAUUUGGUUGCCCCGGGGUGAGAAGGCCUUUUAUACAUUCGUUCAAAUCUAUCCAAGAAUUAUUUUAAAAUAUGGCAUUAAUAAAAAGGGGAAAUCGUUUUUAAUCUCUUCGAAUUUUCAACAUUCGACUUUAAGACAUUAAAUAAUCAAUUUGGUACCAAUUUUGGGCGUUACGAGGGUGCUGAUCCUUCUUUGUAAGUAACUAACUCCCGAACCCAUUUUUACUGAAACUCUUAAACCAAAAUCAUUUUUAAGGUGAUCCGAUCACACCUCAAUAAAAGAUCGGUGGCGACUCCAAUUUUCAUUUUUUUUAAGUCGACACUAUUUUUAUUUUCAAAAAGUGGUUUCGACAGCUUGGCGACUCCGCUGGGGACUGGUUUUGAGAGUCAAGCCACAAAUUGAUUAAUUUUUGUCUUUUUGUCGAAAAAUCAAAUUUUGUUCUCAAUUCACAAUUUCCCUUUUUGCAUUUCAUCCAUUAUUUUCAUGGUUAAUCAUAGUGCGUUUGCUUGGUUGAUCCAAUUUUGUUAAUGUAUAUCUGCAUUUUGCAUUACAUAAGUUGGUCAAUUUUACCCUUCUUAAGUGGGAGUGAGAAGCUAUUCCUUCGUGAGGUCUUCACCUUCGUGCAGGAUAGUGGAUCACUUUCGAGAUACAUCCGUACCUAUGUCUUCGUGAGAUUUUCAUCUCCGUGCAGCCAUAGGGAAAUGAAUUCCCCUGAACUGAACUCAGCCCAUAUGAGGCUAUAAUGGGUGAGGAUCAAGGAAUCUGCUGGUUCAGGUACCUUUACUUUAGAACCAAACCACAUAUAGUGAACCAUAAGAGCCUACCCUAGGUAAGACCACGCCAAACCGCUAGUGGUCACUCGAAUAGGUGCUCUAUUUAUUUCUUGCUUGCUUUUUCUUGGCACUAACUUGUUUCGUUUUGUUCUGGUUAUGAUUGCAUUGCAUUUUCAUCAUAGAAAAGAGGUGUUGAUUCACCUUCAAUUGCUAAAUAGAGAGCUUGUCAUGGAAAAUGAAUUUUUUGAUAAAGUGGAAAAUAAUACGACUGGCCGAAUAUGUUCUGAGAAAACACAACAAGAGAAGGAUGAUAGCCUAACGGAGGAGUACACGACUUUUUUUCGUUUCCCGAGGAUUCAAGUUGACAAAGAUUAUUCGAGAGUCGUCAGCAUCCCAACAUUUUUUAAAUAAGCUAACAAGCAUCACGAGGACGAGUGAGUGAUGAGUCGCGGCCCAAAUCAAGCAAAAAAGAGCUAGUAUAGACAAUCAUUGGAAAAUUCACGAGAUUUAUCUUAACAUCCGGAUGAAGAAAAGGAUCAAUGUCUUCACCUGGAGUGUGAGGGAAAAGCCGUAUAUAUAUCCGCUUUAUGUAAAGAGAUUUGUUUUCUAGUAAAGUUAUUCUAAUAGAAUUGAAUCAGAAUCAACGUCUCUUUUUUGCAUUCAUUGCAUGCAUUUGCAUUACAUUACAUCAUAUACAUUAAAGUACACCAAAAGAUCCUAAUUGAUUAAAAUUAUUUCAGUUGAUCUGGAAAUCAACAAAAACCUACCAACCAAACAUCAUUACUGUACCUGAGUAAAAGGAAUGGACCAAAUGUUGGAGAGAUUAGAGCAAAGGCAAAUACAGAUGCAAGAACAAUUAACCAAAUUUUAACAAGAUAUGAAGGAUCAGAUGUUAGAGUUCCAAAGAAGUAUGAUAAGCCUGUUAACCCAGUUAUUGGAUAAAGGGUUAGAAAAAGGAAAAAAUCAGGUGGUCCACUUUAGGGAUGAUUGUGAAGACCCUGUUUCUUCUCCAGGCUUUACACCAACAAGCAUCCAGACACAACCAAAUGGGUAUCCAUAAAAGGUGUCUGUUAACAUUAGACCCCAAUACUAGACCGGUACCUCGACACUAAUGAAUUACCCGACAGGCUCAAAUUCCAAUAUGAGAGACAAUCUAACCAAUCCUGUGGUCCAUGAUGAUCUAGCUAAAACAAAACAGGUGAGAGUGGAGUUCCCAAAGCAAUUUGAAGAUCGUUACAAACAGAAAAGGCAAGAGUGGAGUUUCCAACUCAAUACUUUAAAGGCUCCGGGGAAUAGGAAGAAUGAAGUGAAUAACGCAAGCAUGUAUAACAGGGGAUACACAAAACCAAUUACUGUAGGCCAGCCAAAAAUAGUAACCGCUAGCCAUCAGGGCCUUUCAAGGCAAGAAUCUUACACGAGGACAAAUACAGAAAACGCCUAUACUAAUGACGUAUAGAGAGCUAUAUCAAAACAUGUUUGAAGCACAUAUAGUAUCGCCUUUCUACUUGAAACCAAUGCAGCCCCCAUUUCCUACAGGGUACGACACAAAUGCCCAGUGCAAAUACCAUGUAGGAAUCAUGGGGCAUUCGAUAGAAAACUGCACCGCUUUCAAAAAGCUAGUUGAAAGGCUCAUCAAUAUGGGUAUUGUCAAGUUCAAUGACUCAUCUAUUCCGCUACCCAAUCAUAUUGAUAAUAGGGUAAACACGAUGAGUUAAGAUAUUGGGAGAAGAAUCAAGAUAGACAUUGUAGAAGUAAAAACUCUAUUGAGUUGGGUCUAGAAGGAGAUGGCAAGAAGGGGAUUAGUCAUUUCGGAUUUAGGAGGAGGCCACGGAAAGACAAUGAACUAUUGUGAGUUCUAUCAUGAGAAGGGGCAUGAGAUCCAAGAGUGCGUGGAAUUCAGGGCUUUGGUUCAAGGCAUGAUGGACAAUAAAGAGAUGGAGUUCUGUGAGAAAAUUAUAGAAGAGAGAAGCCUAUGCAUAAUGUUGGGAAGUGUUCACAUCAAUGUCGUAUAUGAGGACACAACUGAAAAGGGGACCUUGUUAGAUAUCCGUCCUUAUAAACCUGGGAGUGUUUUAAAUAAUUGGACUGCGAAAGAAAUUCCUGUAGUUUUAGAGCUUACUCAGAGUAAUGUUCAGAACACACUUGUUACUUUUAGCCUAGAAGUGAUAAGAAUCCCUUUGUGAAAUAGGCUCAUGUCUGAACGUCAUUAUUUUAAUAAAAUACAUUUUUGCAUUUUGAGAAAAUAUUCUUUUACUCUUUUCAUAUGAAUAAUUAUUCUUUCAUUCUUUUAGAGAUUUUCUUCCAAUUCAUUCUUUCAUUUCAUUCAUAAUCGUAUUGUACAAAUAAUAAUUCUUAAAUUCACACAUUCUUUGAAUAUUUUUUGUACCUACAAUAGGUCCUUGGAUAUCAACGAAUGAGUGACACUGCUAUAGGCUCAGAAUUUCCUUUUAAACAAGACAUGUGUUUAGAGGGAUCUCAUAACUUUGAAAAUGACGUAGAUUGUAGCCUAUCUCCGAACUUGUUGAGGAUGGUAGAGCAGGAAGAGAAACAAAUUUUACCCUAUGAGGAGACAAUGGAGAUUGUGACCUUGGUGGAGGGAAAAGUAGUAAAAAUUAGAACAUGCAUAACCGAAGAAACGAAGCAAGACCUUGCUGAGUUACUUCAAGAGUUCAAAGAUGUCUUCGCAUGGUCAUACCAGGAUAUGCUCGGGUUAAGCACUGACAUUGUAAUCUGAACAACAGCACGAUGUCAGAAAUUUGCAAUAUGUUCAAGACUAACAUCAUAAACGAUGCAGUGGAGAAAACCUCUACCGGAGCAACGCCUUUCUCUUUGGCUUCUCACCAUUUUGCCCAUUGAAAUCGAGUUUUCAUCUCUUCAAGUUUUUGUUAGAUUUUAUCCCUAUUGAAGAGGAAGAUCCAAAGUUUUUCGUCAUAGUCAGAUGUACCAAAAAAAAUUUCGCCCCAGAAAGCUCUAUGAGAGAAACCUGAUAUCAAAGAAGAUCCUUUGCAUACAAAAGGAUUUCAUAAGAAAGUGAAUGUUAAGAUGGGAAGGAUCUUGUGUAGAAGAUUUUAUCUAGAAAAACAUUGAUUCUGAUCGAAAAGGAUAACAAGGACUUGCCUAAUCCUAUGAGUUCAGAUCCAAUCAAAAAAUAUUUUAAAAAACUUAAAAAAAUAAAAAAUAUUUCAAGAAUAAAAUGAAAAUAAAAAUGAUAAAAAAAGAAAAAAGGAAAAAGGAAAAGGAAAAGGAAAGGCCAAAGUGAAAACCCGCAAAGGGCGCUUUGAUAUCAAAGGGGAUUUGAGUUGAAAACCCGAAAAGGGUGGCUCAAAUUUUAAGAUAAGUGAGGCAUGGAUGUCACCGGGCUAAUAUCCCCGAAGGCUUCUGUACAGCCCAAAUUUUGCCCGGGCCCAACAAGUAGAGACCAAAAUACCAUCAGACCCAAUUAAAUUAAACCACCCCAAACUAAACCUAGCCCAAACCAACCCAAAAAUAAACUCAAUAAGAAUAGUCCAUUUUACAAAAAUAAAAACCAAUACAAACCCUAAGCCCAAAUUAAAAUACCAUCCCACUACCAAACUAAAACCCUAGCAGCCCUUACUGCCCAUGUGCGCUGUUCAGCCACCUCGCACGCCCCUUGCCUACUGCCGCUACUUGCCUAUCGCCUUAUCCGCAUGCUCUAACAUCUCUGCCAUCUACAAUACACAAGAAGAAGAAAACAAAAAGGACAAAACAACAGACAAACAAAUCGAAAGAAAACAAAGAAAAUGGAAAAAUAGUUUUGUAUUUUGGUUAUAAAGCCAAAAUGAGAGGCUUGUUAAGAUUCUUCUUCCUUUUACGAACACAAGAGAAAUAAAAAAAGUAAUAUUUCAAUGUGAUAUAUAUUUUUUUUGUUGUUUUAGAUCUAGUGCUUUAUUUUUAUUUCUUUUUAUCUACGAAAAUAAAAAAAGAAAAAUGAAGAAAAAAUGCACCUGGAUUCACACCCGAGCCCCAUCACCGGAAACCUUUUCCCUUGGCGCUGAAAUCGGGCCGAGAGGGGUGUAAGGGGUCUCUAUUUUUGGUUUCUUUCUUAAAAAAGGGCCCUGGCCUUCGAAUGGGAUUCAAAUUCGGGGUUAAAACUCCCUUUUACGCCACGUCGGCCACCGACCAUGGUGGCGCUAUGGCGGAGGCGCGCCAGAACCCUAGGCCAGAUCAUGGCCGGAGAAGGCAAUGGAGGCACAGAGGGAGAGAGUUUUCUAAUUUUUUUGUAAAAAUGGGAGAGAGGAAGUGAUUUUUUUUUAGGUAUUUUGGUUUAUAUAAGGUACCAAAAUGGUACCGUUUUGGGAAGGGCCAUUAAUGACCAAAAUGGCGCCGUUUUGGGCUAACCGACCCGAUCUGACUCGCUCCGGAAGGAGGAUCCGCGCGUUUUAGCCUUAAGGGGUUAUUUGCACGAGAAGUCCCUCCGCUUUUGCAGCAAAGUGUAAUCCGAUCCUUUUUUAUUAUUUUCUGAUUUGGGCCGCAAACUUUGCUUCUGCUUCAAUUUGGUCCAUAGACCAUGCGCAGAUGUUGUCCCCUGCAACGGCGUCGUUCAAAUAGCAUGGGAAUAUUUCCCUUUCGACCCUGUAUCUCUGGGUGCGUUUAGUUCAGGCCCCAAUUGUCUUUUUAUUUAAAUUCUGUCAUUUAAUUUUGUUUUAAUUUCAAUCUGGUCCUGGGUCCAUUUAAUUUAUUUGUUUAUUAUUAUUAGUAUUUUUUUAAACAAAAACUCUUUUAUUAUUAUCUGUUUUAAGUUUUUAUUUAUUUAUUAUUUAUUGUAAACUAUUAUAUAUAUACAUAUAUAUAUCUUUUAAAUUUUCGUAUGUAUGUAUAUAUUAUUUGAAACUAUUUGUACUUAUUUUUUUAUAUAUAAUAUUAUUUAUUUUAAAAUGUUCUAUAUUUAUUUAUUUUAAGUUUUCUGGUAUAUUUUUUAUUCGAAACUUUUAUUAUUUAUUGUUCUUAUAAAUCAUUCAUGUUAAAUUAUUAUUUACUUUAGAUUGUUAUAUAUAUUGUCUUGUUUUAUAUUCCUUUGGUUAUUAAUGUUGGUAUUAAAAUUAGAUAUAUUGUGUGCUCAUUUCCAUUGUGUGCACUAUAAUUUGCUUAUUCGUAUCCUCAUAUAUUUGUCAUGCAUUAAUGUAUCAUUUUAUUCAUAAAUUGUUAUGCCAUGUUCCAUUAUCGCUCAAUUUCAUUUCAUCACUUCAAAAGUUGCGCUCAAUUUGUAUACCUCAAUAAUAAACCGAUCUAUUUUAUCACGAACAAAACAAAUACACCUCGUUCAAGUGUUGCACUCGUCAUCAUUCAAAUCCAAGAAGAGUUUUAAAAUAAGGCAAUAUUUUGUGUUUGGAAAUUCGAGAAAACGUGCCCUAACGUGUUGGGUUUCGAUUCCUCGCUCUACCAAAUAGCCAAAUAUCCUUUUAAAAUUUCAAAGUAAGGCAAUAUUUUGCAUUUGGGAAAUUUGAGAAGACGUGCCCUAACGUGCUGGGUUUCGAUUUCUCGUUUAACCUAAAUAGCAAAAUAUCCUUUUAAACCAUGGCUCUUGAAUAAGCAAGAUUUCAUGUUCAGAUUCGAGAGAAAUCGUACCCUAACUUACGGGGUUUCGAUUUUCCUCGACGAGUCUAAAUUACCAAUAAUUUUAAAUCAAAGCACAAGUUAAAUAAAAACUUAUCCUCGGGAGUUCAAAAAUGUCGUGUCCUAACUCAUUGGAUGUAACAUUUUGUUAUAUCAAGGUAAGGAUUUCUAAAAAUGCAAAGGUAAUAUUCUGCAUGUGGAAUUUUGAGAAAUCAAGCCCUAACUUACUGGGUUCCGAUUUUUUUGACCCAAGUGACCUGAAUAUCCUUUUAAAAUUGAAAUAAAUGAGGUUUUAAUAAAAAAAUAAAAGGAAGCUUACUCUCAAAAAUACGAGGUGUUGUGUCCUAACUAACUGGAUGUGACAUCUUGUUAUUUUGAGAUAAGGAGGCAUUUUCUAUUUUGAUUUAUUCGAGUAAUUUUAAAAUAACACAAUAAAAAGGGAUAGUAUUUUUAAAUUCUUUUCGAGUUUUUAAUUUUCGACACCAAGACAUUAAGUAAUCAACUAGGUACCAAUUUUAGGGCAUUACGAGUGUGCUAAUCCUUCCUCGUACGUAACUGACUCCCGAAUCCGUUUUCUAAAUUUCAUAGACUAAAAUUGUUGUUUUAAUAAACUCAAAUUAUUUACUAAAGACAACCACAUUUUGAGGUGGUCCGAUCACACCUCAUCAAAAAAAGAUUGGUGGCGACUCCCACUUUCGUUUUAUUUUCAAAAUCCAAGUUGACCCCCUGUUUAUCAAAAAAAUGGUGUCAACAGCUUCUAUUGGGUAUCACUUCAUUUGUGAGGUUAUUAAUUACUUCACCAAAUGGGUAGAGACUGCUUCAUGCGCUAAUGUCACCAGGUCAGCAGUUAGCAAGUUUUUGAAAAAGGAGAUUAUAUGUCGAUAUGGAAUGUUUGAAAGAAUCAUAUCUGACAAUGCGCUGAAUUUGAACAACAGCACCAUAAUGGAAGUUUGCAGUCAAUUUAAGAUCAGACACAAUAAUUCGUCACCAUAUCGCCCAAAAAUGAAUGGUGUAGUGGAGGCGACCAAUAAAAAAUAUCAAGAAAGUUGUGAGGAAAAUGUCUGAGACUUACAAAGAUUGGCAUUACCAUUCACCCUUUUGGCUUAUCGAACGUCUAUCAGAACUUCCACCAGGGCAACGCCUUUCUCUCUGGUUUAUCGGAUGGAGGCAGUUUUACCCAUUAAAGUUGAAAUUCCUUCUCUCCGGGUAUUGGUUGAGCUAAGGUUGGAUGAAGCAAAAUGGAUCCAAUCUCGAUAUGAUAAAUUGAACCUAAUUGGAGAAAAAAGGCUAAAAGUUAUUCACCACGGUCAGAUGUAGUAGAAACGAAUGAUGCGAGCCUAUAACAAAAAGGUUCGUCCUAGAGAAUUCCAUGAAGGGGACCUGGUGUUGGAAAAUAUUUUUUUCUCUACAAAAGAUUUUAGAGGGAAAUGGAUGCCAAAUUGGGAAGGACCUUAUGUUAUAAAGAAGGCCUUUUCUGGAGGAGCAUUAAUUUUGAGUGAGAUGGAUGGUAAAAACCUGCCUAAUCCUGUAAACUCAGAUUCAGUCAAGAAAUACUUCACCUCUAAUUAGAAAACCCUAGCAGUAGACCAGCAACCAUCGCUAUUCUCUACGCGCCUCCAGCUGGGUGUACCUGCAAAACAAACGAAACCAACAAGGACAACAAGGAAAGGCAAUAACAAAAAAGGAGCAAGCAAAUGAAAAAAGAGAAUAAAAGAAAAUGAGAUUUUUCUUUCUUAUAAUUUUAUUUUUUGUUUUUCUCGGCUAUAUAAGGCCAAAUAAUCUGUAAAAAAGAGGGGAGAAAUUAAAAAAAAAGCAGUAAACAAAAUCAAUCACAGUUUUCGAAGGUGAUCUGAAUUUUUUAUUUAAUUUCUUUGUUGUUUUCCUUAGUUUUUUCGUUGAUGCUUGCUUAUUGUUUAAGAAAAGAAACACAAAAAAGGCGAGGGUUUACCUUAUUGUCGGUGCCGAUUGGAUCUUUGUUCACUUCGUCGAAAUAGACUCUCAAGCGAAGGUUGUAAGGCCGAAGAUCGAAGGAGCUGUCGGUGGCAUGGGAAUAGGUUCAAAAACCCUAGCAGAGGAAAAAUGGGAUAAUAAUUUUUUUAAAGAAUGAUAGAAAGUAGUUUUUUUUAAAUUGUUGAUUUUAUAUUAGGUAUGAAACGACGUCAUUUAAAGCAUGUUUCAGUGGCCUCAAAAUGGUGUCGUAUAAGGCCAUGACCCGCAGCGGUGACCCGACCUAAGGGAAGGUUCCGCGUGUUUUUUAUUGAUGGGUAAUUUGCAUCUCUGGUCUCGCCGCAUUUUUAUUUAUUUUAAUUCAGUUUUUUUCAUUUUUUCAAUUGAUACUGUAAAUUUUAUUCGGUUUCUGAUUCGGUCUUGAUGAAACGACGCAUUUCAGAGGGCGAGAAUAUUUCUCCAUUCAAUCCCUUUGAGUUAUUCGCGCCUUUCAAUUGGACCUUUCAUUUUGUUCUAUUUUCAUUUUUUCCCUUUAAUUUUGUUUUGAGUUUAAUUUAAUCCAUACUUAUUUCAUUUAAUGUACUUGAUUUUUAUUCUGUUUAAAAUCCAUUUUUCUAUUAUUUUUAGAUAUAUUUAUUUUUAAAUGUAACUUUCUUUUUAGGACAUUCUACAUUCAUUCAUACACCUCUAAUUAGGAUAUUUUGAUUUAUUCAGAUCAUAACAUCCUACUCAUUAGGCAUAAAUAGGCCUAUGCAAUGAUUAUACAAGUCAUGUUCCCUAGAGAACAGAUUAGUGAAACCACAAAUCCCAUACCACUGAAGUCGCAGUGGAAUGGUUUGAAGAAGAUGGCGAAUCUAAUAUCCCUGAAGUUACGGUGGAGUAAAUUAAAGCCCAUAAUCUCAUUUCGUUGGCGUUUCAGUGGAAUAGAUUAAAGCUAAAGGCAACGAAUCUUAUUUCCCUGACGUCGCAGUAGAUUAAAGCUGAAGGCACCAAAUCUCAUUUCCAUGAUGUUGCAGUGGAACAGGUUAAAGCUAAAGCCAACGAAUCUUAUUUCCUUGGGAUCGCAGUAGAUUAAACCUGAAGGUAGUGAAUCUCAUUUCCUUGGCUUGUAGUGGAAUAAAUUAAAGCUGAAUGCAGCAAAUCUUAUUUCCCUAGCGUCGUAGUAGAUUAAAGCUGAAGGCAGCGAAUCUCAUUUUCUUGGCAUUGUAGUGGAACAGAUUAAAGUUGAAGGCAGCGAAUCUUAUUUCCCUAGUGUCGCAAUAGAUUAAAGCUGAAUGCAGCGAAUCUUAUUUCCUUGGCGUUGUAGUGGAACAAAUUAAAGCUGAAGGCAGUGAAUCUUAUUUUCCUGGCGUCGCAGUAGAUUAAAGCUAAAGGCAGCGAAUCUCAUUUCCUUGGCGUUACAGUGGAACAGAUUAAAGCUGGAGCCAAUGAAUCUUAUUUCUCUAGCGUCACAGUAGAUUAAAGCUGAAGGCAGCGAAUCUUAUUUCCCUAGCGUCGCAGUGGGAUGGUUUGAGGUUAUCAUGGCAGAUCUUAUCUCUAUUAAGUUUCAGUGGAGUAGAUUAAAGCCACAAACCUUAUCCCUCUGAAGUUGCAGUGGGGCAGGUUGAAGAGACAAAUCUUAUUUUCCUAGCAUCGCAGUGGAAUGGUUUGAAGAAGAUGACGAAUCUUAUAACCCUGAAGUUACAGUGGAGUAGAUUAAAGCCGAUAAUUUAUUUCUUUUGCGUUGUAGUGGAACAGAUUAAAGCUAAAGGCAGCAAAUCUUAUUUCCCUUGCGUCGCAGUAGAUUAAAGCUAAAGGCAGCGAAUCUUAUUCCCUUGGUGUUGUAGUGGAAUAGAUUAAAGCUGAAGGCAGUAAAUCUUAUUUUCCUAGCGACGCAGUAGAUUAAAGCUGAAGGCAACGAAUCUCCUUUUCUUGGUGUUGUAGUGAAACAGAUUAAUGUUGACGGCAGCAAAUCUUAUUUACUUGGCGUCGCAGUAGAUUAAAGUUGAAGGCAGCGAAUCUCAUUUCCUUGGCGUUGUAGUGGAAUAGAUUAAAGCUAAAGGCAGCGAAUCUGAUUUCUCUGGCGUCGCAGUAGAUUAAAGCUGAAGGCAGCGAAUCUUAUUUCCCUAGCGUCACAGUAGAUUAAAUCAGAAGGAAACGAGUAGGAUGGUUUGAAGUUAUCAUGGCAUAUUUUAUCUCCUUGAAGUCGUAGUAGAACAGAUUAAAGCCACAAACCUUAUCCCUCUGAAGUUGCAGUGGGGCAGGUUGAAGAGACAAAUAUUAUUUUCCUGAAGUUACAGUGGAAUGGUUUGAAGAAGCUGAAGGUAGCGAAUCUUAUUUCCCUGGGGUCACAGUAGAUUAAAGCUGAAUGAAUCUCAUUUCCUUGGCGUUGCAGUGGAACAGAUUAAAGUUGAAGGUAACGAAUCUUAUUUCCUGGGGUCGAAGUAGAUUAAAGCUGAAGGCAAAGAAUCUUAUUUCCCUGGCACCGCAAUAGACUAAAGCUAAAGGCGGUGAAUCUUAUUUCCUUGGCGUUUGAGUAGAACAGAUUAAAGCUGAAGGCAGCGAAUCUUAUUUCCCUGCCGUUGCAGUAGAACAGAGUAAAGCAGAAGGCAACAAAUCUUAUUUCCCUGACGUCGCAGUAGACUAAAGCUAAAACCUACGACUCUUAUUUCCCCAGCGUUGCAGUGGAACAGAUUAAAGCUGAAAGCAGUGAAUUCCAUUUCCUUGGCAUUGCAGUGGAACAAAUUAAAGCUGAAGGCAGCAAAUCUUAUUUUCUUGGCAUCGCAUUAGGUGAAAGCUGAAGGCAGCAAAUCUCAUUUCCUUGGCGUUGCAGUUGAACUGAUUAAAGUUGAAGGCAGCAAAUCUUAUUUCACUGGCGUCAGAGUAGAUUAAACCUUAAGGCAGUGAAUCUUAUUUCCUUAGCGUUGCAGUGGAACAUAUUAAAGCUGAAGGCAAUAAAUAUUAUUUCCUUGGCAUUGUAGUAGAACAGAUUAAAGCUGAAGGCAGCGAAUCUUAUUUCCCUGUCAUCGCAGUAGAUUCAAGCUGAAGGUAGCGAAUCUUAUUUCGUUGGCAUUGUAGUGGAACAGAUUAUAGCUGACGGCAGCGAAUCUCAUUUUCUUGGCAUUGUAGUGGAUCAAAUUAAAAUUGAAGGUAGCAAAUCUUAUUUCCUUGGCGUCGCAUUAGAUUAAAGCUGAAGGUAGCAAAUCUCAUUUCUUUGGUGUUGCCGUGGAACAGAUUAAAGCUGAAGGCAGCGAAUCUUAUUUCCCUAGUGUCGCAAUAGAUUAAAGCUGAAGGCAGCGAAUCUUAUUUCCUUGGCGUUGUAGUGGAAUAAAUUAAAGCUGAAGGCAGUGAAUCUUAUUUUCUUGGUGUCGCAGUAGAUUAAAGCUAAAGGCAGCGAAUCUCAUUUCCUUGGCGUUACAGUGGAACAGAUUAAAGCUGGAGCCAACAAAUCUUAUUUCUCUAGCGUCACAGUAGAUUAAAGCUGAAGGCAGCGAAUCUUAUUUCCCUAGCAUCGCAGUGGGAUGGUUUGAGGUUAUCAUGGCAGAUCUUAUCUCUAUUAAGUUUCAGUGGAGCAGAUUAAAGCCACAAACAUUAUCCCUCUGAAGUUGCAGUAGGGCAGGUUGAAGAGACAAAUCUUAUUUUCCUAACAUCGCAGUGGAAUGGUUUGAAGAAGAUGACGAAUCUUAUAACCCUGAAGUUGCAGUGGAGUAGAUUAAUGGCAAUAAUCUUAUUUCUUUUGCGUUGUAGUGGAACAGAUUAAAGCUAAAGGCAGCAAAUCUUAUUUCCCUGGCGUCGCAGUAGAUAAAAGCUAAAGGCAGCGAAUCUUGUUCCCUUGGUGUUGUAGUGGAAUAGAUUAAAGCUGAAGGCAGCAAAUCUUAUUUUCCUGGCGACGCAGUAGAUUAAAGCUGAAGGCAACGAAUCUCCUUUUCUUGGUGUUGUAGUGAAACAGAUUAAUGUUGAGUGCAGCAAAUCUUAUUUACUUGGCGUCGCAGUAGAUUAAAGUUGAAGGCAGCGAAUCUCAUUUCCUUGGCGUUGUAGUGGAAUGGAUUAAAGCUGAAGGCAGCAAAUCUUAUUUCCCUAGCGUCACAGUAGAUUAAAUCAGAAGGAAACGAGUAGGAUGGUUUGAAGUUAUCAUGGCAGAUUUUAUCUCCUUGAAGUCAUAGUAGAACAGAUUAAAGCCACAAACCUUAUCCCUCUGAAGUUGCAGUGGGGCAGGUUGAAGAGACAAAUAUUAUUUUCCUGAAGUUACAGUGGAAUGAUUUGAAGAAGAUGAUGAAUCUUAUAUCCCUAAAGUUACAGUGGAGUAGAUUAAAGCCAAUAAUCUCAUUUCUUUAGCGUUGUAGUGGAAUAGAUUAAAGCUGAAGGCAACAAAUCUUAUUUCCUUGGCAUCGGAGUAGAUGAAAACUGAAGGCAUCAAAUCUUAUUUUCCUAGCGUCACAGUAGAUUAAAGCUAAAGGUAGCGAAUCUCAUUUCCCUCGCGUUGCAGUGGAACAGAUUCAAGUUGAAGGUAGUAAAUCUUAUUUCCCUAGCCUCGCAGUAGAUUAAAGCUGAAGGCAGUGAAUCUCAUUUCCUUGGCGUUGCAGUGCAACAGAUUAAAGCUGAAGGUAGCGAAUCUUAUUUCGCUGGGGUCACAGUAGAUUAAAGCUGAAUGAAUCUCAUUUCCUUGGCGUUGCAGUGGAACAGAUUAAAGUUGAAGGUAACGAAUCUUAUUUCCUGGGGUCGAAGUAGAUUAAAGCAGAAGGAAGCGAAUCUUAUUUCUUUGGCGUUGCAGUGGAACAGAUUAAAUCUGAAGGCAGCGAAUCUUAUUUCCCUGGAGUCGCAGUAGAUUAAAGCUAAAGGUAGCAAAUCUUAUUUCCCUGCCGUUGUAGUAAAUUAAAGUUGAAGGCAGCGAAUCACAUAUCUUUGGCAUUGGCGUCGCAGUAGAUUAAAGCUGAAGGCAGCGAAUCUUAUUUCCCUGGCGUGGCAGUAGAUUAAAUCAGAAGGACACGAGUCUUAUUCCCUCAGCGUUGCAGUGGAACAGAUUAAAGUUGAAGUCAGUGAAUUUUAUUUCCUUUUCGUUGCAGUGGAACAGAUUAAAGCUGAAGCAGUGAAUCUUAUUUCCCCGGCGUCGUAGUAGAUUAAAACUGAAGGCAGUGAAUCUUAUUUCGAUUGCAUUGUAGUGGAACAGAUUAAAGUUGAAGGUAGUAAAUCUUAUUUCCCUAGCGUCACAGCAGAUUAAAGCUGAAGGCAGCAAAUCUCUUUUCCCUGGCAUUGCAGUGGAACAGAUUAAAGCUGAAUGUAGUAAAUCUUAUUUCCCUGGCAUCGUAGUAUAUUAAAGCUGAAGGCGGUGAAUCUUAUUUCCUCAGCGUUGUAGUGGAACAGAUUAAAGCUAAAGGCAGCGAAUCUUAUUUACCUGGAGUCGUAGUAGAUUAAACUUGAAGGCAGCGAAUCUCAUUUCCCUGGUGUUGCAGUAGAUUAAAGCUGAAGGAAGCAAAUCUUAUUCCUUUGGCAUCACAGUGGAACAAAUUAAAGCUGAAGGCAGCGAAUCUCAUUUCCCUAACAUCGUAAUAGAUUAAAGCUGAAGGCAUCGAAUCUUAUUUCCUAAGCGUUGCAGUGGAACAGAUUAAACCUGAAGCCAGUGAAUCUUAUUUCCUUGGCGUCACAGUAGGUUAAAGCUGAAUGCAGCGAAUCUCAUUUUCUUGGCAUUGCAGUGGAACAGAUUAACGCUAAAGGCAGUGAAUCUUAUAUCCCUAGCGUCGCAGUAAGCUAAAGUUGAAGGCAAAGAAUCUUAUUUCCUUGGCGUUGCAGUGGAACAUAUUAAAGUUGAAGGGAGUAAAUCUUAUUUCCUUGGCGUUGCAGUGGAACAGAUUAAAACUGAAGGUACCGAACUUUAUUUCCAUGUCGUCGCAGUAAAUUAAAGCUGAAGGUAGCAAAUCUUAUUUCCUUAGCAUUGCAAUGGAACAGGUUAAAGCUGAAGGCGGCGAAUCUCAUCUCCUUGCCGUUGUAGUGGAACAGAUUAAAGCUGAAGGAAAGGAAUCUUAUUUCCCUGGCACCGCAAUAGACUAAAGGUAAAGGCGGUGAAUCUUACUUCCUUGGCAUUUCAGUAGAACAGAUUAAAGCUGAAGGCAGCGAAUCUUAUUUCCCUGCCGUUGCAGUAGAACAGAGUAAAGCAGAAGGCAACAAAUCUUAUUUCCCUGACGUCGCAGUAGACUAAAGCUAAAGCCAACGACUCUUAUUUCCCCGGCGUUGCAGUGGAACAGAUUAAAGCUGAAAGCAUCGAAUUCUAUUUCCUUGGCAUUGCAGUGGAACAAAUUAAAGCUGAAGGCAGCAAAUCUUAUUUCCUUGGCAUCGCAUUAGGUGAAAGCUGAAGGCAGCAAAUCUCAUUUCCUUGGCGUUGCAGUUGAACUGAUUAAAGUUGAAGGCAGCAAAUCUUAUUUCGCUGGCGUCAGAGUAGAUUAAACCUUAAGGCAGUGAAUCUUAUUUCCUUAGCGUUGCAGUGGAACAUAUUAAAGCUGAAGGCAAUAAAUAUUAUUUCCUUGGCAUUGUAGUAGAACAGAUUAAAGCUGAAGGCAGCGAAUCUUAUUUCCGUGUCAUCGCAGUAGAGUCAAGCUGAAGGUAGCGAAUCUUAUUUCGUUGGCGUUGCAGUGGAACAGAUUAUAGUUGACGGCAGCGAAUCCCAUUUUUUUGGCAUUGCAGUGGAUCAAAUUAAAAUUGAAGGUAGCAAAUCUUAUUUCCUUGGCGUCGCAUUAGAUUAAAGCUGAAGGUAGCAAAUCUCAUUUCUUUGGUGUUGCAGUGGAACAGAUUAAAGCUGAAGGCAGUGAAUCUUAUUUCCCUGUCGUCGCAGUUGAUUAAAGUUGAAGGCAGCAAAUUUUAUUUCCUUGGAGUUGUAGUAGAACAGAUUCAAGCAGAAGGCACCAAAUCUUAUUUCCCUGACGUCGCAAUAGACUAAAGCUAAAGCCAGCGAAUCUUAUUUCCUUAGCAUUGCAGUAGAACAGAUUAAAGCUGACGACAGCGAAUUACAUUUCCUUGGCAUUACAGUGGAACAAAUUAAAGCUGAAAGAAGCAAAUCUUAUUUCCUUGGCGUCGUAUUAGAUUAAAACUGAAGGCAGCGAAUCUCAUUUCCUUGGCGUAGUAGUGGAAAAGCAGAAGGCAGCAAAUCUUAUUUCUCUAGCGUCGUAGUAGAUUAAAGCUGAAGGCAACAAAUCUCAUUUCCCUGGCGUUGCAGUGGAACAGAUUAAAGCUGAAGUAGUGAAUCUUAUUUCCCUGGCGUCAUAGUAGAUUAAAACUGAAGGCAGUGAAUCUUAUUUCGAUUGCGUUGUAGUGGAACAAAUUAAAGCUGAAGGUAGUAAAUCUUAUUUCCCUAGCGUCACAGCAGAUUAAAGCUGAAGGCAGCAAAUCUCUUUUCCCUGGCAUUGCAGUGGAACAGAUUAAAGCUGAAUGUAGUAAAUCUUAUUUCCCUGGCAUCGUAGUAGAUUAAAGCUAAAGGCGGUGAAUCUUAUUUCCUUAGCGUUGCAGUGGAACAGAUUAAAGCUAAAGGCAGCGAAUCUUAUUUACCUGGAGUCGUAGUAGAUUAAACUUGAAGGCAGCGAAUCUCAUUUUCCGGGUGUUGCAGUAGAUUAAAGUUGAAGGAAGUGAAUCUUAUUCCUUUGGCAUCACAGUGGAACAAAUUAAAGCUGAAGGCAGCGAAUCUCAUUUCCCUAACGUCGUAAUAGAUUAAAGCUGAAGGCAUCGAAUCUUAUUUCCUAAGCGUUGCAGUGGAACAGGUUAAACCUGAAGCUAGUGAAUCUUAUUUCCCUGGCGUCACAGUAGGUUAAAGCUGAAUGCAGCGAAUCUCAUUUUCUUGGCAUUACAGUGGAACAGAUUAACGCUAAAUGCAGUGUAUCUUAUAUCCCUGGCGUCGCAGUAAGCUAAAGUUGAAGGCAGAGAAUCUUAUUUCCUUGGCGUUGCAGUGGAACAUAUUAAAGUUGAAGGCAGUAAAUCUUAUUUCCUUGGCGUUGCAGUGGAACAGAAUAAAACUGAAGGUAGCAAACUUUAUUUCCAUGUCGUCACAGUAAAUUAAAGCUGAAGGUAGCAAAUCUUAUUUCCUUAGCAUUGCAGUGGAACAGGUUAAAGCUGAAGGCAGCGAAUCUCAUCUCCUUGCUAUUGUAGUGGAACAGAUUAAAGCUGAAGGCAAGGAAUCUUAUUUCCCUGGCACCGCAAUAGACUAAAGGUAAAGGCGGUGAAUCUUAUUUCCUUGGCGUUUCAGUAGAACAGAUUAAAGCUGAAGGCAGCGAAUCUUAUUUCCCUGCCGUUGCAGUAGAACAGAGUAAAGCAGAAGGCAACAAAUCUUAUUUCCCUGACGUCGCAGUAGACUAAAGCUAAAGCCAACGACUCUUAUUUCCCCGGCGUUGCAGUGGAAUAGAUUAAAGCUGAAAGCAGCGAAUUCCAUUUCCUUGGCAUUGCAGAGGAACAAAUUAAAGCUGAAGGGAGCAAAUCUUAUUUCCUUGGCAUCGCAUUAGAUGAAAGCUGAAGGCAGCAAAUCUCCUUUCCUUGGCGUUGUAGUUGAACUGAUUAAAGUUGAAGACAGCAAAUCUUAUUUCGUUGCCGUCAGAGUAGAUUAAACCUUAAGGCAGUGAAUCUUAUUUCCUUAGCGUUGCAGUGGAACAUAUUAAAGCUGAAGGCAAUAAAUCUUAUUUCCUUGACAUUGUAGUAGAACAGAUUAAAGCUAAAGGCAACGAAUCUUAUUUCCCUGUCAUCGCAGUAUAUUCAAGCUGAAGGUAGCGGAUCUUUUUUCGUUGGCGUUGCAAUGGAACAGAUUAUAGCUGACGGCAGCGAAUCCCAUUUUCUUGGCAUUGCAGUGGAUCAAAUUAAAAUUGAAGGCAGCAAAUCUUAUUUCCUUGGCAUUGCAUUAGAUUAAAGCUGAAGGUAGCAAAUCUCAUUUCUUUGGUGUUGCAGUGGAACAGAUUAAAGCUAAAGGCAGCGAAUCUUAUUUCCCUGUCGUCGCAGUUGAUUAAAGUUGAAGGCAACAAAUUUUAUUUCCUUGGAGUUGUAGUAGAACAGAUUUAAGCAGAAGGCACCAAAUCUUAUUUCCCUGACGUUGCAAUAGACUAAAGCUAAAGCCAGUGAAUCUUAUUUCCUUAGCAUUGCAGUAGAACAGAUUAAAGCUGACGACAGCGAAUUACAUUUCCUUGGCAUUACAGUGGAACAAAUUAAAGCUGAAAGAAGCAAAUCUUAUUUUCUUGGCGUCGUAUUAGAUUAAAGCUGAAGGCAGCGAAUCUCAUUUCCUUGGCGUAGUAGUGGAAAAGUAGAAGGCAGCAAAUCUUAUUUCUCUAGCGUCGUAGUAGAUUAAAGCUGAAGGCAACAAACCUCAUUUCCCAGGCAUUGCAGUGGAACAGAUUAAAGCUGAAGCAGUGAAUCUUAUUUCCCCGGUGUCGUAGUAGAUUAAAAUUGAAGGCAGUGAAUCUUAUUUCGAUUGCGUUGUAGUGGAACAAAUUAAAGCUGAAGGUAGUAAAUCUUAUUUCCCUAGCGUCACAGCAGAUUAAAGCUGAAGGCAGCAAAUCUCUUUUCCCUGGCAUUGCAGUGGAACAGAUUAAAGCUGAAUGGAGUAAAUCUUAUUUCUCUGGCAUCGUAGUAUAUUAAAGCUGAAGGCGGUGAAUCUUAUUUCCUUAGCGUUGCAGUGGAACAGAUUAAAGCUAAAGGCAGCGAAUCUUAUUUACCUGGAGUCGUAGUAGAUUAAACUUGAAGGCAGCGAAUCUCAUUUUCCGGGUGUUGCAGUAGAUUAAAGUUGAAGGAAGUGAAUCUUAUUCCUUUGGCAUCACAGUGGAACAAAUUAAAGCUGAAGGCAGCGAAUCUCAUUUCCCUAACGUCGUAAUAGAUUAAAGCUGAAGGCAUCGAAUCUUAUUUCCUAAGCGUUGCAGUGGAACAGGUUAAACCUGAAGCUAGUGAAUCUUAUUUCCCUGGCGUCACAGUAGGUUAAAGCUGAAUGCAGCGAAUCUCAUUUUCUUGGCAUUACAGUGGAACAGAUUAACGCUAAAUGCAGUGUAUCUUAUAUCCCUGGCGUCGCAGUAAGCUAAAGUUGAAGGCAGAGAAUCUUAUUUCCUUGGCGUUGCAGUGGAACAUAUUAAAGUUGAAGGCAGUAAAUCUUAUUUCCUUGGCGUUGCAGUGGAACAGAAUAAAACUGAAGGUAGCAAACUUUAUUUCCAUGUCGUCACAGUAAAUUAAAGCUGAAGGUAGCAAAUCUUAUUUCCUUAGCAUUGCAGUGGAACAGGUUAAAGCUGAAGGCAGCGAAUCUCAUCUCCUUGCUAUUGUAGUGGAACAGAUUAAAGCUGAAGGCAAGGAAUCUUAUUUCCCUGGCACCGCAAUAGACUAAAGGUAAAGGCGGUGAAUCUUAUUUCCUUGGCGUUUCAGUAGAACAGAUUAAAGCUGAAGGCAGCGAAUCUUAUUUCCCUGCCGUUGCAGUAGAACAGAGUAAAGCAGAAGGCAACAAAUCUUAUUUCCCUGACGUCGCAGUAGACUAAAGCUAAAGCCAACGACUCUUAUUUCCCCGGCGUUGCAGUGGAAUAGAUUAAAGCUGAAAGCAGCGAAUUCCAUUUCCUUGGCAUUGCAGAGGAACAAAUUAAAGCUGAAGGGAGCAAAUCUUAUUUCCUUGGCAUCGCAUUAGAUGAAAGCUGAAGGCAGCAAAUCUCCUUUCCUUGGCGUUGUAGUUGAACUGAUUAAAGUUGAAGACAGCAAAUCUUAUUUCGUUGCCGUCAGAGUAGAUUAAACCUUAAGGCAGUGAAUCUUAUUUCCUUAGCGUUGCAGUGGAACAUAUUAAAGCUGAAGGCAAUAAAUCUUAUUUCCUUGACAUUGUAGUAGAACAGAUUAAAGCUAAAGGCAACGAAUCUUAUUUCCCUGUCAUCGCAGUAUAUUCAAGCUGAAGGUAGCGAAUCUUUUUUCGUUGGCGUUGCAAUGGAACAGAUUAUAGCUGACGGCAGCGAAUCCCAUUUUCUUGGCAUUGCAGUGGAUCAAAUUAAAAUUGAAGGCAGCAAAUCUUAUUUCCUUGGCAUUGCAUUAGAUUAAAGCUGAAGGUAGCAAAUCUCAUUUCUUUGGUGUUGCAGUGGAACAGAUUAAAGCUAAAGGCAGCGAAUCUUAUUUCCCUGUCGUCGCAGUUGAUUAAAGUUGAAGGCAACAAAUUUUAUUUCCUUGGAGUUGUAGUAGAACAGAUUUAAGCAGAAGGCACCAAAUCUUAUUUCCCUGACGUUGCAAUAGACUAAAGCUAAAGCCAGUGAAUCUUAUUUCCUUAGCAUUGCAGUAGAACAGAUUAAAGCUGACGACAGCGAAUUACAUUUCCUUGGCAUUACAGUGGAACAAAUUAAAGCUGAAAGAAGCAAAUCUUAUUUUCUUGGCGUCGUAUUAGAUUAAAGCUGAAGGCAGCGAAUCUCAUUUCCUUGGCGUAGUAGUGGAAAAGUAGAAGGCAACAAAUCUUAUUUCUCUAGCGUCGUAGUAGAUUAAAGCUGAAGGCAACAAACCUCAUUUCCCAGGCAUUGCAGUGGAAUAGAUUAAAGCUGAAGCAGUGAAUCUUAUUUCCCCGGUGUCGUAGUAGAUUAAAAUUGAAGGCAAUGAAUCUUAUUUCGAUUGCGUUGUAGUGGAACAAAUUAAAGCUGAAGGUAGUAAAUCUUAUUUCCCUAGCGUCACAGCAGAUUAAAGCUGAAGGCAGCAAAUCUCUUUUCCCUGGCAUUGCAGUGGAACAGAUUAAAGCUGAAUGGAGUAAAUCUUAUUUCUCUGGCAUCGUAGUAUAUUAAAGCUGAAGGCGGUGAAUCUUAUUUCCUUAGCGUUGCAGUGGAACAGAUUAAAGCUAAAGGCAACGAAUCUUAUUUACCUGGAGUCGUAGUAGAUUAAACUUGAAGGCAGCGAAUCUCAUUUCCCUGGUGUUGCAGUAGAUUAAAGCUGAAGGAAGCGAAUCUUAUUCCUUUGGCAUCACAGUGGAACAAAUUAAAGUUGAAGGCAGCGAAUCUCAUUUCCCUAAUGUCGUAAUAGAUUAAAGCUGAAGGCAUCGAAUCUUAUUUCCUAAGCGUUGCAGUGGAACAGAUUAAACCUGAAGCCAGUGAAUCUUAUUUCCCUGGCGUCGCAGUAGGUUAAAGCUGAAUGCAGCGAAUCUCAUUUUCUUGGCAUUGCAGUGGAACAGAUUAACGCUAAAGGCAGUGAAUCUUAUAUCCCUAGCUUCGCAGUAAGCUAAAGUUGAAGGCAGAGAAUCUUAUUUCCUUGGCGUUGCAGUGGAACAUAUUAAAGUUGAAGGCAGUAAAUCUUAUUUCCUUGGCGUUGCAGUGGAACAGAUUAAAACUGAAGGUAGCGAACUUUAUUUCCAUGUCGUCGCAGUAAAUUAAAGCUGAAGGUAGCAAAUCUUAUUUCCUUAGCAUUGCAAUGGAACAGGUUAAAGCUGAAGGCGGCGAAUUUCAUCUCCUUGCCGUUGUAGUGGAACAGAUUAAAGCUGAAGGCAAUGAAUCUUAUUUCCCUGGCACAGCAAUAGACUAAAGGUAAAGGCGGUGAAUCUUAUUUCCUUGGCAUUUCAGUAGAACAGAUUAAAGCUGAAGGCAGCGAAUCUUAUUUUUUCUGUCGUUGCAGUAGAACAGAGUAAAAGUAGAAGGCAACAAAUCUUAUUUCCCUGACGUCGCAGUAGACUAAAGCUAAAGCCAACGACUCUUAUUUCCCCGGCGUUGCAGUGGAACAGAUUAAAGCUGAAAGCAGCGAAUUCCAUUUCCUUGGCAUUGCAGUGGAACAAAUUAAAGCUGAAGGCAGCAAAUCUUAUUUCCUUGGCAUCGCAUUAGGUGAAAGCUAAAGGCAGGAAAUCUCAUUUCCUUGGCGUUGCAGUUGAACUGAUUAAAGUUGAAGGCAGCAAAUCUUAUUUUGCUGGCGUCAGAGUAGAUUAAACCUUAAGGCAGUGAAUCUUAUUUCCUUAGCGUUGCAGUGGAACAUAUUAAAGCUGAAGGCAAUAAAUCUUAUUUCCUUGGCAUUGUAGUAGAACAGAUUAAAGCUGAAGGCAGCGAAUCUUAUUUCCCUGUCAUCGCAGUAGAUUCAAGCUGAAGGUAGCGAAUCUUAUUUCGUUGGCGUUGCAGUGGAACAGAUUAUAGCUGACGGCAGCGAAUCCCAUUUUCUUGGCAUUGCAGUGGAUCAAAUUAAAAUUGAAGGUAGCAAAUCUUAUUUCCUUUGCGUCGCAUUAGAUUAAAGCUGAAGGUAGCAAAUCUCAUUUCUUUGGUGUUGCAGUGGAACAGAUUAAAGCUGAAGGCAGCGAAUCUUAUUUCCCUGUCGUCGCAGUUGAUUAAAGUUGAAGGCAGCAAAUUUUAUUUCCUUGGAGUUGUAGUAGAACAGAUUAAAGCAGAAGGCACCAAAUCUUAUUUCCCUGACGUCGCAAUAGACUAAAGCUAAAGCCAGCGAAUCUUAUUUCCUUAGCAUUGCAGUAGAACAGGGUAAAGCUAACGACAGCGAAUUACAUUUCCUUGGCAUUACAGUGGAACAAAUUAAAGCUGAAAGAAGCAAAUCUUAUUUCCUUGGCGUCGUAUUAGAUUAAAGCUGAAGGCAGCAAAUCUCAUUUCCUUAGCGUAGUAAUGGAAAAGCAGAAGGCAGCAAAUCUUAUUUCUCUAGCGUCGUAGUAGAUUAAAGCUGAAGGCAACAAAUCUCAUUUCCCUGGCGUUGCAGUAGAACAGAUUAAAGUUUAAGCCAAUAAAUCUUAUUUCCCUGGCAUCGCAGCAGAUUAAAGCUGAAGGCAGCGAAUCUCAUUUCCUUAGUGUUGCAGUGGAACAGAUUAAAGCUAAAGGUAGCGAAUCUUAUUUCUCUGCUGGCGCAGUAAAUUAAAGCUGAAGGAAGUGAAUCUUAUUUGCUUGGCGUUAUAGUGGAACAGAUUAAAGUUAAAGGCAACAAAUCUUAUUUCCCUGGCGUCGCAGUAGAUUCAAGUUGAAGGCAGUGAAUCUCAUUUCAUUUGCAAUGCAGUAGAAUAGAUUAAAGCUGAAUGCAGCAAAUCUUAUUUCCCUGGCAUCGCAGUAGAUUAAAGAUGAAGGCAGCGAGUCUUAUUUCCUUAGCGUUGUAGUGGAAUAGAUUAAAGCAGAAGGCAGUGAAUCUUAUUUCCCUGGCGUCGCAGUAGGUUAAAGCUGAAGCCAGAGAAUCUCAUUUUUUUGUAGUCGCAGUGGAACAGAUUAAAGCUGACGGUAACAAAUCUUAUUUCCCUAGCGUCGCAGUAGAUUAAAGCAGGAGGCAACAAAUUUCAUUUCCCUAGCAUUGUAGUGGAACAGAAUAAAGCUGAAGGCAGUAAAUAUUAUUUCCCUAGCGUCGCAGUAGAUUAAAGCUGAAGGCAACGAAUCUCAUCUCCUUGGUAUUGCAGCGGAACAGAUUAAAACUGAAGGCAGCAAACCUUAUUUCCCUGGCGUCACAGUAGAAUAAAGAUAAUGCCAGUGAAUCUUAUUUCCCUGGCGUUGCAGUGGAACAGAUUAAAGCUGAUGACAGCGAAUCUCCUUUCCUUGGCGUUGUAGUGGAACAAAUUAAAGCUGAAGGCAACAAAUCUUAUUUCCUUAACGUCACAUUAGAUUAAAGCUAAAGGUAGCAAAUCUCAUUUCCUUAGUGUUGCAGUGGAACAGAUUAAAGUAGGAGGCAACAAAUCUUAUUUCUCUAGCGUCGCAGUAGAUUAAAGUUAAAGGCAGCAAAUAUCAUUUCCCUGGCAUUGCAGUGGAACAAAUUAAAGUUAAAGGCAGUAAAUUUUAUUUCCCUGGCAUCGCAGUAGAUUAAAGCUGCACGUAGCAAAUCUCAUUUCCUUGGUGUUGCAGUGGAAUAGAUUAAAGUUGAAGGCAGCGAAUCUUAUUUCCCUGGCAUCGCAGUAGAUUAAAGCUGAAGGCAGUGAAUCUUAUUUCAUUUUCGUUGCAGUGGAACAGAUUAAAGUUGAAGGUAACGAAUUUUAUUUCCCUAGCGUUGCAGUAGAUUAAAGCUAAAGGCAGCGAAUCUCAUUUCCAUUGCAUUGCAGUGGAAGAAAUUAAAGCUGACGGCAUCAAAUCUUUUUUCCCUAGCGUCGCUCUAGAUUAAAUUUAAAGGCAUCGAAUCUCAUUUCCCUGGCGUUGCACUGGAACAUAUUAAAGCUGAAAGAAGUAAUCUUAUUUUCCUGACGUCACAGUAGAUUAAAGUUGAAGGCAGCGAAUCUCAUUUUCUUGGCAUUCGAGUGGAACAGAUUAAAGCUAAAGGAAGCGAAUCUUAUUUACCUGGCGUCGCAGUAGAUUAAAGUUGAAAGCGGUGAAUCUUAUUUCUCUGGCUUCACAGUAGAUUAAAGCUAAAGGAAAGGAAUCUUAUUUUCUUAAUUUUGCAGUAGAACAAAUUAAAGCUGAAGCCAACAAAUAUUAUUUCUCUGUCGUCUUAGUAGAUUAAAACUAAAGGCAGCGAAUCACAUUUCCUUGGCAUUGCAGUGGAACAGAUUAACACUGAAGGCAGCGAAUCUUAUUUCCCUAGCAUCGCAGUAGACUAAAGCUGAAGGCGGCGAAUGUUAUUUCCUUGGCGUUGCAGUGGAACAGAUUAAAGCUGAAGGCAGUGAAUCUUAUUUCCCUUGCAUCGUAGUAAAUUAAAGUUGAAGGCAGUGAAUCUUACUUUCUGGGCAAUACAGUGGAACAGUUUAAAGCUGAAGGCAGCAAAUCUUAUUUCCUUGGCGUCGCAGUAGAUUAAAGCUGAAGGCAGCAAACUUAUUUCCUUGGCGUUGCAGUGGGAUGGUUUGAAGUUAUCAUGGUAGAUCUUAUCUCCCUGAACUUGCAGUGGAACAGAUUAAAGCCACAAACCUUAUCCCCUUGAAGUUGCAGUAGAGCAGAUUAAAGCCACAACCCUUAUCCCCAUGAAGUUGCAGUGAGGCAGGUUGAAGUGACAAAUCUUAUCUUCCUGAAGUUGCAGUGGAGCAGAUUGAAACCACCAGUCUUAUUUCCCUGAAGUUGCAGUGGAGCAGACUAAAACCACAAAUCUCUUCCCCUUUGAAAUCGCGACAGAGUAUAUUGAAGUUACGAUUCGUAUCUGAAGUUGCAGUAGAGUGGAUCAAAGCAACAAGAUGCAGUGGGCUAGAAUUAGGCUACUUGAUGAAGAGAAGCACCAAGUAAGGUGAAGACUCGGCAAGACUAGGAAAAAUUAGCCCUUUUUGAGUCGUUGCUCCAUUUUCGUUACACGACAAUGAGCAAAGAGGAGCAACUGUAAUAGGCCAAUUUUGGCCUGGCCCAAAAUUAACCAAAUUAAAAAAGAAACCAAAUAUAAAAAUUAAUAAUUGACCAAUAACAGUCCAGAGUUACAGUGGUCCAAUUAACCCAAGAUUAAAUAGCAGUCCAAAACCUCUAGCUCAAUUACAACUAGCCCAAAACCAAUAGCCAAAGAAAUACAAGAAAACCCUACCAGUAGACCAACAGCUGCCGCCAUUCCUCACGCGCACAACGCCCCCACGUGCCUCCAGCUGGCUGUACCUGCAAAACAAAUGAAACCAACAAGGGCAACAAGGAAAGGCAAUAACAAAAAAAGAGCUAGCAAAUGAAAAAGGAGAAUAAUAGAAAAUAAGAUAUUUCUUUCUUGUAAUUUUAUUAUUUUAUUUUUAUCGGCUAUAUAAGGCCGAAUAAUCUGUAAAAAAAGGGGGAGAAAAUUAAAAAAAGCAAUAAAAAAUCGAUCACAGUUUUUAAAAGUGAUCUAAAUUUCUUUUUUUCCAUUUAACUUCUUUGCUAUUUUCCUUAGUUUUUUUCGUUGAUGCUUGUUUACUGUUUAAGAAAAAAUACACAAAAAAGGGGUGAGGGUUUACCUUAGUGUUGGUGCCGAUUGGAUCCUUGUUCAUUUCGUUGCAAUCAAAGCUCAAGCGAGGGUUGUAAAGCUGAAGUCAGCAAAUCUUAUUUCCCUGGCGUCGCAGUAGAUUAAAGCUGAAGGCAGCGAAUCUGAUUUCCUUUGCGUUGCAGAGGAACAGAUUAAAGCUGAAGGCAGCAAAUCCUAUUUCCCUGGUGUCACAGUAGAUUAAACCUGAAGGUAGCGAAUUAUAUUGCCUUGGCGUUGCAGUGGAACAGAUUAAAGUUGAAGGCAGUAAAUCUUAUUUCCCUGGCGUCGCAGUAGAUUAAAGCUGAAGACAACGAAUCUCAUUUCCUUGGCGUUACGGUGGAAUAGAUUAUAGCUGAAGGUACCAAAUCUUAUUUCCCUGGCGUCAUAGUAGAUUAAAGCUAAAGGCAGCGAAUCUCAUUUCCUUGGCGUUAUAGUGGAACAGAUUAAAGCUGAAGGUAGUAAAUCUUAUUUCCUUGGCGUCGCAGUAGAUUAAAGCUGAAGGUAGUGAAUCUUAUUUCCUUGGCGGUGUAGUGGAAUAGAUUGAAGCUGAAGGUAACAAAUCUUAUUUCCUUGGCCUCGUAGUAGAUUAAAGCUAAAGGUAGCGAAUCACAUUUCUUUGGUAUUGCAGUGGAACAGAGUAAACCUUAAGGCAGCGAAUCUUAUUUCCCUGGCGUUGCAGUAGAUUAAAGCUGAAGGCAGCGAAUCUCAUUUCUUUGGCAUUGUAGUGGGAUAGAUUAAAGUUGAAGGCAGCGAAUCUUAUUUCCCCGACGUCGUAGUAGAUUAAAACUGAAUGCAGCAAAUCUCAUUUCAUUGGCGUUGCAGUGGAACAGUUUAAAGCUAAAGGCAGCGAAUCUUAUUUCCCUAGUGUCGAAAUAGAUUAAAGCUGAAGGCAGCAAAUCUCAUUUCCUUGGCGUUGCAAUGAAAUAGAUUAAAAUUGAAGGUAACGAAUCUUAUUUCCUUGGCAUCGCAGUAGAUUAAAGCUCAAGGCAGAGAAUCUUAUUUCCUUGGCGUUGCAAUGGAACAGAUUAAAGCUGAAGGCAGCGAAUCUUAUUUCCCUGGCAUCAUAGUGGGAUGGUUUGAGGUUAUCAUGGUAGAUCUUAUCUCCCUGAAGUUGCAGUGGAGCAGAUUAAAGCCACAAACCUUAUCCCCUUGAAGUUGCAGUGAGGCAGGUUGAAGUGACAAAUCUUAUCUUCCUGAAGUUGCAAUGGAGUAGAUUGAAGCCACCAGUCUUAUUUCCCUAAAGUUGCAGUGGAGCAGACUAAAACCAUAAAUCUCGUCCCCUUUAAAAUCGCGACAGAGUAGAUUGAAGCUACGAGUUGUAUCUGAAGUUGCAGUAAAGUGGAUCGAAGUAACAAGAUGCAGUGGGUUGGAAUUAGGCUACUUGAAGAAGAGAAGCACCAAAAUAGGUGAAGAAUCGGUAAGACUAGGAAAAAUUGUCCCUUUUCUAGUCUUUGCUCCAUUUUCGUUACACGACAACGAGCAAAAAAAGGCAGCUGUAAUAGGCCAAUUUUGGCCUGGCCCAAUAUUAACCAAAUUAAAAAAGAAACCAAAUAUAAAAAUUAAUAAUUUUCCAAUAACAGUCUAGAGUUACAGUGGCCCAAUUAACCCAAGAUCAAACAGUAGCCCAAAACCCCUAGCCCAAUUACAACAAGCCCAAAACCAAUAGCAAAAGAAAGACCAGAAAACCCUAGCAACAGACCAGCAGCCAUCGCCGCUCUCCACGCGCGUCCAGCUGGCUGUACCCGCAAAACAAACAAAAUCAACAAGGAUAGAAAGGAAAGGCAAUAACAAAAAAAGAGCUAGAAAAUGAAAAAGGAGAAUAACAGAAAAUGAGAUUUUUCUUUCUUGUAAUUUUAUUUUUUGUUUUUCUCGGCUAUAUAAGGACGAAUAAUCUGUAAAAAAAGGGGGGAGAAAUUAAAAAAAGCAGUAAACAAAAUCAAUCACAGUUUUCGAAGGUGAUCUAAAUUUUCUUUUUCAUUUAAUUUCUUUGUUGUUUUCCUUAGUUUUUUUUCGUUGAUGCUUGCUUACUGUUUAAGAAAAGAAACACAAAAAAGGGCGAGGGUUUACCUUAAUGUCGGCGCCUAUUGGAUCCUUGUUCGCUUCGUCGCAAUCGAAGCUCAAGCGAGGGUUGUAAGGCCGAAGAUUGGCAGAGCUUUCGGCGGCAUGGGAAUGGGUUCAAAAACCCUAGCAGAGGAAAAAGGGGAUAAUAGUUUUUUUUAAAUAAUGAUAGAAAGUAGUUUUUAAAAAAAAUUGUUGAUUUUUUAUUAGGUAUGAAACGGCAUCGUUUAAGGCCUAUUUUAGUGGCCUCAGAACUGUGUCGUAUAAAGCCAUGACCCACGUGGUGACCCGACCUAAGGGAAGGAUCCACGUGUUUUUUAUUGAUGGGUAAUUUGCAUCUCUGGUCCCGCCGCAUUUUUAUUUAUUUUAUUCAGUUGUUUUCAUUUUUUUCAAUUGAUACUGUAAAUUUUAUUCGGUUUCUGAUUCGGUCCUGAUGAAACGACGCGUUUUAGAAGGCGAUAAUAUUUCUCCAUUCAGUCCCUCUGAGUUAUUCGCAUCUUUCAAUUGGCCCCUUCAUUUUGUUUUAUUUUCUUUUUUUUUCCAUUUAAUUUUGUUUUGAGUUUAAUUUAAUCCAUGCUUAUUUAAUUUAAUGUACUUGAUUUUUAUUCUGUUUAAAAUCCAUUUUUUUGUUAUUUUUAAAUAUAUUUAUUUUUAAAUCUAACUUUCUUUUUAUGUUUAAGUUUAAUAUAUUUUUAAGUUUAUUAUCAAUAUUAGUUCAAUAUUAUAAUAUAUUAUUAUUCUAAAUUUAUCAUUAACAUUAUUUUAGGUGUAUCAUGUAUUUUUUAUUUAAAUUUAUCAUGUAUUAUCUUAUGCAUUCUUGUUGUAAUUUCAAUAUAAUUUAUACAUUUUUUUACGGUUUUAUUUUGUAAUACAUUUUUAGGUCAUUUUAUUUGUGAUAGGCUUUUAGGUCAUUAACUUUUAAAUAUUGGUGUUAAUAUUUACAUAUGAUGUGAGAUUAUUGUUAUUACGUACAUUGUAUUGCUUGUUUAUAUUGAUAGACUAUUCGCGUUCAUUUGUCCGUAUUUUGGCUUACAAAUUAUUCUUUCGAGUUAUACAUUGUCAUCUCAUUGUGUUUUAUUUGUCAAAAAUUUCAUUUUAUUUAAACAUUGAAAUCAUUUUAUUCAAAAGUUUCCAAAAUAAUGCAAUAAUUGGUAUUUGGAACUUCGAGAAAUCGUGCCCUAACUUACGGGGUUUCGAUUUCCUCGUCGAACUAAAACGGCCAAACAUUUUAGUUUUCAAAUACACAAAGUUUCAAUAAAAAUUUUUAAAGGUUAUCUUAUACUCGGGAAAUCCAACGUUGCAUCCUAACUUACAGGAUACGAUAUUUGGUUGCUCCGAGAUGAGAAGGCCUUUUUUACAUUCGUUCAAAUCUAUCCAAGAAUUAUUUUAAAAUAUGGCAUUAAUAAAAAGGGGAAAUCAUUUUUAAUCUCUUCGAAUUUUCAACAUUCGACUUUAAGACAUUAAAUAAUCAAUUCGGUACCAAUUUUGGGCGUUAUGAGGGUGCUAAUCCUUCCUCGUACGUAACUAACUCCCGAACCCGUUUUUACUAAAACUAGUAGACCAAAAUCAUUUUUAAGGUGAUCCGAUCACACCUCAAUAAAAGAUCGGUGGCGACUCCAAUUUUCAUUUUUUUUUAAGUUGACAUUAUUUUUUAUUUUCAAAAAGUGGUUUCGACAGUCAACAUACAAGGAGAGUCUGUGUGUCAAGUCUAAGGAUUAUUUAUACUACCAAUACAAGGAGUAUUUCUAUAAACACUUAGGGGAUGUUUGGUUGAAGGUAAUGGUUAUGCCAUUACCAGUCUAUUACAAGCCUAUUCUACAGGCCCACUUAAGAUGUUUGGUUCAAGGGAAUACCCUAUUACACAUGUAUUCUGUUCCAGGCUUAAGUAGAGAUAAUUAGGGAUCUUUAUUCCCUUCCCUCUUCACCGUUUACCCAUUCGUUGCCAUAUGAACCCUAUUUUACCCUCACAAAUUCUUACCUCAAAAUCACUCGAACGACAACCAUUUCUUGCUUCCUUCGACUCCGACAUUCCUCCCCUUCAUCCAAGGUCAAGUAAACGUUUUUCCUUCUACUGUUACUUUCAUUUUCCUACCUGUCUAUUUUUUUCUUACCCAAGUUGCGUGCCAAGUGGGGGCAUUAAGGUGGCCUGGGACGAGAGAGAAUUGAACAACCAGUCGGCUUGGGAAGGGGUUGAGUAGGCCUUUGCUGGCUCAGCGUGUGAGAGGGAGGUAUGCCGAAACAGUGCAGUACAAUAACAUCAAAUUUCAAGUGUGGGGUUUAGGUAUGCCGAUCACUACUUCUUAAUCUGGAUCUUUAACAUGUAUAGUAUAUUUUUUAUAGUACUGUCCUGAAAGUUUGAUAAUAUUUUCUUAUCUAUUUGAUUAUUUGAAGGUAAAGAGAUGGCGAAGUUCAUAAUUUCUUAUAUCAAAGGCUUGAGAUAAUGCUUGUUGUUAUAAAUCUCAACUGUAUAAAGUAGCUUUAAUCCGCAACUUACAUGAUUCUUUUGCCUCUUGCCGAUAUCUUUAUAUGUCUGUUCUUGGUAUUUCUUCCGUAAAACCAUCAUAGUAGCAGCUUUAAGCAAAUUUACAACACUGAUCACUCUUUAUCAUCAAAGCUUUACUUUUCCGAUACUGGAUGAAAUAUGAUAUAGUGUGGGAUAUUCUGUCUCUAGCUGCCAAUCCAAAAGCUAUUUCUGCAAACUUAAGGUUCUCCUUUUCUGAUUCCAAGUUUGUUGUUAUUCAAAGCCACUGAACUUCGUCAAAACUAAUAGUACUAAGUUGUGGAAUUUUAAUGCUUUAUUAUUAGACUAAAAUGUAUUCAUUUAAUACCUUGUUCUGCAAUUUUUUCUUUCUUUUAUCUUUUGGAGCUUUAAUAUUUUAACACAAGUGAUGUCAAUUUUUUGUCUUGAUAAUAUCUUUAUUAUUUACUGAUGCAAGUGGACAGACAUAUAUCAAGUAACUUUCACAAACAUGCAUUGCUUUUAUAUUCCUUCAUUAUUUACUAAUAUUCUACUGGCCAAUGGCAACUUUGAAAUAAGAUGUUUGGUUUCUGGAAGCUCUCUGUAAAGUUUGUCUUUAUGAGUCUACAUCUGGCCGCUUAGAAAUUUAAUUAAGCUAAUAGUUUUUGCUCUUAAACUUAUAUGACAUUCUGUAAGUUCUUUUAAAUUGUAAAAGAGGUGUAUGCCUAGAUUUUAUAACUAUUGUUAUUAACAAUCCCAUGGCUAAUAAGUGAAUUUCCAUUUUCUUUUUACCUUUAGAACAAACUAACUUUGAGUCUGUCAUAGUAUCUCAAUAUUUUAUACAUGGGAUGCCACUAUUUGUACUACUUUUAUAAUUAGGACUUGGGAUUUAAUUUAUUAGCGUUAUUCCAGGUUAUCUCAAUGUCUAAAAGUGUUGAAAUGAAAUAAAAGUUUACAUCUAUGCUUUCCUGUGGUUCAUGACAGACGAAAAGGUUAAUCAUCCUAUUCAAUUUUAGUAUAUGGUUCAUAUUUUGUUCCCAUAUUCAAUAAAACGGUGCUUCUAGUAUAGGCCAGCCUCUGUAGUAACAUUUCAUGCAUUGUAAAUGAAAUAUAGAUUAUUUUGCUAUGGUAUAUCUUAUAAAUAUUAAUCAUCCUCUUUCUUAAAAACUUCCUAAAACCUUGCUAUGGUAUAUCUUAUAAAUAUUUCAUGCAUUGAAGAUAAUAUAUAGAUUACUUUGCAGGCGGCAACAUUGAUCUCAUGGUCUACUGUAGUAACAUUUGUGUUUUAGAAGUUUGACAAAAAGAAAGAAUGCUACAUGAAAACCUUCUUUCUGCUUCCUAGAAUGUGAUUCUGACUUGUUUAUAUGUCUGUAACCAACAACACUUACUUGGUGUUUACAAUAUCUUACUUCAUUUUUCAAUGCUUGUUUUAUGUAUUUCAUUAAUGCUUCUUCUGGACAAGUUUCAAGUGUAAAUCUUUUACAGGAAGAGGAGCUGAGCGAAGCAGCAGUUCUUAUUUUUCUUAAUUUUGCAGAUAAGCAGAUUGGUAAGUUUCAUGUCUCACAUGUAAUUCAUGUUAUCAUUGAAUAUACUUGGCAAAAUUGCCUUGCAGCCUAUGCUAUGAUGAGAUUCAUUGUAUGUAUUUAUAAGUAAGAACUUCAAAAUGAUUUAUGCCCGUGUUCUAUGCAUCUUUCAACAAUAGAAACUAGUUUUAAAUUAUAUUUAUCCACUCCUUGAACAAAUCAUCUUUUAAGUGGUAGAAUGCUGAGUCAUUUGUUCAUGCACAUUGAGUUGUUCAUCAUCAAAGUAAGGGAUCUGUGAACCUAUUUGAUCAUCCUCAGUAACUCCUAAAGGAAAUUAAUUUAUUGGUCAUCAUUGUAGGUUGAAGGUAGCAACAAGAAGGGGGAAAAAUAUCACUCAAGGGUGUGAUAAGAUAACAAUACCCUCCCAAUGUCUUUGUUGUAAGUUGGUUAUGUGUUCAACUUUGGAAAGAUGAAAUUUGUUAAUGGAAAAGGAAGCUGCCAAGUUAAAGAGCAGCACACCCUCGUAGGCUACCAAAUGUCAAGAGUCAAGAACAACAAAAAAAAUCAACAAAGAAAAGGGACAUAAACAAAUAUCUCCACUGGAAUGAUGAUACCAUUACUCUUUUCUAGUAAUACGGGAAAUACAAUAUAUCCAUGUUAAACUACAUUUACAAUUCAAAUUUGAUCUUUUUACUUUAAACAAGAAAGUUUUGGUUAUAUUUAAUUUUCGAUAUGUUUUUAUUUUUGAUAUGUUUCAUUUAAAACUAUUUUAAUCUUUUAAUAUAUUAUUAAACUAUUUUUAUUUUCGAUAUAUUUAAUUUAUGUUAUAUUUAAUUUUGGUCUUCAAAAAUGUUUUAUAGUACUUAUAUUGUUUGAUUAAAAACUAUAAUUAACACUACAAAAAUUAUCUCAACAAACGAAACAAUAAAAAAAAAAAGUAAAAUGCUACAAACAAAUCAUGUUAUGGUAAGAAUGUAAUGUAUAUGGAGUUUUAGAUUUUAUUUAAAUAAAAUAAUAAUUGAAUAUUUUAAAAUACAUAAUUUUUAAGAUAUUUAACGCACUAUAUACCAAUAAUCAAAUUGAGUUAAUACAAAAUAAAAGAAAUUAAGACCUAUUUUCUUUCUCAUAAAAAUAUUAAAUUCAUAUUAAUCAAAUGGGUUUUUUUAAAUAAUUAUUAAACAUCAGCCAUCAAUUAAUCAAAUCUUCAAAAACACAUUCUUUUCUUUUCUUUCUUUUUUUUCUUUUUUGGAUGAUUGAUAAAGAAAUGAAUGUCAAGUUUUUUACUCGCAAAGAUAGUUGUAAUUUCUAUUUUGUGCUUUGUAAAUAUUCUUAAUAUAUAUUGUUUAUUUUUCUUUGAUAGUGUGUUAUAGCUUCCUCUUCUUCUUUGGCUUGUUUGAUUGCUUCCUUCACUCAUAGUUGAGCGUCUUGUAUCCUGUGAGGGUGCACAAUAAAAUCAUUAUUGCAUGUUGUUUGCUCCAUAAGUUUAUUCGAACCUAUAUGAGUCUUGAUCCUAUUGAAGCGGAGUUGGGAGAAAGAUUACCUAGUAAUGUGAUAGAUGACGACAAACCGAAUAUCGUAAAUAUUCAUCCAUCGGAUGCAUGGGCUACUUGGAGGAUAGAACUAGCCAACCAAAUGUUUAUUCUACCAAUACAGGAAGUAUUUCUGUAAACACUAAGGUGUUUUUCACCCUAUAACCUUAUAUUAAUAUUUGUUACUUUUAUGAAAAUUUAAGUUUUAAAUAAUUUUUCGACUAAAUUAAUAUUAAAUUAGCUUGUAACACCAAUUUAAUAAAAUAUAUAAAACAAGCAUAAAUAUAAUUUCAUUAAAACCUGUCAAUAAAAAAAGUACCAUUAAUUCCUUUGAAGUCCUCACUUUUUGGGUCUUAAUGGGUGAGAAAUUUCUUAAAUAGAAACUGAAGACGAUAUUUUAAGUAAAGGGGACGUUAAAACCCAAGUCUUUGGAAAAUAAAUUGCAUCACGACUGAACCAAAAAUUCCCUUAAGUUAUAAUUAGGCACUUAAUGGAAAAGUAAGUCAACAAAAUAAUAGAAAAGGACUUGGGCACAAUUAAUUUAUACUCUAAUGUCUCGUGUAUAAUGCUAUAAGGAUAAUGCUUAUUUAUUAUUAUCUAUUAUAUAGAAAUAUGGACCAUCAGAAACAAAAAAAGCAAAGAUUCUAUCCUUUUAUUAUAUAUUAUUGAUACUAACAACAUAGAAAUUUCCAGGAAAAAGAAAGCACAACACAUGAAGUAAAUUACAUGACAUCGACUGAAGCAAUGAUAACAACUGGCCCCUACAACAAUUGCAACAAGACCUUGACUCCUAUAAUCACUUUCCUUAAAUUCUUCUCUUUGGAAACUAUAACAUAUAUGCUACUACUGAACCUUUAGCAAACAAUUAAGUUUACGUAAUUCAACAUGGCCUCAUCCUCAACCUUUUCCGUUAUUUUAGGUGUUGACACCAAUUUUUUUGUGAAAAUGGGGUCGACUUGAAUUUUGAAAACGAAAAUUAAAAUGGGAGUCGUCACCAAUCCUUUUUGAUAAGGUGUGAUCGGACCACAUUGAAAAGUGGUUGUUUUUAAUAAACAAUUUAAUUUUAUUAAAACAACGAUUUUGGUCCAUGAAAUUCAGAAAAAUAGGUUCGGAAGUCGGUUACGUACGGGGAAGGAUUAGCACCCUCGUAACGCCCAAAAUUGGUACCUAGUUGAUUAUUUAGUGUUUUUAGUGUCGAUGAUUGAAAACUUUAAAGAAUUUUAAAAAUACGAUCCUAAAAAUUUUCGAACAAUAUGGGUUGAAAUUUAGGAUUCUCUUGUUCCGAAAGAAUAUCACAUCCAGCACAUUAGGAUACGAUACUUUAAACUCUCGAAACCAAGAUCACCUUAUGGUUUCCAAAACCCAUACUUUGAAACUUUAAGAGGGUAUUUGGCUAUUUGGCUAAACGAGAAAUCGAAACCCAGCACAUUAGGCCACGUUUUCUCGAAUUUCCAAACACAAAAUAUUGCCUUAAUUUAAAAUUUUCUUUUUGUAUUUGGAUAAAAAUUAUAUCUGACGGAACAAUAAUUAUGAUAAUGUAAGUAAAAAUAAUACGAGCAAAACAAAAAUAAUAAAAGAUAAAUAAAAAAACAAAUCAAUCACGUACACAACAACAAGCAAAUAAACAAGUAAAAAAAACUAAAGCAUUUAAAGUAAUAAUAAUGGAUAUGUAGAUGAGCGAGUAAAUGAACAUCAAGUGAAGCCAUAAUAACAACAAAGAAAAUAGAUAAAAAUUAUAAAAUAUAAAAGUAUAUAUGUACAUAUAAGAGAAAUAUAUAUGUAUAUAUAUACAUAAAAUUAUGAAAAUAUGAAAAAUAUAUGUAUAUAUAUAUAUUUUAAAGAUGUAAAACAUAAAAAGAUAAACAUGUGUGUAUGUACAUACAUAUAUACGUAUAUAACAAUCAUGGAAUAUAAAAAGUAUAUAUGUAGGUAUAUAUAUGAAUCAUAAAAUAUAAAGAAUAUAUAUAAAAUACAUGUUUUAAAAGUAUAAAGAAUAUGUAAGUAUAUAUAUAUUUAUGAAAAUAAAAUACAUAUAUAGACAUGUAUAUAGAUAUGUAUAAAAAUUAUGAAAUAUAAAUAUAUAUAGGUACAUAUAUGUAUAUAUAGAUAAAUUAAAAAAUAUGCAUAUGUAUAUAUAUAUUAUAAAAACACAUGUAUGUGUAGAUAUAUAACGAAGAUUUUAAAUUUAAAAAAUAUAAAUGAGCAAAUAAUUACAAUAAUAAUUAAUAAUAAUAGUAAUAAUAUUAAAUUUAUUAAGAAAAUAAACAAAAUAACAAAAUGACUAAAUUAAACUUUAAAAUGAAAUUCGGGGUUUAAAUCAACAAAUAAAUAAAAAGGGGGAUCUUUCUGAACGCGCGCAUAACAUGGAAGGAUUAAAAGGGAAAUUUUCCCUUCCCCACUAAAACGGCGCCGUUCAAAUAGGGACUAAACUAUAAACUGCGAAGAAUUAUGGGGUAAGAUUGAAAAAUCCUAAAAUACUUGAUUGAAAAACCAUUUAAAAGUGGAGGGACUAAAAGGGUAAAUAACUCAAAGCUUAAAAACACGCAGAUCCCUUAGAGGGGGUCGGGUCGGCCAGCGGGUCAGGUUAAAAUGACAUCGUUUUGGUGCCUGAGAAGGCUGCCCAAAACGGCGUCGUUUUGGAGUUUUAUAAAUAUAAAAAAUAAUUCGAAAAAACAUUUGAAACCCUAUUUUUUAAAAAAGGAAGCCCCCGUCUCUUUCUCUGUUUUCUCUCUGGGCUUUUCCCAGAAUCCGACGAUGGGACCGCCGUAUAUGCAUAUAUAUAUAUUAGAACAAAAAAAGUAAAAAUAAAAAAUAAAAAAAUAAAUGAAUGAAAAAGGUUUCGAAAACUAAAACCUUUAUCUCUGUUUUUAUUUCAUUCUCUCUUUUUUGUUUUUUUUGUCACCCCCCUUACAGAUUUUUCAAUCGGCCUUAUAUAGCCGAAAUAAUAAUACAAAAAAUCUCUUUCUGGUAUCCCUAUUUGCUGUUUCUUGUUGGUGUCUGUUGCAGGUAUUUGACGUUUGAUGGAGUAGGUGGCAGAGUUGGUGGCCCCAGCGUUAGAGGCAGCGGUGGCAGGGCAAGUGGGCGAGGGGUCAGAAGGGGUGGCUAUGGUUAGGCAGUAGGCUAGGGUUUCAGUUUUUUCUGAAAAGUUUUAAACAUUUUGGGUCACUGGGCCUUCAUUUUUUUAGGGGUUGUAAUUUUUAAUUAUUUUUGGGCUUGCUGUAUUUGUUUUGCUGGUAUGGGCCCGGGAAAAAUUGGGCUUGUACAACUUCCCCUCUUUGCUCAUUGUCGUGUAACGGGAAUGGAGCAAAGACUAAGAAAGACCAAUUUUGUCCGGUCUUGUCGAGUCUUGCUUCUUGGUGCCUUUCUUCUUCAGGUAGACCAAUUUUGCCCGGUCUUGCCGGUCUUGUUGCUUUGAUCCACUCUACUGCACUUCAGAGAGAUAUGACUUGUAGCUUCAAUGUUCUUCGCAGCAACUUCAAAGGGACGAGAUUCGUGGCUUUAGUCUGCUCCACUGUAACGUCAGGGAGAUAAGACUUGUCAUGGUAAAUUUAAUCCGACCUACUUCAACUUCAGAGGUAUAGGAUUAGUAGCUUCAGUAUACUCUACUGCAACUUUUGGGAGAUAAGACUUGUCAUGGUAAAUUUAAUCCAACCUACUGUAACUUCAGAGGUAUAGGAUUUAUAGUUUUAAUCUGCUCUACUGUAACUUCAGGGAGAUAGGAUUUGUAUUUUCAACUUGCCCCACUGCAACUUCAUGAGGAUAAGGUUUGCUAGUUCAGCCUGCUCUACUGCAACUUCAAAGAGAUAAAGUUUGAUAUGAUCUGAUUUACUGCAACUUCAGAGAGAUGAGAUCUGUUAUUUAUAGCUUGAAUCUGUUUCACUGCAACUUUAGGGAAAUAAGAUUUGCUAUCUUUAAUCUGCUUUGCUGCAAACUAUGGUGUCUUUGAUCUGCUUCGCUGUCAGUACAAGAAGGCAAGAUCUGCUAUCUUCAGUCUGCUUCACUACAAACCUAGGGAGGCAAGACUAGUGUCUUCGAUCUUCUUCGUUGUUAGUACAGGAAGGCGAGAUCUAUUAUCUUUAGUCUGCUCCGCUGUCAGUACAGAAAGGCAAAACUGGUGUCUUUGAUCUGCUUCGCUGUCAGUACAGGAAGGCAAGAUCUGCUACCUUCAGUCUGCUCCGCUGUCAGUACAAGAAAGCAAGGCUAGUGUCUUCGAUCUGCUUCACUGUCAGUACAGGAAGGCAAGAUCUGCUAUCUUCAGUCUGCUCUGCUGUCAGUACAGGAAGGCAAGGCUGGUGUCUUUGAUAUGCUUCGCUGUCAGUACAAGAAGGUAAGAUCUACUAUCUUCAGUCUGCUCCGCUAUCAGUACAGGAAGGCAAGGCUGGUGCAUUCGAUCUGCUUCACUAUCAGUACAGGAAGGCAAGAUCUGCUAUCUUCAGUCUGCUCCGUUGUCAGUACAGGAAGGUAAGGCUGGUGUCUUUGAUCUACUUCGCUGUCAGUACAGGAAGGCAAGAUCUGCUAUCUUCAGUUUGCUCUGCUGUCAGUACAUAAAGGCAAGGUUGGUGUCUUCGAUCUACUUCACUGUCAGUACAGGAAGGCAAGAUUUGCUAUCUUCAGUAUGCUCCGCUGUCAGUACACGAAGGCAAUGCUAGUGUCUUCGAUCUGCUUCGCUGUCAGGACAGGAAGGCAAGAUCUGCUAUCUUCAUUGAUCUAUUCUUUGGGGAACAUGACCUGUAUAAUCUAUUUUAUGAACCUAAUUAUGCCUAGUGAUUAGGAUGACAUGAUCAGAAUGAAUCAAAUGCUCCUAACUAGACAUGUAUGAAUGACAUUUGAAUGAAUGCAGAAUGUCAUUUUUUCGAGAAUUAUCCUUCUUUGUCACUUAGGUUAUCAUUACUCAAAGUUUAUUAGGGUUUUGUCACUGACGCGCUACAACUCCUUCUUGCUCGGCUGGCAUAUCCAAAGAAACACUUAAUUAGAUUGCCCCUCCACUGUGAACGUCAAAGUUCAAUCCACUGGGACGCAAAAUUUGUACCAUCAUUCUCCCACUAUAACCCAAGGGUAGAAAAAUAUAGCUUUUUCUCAAUCCUCUCCUAUCGCAAUUCAAGGACACGGAAUGUGAAGCUCUUUGGUCUUUUACCCCAUUCCAAGGGUGUCAUACCAAAUGCUCAUGCACCAAUGAAGAAUUUUCUUCUCCCAGGAAACCAGUUUUUAUUACUUGGUGAACAUCGCUUGUUUGCUCAUUAAAGUUUUAUCACCGAGACAACAUCUUGUUAUUUUGUUCAAUCAAUGUUUUGACGACAAAGUCCAAAAAGAUGGUCUUAAUUUAGACUUUUCCUUCUUAGAUAUUUCAACCUUUAAACUUGGUGUUUUCUAAACAAUAGUCUUGUUUCAGGUUCCUAUAUUAUUUAGAAACUUCUAGAGUAAUAUGUAAAAUUUCUGUUGUGAAAGUAUUAUUAGUCCAUUAAUCAUUAUUCCAAUGCAACGCUUGCAAAAGGUCAUAACGACAUAUAAAAUAGGAUUAAUUUGAGAGCCUGACUCGAAAUGGAUAAAUCAUCAAAGAGAGUAAGAAUAACAAAGGAAUUGAUUGGGAACACAUAUCUUAAGAAAGAAUGAAGUAUUCUAAGAACAUCAAAUUCAAUAUAAAUAGUAUGAAGACUAGGUGCCACAGAUAUCGUAGCUUGAACUUCUCUAUAAAAACUUUCUGAAUACCAUUCUGAGUUUGACAUGUGUUUAGGAGAUCUGCAGUACUUUGUCGAUGCGCCAAGAUGUCACUUACCCUUUUCUGUUGAUUUAGAUAUAGCAAGAUCACCACAUGCCCCAAUCUGAUCAAAAUUUGAGCUGCUCUGAUCACCUCAUGUCCCAUUCUAAUCAAAAUUUGAGCCACCCUUUUCGGGUUUUCAACUCAAAUCCCCUUUGGUCUCAAGGCGCCCUUUGCGGGUUUUCGCCUUGGCCUCUCCUUUUUCUUUUCUUUCUCUUUUUCUUUUCUUUUCUUUUCUUCUUCUUUUUUUAUUUUCUUGAUAUAUUUUUUUAUUAAAUCUAAACUCAUAGGAUUACGCAUGUCCUUGUUAUCCCUUCCGAUUAAAAUCAACGUUUUUCCAAAUAAGGCCUUACACAUAAGGUCCAUCCUAGUUUGGCAUCCACUUUCUUAUAAAGUUCUUUUUUUGUAUGGGAAGGAUCUUCUUCAAUACUAGGUCCCUCUCAUGGAAUCCUCUAGAGCGAACUCUUCUAUUUUUUUUGAGCUCACAUCAUUUGCUUUUGGCACAUUUGACCAUGAUGGAUAACUUUGAACAAUCCUUUUCAAUCAGGAUUAGAUCCAAAAGACUCAGAGAGAAAAAAUCUCGACUUUAAUGGGCAAAAUCGUGAUAGGCCAAAGUGAAAGGCAUUACCCGAUAGAGUUUUUUUACCGCGCCGUUCAUUUUGGGGCGAUAUGGUGUUAAUCUUGAACAGACUACAAACUUCUGAUAUCGUGCUCUUGUUCAAAUUUAGUGCUUUGUCAGAUAUGAUCUUUUUUGGCUUUCUAUACUGACAUGUGAUUUUUUUCUAGAAUUUGCUGACUGUCGACUUUGUGAUAUUGGCAUAUGAAGUAGCUUCCACCCACUUAGUAAAGUAAUCGACGACCACAAAGAUGAAUCGAUGACUGUCAGAAGCUUUUGGCAAGAUCGACCCACUGACAUCUGUGCCCCACAUAGAGAAAGUCUAUCGAAAAGUCAUAACAUGAAGAGAUGAAGGAGGCACAUGAAUCUUGUCUCCAUCAAUUUGGCAAUUAUGACAUUUCUUGGUACAACUGAUGUAAUCCCCUUCCAUGGUGAACCAGCAAUGCUCGAAUCUCAUGAUUUGCUUGGCCAUUGUAAAACCAUUAGCAUGUAUUCCUCAGACACCCUUAUAGACCUCUUCCAAGAUUUUCUUAGCCUUAACAGUGUCCACAUGUCUUAGUAGCUCAAGCAUAUCUUGGUACGAUCAUGCAAAAACAUCUUUGAAUUCUUGGAGUAACUCAAUGACGUCUCGCUUUGUCUCUGCGGUGAUACAGGCUCCAAUCUUCACCUCUUUCUCUUCUCCUAAGCUCACAAUUUCCACUGAUUCCUUAUAAAGCAGGAUUUGUUUCUCGACUUUUUCUACCAUCCUCAAUAAGUCCGAAGAUAGGCUACAAUCUAUGUCAUCUUCAAAGUCAUGAGAUCCCUCUAAACACAUGUCUCGCUCAAAAGGAGAUUCUGAGUCUGUAGCAAUGUCACUCAUGUAAUUGAUAUCUAAAGACCUAUUGUGGGUACAAAAGAAUAUACAAAGAAUGUAUGAAUUUAUGAAUAAUUAUUUGUACAGUAUGGUUAUGAAUGAAAGAUUGAUUUGGAAGAAAAUCCAAAAGAAUGAAAGAAUCAAAAAUGAUUACUCGUAAAGAAUGAAAGAAGAUUGACUUAAAAAUGAUCACAAAGAUGUAUUAAAAUAAUGACGUUCAGACAUGAUCCUAUUUCACAAAGGAGUUCUUAUUGCCUCUAGGCUAAAAGCAACAAGUGUGUUCUGAACAUUACUCUAAGUAAGCUCUAAAUACUACAGAGAUUUCUUCUGCAGUCUAAUUAUUUAGAAUACUCCCAAGUUUAUAAGGGUGGAUAUCUAACAAGGUCUCUUUUCAGUUGUCUUCAUGUAUGGCAUUGAUGUGAACAUUUCCUUCUUCUUCCUCUUUUUUUUUCACACUUCUUCACAAAGAUCAAUCUCUUUAUUGUCCAUCAUAUUUAGUUGGAUCUUGGCUAAUCGCUCUUACAUUUGCAACUGUAGUUGGUAUUGCUCCCUCUUUGGAGUUGUUCAAGUUUUUCCAAUCUUGGUCCAUGUCUUUUUGCUUUGGUACCGUAACGAUGCUUAGUUAAUAGAUUUUUUUUCCCAGGUUAACUGAAAUAAUUUUACCUAAUUAAGGUCCUCUUGUGAAAAUCUAAUGCAUAUGAUGCAAUGUAAUGCAAAUGCAUAGAAUGAAUGCAAAAAAACGUUGACUCCGAUUCAAUUCCAUUUAGAAAACUUUACUAAAAAACAAAUUUCUUUACAUAAAAUGGAUGCAUGUAUGGCCUCGCCCUCAUAUCCAAGAAACAACAUCGAUAUUUCCCUUUGUUCGAAUGUUUAAGAUAAAUCUCGCAAGUUUCCAAUGGAUGCCACUACUAGCUCCUUCUUUCUUAAUCCUGGUUGCAAUCCAUUGUCUGCCCAUUCUCGUAAUGCUCAUCACCUUCUUUAAAGAAGUCAGAAUGUUAGCGACUCUCAAAUAAUUAGCUUGAAUCUUCGGGCCACGAAGUAAAGUCAUGUACUCUUCUGUCACCCUUCUUUUGUUGUGUUUCUUGGGAAAUAUUCGGGCAGCCAUAUUAUCUUUCACUUUAUCAAAAAAUUCAUUUUCCAUGACAAGCUUUCUAAUUUAGUAAUCAAACUUGAAUCAACACCUUUUUUCUAAGAUGAAAAUGCAAUGCAAUCAUAACCAAAACAAAACGGAACGGGUUAGUACAAAGCAAAAUCAAACAAGAAAAAUAGAGUACCUAUUCGGGUAACCACUAGAGGUUUGGAGUGGUUCUACCUAGGGUAGGCUCUUAAGGUCUUCUACAUGUGGUUUGGUUCUAAAGUAAAGGUACCUGAACCAGUAGAUUCCUCAAUCCUCACCCAUUAUAGGCUCAUAUGGAUAGAGUUCAGUUCAGGGGAAUACAUUUCCCUAUGGCUCCACGGAGAUGAAAAUCCCACGAAGACAUAGGCACGGAUGUAUCCCGAAAGUGAUCCACUAUCCUGCACGGAGGUGAAAACCUCACGAAGGAGUAGCUUCUCACUCUCACUUAAAAGGGUGUGACCAACGGUCAUGCAAUGCACUGUGUCGAGAUAUAAAAAUUUAAAAUACAAAACAUGAUGAAAACUAUAACUCAAAACAAAUGAAAUGCAAUGAGAGGAUCGUAAAUUUUAACCAUAUUAUCAACUUUCGACAAAAAGACAAGAAAUAAUCAACUCGUGGCUUGACUCUCUUAUUUUGGUCCCCAGUGGAGUCGCCAAGCUGUUGACACCAUUUUUUUCUGAAAACGGGGUCGGCUUGGAUUUUGAAAACGAAAAUUAAAAUGGGAGUCACCACCAAUCCUUUUUGAUAAGGUGUGAUCGGACCACCUUAAAAAGUGGUUGUUUUUAAUAAAAAAUUAAAUUUUAUUAAAAUAACGAUUUUGGUCCACGAAAUUCAAAAAAACAGGUUCGGGAGUCGAUUACGUACGAGGACGGAUUAUCACUCUCGUAACACCCAAAAUUGGUACCUAGUUGAUUAUUUAGUGUCUUUAGUGUCGAAGAUUGAAAAUUUUGAAGAAUUUUAAAAAUACGAUCCUAAAAAUUUUCGAACAAUAUAGGUUGAAAUUUAGGAUUCUCUUGUUCCGAAAGAAUAUCACAUCCAGCACAUUAGGAUACGAUACUUUAAACUCUCGAAACCAAGAUCACCUUAUGGUUUCCAAAACCCAUACUUUGAAACUUUAAGAGGGUAUUUGGCUAUUCGGCUAAACGAGAAAUCGAACCCCAGUACAUCAACGCACGUUUUCUUGAAUUUCCAAACACAAAAUAUUGCCUUAAUUUAAAAUUUUCUUUUUGUAUUUGGAUAAAAAUUAUUUCCGACGGAACAAUAAUUAUGAUAAUGUAAGUAAAAAUAAUACGAGCAAAACAAAAAUAAUAAAAGAUAAAUAAAAAAAACAAAUCAAUCACGUACACAAUAACAAGCAAAUAAACAAGUAAAAAAAACUAAAGCAUUUAAAGUAAUAAUAAUGGAUAUGUAGAUGAGUGAGUAAAUGAACAUCAAGUGAAGCCAUAAUAACAACAAGAAAAUAGAUAAAAAUUACAAAAUAUAAAAGUAUAUAUGUACAUAUAAGAGAAUAUAUAUGUAUGUAUAUACAUAAAAUUCUGAAAAUAUGAAAAAUAUAUGUAUAUAUAUAUUUUAAAGAUGUAAAACAUAAAAAGAUAAACAUGUGUGUAUGCACAUACAUAUAUAUGAAUAUAACAAUCAUGGAAUAUAAAAAGUAUAUAUGUAGGUAUAUAUAUGAAUCAUAAAAUAUAAAGAAUAUAUAUAAAAUACAUAUUUUAAAAGUAUAAAGAAUAUGUAAGUAUAUAUAUAUUUAUGAAAAUAAAAUACAUAUAUAGACAUGUAUAUAGAUAUGUAUAAAAAUUAUGAAAUAUAAAAAUAUAUAUAGGUACAUAUAUAGAUAAAUUAUAAAAAUAUGCAUAUGUAUAUAUAUAUAUAUUAUAAAACACAUGUAUGUGUAUAUAUAUAAAGAAGAUUUCAAAUUUAAAAAAUAUAAAUGAGCAAAUAAUUACAAUAAUAAUUAAUAAUAACAGUAAUAGUAUCAAAUUUAUUAAGAAAAUAAAAAAAAUAACAAAAGGACUAAAUUAAACUUUAAAAUGAAAUUCGGGGUUUAAAUCUGCAACUAAAUAAAAACGGGGAUCUUUCUGAAUGCAUGCAUAACAUGGAGGGAUUAAAAGGGAAAUUUUCCCUUCCCCUCCAAAACGGUGUCGUUCAAAUAGGGACUAAACUGUAAACGCGAAGAAUUGUGGGAUAAGAUUGAAAAAUCCUAAAAUACUUGGUUGAAAAACCAUUAAAAAGUGGAGGGACUAGAAGGGAAAAUAACACAAAACUUAAAAACACGCGGAUCCCCUGGAGGGGGUCGGGUCGGCCAGUGGGUUAGGUUAAAAUGGCGUCGUUUUGGUGCCUGAGAAGGCUGCCCAAAAUGGCGUCAUUUUGGAGUUUUAUAAAUAUAAAAAAAUAAUUCCAAAAAAUAUUUGAAACCUAUUUUUUUAAAUUAAAGGAAGCCCCUCGUCUCUUUCUCUGUUUUCUCUUUGGGCUUUGCCUAGAAAACUCAAAAAGGUAUUUUUUUUUUGCUUUUUUGCUGCAUAUGCGUAUAUACGUAUAUAUUUUAGAACAAACGGAAGUAAAAAUAAAAAAUGAAAAAUAAAUGAAUGAAUGAAAAAGGUUUCGGAAACUAAAACCUUUAUCUUUAUUUUUAUUUCAUUCUCUCUUUUUUGCUUAUUUUUGUCACCCACUACAGAUUUUUCAAUCGGCCUUAUAUAGCUGAAAUAAUAAUAUAAAAAAUCUCUUUCUGCUAUCGCUAUUUGCUGUUGCUUGUUGGUGUUUGUUGCAGGUUUUUGACGUGUGAUGGAGCAGGUGGCAGAGUUGGUGGCGCGGCGUAAGAGAUGACGAUGGCAGGGCAAGUAGGCGAGGGGUUAGAAAGGGCGGCUAGGGUUAGGCAGUAGGCUAGGGUUUUAGUUUUUUUCUGAAAAGUUUUAAACAUUUUGGACCAUUGGGCCUUCAUUUUUUUGUAAUUUUUAAUUGUUUUUGGGCUUGCUGUACUUGUGUUGCUGGUAUGGGCCCGGGCAAAAUUGGGCUUGUACAAUAGGGAUACUACAGGCUACCAUCUUUCUAAUUUCCAUUGCCAGAAUUGUGACAGUAGCAGAUCCAUCGCCUUUGGCGUCCGAAGCCAUAGCAAUGGUAGAAAGUGGGUGGUGGAGUAACUAUAGCAACAAUGCUUCAGAAUGUUGCCAGUGGCCAGGUAUAUCAUGCAACACUGCUGGAAGCAUCAUCCAAAUUGACAUUUCUGAUGCGCCCAAUAUUGAGGUUGGAGAUAGAUUUGGGAAAUUUAAUUUCUCUUCAUUUCCAAAUCUUGUCCUUCUUGAUCUUAGUGAUCGUCAACUUGGUGGAAAAAUCCCACAUCAGAUAGGUAAUCUAUCAGCAUUGAAGCACCUUGACUUGUCCAAUUGUGGUUUAUUCGGUGAGUUACCUCCUUCUCUAAGAAACCUAACCCAAUUAGAGUCCCUUGACAUUUCCUAUAAUUAUAAUAUUAAGGGUUCCAUCCCUCCACAACUAGGGAAUCUAGUGAACCUUGUUAGUUUAAAUUUGAGUUGGACCAGUCUUAGUGGAAACAUUCCAUUGUUUCUUGGGCUAUUGACCAACCUUAGGCAUCUACUUUUGGAUAGGUAUCAAUUUGAUGAUGGUAA